GGCACAUUCGAAUGAUUUAAGACUCAUCUCUGCAGAGACUGCCCAGCUUUACCCACCUGAUGUCAAUAGCUAGCUAAGCUGAGGACAACAUAGCCGUUCGAGAGUCCCACUUACUACUAGUUACUGCCUAGUGGGAUAUUGAUCCAUCCUAGCAGUCGGGCACUUGUUGGGCCUAAGCAAGGCUAGACGGUCGUUGCUUUCACGGGUUCCACCAUUGCGGAUCAUGUCAACCUGGCCGAAGCCCCUUCCACAUGUCCACCCCAAACCUGCUCAUAGAGCCACCCUACAGUCUUUCAUAUAGUGGGACAAUGUACUAGGCUAAGUCUGAUUACUCAGUCCUGUGGAUGGGCGCAAAUUACAUCAUUUUCCAUGGCAUAAGGGGGUAGUCCUUAUAUCCGGGGAAAGCCACCAAAACUAGCACAGGCCCGUGCAUACUUUAAGUGUAAAUAUACACUUUCCACAAAAUAAUUAUAACAAUAUGCACGGCCUCACACACCACAACAUCCAUCUUCACCCGGAAUUAAUCUUCCAUAUCACUCCAGGUGAGUGACUCAUAUCAAAUAACAUAUUUUAUAUCACCUGACACGCCACCACAUGACGACGGGUAAACCAUGUAUAUGAGUAUAUAUAUUUGGUGGUCUUAUCCACUAGAAUAUUAUCGUGAAGUAUAUAAAUCUACACCUAGGUUAUCAAAGGACGUGAUAUAACAAUCCAUGGAUUUGGCUAAUAAUAACAAUGUAAUAAUGGGUAAUAACUAAACUAACAAGUUUAUUAAAAAAUAAUUCAUAUGCAAAAUAAUUUUAUAAAUACUCAAUGCAUAAAAUAACUAAGUGGUUCUCUACUAGGUUUCAAUAUGAUCAAAGAUUGGAACUGUGGCUUGCCUUGUGGAACGUGUCCUUCGGAAGCUUCAACGUAGCCUUCUUGGUCCACUUCAGUUCCUGCGAGUCCAGUGGGAUCUUCAACGCGAUCUAACGUACGCACAAGAAGAAACGACCAAAUAAGCCUAUAAGAAAAAUACUAUAAAUAAGAAUUAAAAUAAAUGGUGAAGGUUGGAGCCAGAACUGUGGAAAGAUGCACUAGAAGUUCUAUGGUUUCAAAUAACAAAAUAUCACUGUAAAGCAGGGGUUUAUGGUGUAUACAAGAAUGGACAUGAUGCAGAGGUUUGGGUACUGGAAACCGGAAGAAAUUGUGUCUAGAGGUGGCCGAACCAAAGGUGAACCGAACGAAAAAUUAUUGAACCAUUAAACAGAGCCUUAGCCAGAUUUGUUUAGCUCUGUUUCCUGUCUUAUGGUUGGAUUCAACCAUGAUGGCACAGUACCACGUACUACUGUUCAUCUUCUUCAGUGAGACGAACCUAGGGGCAAGGGAAUAGAGAACAGGGAAAAAGUAGGAAGGUGGAUGCUAGGCUGUGAUGGGUGAUAGGUAAGGACAUCAUGAGCAAAACACGUUCUCAAGGGUCGCGAACUCGAUGCUGUUGUUAGUUUUCAGAGACGACACCCACACCGGCCGGAACAGGAGUUCCAGAUCUGGAGCUAUGGUGACACCGGGCAUGGAAGUGGCAGCUCUGGUGGUGAACGCGGGCGGGUGAGCGCGUCAAAAGGCGUUCCCGGAUGAGAAGGUUCCAUUUUUGUAGUUAGUUGAUAAAGAGGACAUUCUGGACGUGUUGGCCACGGUAAUGGCCAUGACAGCCCAUGGGAGCUUCGGAAAAGCUCGAUACAAAAGCGGAAAAAGAGGGAAAAUAAAGAAAGAAGCCUCACCGAUGAGUGGCAAAGUUGAUGGCGUGCUGUUGUGGCAGAAAAAGGGCCAGCGACGGUGGAUUUGGCCAGUGACCUUGGCGGCAGUUUGGAGUGGUUUGAGGGCAGGGAUGAGCUUGAGUGCUCGGUGUUUCCAGAGAAAGAAGAAGAAGGGGAAAAAGGAAGGGAGAAAAGCCUCUCGCUAAGAUUCGCGCGACGGCUAUCGGAGAUCGGCGCGUGGCUCGUAUGAGGCGGCACGGGCGAGCGUGUGCGAGCACGGGAAAGGCACGAGGCGGCACGCGUGUAGCGCGAGCGGCCCUGAGCGGCGUCGGCCUGCAGCGGCUCGGCUGGAGCCGGCCUACCUAGGCUGGGCCAGGACAUGGGCUAGAACAGCCCAACACAGAGAGUGACCAAGGAAAAGGAAAUCCGGAAUAUGGCCUGGAUUGCAAGGAACAUGGCCCGAGCAGAAACACAGUGUUCUAUUUGAAUUUUUGGAGAGAUUUUUGUAUGGAAUUUUGGUAGGAUAUUUUUUAAUAGGAAUUGAUAGGAUUUGGGAUCUUAGAACAAUUGCAUGAUGACUCCGGUUUAACUUAAAAUAAACAUCAGCUCUUCUAAUGAUUUUGGGAAUUUUCUCUAGGAUAUCUCGGAUUUUGUUUGGUGAGGGAAACUAAACAAGGUUAUGUGGGAGUCGUAAACUUAGAGGGAACAAAAGAAAUAUAAGGAUUGGGAGGCUCCAAUUCGAAAGAACGAAGAACAUCGACUUUAAAUAUUUUCGCAAAAAAAUUAUCUUGAAAAAUCUAGUAUGUUACAUAUACUGAAUAUACGGCUAGCUUAUCUAGGAGAUGCUUUGGUGCGGGUAUAAUGUUUGCUUAUGCAAUUACUCUAUGUCAUGACGAUGAUAUUAUAGUAGUAUCUGGUAGUUUAGACGUGGUGUCUAGAUUACGGGAUAUCAUUAUUUGGGGUUAUAUAUUGCGGAUGGGAGGUGGGCCGCUGAUGGUGACAGCUCAGUACGGGUAUUCCUCCGCGCCGGUAUAUAGUCGUAAGUUAAUUUCCUGGGGAGGGUAUUCCUCCGUAUUUAGCUCCGGCUGUAUGGUCAUGACGGACUGUCGUAAGGAACUCGAUAGUCAGGGGUGGCUUCUCGAUGUACCAGGAGGGCAUUGGAUAGAGGGUAUUAGCUAGUAUAUCAGUUAACUAGAAUGUAUGUAUACUAUGUAUAUUAGAACUAUAGGAAUAGAUUUUCUUUCUCUUUUCUUUCCACUUAGCUCAGAUAAUAUAUUAUGAGAAUGAGUAGUAAUGCUUGUGUGUCACUCUACCCUUGGAUUAUCUUAACCCCUGCUUAGAAUAUGAUUAUCACAAGUAAUAUAUAAAUUUUUAGAAUAUGAUUAUCUCUCUCUACUCUCGGUUGAAAUGCUACAAUGGUAUAUCCGUGCGCUUGCGGAUGAACUCUGUAACCAUAAUAUACCAGAAGUAUUUCUGCGCCAUUGCUGGAAAUUAUAUUUCUAGUAAUGUCGUUAAAAAAUACCAACACUCGGGUUGCCGAGUUUCUUACGACAACCUGUCAUAACCCUCCAACCGAAGUAGGAUACGAGGUGUAUCCAACCCCAAGAAAUUGUAUAUAAACUGUAGGGAAGACGCCCGUACUAAGCUGUCACUAUCAGCGGCCUGCAAAUCACCUAGAGAAUAUACCCCCAAAUAAUGAUAAGUGAUAACCUAAACCACAUGCUUAUGUUACUACUUAUUACUCUACAGCCUUGCAAUCAGUGCCGAGCAUCUGAGUCCCCGAGACAUAACUCUCGGCCUAGCCAGAGCAGACUUAUGACCCGGUAAUCAGACAUUAUACCAGCAUCAAUGCAAAUCCCAGAAGGUUUAACCACACAGAUUAUACUACUUACAAAUAAACUAAGAAUGGUACUCAUACUCUAUGAUCGUAAUAAAGUACCGAACUUGUAUAUUAUAUUGAUAAAUGGAAGUCUUACAAAGAAGAAAGGAAAAGCUAUAGAACCUUUACCGAACUCCCCGAAGCCUCCGUGGACUUGGAACUACUCUAACUCUACUCUACUAACACUAAUACUAACUUUGUAGAGAGCUUUGAUCCUUCCUUGAGUGUGUGUUGAAAGUGAAGGAGGUGAGGUCCUUUUAUAGGUAGGUAUGAUGGAUGUAGAGUAUGGGAAUUGUCGGAAAUGCUCCGCAACCGCCAUCAGGAGUUCAUCCGGAGCGUCCACGCCAAACCCCAACCUCAAUGGCUGUGAUGGGGGUUCGGCCGAACAAUGAUCUGGCCCAAACGGCCUAAUUUUUGGCAGGCUGACUCCUCAUUUGCUCCUCAAUCCAAAACAUGGAAUUUUGGGCUUAAUUGAUGAUGUCUUUUGUGAGUUCUCAGCCCAUCUAUCCAUAAGUCUGGAUCUCGAAAGCCUCUGAUUGAUUGAUCGUCUAUUUUGUUGUCGAUUCUCCUCCAUUUAUAUGUGCUUCUCCAACAUAGAUGUUAGCAGCAUAGUAUAUAGUGGAAGUAGAUAUUUUAUUUGGAAUUUAUGCAUUGCAAGCAUAGCUAGUCUUCAUACAUUGGGUAAUAUUGACGGUCGAAAUUGGUCGAUAACGACCGUCAACAAAACCCCCCAAGCUUGAACCGUUGCUCGUCCCGAGUAAAGAAUGAAAGGAACAAAGACUUGGUUGUUUAUUAGGAGUUGCUGCAAUGUUGUAUAUAUCAAAGAAACAGAUGCAAGGUAUGGGUACUCUCUCUCAAAACAAAUAAGUUUGGCACGGUGGCUUACCCUUACCCCCGAUUCCCACGAGACACUGCCUUUCCUUGUCUUGAGCGGUUGAGAGACAGAACAACAAUUAGAGCGCUAGUUACCCAUUCUUUAUUCAACUUUUAUUACGGGAGUUUUCAAAUGAUUUUUGCAAAAGAAAGCAAAGUUCCUCAAAUGAUUCUCUAGAUCACUCAAAGUGUAUGAAUAUGGAUUCCUCACCAGAUUUGCCUUUUUUAUUCCUACUCUAAGGUUGAUAUGUGGAGCUUGGUAGGGAUCAAACAUGGCAUACUUGCAUUCACAUUUAUUACUAGGUCAAAAACUUAGACUAAAAUAGAUGACUAAUACUCAAGAUCAAGAUCGUGCAAAGUGUGAAUAUGGUGGAAAAAUAUGAUGGAAAAUAAAAUAUGGAUAAAGAAAAUGCUUCUCCCUUGUGCUUAUGCUUUUCCUCCAAAAUAUCCUUUAAUUUUCAUAGAGAGGGUAUGGCUACUUUUUCUCCUUUUUUUCCUUUUUUUUUUCAUGCUCCAAUUUUGGGAGAGCAAGAAUAUAUUAUUUUUCUCAUAGCCAUACCUUUCCCUCUUUUUUUUUUUUGCAAAGGAUUUUUCUUUGGAAAGGAAGCAUGGAUGUAGAACUUAUUUGUGGAUAAUGAUGACAUGGAUAUGGUAGAUGAUAUGGAUGCUAUCUUCCAUUGUAGAAGCUUAGCAUAUGUGUGCAUAUGUGGGUGUAUGAUCUUGAUCAUAGAGCAUGAAAAGUAUCUACACAAGUCACAAGGAUUUGACAAAAUUUAAUGGAAUUACAAGUAACCAAAAUGUAUAUGGCUUAAUCAAUAUGAAUAUUUUGGCUCUGGUAGGAAUUCAUAUCAAAUGAGGAACUUUCAAAAUUAUCAUUUUGAAAAAUAAAACAUCCGGAAUUCAAGUCAAACUUAGAACAUGAUUAUUUAUAGCAACUCUUAUUUACUAUCUCAUAUCUCGCAACAACCUAGACUCAGAUCAGCAAAGUGCAGCUCACUUACCUCAGGUUCCUGGAUAAUUGUAGGCUACCCUUAUUCAAAUUUUGAGAGAGUACUUAACCAUGAACCCAUAUAUGAGAGAUAUAAAACAGAGCAACUAUUCAUCAUUUCAACAUGAAGAACUAAGCAUGUCUUACCUAGCAUAUUAAAUCUAACCUAUCUUUUUGGUAUUUUUAGUUUUGCAAAUUUUUAUGUUGUUUUCAGGUUUAUAAAUGCAAUGCAAAAAUUUAAACAUGUAAUUUGAAAGGGAAAUAUGCAAUAUGAUACAAGUUACCUUAGUGGGGGGAGAGACAUCUCUCCCCCAAGCUUGCUUCUUGCUAUGGCUCAUGGCGGGGAUCAAAUCCCUGGUAGCGGUGAAACGCUUGCCAGUCAGCUUGCUAUUGUUGCAUCAUAGUGUUGAAGUUUGCAACCUGUGCAUCAACAGACUGUUGCCAUUCCCGUGACUGUACCACAUUAUCCUCCAAGGUGUGUUGUUCGUUCCCUGCCUACAGUUCAAGUGUAUCCAUCCUCCGGGUGAGUUCUCCCAGAUCCCCUCGAGAGGAGACAGCGACACAUCCAAGAGGAUGAAGGUGGACCACUUGAAUUGGAGGAGCGCGAGUAUCCCCAGUGCAGCUCCUACGGCUCAUGCCAUCGGCCGUCGCUGGCACUCUGCCAGGACGAACCACCAGCGUCAUGUUGCGGGAUUUGGGUUCAACCGGGGACAUCCGCGGUCGGGUCCCAAUAGUCCCCAUACAUUUACACUGGUGGUGAAGAGGAAGACGCCUCCUGAGGUGCUUCUCUCGCCAUUCGUCAUGUUACCCUGCGUGGGACAUCACGAUGCAACUCCAAUUGGAGUGGAAUGGUUAGUUCUCGGCAAUUAUACAAAUGAAACUCCGGGUUAGGUAAAGGAAUCUCAUUUGUAUAGCCGGGAAACAAAAAUAUAAGAUAAUCAUUUGGACCAUGUUUGAGUAUGUGGCAUUGAACUAAAUAGGCCUCAUCAACAUAAGAGCGGGUGAUAGGAAUACUUGCUUAUAAAGCAUAGUCCCAACUCUUCAUGCUGAACGAGUCACCAAAGAAAUACACUCAAAAGGACCAGACAACUUCAUAUUUUCUAACCAUUGCUUGAUCAUGGGUUGAACAGGUGAAACUUUGAUUUUUUUUAUUAACCAUGGCAUACAAGAGGACUAGUUCGUCUUCACAAACUAUCUGGAUAUCAGCUCUAAGAAACAACAUGAAACCAAGCAACUUAUGCAACAGCCCCAAGGUAGGAUGAUGGAUGUCACUAGUUCUAGGCUUUUUAGAGGAUGAGAAACCUGAAAUACUUUGCCAAAACAUACGCUUGUUAAAAACCAAGAAAUGCGUUCCUGAAAUUAACUUUGCAUGUUUUGUCAAAGCCUAGAUGCAAGAUAAGGUCUUUCCGAGAAAGGUGAUAUUCCUUGCGGAAUAACCAGAAAGUACACCAUCGCCUACCUCUAGCAAGGUACAUAGAAACUGCAUGGUAAGCAAACAGGAACCCGGCUCAUCUACACAUGCAAAUUUAUCCCAUCCAACAGCACGCCAAACAGUAUGAAACUCAGCAUCCAUACCUAUCCUUUUCAAAAGGUCGAGUUGUAUGCUUAGGUCUGAGCACACGUUCGGUCCUUCAGCAUAUGAUAGGCUUGCAUUUCCUGGUCGCCCACGAGGUCGAGAUCGGAGUUGUCGUACAGCCUCGGUGGAACGUACGCCUCCUCCAUGGAUGCAUCCGCAGAAGAAGGUGUACUCGGCUUUUCGUGUCGGCUUGUCCGUGAGCUUGAUUGUCUCUUGAAUAUGCCCGGAAGUCGUUUCUUCAUUACAGAUACCAAGCCAGCAUACAGAUGGCACCGUACGAAGCGUUGUAUGGCCACAAAUGCCGAACACCACUAUUGUGGGACCAAGUUGGGGAAAGCCAAGUGUUCGGGACCGAUAUCUUGAGAGAAGCUGAAGCGAAGGUCAGGACCAUUCGGGAGAAUCUAAAGGUGGCCCAGUCUCGGCAGAAGAGUUAUGCAGACAACCGACGCCGUGACCUGGAAUUCGUAGUGGAUGACUUUGUGUAUCUCCGGGUCACGCCGUUGCGAGGCGUACACCGGUUUCAGACGAAAGGGAAGCUCGCACCUCGGUUUGUGGGUCCUUUCCGGAUCAUUGCUCGACGCGGAGAAGUCGCUUACCAGUUGGAGCUGCCCGCCUCCUUGGGCAACGUGCAUGAUGUGUUCCAUGUGUCGCAACUCAAGAAAUGCCUUCGAGUGUCGUCCGAGCAGGCCGACUCAGAGCAGAUUGAAGUUCGCAAAGACUUGACCCACGUGGAGAGACCGGUGAAAAUCCUGGGCGCCAUGGAGCGCAGGACCAGGAACCGGGUAAUCCGUUUUUGCAAGGUCCAAUGGAGCAACCACGCCGAGGAAGAAGCUACUUGGGAGCGUGAAGACGAGCUGAAGACAGCCCAUCCCGUUCUCUUCGCCAGUUCUUCCGAAUCUCGGGGUCGAGAUUCCGUUUAAGGGGGGUAGGUUUGUCACGUCCCAAAACGACUCUAAAAUAUAUCCCUUAAAUGAUGCCUAGAAUAAUUAAAAUCCGUGUGAAAGCCUCCAACAAUUAAAAUGUGCAAAGUUAAAAGUCAAAUAAGGCUUGGAGGAUUUUUGUAAAUUUCCUAAAAGCCUAAAAUGCGUAAAUAAAUUUUAGUGGAAUUUUCAGAGCACAAAUAAUAAUUAUUAAGAAAUAAACAAAGUUAAAAUGAUUUUAUAAAAAGAAAAACCCUAAAAGUCCCCCUUCAUGAAUUUGAUCUUUCAUGAUUUGUUAGGUAUUAUCCUAGAGAUCUAUAUUGAUGAUAUUGUUCUCAAAUCGGAUGGUAUGGAAGGACACAUAGCAGAUUUGAGGUUAGCUUUUGAGAGGAUGCGCCGAAAUGGUUUGAAGAUGAACCCACUUAAAUGUGCUUUUAGUGUGUCGGCGGGGAAGAUCUUAGGAUUCAUGGUGCAAGAGAGAGGAGUUGAGAUUGAUCCUAAAAAGAUAGAGAAGUUUCGUGAUUUCAAAGAGCCGACAUGCAAGAAGGAGGUCCAAAAGUUGCUAGGUAAAUUGAAUUAUUUGAGAAGGUUUAUUUCUAACCUAGUGGGUAGAAUCGAUGCUUUUGUUCCUAUACUUCGCUUGAAAAAAGAAGCCGAUUUUACUUGGGGGGCAAAACAACAAGAGGCGUUUGAAUAGUUGAAGAGAUAUUUGUCUACUCCACCCGUUGUGCGAGCGCCUAAAGCCGGAAAGCCUUUUCGGUUAUAUAUUGCUUCCGAAGACAAAGUUAUUGGUGCCGUUUUGAUGCAAGAGGAAGAUGGCAAGGAAUAUAUCAUUACAUAUUUGAGCCGCCGUCUUUUAGAUGCCGAAACGAGGUAUGUUUUUAUAGAGAGACUUUGUCUAUGCUUAUACUAUGCUUGUACCAAAUUGAGGCAUUAUUUGUUAUCUAGUACAUGCAUUGUUACUUGUCAAGCCGAUGUUAUUAAACACAUGUUGAGAAGGCCAAUUCUAAGUGGGAGAAUUGGCAAGUGGGCAUAUGCUUUAAUAGAAUAUGAUUUGGCUUAUGAACCAUUGAAAUCUAUGAAAGGCCAAAUUGUAUGUGAUUUUAUAGUAGACCAUCAUAUAGAUAUUGCUUAUGAGGGAGAGGUUUGCUUAGUUGAAGUUAUACCUUGGAAGAUUUAUUUUGAUGGUUUUUCUUGCAAAGAAGGUCAAGGCAUAGGGGUAGUUUUGUUUUCACCUAAUGGCAUGUGUUAUGAAGCAUCGGUUCGUUUGGAGUAUUAUUGUACAAAUACUCAAGCCGAAUACAAUGCUUUAUUAUUCGGCUUACAAGUUAUGGAGAUGGUUGGAGCUAAGUACGUGGAAGCUUUUGGUGAUUCGGAAUUGGUGGUUCAACAAUUCGCCGGAGUUUACAAAUGCUUGGACGGAUCACUAAAUAGGUAUCUCGAUUCAUGUUUGGAUAUUAUUGCCAAUUUUGAUAGUUUUGUUAUUAGACAUAUUGCUACGCGUGAUAAUUCUAGAGCAAAUGAUUUAGCGCAACAAGCAUCUGGCUAUAAUGUGAAGAAGGGAUUAUUUCUGAUAUUAGAAGAGCCGGUGCUUGAUUUUAAAUCUUUGUGCGAAAUUGGCAAAACUGGAGACCAGGGGCGGUCUGACCGGCAUUGCACGGCCGGUCUGACCGGUGACCAGGGGCGGUCUGACCGGCCGCAUGCCGCCGGUCUGACCGGCGACCCUGAGCGGUCUGACCGGCCCUGCGUGGCCGGUCUGACCGGUUCUGGGCAGAACGCUGGGGGGCACAUUUCAAUCAAUUUAGAGGCCGAAUUAAGUGUGAAUUCGGACAUUUGUGCCCAGGGAACAGAAGAAGAUUGGAGAAUUCCUUUGAUUCGAUAUUUGAAAGAUCCUACACUUAAGGUUGAUCGGAAAAUUCGGUGGCAAGCAUUCAAAUAUACAUUGUUUGAUGGAGAUUGUAUCGCCGAAAUAUAGAUGGUGUCUUGUUGAAGUGCUUAGAUGAAGAUCAAUCUAAAGUGGCUAUGGGAGAGGUACAUGAAGGAAUAUGUGGAACUCAUCAAUCGGCCCACAAGAUGAAUUGGUUGCUUAGGAGAGUGGGAUUCUAUUGGCCGAAGAUGAUUGAUGAUUGCUUCAAAUAUUAUAGAGGAUGCAAGGCUUGUCAACGGUUCGGCAAUGUUCAAUUGGCGCCCGCCGUCAUGUUGAAUCCCAUAAUCAAACCAUGGCCGUUCCGAGGAUGGGCUUUGGAUUUUAUUGGUCAAAUUUAUCCUUCGUCAUCAAAGGGGCAUAGGUUCAUGCUAGUUGCUACGGAUUACUUCACCAAGUGGGCCGAAGCCGUUUCUUUGAAGAAUAUGACUCAUAUGGAGGUAAUUGAAUUUAUUUUGAAGCAUAUUAUCCAUAGAUUCGAUAUUCCACAAACAUUAACUACGGACCAAGGUGCUUCUUUUAUGUCUAAGGAAGUGAAGAGUUUUACCGAAUCUUAUGGUAUUAAAUUGUUGAGUUCUUCUCCUUACUACGCUCAGGCUAAUGGACAAGCCGAGUCGAGUAAUAAGACAUUGUUGAAGUUAGUGAAGAAGAAGAUUGAGGAACACCCAAAGAGGUGGCAUGAGGUGCUUUCCGAAGCAUUGUGGGCGCAUAGGAUUUCUAAACAUGGUGCCACUAAAGUCACUCCUUUUGAGUUGGUUUAUGGUCAAGAAGCCAUUUUACCGGUGGAGAUAAAUCUUGGUUCUCUUAGUUAUAUCAAGCAAGAUGAUUUGUCAAGUGAAGAUUGCAAGACAUUGAUGGGAGACAAUCUUGAUGAAGUCAUCGACAAGCGCUUGAAAGCAUUGGAAGAAAUAGAGAAAGAGAAGAAGAGGGUGGCCAAGGCGUACAACAAAAGGGUGAAAGCAAAGUUGUUUCAAGUUGGAGACUUGGUUUGGAAGAUAAUUAUGCCUUUGGGUACUCGAUCCAAGGAGUUCGGUAAGUGGUCUACUAGUUGGGAUGGUCCUUAUCAAGUAUGCGGCAUUGUUUGAGGGAACGCAUAUUUUUUGGAGACACUUCAAGGGGAGCAUUUUCAGCGAGCAAUCAACGGGAAAUACUUGAAGAAAUACUUCCCGAGCGUUUGGCAAGACACUUAGGAGGUACUAUGGCCGGUAAUUGGAUUAUCGUCCUAAGACCAAAACAUGUUCUAUGUUUUUAGAUUCACGUUGUUCAUCAGACAGGCAGGGGGGCAUAUGUUUACACCCAAAUUUGGCACCUAGGAUUAAAAUAGAAAAGAUUGCCAAAAUUGGGAAGUCUACCGGUUUUCUCCGAGUGGACCGGUCUGACUGCCGUGUGUUGGCCGGUCAGACCACCGGUUGAAGGCCGGUCAGACCGGCGGUGUGUGGCCGGUCUGACCGGCAGGUCCGAGUCUGACUGUGUUUCGUCGGGUCUCGAGGUUUCCUUGCUCGGGAAGGCAUGUUUCGGGUUUCCUUUGGUUUCUACCCCGAGUUGGACGUGGAGGAGGGCCUGUAGAGGGCAAGACUAACCCCUAUAUAAGGGACAUGGACGGUUCAUUGUAAAAAAUCAAUCUACAAUCAAUCAAUCGAAUCGUUUUUCAUAUUGCUUUUAGUUUUCUCUUAGUUUGUCCAUCUUUGUCGGUUUGCGCCGUAAACCGUCCGCCGCCGCUGCGAGAGUGCGACACCUCUUUGUAGGUUUGUCCUGAAAACCUUCCAUUUUGCCCACGAGACGGGUAGUUAUCUAGAAAUCGGCUCUGCUAGCCGGUUUAGUUAUCAAAACCCAUCUAGGUUUAGCUCUUUGCUAGAUCGAGGUGGUUGGCGACUCUAGGAUCACCGCAAGGCUUUAGGUGCUGCGAUCGUGCUUGUCAACUUGUCACAAAACGUUGCCAACAGUAACAAAUAUAUUUAGCAUGUGAGACAUUAACCCAUAUAUCCUCCACAUGCAGUAACACUAUAGCAUCAUUGUGAAAACGGUUUUAAAAAUAAUACAUAUCUUGUGAGAUAUUGCUUUUCAAAUAUUGGUAUUUUUGAACUUUAGCACUCCUUAUGAAGUAACAGAAUAUGUAAUUUGCAGUAACAUGGGUAUAUACAUGCAGUAACAUGGUUUUACCAAAUGUAUAAAAUUGUUCAAAACACUCGUACAUCAAUCAGACCUCACUCAAAGCCACCUACAGACUUUACCUAUAGCCCACCUAUUCGAUCUUCAUCUCGUAAAACUGACAUAGUAAAAUUACGAUUAUCGUGCAGUAACAUAACUACUUGGAAGUGGUAACAUGCACCCAUUAUGCAGUAACACUUCUACUUUUGUGCAGUAACAAGUAUAUACUUUUGUGCAGUAACAAGUAUAUGGUUAGCAUGUGAGGCUUUAACCCAUAUAUUUUUGUUUCGAUUCCUGGUCUACUACAAUUUUACUACGAUGUUACUGCCAAAAGUGCAGUAACGUCCUAUGUGUUCUACAGUAACGUCAUGUGUUACUGUACUUUUACAACAAUGUUACUACUAGAGCAUAGUAACAUGUUAUGAGUUUCGGUAGUGAAAGAUAUUAGAAUUGAUAAUCAUAUUACUUUCUCACAAAAUUCUUGAAACAAAUAGCAUCAUUAGAUAAAUUGGUUAGAAGAAUGUUCUUUGAACUAUGAGGUCAUGGGUUCAAGUCUUAAAUUUGGCAAUUUAUUUUUUAUUUUUCUAGAAAAGAGAAAAAAAUGUUUCAGGGAGAAAAAAAAACAGAAAAAAGAAAGAGAGAAAGAUCAGGAGGAGGGAGGGGGAGCGAGAGAGAUCGGGAGGAGGGAGGGGAAUCAGCAGAGAGAGGGGGGAACAGGAGGGAGAGAGGGGAGGAGGGAGGGGAAGCAGGAGAGAGAGGGGGGAACAGGAGGGAGAGAGAGAAAAAAAAACAGAAAAAAGAAAGAGAGAGAGAUCAGGAGGAGGGAGGGGGAGCGAGAGAGAUCGGGAGGAGGGAGGGGAAGCAGGAGAGAGAGUGGGGAAGAGGAGGGAGAGAGAGGGGAGGAGGGAGGGGAAGCAGGAGAGAGAGGGGGGAACAGGAGGGAGGGAGGGAUACGGAUGAGAAAGGGAGGGGGUAUAGAAUAGUCUUACCAUAUAUAUAUAUAUAUAAAACUAAUAAAAAUAUUUGGAUUUUUCCGGUCGUCACCUCGAGUCCUUACGGUGAUUUUUCAUCCCACCCUCGAAUCCCAAUCGCAAGCCAAAAAAAAGAAAGUCCGAAUCCCAAUCGCUAGCCAGAAAAAAGAAAGUCCGAUUCAAUCAAAAGGGCGAUAAAAAAAAUCUAUUCGUCUGCUUCGUCCGUCGCCCACAUCACGCGUGCCCCCUCUCCAAAUCGGAAUCAUCACAAAAUCAUCCCCUCUCCAAGUCCCAAUCCAAAUCGGAAUCAUCACAAAAUCAUCUAAAAUCUAAAAUAGUUCAUAGGAAAUCAACAAAUUAUAGUGUAAAACAAAUCACACAGGAGGGAGGGGCGAGCGCUACUCCUUGCCAGACCUCCACGCCGCCUCGCUGCCGGGAGCUGUCGACCGGCUGCUGCUCCAGGGAUCCGCCGACCAGCCGUUGCACCGAGAGGGAUCCAUCGCUGCGCCGGGGAUCCGCCGACCCGCCGCUGGGCCGCCGCCGCCGCCUCCCCUCCUUCUAGAUGCGGCGGAGGGGAGGGCGCCACCGCCUCCCCUCCCCUCCCGCCAGAUCCGGGACACCGGAUCUGGCACACAGGGCCGCCUCCACCUCCUCUCCCGCUGGAUCCAGCGGAUGGGAGGGCACCGGCGGCGCCGCCGCCGAGACACUGGGCCGCCGCCCCUGCCCGCCGCCUCCCCUCCCGCCGGAAGGAAGGGUCUGCAAUUCCUUAUUUCUAUCAUCUCAUGCAAAACGAGGAGAAUGCAAGGCAAGGGCGAGAACAAUAAAAGGAACAAAUCCUUUUAGGAGGGAUUGCUGGUCUUCUUAAUCCUCUAUUGGGCACAAGAAAAAGGCUUUUUUGCCUUUUUCUUGUGUCGAUUCUUCUUGUAUUGUAUCGAAAUAUGAAUCUUUUUUCUUCCUAUUCGGCAAAGAUUACUAUUUCUUCUUUAUUUGGGUCUGUCUCUUGAACCUCUUUUGCUUAGGUUCAGGCGAUGUAGUGGACAAAAAGAGGGAAAGAAAAUAUGGCGGGGGACAAAUUUUUUGUGACCAAAUAGAAUUGCUUGACUUGUUCAAUUAAGUUCAAUUUAGAACUUACAGAAAUUUUGCAAAAAAAACGGAUACCACCUGCAAUUUUCUCGUCGCUGGUAGAGGGAGGGAGAGCGGAGGAGGAGAGAAUGAGAGAAGGCGCGCGGGCGAAAGAGAGAGGAUUAGUGCGAGAGAAAGAAACGAGGCGCGGUGGGCGGAAGAAACGAGGCGCGCGGCUCCCACCGCUUUCUCGACGUAUGCGGAUGCAAAAGUCACGGACUGUGACUUUUAGUCACUCACGGUGUGACUUUCAGGUCAUAUCCAUCCGUCCGUUCCUUUUUUUUUGACUAAAAAAAUUAAGGUUGCAAUUUGUUAUUAUGUGAAAUAACGAUAUCUAUAUCUAUCUACUCUAUACCUAAUUACAAAAUAAGUAAGGAUUCCGUAAAUUUGUUUUGUCUGUCGUUAUAUUAUUUUUUUUCUUCCACAACGCGGUUUUUUUAUCUGGUUUAUUUUCCGUCUGAUUGGUUUUCUCUCAGGUUUUUUCCGUUCAGCUUUUUUUUUGGCGCGUGGGUUUUUAUGGUUUGUUUUUUUCCCGUCCGAUUGGUUUUCUCUCAGUUUAGGGUUUAGGGUUUAGGGUUUUUUCCGUCCGAUUGUUUUGGAUCGAAAAAAAUAACUAACUGGCAACACAACAAAAAAACAUGUAUAUUAUUAAAAAAACAGAUCAACCAAAUCAAACGAAAAAAAUGAGCGACCCAGAAUAGACCUGAAAAAACCAUGUUUAUUAUUAAAAAACCAGAUCGGGCAAAAAAUACUCGGAAAAAACCAUGUGUAUUCUUAGUGGGUCACGAUUUUUUUGUUGUGUUUUUUUGGUGGGCCCUGUUUUUUCCAACGGCUGUUUUCGAUCAGUUUUUUCUUGUGCACACGGAAGGAUUGAAUCCCAAAUAGAGUUACCUAAUCUCUAUCUUUACCUAUUAUAAAAAUUGAAGAUGAUUUCAUACUCACCUUAAUUUUCAUCCGUCAUCUGUGUUAGACACGUAUAAAACCAAAUUGGACCGGAAAAAACAACCAACUGGAAACACAACCAAAAAACCAGAUCGAACAAAAAAAACCAUUGUAUUAUUAAAAAAAAUCAACCAUGUCUAUUAUUAGAAGAAAAACCAAAUCAAAUGGAAAAAAUGAGCGACCCGGAAUAGACAUGAAAAAACCAUGUUUAUUAUUAAAAAACUAGAUCGGGCAAAAAAAACUCGGCAAAAACCAUGUGUAUUGUUAUAAGAAAAACCGGAUCGGACCGGAAAAAAUGAGCGACCCAGAGGUCACCGUUGUCGUUUCUGUCUCUAUCAAUAAAAACAAUUUUGUUAGUCGCGUUCUGCUGUUCAGGUGUUCUUCGUUGCCAAUGUCCACCAUCAAUAGAUGACUCCAAUUGUUGGACACAUCCUACCACAGUCCGCACCACCGUUUGAUCGUCAGACUAUUCACGCUCAUCUUGAGUACUAUGAGAAUAUGAGUAUAUCAAUGUGCAAUGGUGGUUUUUAUCCAUCCUAAUUAUCAUUAAAAUUUAUAAUCAAUACCUAGCCUAAGAAACAAUUAAUCCGUAGCGAAGCACUGGCAUUUUGCUAGUGUGUGUGUGUGUAUAUAUAUAUAUAUAUAUAUAUAUAUAUAUAUAUAUAUAUAGAGUAUGUGUUCCAAUAGUAUCUACUACUAGAUAAACGCUUUUCUCUCCCGGUUCGCAACCCCUUUUACUCUCAGGUAGCGAACUGGGAGAAAGAAACUGGGACAAAAGAUGACAAUCUUUAGUCCCGGUUCAAAUACCCGGGAGUAAAUAUUCAUCUUUAGUGGCUGAGCCAUGUCCCAGUUGGUCCCCUUUUCUUUUUUUUUCAUUGUUUCUUUCCUACUUACAAGGUUAAUCCCUGUAUUUCUUCCCAAAUCGAGUAGGAUUCAUAUCCCAAAUCAAACCCCAAAUCCCCAAAUCAAAGUAACAUCCCAAAUCAUUCACAUCACAAAUCGUAAGUUACUUAUACAAACAAAUCAAGUACAUCACAAAUCCUUAAAAAAAAUUACACACAAAUCAAAUACAUCACAGAUUAUACAUCUCAGAUCCAUGUAAUGAAUCACAAAUUCUAAAAAGAGAAAUUAUACAUCUCAGUGAAUCACAUAUUAUCAAAAAAAAAGAAAAAAAAAGAAAAAAGGGGACAUCGACAAAGGAGAGGGCGACCGGCCGCCUCCAUGCAUGCGCGCCGGCCACCGCUUGCCACGGCCGGCCCCGCCGGCCGCUGCCGGGCUCUGGCCGGCCUGCCCCCCGCCGCCGACCGCUGGAUGGGAUAGGAGAGGGGAGAGGAGGAGGAGGAGGAAGGGGAGGGUGGACGAGGAGAGGGGAGUUGAGGAGGAAGGGGAUCUAAGGGGUAGAAGGAGAAGGGAUGAUCCAAUCUUAUCUAAAUAUCUUGGUGAGGAAUUUCUCGUGUGGGACUUAACCAAUUAGAGAUGGGAGAGAAAUAUUUACUCCCGGUUGAAGUUUCUAACCGGGACUAAAGAUGGAUUUUUAGUCCAGGUUGGUAAUACCAACCGGAAUUAAAGAUCUAAAUAAACUUUACUCCCGGUUGGUACUACCAACCGGGACUGAGGUGGUGAUUUUUAGCCCCGUCUGGUAGUAUCAACUAGGACUAAAGAUCCUUGGCCCCCUGACAUGCCUCUGACAGGGGAUGAACCGAGACUAAAAAUGAUCUUUAGUCUCGGUUGGUAACACCAACCGGGACUAAAGAUAAAAAAUCUUUAGUCCCGGUUGGAACGGGACUAUUGUGAAAAUCGGCCGACCCAGCAAAGAUCACUUCUCCAGUAGAGACCAUUUAUCUGCUUUAGGAUCCAUGUUACUGAUCAAAACAGCGUAUUAGAUAUGUUAGCGGGUUAAACCCGAUUAGAGAUGGAUGAUAUGUCAUCCCAAGAUCCAGCUUUCCAUUUUUACUAUACUAGCUGUUUCCAUAUAAGCUUGCAUGCAUCAACUUUCCAAAUGAAUAUUUGUCACGUCCCGAUAAAUUUAUCCCGAAAUAAAAUUCAUUCUCUAAAACGAAAAAUAGAAUUAAUUAAAAUUCGAAUGUGGCCCGGAGAAUUUUUGUUAAAUUCUCCUUGGUCUAAAAUGAGCCCUUAAAUUUUACUUGAAUUUUCAGAGCACCAGAAAUAAUUAUUAAGCAACAAAAACAAUUAUCAGAGUUUAUUAAAAAGAAAAACUAAAAAUAAACCCUCUCCUCCCUUUGGGCCAAGCGUCCCUCUCUCUCCCUCGGCCCGCGGCCGAAGUCCUUCUCAACUCCCUCUAUUUUUUCUUCUCUCUCUCUCUCUUGGGCCGCCCUCCUUCCCCUUGGCCCAGCUCCCUUCCCCUCCCCCUCCCUCCCGGCCCACUCCCUCCUCCUCCCUCUCUCCCCCGGGCUGCCUCUCCCUCCUCUCCUCCUGGGCCAGCCGCCCGGCCCAAUCCGCGCCCCCCCUGCUCGAGCCGCGCCCCUCACGCGCGUUGCACGCGAGCUGACGUCGCGCCCGCGUGGGGCCCACGCGGCGGUCGUCGUCUCCUUCCUCCAGCCGCCCGGCCUUCCCUCUCUUUCCCGAAAACUUAGCUCCUUUCCUCCCUCAAAUCCGUGCGAUUAAAUCAUGGGAUUCCAAAAUUGAUUAUAGCGAAUUAAUCCCCUUUCCCUCCUCUCUCUUUCCCCCACAAUUCCCCCUUGAUUCAUGCUUUUAAUCACCCGGAACGCCCGCGCCAAUCCCGGCCGCUUUCCAUGGCCACCGGCCGACUUUUCUGCCGCCGUUCUCACCUCUCCCGUGCCCGGCUCCCUCCCUCGGCGUCGCAGCAGCCGCCCCUACCGCCUCGCCCGCGCGCCGGUCGGCCGCGCCGUCUCCUCCCUCGGCGUCGCAGCAGCCUCCCCUCCACCGGCGUCGCCUUCGUUUCGCGCGGAAACCCCCGGAGGUGCGUCCCUGCCGGCAACAGUGGUGUUGCCGCCACUGCUCCGCCUCCAGCCGCCUUUGCCGCCUCGCCUUUGCACCGGCCGACGUCGCCACCACCUCCCUCGGCUCCGCUUCGCCGUCCUCAUCUCCGGCAUCACCUCCUCCUCGCCUGAAGCUCGCCGGAGUGGCCUCCUCGUCGGUGUCCAGUACCUCCCCGUCUCCGGCCGGCUCCUGUUCGUCGCCAGUACGCCGAUCGACGUCGCUGUCUCCUCUAUCGACGUCGCAACGUCGUCCUCUCCUCCGGCUGCUCCUCUGUUUCGCCGGAACGCCGUCGCCCGUGCCGGCCUCUCCAUCCUCCUCGUCGCCGACGUCCCUUCGGUCGGCCGCUCCUCCUCGCCGGCUCAUCACCCCGCUGCACCACCAUCGUCGGCAUCGCAGCGGCGUGUUCCACGCCGUCCUCGUCUCCGUGCAGCUACUGUCGGCUGCCCUCGUCGCCUCAUCGCCGGUCCCGGUCGUCGUCCUCAUCGUCGUGGCAUUCGUCCCUCCGUCAAGCCGAUCGCGUUCGUCGCCCGCGUUUCGUCUAGUGUGCUGCUGCAGCCCCGUCAUCGUCUUCGUCCUUGGCUCCGCGUCGUCAAGCCUUGUGUCGGCCGUGUCUCGCCUUCGUCCAAGGAUCGCCGCCGAAGUCGUUCCCUCGCCGUUCGCCUCCGUCGUCCCUGAGUCGUCUCCGCCGCGCCCGUUCUUCGUCGUCGUACCCACGCCUCGUCGUGUGGUGGUAAGGAUCUCUCCUUCACUGCUUCCGUCCUCGUCCUUUCGGUGUCGCCCCGUGCCCGUUGUGCGGCUGUCUACCCCGGUACCCGUGUACCGGUGUCGGUAGUCGUUCGUGUGUGCGUGUGGUGACCGUGUUUGUGUGCCCGCUCGGUAGCCGCGUGGUUUCCACGUGUGCAGCCCGCAUGGUGUCUAGUGGAGUCCGUUUGUCGGCCACCCGUCUCGGUUGACACACGGGGUCCGCUUCCGUCGACCCGUGGACCGUCUCUGUGUACCCGGUCUGCCGUGGUCCCUUAGGUUGACAUGUGCGGUCCGCAUGUCAACAGCGCAGCCUUCCUGUCUUUUCCAGGCUAGCGCUUACACAUGUUUUAUAGUUGCAAAGCCUAAUUACAAUAAUCCGUAAAUCUCCAUAUAACAACAUUAAACUUCGGAUGACCAUGUCUUGGUCAUACGAGCUCCGAAUCGACCUGUUCAAGUCUCCUAAUGUUUGUUAUAACCUAAAGAACCCUAUGCUUUCUUUUUAUGUAUUGUUAUUGUUUCUUUAUAGGCUUGUAGCUUUGCUUGUGUGCUUCGCAUAGCUUCUGUCGUUCCGGAGGUUCCCGAAGCGUGGUUCGUGGUCGUCGCCAAAGGUUCGGAAGGCUGUUCUCUCUGAGCAAGGCAAGUCACAUCAUCCUUGAGCAUAUUGAAUCCCAGUUUAUAAAAUUAUUUUGUUUUAAAUUAAUGCAUUACCGUUUUAUUUAAAUUCCCGCGUUAUCACUGUUUUAUUUAGCCAUGCCUAUUUACCUUGGUUAUGAUUUUAUUAUUAUUGCUAUUGUUAUUAUUACCUUGUUCACCCUAGGAUAAACAAAACCCCAACUAGUGUGUACUCUAUUCAUGGUUCCACUAGUAUGAAUUUAGGUAGAUGCUUCGCUGAUUAAUUAGGCAACAUUAGGUGGUUUUAUAACUUUAGACUUUGGGAAUUCUCAUAUCAUUUGGACAGUAUGGAAUGGUUGGCUUAUGUUGGAAUUGGACACACCUCCCCCUCUUUUCAAAACCCCCAAAACGGUUUUAGGCUGGGCUCGAGGUGCGUGGUUGGGUUUUGUUAGUCGUACCUCGGGUACUAUAAGGAUUAAGCUCAGGCCUCUGUUGCAAAGCACUACCGUACUUCCACAUGUCUAGUUGGUAAGGCAUAGUUUGUGGCUCAGUCUGGUCAUAAACAAAAGUACACGGAUGGAGAUGGACGAAGUCGGGGCUCGAUGGACAUCUCUAGGACAAAUGAAGGCUACACGAGCUGCGGCUCGGUAGUCGAGACGUCAUGGCACAGGGCCGGUGUUCUGCUGCUAGGGGCUCAAUCCUGCCUACCUGUCUCGGGGGUUCCGGCCGUAGGCGGGGUUGGGUCGGUACUCUUGUUUAUGGCUAGGAUGGGUUGGGAACUAUGUCACGUCUUUCGUCCGUAUGCCGUGGUGGUAUGUGGCACGUGGUUACGCGUGAGGAAGAUGUGUCUUGUGGGUAAAGAUGUACACCUAUAAUCAGAGUAUAAUCUAUUCGAAUAGCCACGCCCUCGGUUAUGGGCAAGCCUAGCAAUGUACCCAAGUUAGUGUUUUAAUUCUUAAAACCUGCUUAACAACUAAAAUAUGGAAUGGUUGGCCUGGGUUGGCUUGGGAUGAGCUGGGACCUGGGUCUGGUUGCCAGUUCGGUCUGAAUCAUCGUAGGCCUUGGGUUAAGGCAGGUUCGUAUGGGUUCACGGCCUUGAAUAAUAACAUUGUGUAGCUCUAGAAUCGUAUUUAUAAAAUAGCUUUGGGCAACUAAGUGACUUUUAAAUGCUGUUUACUGUAAAACUUAACCCCUAUUAUUAUCCCCUUGUACCCCCUUGCAUUAAUCAUGCAUCUGCCGGUGUGGCUUGCUGAGUACUGUGGUUGUACUCAUUCUUGCUCUAUCUUCCCCCCCUUUAGUAAGAGAAGCUUUGGAGAAGAAGUCUUAGGUGAAGUCCUGGCUUAUACCCCAGUUGAGCACCUGUGAAGAUGGAGACGUAGGCCCGCUAGUCCGCUGCUGUUUAUUUUUGUUUGUCAGGCCUGAAGUGCCUUUUUAAUAAUGUAAAUAUUAUCGAUAUAAUAAAGAUGUGUCUUUUAUAUCAUGUUUGUGUGGUGUACCCCGGCUUUUCCUGGGACGGGGAUUAAUACACUAGCGUUCUGGAAAAGGUAUUUUUCCGGGCGCGACAAUAUGAUUGUGAUUGCAUGAAUGUAAUUUAUUUCCAAAUUAUAUGUACAUAAUCAAACCCACUAAUUUCGAUGUAAUUGCUUUAUUUCCGUCCAUACUAAUUAAUACUUUCUAUGUCUUGUGUGUAUAUAUAUACGUGCAGCGAUGGCAUUCUAUUUUUUACACACUCCAGUUUCAUAUCUCUAUGCCGUUACACCGCUGGACGUCGACCGUAUACUCGAGUCGCUACCGGCCUAUCGUAUACCGAGCCGUUACCGCAAACUGAGUUAAGUCUACUGGUCGUGCCACAGCUGUACACUAGCCAUAAAUCGUUCGUUCGCACGAAGUAUAGUCCAAAGCCUAGUUCGUUCGGUCGUCCCGAGUUGCUCAUUAUUAAUAGAGUCAUUUUAAGCCACCGAUUUUGUUCGCCGGUUCGGUUGACCGUUUGAGUGGUCUCGUAUCACGGUGGGUUGACUCGUUGAGUUGAUAUCCCGCGAGGCUUGCUUACCAAAGUUAUAUUUCCAUUGAUCUAUUUUGUUUAAUAUGUAAUAAUUGACUAUGGUUUUCCGGUUAAUAGUAAUUACACAUCUCAUAUUCUAAAAUCUAUAUCCAAACAAUCUGAGCUCCGUUUUAACCCAUUCAAGUUUGUAGUGAAUUUGUUGAAAUGUCUAGAAUCCAUUAAAAUUGGUUUCUUUUGCUGUUUCAAUAGCCUUAUUGCUUGUAUUUCUUGUGUGCUUUGUUUGUCGUUUAGAUUCCGGCAGUUCCGACGCUCCAGUUUAUUUUGAAGUGGUUGUCGAGGUUCCGUCAGCUCAAGAGCAAGGCAAGUCAUACAUACAGCACUGAUCAUGUUGAACCUAUUUUAUAAAAUCCCCUGCUUUCUAUUAAAUAGCAGUAUUUUUGAACGUCAUGUGGGAUGGAUGUCUAUCGUACUCAGCCUGUUGAUAUCUCAUGCCAUUGAUAACUUGGGAUAUAAUUGAUUAGAUGAUUGGUUUAGGAAUGCUUAACCAUGCUUAGAUCAAUUAGUUCACAAUGGGAUUCAUAAUAAUUUAGUCCUUAAUUAUAUGAUGAUGUACCACCAUGGUUAUUGUUUAAUUAAACUAAAUAUGCUUAGAAGGUGGGUUGUGGGUGCAUGGUUUUGCUAGUCUUGCCCAUGACAAUUAAGGACCGGUUCUCGAGAAUCCCUGAAAGAUAUAAUCAUACUUACCACAGGCUAGCAUGGGCUCCAGGCUAAAUCUAGAGUAUAACUUAACUUAGCUAACAUACUACGGCAGUGAUAGAUGCGAUGGUGCCGUUCGGACCUGGCUUUGGUCUCUGUUGUUUCCGGAUUUACCUAGGCACGAGAGGGGACUGCCCGACUUGGCUAAAAAGGAGUAGGGCUGGACGAAAAGCUCGUGGCUCUUGUCUGGCUUGGCUCGGCUCGGCUCGUUUGAAUUUGCUACCGAGCCAACCUAAGGUUUUAGCUCGUUAGCUAUAAUGAGCCAGCUCGAGCUAGCUCGCGAGCUGCUCACAAGCUAAACAAGUCUAGCCCAAGUAGCCAUCUAUGACUCAUUUAGUGAAGGAGCCUGUUGACGGCCGUUAUCGACCAGUUUCGACCAUCAAUAUUACCCAAUGUGUGAAGACUAGCUAUUCUUGCAAUGCAUAAAUUCCAAAUAAAAUAUCUACUUCCACUAUAUACUAUGCUACUAACAUGUAUGCAGGAGAAGCACAUAUAAAUGGAGGAGAAUCGACAGAAAAUAGAAGAAUGAUCAAUCAGACGCUGUCGAGAAGUAGCCUUGUGGAUAGAUGGGCUGAUAAUACAGAAUUAACAUGAGUAAACAAGCCCAUAAUUCACAUCACUAGGCUGAGGAAUAAACGAGGAGUACACUUGCCAAGUUCUGGGCCAGAUGGACCAGACUAGGGUUCGGCCGAACCCCUAGGUUCUGCCGAACCAUGGCCCAGAAAUUCCACAGGCCGAUAGUUAUCGACAUCCAAUGGCGGUUAUGACCGUUUCUACCUGAAGCAACCGCCGUGGACACUUUUCACAAGGAGGGAGAAAGAUGCUCUUUGGAUGCUUCACCAUGCCACAUGUCAAGAGGAGAGCAAAAAUGCUCCUAGGAUGCUUGGAGCAUCUCCACACUCCCAAGGCACCUCUCCACCUAUAAAUACCCCUCCUCUCAUUCAUUCCCUCACACACCUCAAGAAGAAGAUCAAGAGCUCUCUCAAGUAUUGUUUAGUAGUUCUACAGAUAGUGGAGUAGGAAAUAGAAUUGUCUUCAUAGUCCUCGAGUUUUCAGGAGAUUUCGGGUAUGGCUUUAAUAGCUUUCCUCUCUUCUUUUGUGAGACUUAUUAAAUUAAUAGAAUAUUCUUCUUUAUACAAGUUCGGUAUUUUAUUCCAUUCAUAUUACUUGAGUGCUGACUUUACUUUAUACUCGUGUAACAAGCUUUCCAGAUAGGUGUAUUGAUGUGGGUUUAGUGUCCGAUUAUUCGGUUGCUCUAUGUCGGUUGCAAGGAUGUAGAGUAGUAUUUUACUAAUGUAAGCGCGGUGCUUAGAUUAUUAGGUACCACUAAUUGGGGUUAUAUACUGCGGAUGAGAGGUGGGCCGCUGAUGGUUACAGCUAAGUACGGGUAUUCCUCCGCGCCAGUAUAUAAUCCUAAGUUAAUUACUUGGGGAGGGUACUCCUCCGUAUUUAGCCCUGGUUGUAUGGUCAUGACGGGCUAGGGUGGCUUCUCGAAACACCAAGAGGACACUGGGUACGGGGUAUUGGUUGCAUGACUGUAUAAUAGCAAGUAUAGACUAAAGAUGUAUGUAUACUAGAAGUACAGGAAUGAUACUUUUCUUAUUCUUUCACCACUUAGCUUAGACUAUAUUUUAGAGUGAGUAUUUCUUAGUUCUUUCUUCUGUGUGUCACCCUACCCUUUGAACUGAGUUAACCCCUGCAUAGACUUUGAUGUAUAUAAGUAACAUAUAAACUAUUACCAUAGUACUCUCUUAUCAUAUCUUCCCUUGGGAUAAAAUAAAUACGAUACCUUGGAAUACUCCCGGGUGAAAUGCUACAAUGGUAUAUCCGUGCGCUUGCGGAUCACAUCUGUAACCAUAAUAUACCAUGAGUAUUUCUAGUGCUAUUGCUGGAAAUUAUAUUUCCAGUAGUGCCACUAAGAAAUACCAAACAAGCAUUUCUGGCGCCGUUGCCGGGGAAGAUAAAUGAUUAAGAGUUCACUACUUGCUAAUAAUUUUAUAUUUACCUCUAUAUAAGUCACUGUCCUUUGUAGGCAAACCUUGUUUGUUUUCUCUUUUAUGUGAAAACAGGGUAGUACAGGACUGGUUAUGAUCUGCCAACCAAAUUCAUAUCUAGAGUCACUGGUGAAGUGAAGCCGACCUCGUGUCGUUCAUCCUCAAGGUUACUCUAUCGGCAACCAGACCAGUCAAUUUCGCGCCACAAGAAUUGCAUGAUACGGCUGAGAAGACCCUUUGCAAGUUUGCUGCUCCCUCUGUUGGGUAACAUGCUAGAUGGAACCCACGUCAGUAUGGGAGAUGGUGCUUUGAUCUGAAAAUCUGCUUAGUCAAGAUGGCGCAGGCUUGCACAUUCUGUGGCAAGCCUAAGGAGGAUGCAAGUGCUUAUUUACAGCAAUUCCUGGAAAGCUGUAGCACGUAUACCGUCAAAGGAAUCAGACUCCAACUGUUGCCGCUCUCCCUCCUCGAGAGAGCAGAACAGUGGUUCUACAUCAACCGUGUAACAGUGAAUACCCGGAAUAAGCGCUCAACGGCAUUCCUCUCAAAAAUUUUCCCGAUGGGCAAGACCAACACUCCUCGUGGAAGAAUAUCUAGCUUUCAGCAGAUGAGGGAUGAAACCAUUCUUGAAGCUGGGGAAAUGCUGCAGGAGUACGUCACCACCCGUCCUCAUCAUGGGCGUCCAUCCUGCAGAAUUUCUUCAACGGAUUAACCCUCUCGUCCUGGGAUCACCUGGACGCUGCUGCUGAAGGAGCACCCUUCUCAAAGACGGUCAGUGAUGCCAACCAACCUGAUUGAGAAGAUGGUCUCAAAUAUUGGUUGGAGCAAGGAACGACUCCAAACCCGUCAACGCGGCAUGUACACCGUCGAAGGGAUGGAAAUGCUCGCCGCCCAGUUGGAUCUCCUUAUGAAGAGACUGGACAACAAUGAGAAGGACGCCAAGCAGAGUGCCGUUAAGGCUUUGGGCUCUCACAUAACAUGUGAGGUCUAUGGCAAAACCGGUCACUCUGGGACGGAUCGUCCGGAAACCCGUAAGAACGUCAUGCUCAUGAACAACAACAAUGGGUAUCGUCCACAAGGAGACCAAGGAUGGAGCAUUGCUCCAUAGGGUAGAUCAAGAACGGACCGAACCCACAAGGAGGUCAAAGUAAAACCCCGAAGGACGAAAAGCCUCAACACUUUCAUGAUGAACUUCCUGGAGCGGGAAGAAACGAGGAACCAUCAGUACCUUAAGCUGGCUUCCAAGAAGCCGGGAAUACAGGUCAGGUCAACCUGCGCUCCCAGUUUCAAAGAUGCCGCUGCCUGCACCUAAGACCAAGAAGGUAUGGCGGAUUAAGGAGAAGACACCCGUUCCUAUACCUUCUGAACUAGGUGCCUCAUCGAGCAAAAUGCGUUGGAGGUACGGUCGUGCUCGUCGGACCUGAAACGACGUCGCUCUUGCCAACAGAUAAAUUGGUAGUUAUCUCAUAUUUAUUUUCCAUUGCAUCAAAGCAUGUUUGAAUUUUCAAACGCACAUUGAGAUUUGAAUUUGAGGCGAUUUCUUCAAAUGAAUUUUUGUGAGAAAAAUAAAAUGCAAUUUUUGGCAAAAUUUAGCACAGCCACCUUCACACUAGUCGUUGGACCCCAAUGGCUGCUGAUUUUUGCAGGGUAGCGGCUAGCGGGGCCCACAUGCCAUUACUAGCCGUUAUCCAUGCACUAUAUAUGCAGCUCGGCUGGGAGAGGGAAGUCACACCACUUUAACUCAUUUUCACUCCCUCUCAAAACCUUGCAAGCUUGCCUCAAAUUCACACAAUUUGCUGUACUUAGUUUAAACACUUUGCAUAUACAAGUUUGCUUUAGUUCGAUGCAAGGUUAAUCGGCGGGUAUUUGCCUAACCCCCGUCCGAGUAGUCUUGUAUUCUUGCUCUUUGUUGUAGCUAUGAAGAAACGACUUUUGGGCAUAUUCAAGAGACAAUCAAGCUCACGGACAAGAAGACAUGAUAAGCCGAGUACACCUUCUUCCGCGGAUGCAUCCAUCGAGGAGGCGUACGUUCCACCAAGGCUGUACGACAACUCCGAUCUCGACCUCGUGGGCGACCGGGAAAUGCAAGCCUAUCAUAUGCUGAAAGACCGAACGUGUGCUCAGACCUGAGCAUACGACUCGACCUUCUGAAAAGGAUAGGUGUGGAUGCUGAGUUUCAUAUUGUUCAGCGUGCUAUAGGUUGGGAUAAAUUUGCAUGUGUAGAUGUGCCGGGUUCCCGUUUGCUUAACAUGCAGUUUUUAUGUACCUUGCUAGAGGUAGGUGAUGGGUUACCUUCCGGCUAUUCUGCAAGGAAUAUCAACUUUCUUGGAAGACCUUAGCUUGCAUCUAGGCUUUGACAAAACAUGCAAGGUUAAUUUCAGGAACACAUUUCCUGAUUUUAACAAGCGUAUGUUUUAGCAAAGUAUUUCGGGUCUCAUCCUGUAAAAAGCCUAGAACUAGUGACAUCCAUAAUCCUACCCUGGGGCUAUUGCAUAGGUUGCUUGGUUUUGUGUUGUUUCCUAGAGCUGAUAUCCGGAUAGGACGAACUUAUCCUCUUGUAUGCCAUGGUUAGAAAAAAAAUCAGAGUUUCACCUGUUCAACCCAUGAUCAAGCAAUGGUUAGAAAAUGUGAAGUUGUCUAGUCCUGUUGAGUGUAUUUAUUUGGUGACUCAUUUAGCAUGAGGAGUUGGGACUAUGCUUUAUAUGCAAGUAUCUUGUAUCCCUGCUACCCGCUCUUAUGUUGGUGAGGCCUACUUGGUUCAAUGCCACAUACUCAAACAUGGUCCAAAUGAUUCUCUUAUAUUUUUGUUUCCUGGCUAUACAAAUGAGAUUCCGUAACCUAUACGGGAGUUUCAUUUGUAUAACUACCAAGAACUAACCAUUUCUCUCCAAGCGGAGUUGCCUUGUGAUGUCCUAUGCAGGUAACAUGACGGAUGGCGAGAGAAGCACCUCAGGAGGCGUCUUCCUCUUCACCACCAGAGCAGAUGUAUUUAGACAGUUGGGACCCGACCGUGCAUGCCCUUGAUUGGACCCAAUUCAUGCAACAUGACACCGGAGGUUCGUCCUGGCAGAGUGCCAGCGACAGCCGGUGGCAUGAGCCAUAGGAGUUGCACUGGGGAUACUCACGCUCCUUCAGUCCAAGUGGUCAACUUCCAUCUUCUUGGAUGCAUUGCUCAGUCUCCUCUCGAGGGGGGUCUAGGAGAACUCAUCCGGGGGACGGAUACACUUGAACUGCAGGCAGUGAACGAGCAACACACCUUGGAGGAUCAUGUGGUACAGUCACGUGAAUGGUAGCACUCUGUUGGUGCACAGCUCGCAAACUUCAACACUAUGAUGCAACAACAACAAGUUGGCAAAAUUUUGCACGGCCACCACCACACUAGUCGUUGGAACCCAAUGGCUAAAUGUGGGGCCGGUUGGGUCCACCAGGGGUUCGGCCGAACCCCUGCAUGGCACUGGCUAGCUGCAAAUAUCUGUAGGGUAGCGGCUAGUGGGGCCCAUAUGCCAUUACUAGCCGUUAUCCAUGCACUAUAUAUGAAGCUCGGAUGGGAGAGGGAAGUCACACCACUCAUUCUCACUCCCUCUCAAAACCUUCCUCUCAAAAUUCAUUCAAAGUUUUGCAAGCUUGCCUCAAAUUCACACAAUUUGCUGCAUUUAGUUUAGACACUUUGCAUAUACAAGUUUGCUUUAGUUCAGUGCAAGGUUAAUCGGCGGGUAUUUGCUUAACCCCUGUCCGAGCAGUCUUGUAUUCUUGCUCUUUGCUGUAGCUAUGAAGAAAGACUUCCGGGCAUAUUCAAGAGACAAUCAAGCUCACGGACAAGCCAACACGAUAAGCCGAGUACACCUUCUUCAGCGGAUGCAUCCAUGGAGGAGGCGUACGUUCCACCGAGGCUGUACAACAACUCCGAUCUCGACCUCGUGGGUGACCGGGAAAUGCAAGCCUAUCAUAUGCUGAAAGACCGAACGUGUGCUCAGACCUAAGCAUACAACUCGACCUUCUGAAAAGGAUAGGUAUGGAUGCUGAGUUUCAUACUGUUUGGCGUGCUGUAGGAUGGGAUAAAUUUGCAUGGUAGAUGAGCUGGGUUCCUGUUUGCUUACCAUGCAGUUUUUAUGUACCUUGCUAGAGGUAGGCGAUGGUGUACUUCCCGGUUAUUCCGCAAGGAAUAUCACCUUUCUCGAAAAGACCUUAGCUUGCAUCUAGGCUUUGACAAAACAUGCAAAGUUAAUUCCGCAGGCCGGUAGUUAUCGACAUCCAAUGGAGGUUAUGACCGUUUCUACCUGAAGCAACCACCGUGGACACUUGUCACAAGGAGGGAGAAAGAUGCUCUUUGGAUGCUUCAUCAUGCCACAUGUCAAGAGGAGAGCAAAUAUGCUCCUUGGAUGCUUGGAGCAUCUCCACACUCCCAAGGCACCUCUCCACCUAUAAAUACCCCUCCUCUCAUUCAUUCCCUCACACACCUCAAGAAGAAGAUCAAGAGCUCUCUCAAGUAUUGUUUAGUAGUUCUAGUGCUAGUGGAGUAGGAAAUAGAAUAAUCUUCAUAGUCCUCGAGUCUUUAGGAGAUUUCGGGUAUGGCUUUAAUAGCUUUCCUCUCUUCUUUUGUAAGACUUAUUGAAUUAAUAGCAUAUUCUUCUUUAUACAAGUUCAGUAUUUUAUUCCAUUCAUAUUACUUGAGUGCCGACUUUACUUUAUACUUGAAUCAAUAUAGUCGUGUAACUAGCUUUCCAAAUAGGUGUAUUGGUGUGGGUUUAGUGUCCGAUUAUUCGGUUGCUCUGUGUCGGUUGCAAGGAUGUAGAGUAGUAUUUAGUAAUGUAAGCGCAGUGCUUAGAUUAUUAGAUACCAUUAAUUGGGGUUAUAUACUGCGGAUGAGAGGUGGGCCGCUGAUGGUGACAGCUCAGUACGGGUAUUCCUCCGCGCCGGUAUAUAAUCCUAAGUUAAUUCCCUAGGGAGGGUACUCCUCCGUAUUUAGCCCCAGUUGUAUGGUCAUGACGGCUGUCGUAAUGAACUCGGCAGUAAGGGGUGGCUUCUCGAAACACCAAGAGAACACUGGGUACGGGGUAUUGGUUGCAUGACUGUAUAAUAGCAAGUAUAGACUAAAAAUGUAUGUAUACUAGAAGUACAUGAAUGAUACUUUUCUUAUUCUUUCACCACUUAGCUUAGACUAUAUUUUAGAGAGAGUAGUUGUUAGUUCUUUCUUCUGUGUGUCACCCUACCCUUUGAACUGACUUUGAUGUAUAUAAGUAACGUAUAAACUAUUAGCAUAGUACUCUCUUAUCAUAUCUUCCCUUGGGAUAAAAUAAAUACGAUACCUUGGAAUACUCUCAGGUGAAAUGCUACAAUGGUAUAUCCGUGCGCUUGCGGAUCACAUCUGUAACCAUAAUAUACCAUGAGUAUUUCUAGUGCUAUUGCUGGGAAUUAUAUUUCCAGUAGUGUCGCUAAGAAAUACCAACAGAGCCCACGUAUGUAGCCAACGAGCCCAAGUGAAGUGGCUAAGCCCAUGAAGGAAAAAUGCAAAUAGCCCUGUAGCAUCUAGUCCUUUACUCAUUUACUUGUCUGAUGUCUCCAACUCUGGAUCGAAUCAAUUGAUUCCUUCUCUUCUCGUUCACCUAGUGACGCUGCUUCCUUGUUCUCGUUCCCCUCUUGCCGAUUCUCUCAUCUCGCGUUGCCAUUGAUUAUCAUAUCUUCUCGUAGUGCCGUUCUAGGCCCCCAACCAUCGACGCCUACCCUAUUCAGAUUCUCCUCGCCGUCUCCUUCACCGGCUUUGCCUCGCGGCACUCGACCUCUGCCACUCAACCUCUGCUUCGCCGGUUGAAGCACUGCCACACCACGCCAUCAUAUCCCCUCUGUCGGAUAUUCCUCGUGUGCUUUUUCCUCGUUGACCUAGCUAGCCUGUUGCCAGUAGCCUUCACUGGGCAACAAAGUCGUGGAGGUCGCGGUACCCCACCUCGUCGCCCCACGCAGCAGUCAUGGCUCCACCUCGUCACCUCACUAGCUUGGCUCACGAGCCAAACGUGCUAGCUCGAGCUUGCAGGCAAGCCGAGCCGAGAUGGGGUUCUAGCUCGUUAGGAUAACGAGCCAAGCUAGCUCGUUAUAGCUCGUUAUCCUAACGAGCUAGACUGAGCCGAGCUGAGCCGAGCCAGCUCGAUGUCCAUCCCUAAAAAGGAGGGGGUGAAACCUGAGGUGGGUAUGUUUGGUUAGGGAGGGUUAUAUAAAGGGUUUUUUCAUGAUUUCCCCCUUUGCAGUAUCGCGGUGGUACUUUGGGGCAUGGUAACAUAUGUAGAAUCGUGUCUUGUGAGUAAAGUUGUACUCCUCUGAUCAGAGUUAAAACUAUUCGAAUAGCCGAGCCUGCGGUUAUUGGGCGGUCAACCAGCUCACCGUGAUUAGUCUCAUUCUAGUUAAUAUGACAUAAUUAACUGGUGUAGUUAAGGUGGUUUGGUUGGGACUAUUGCAACGUGGUUUAGCGUUGAGCAGUGAUUUUUAAUAUUGCUUAAUUAUAAUUAUUGUUUUAUUGUAUUCACUUUAUGAUUUAUAAAUGCUGCUUUUGUUGCAAAUAUCCUAUAGCCUAUCCUUUGUGAAUAUCUUGCAUCAUACCUUGUUCCGGACAUUGAGGAUCCCUGUGGGUUAUGAAGGAAGCAACGUGUUUUGGUCGUGAAGAUUAAGUUUAGAUUAUUUGUUUAUUUCUAUAGCAUUUGUAAAAAUUAUUUAUUAUUUUUGUAAGACGUGGAUUUGUUUAUCAAAUUAUCGUUUGUGUACUCUAGCUGGUCCUGGACAGAGAUUUUAUUACACAUUCUACUUGGAGUUCAGGUAGGGAAUUUCUGGGCAUGACAUUAGCUGAGAAGGAAUUACUGGCGGCUAGCUUGCCAUCGGCUGUGUGGCCGAUGGCUGUGAACUUUUGGAAAUUUUCAUUGUCUUGAACAAUUGAGCCAGCCGUGGCGACUGUUAUCCCUAAUUUUGCGGACUUGCUCUGAUUUUGGGAAAUGGAAAGAGGAGAUCAAGUGGAUAAAUAACUCUCAACCAAUUUUAGGAGAUAAAAAAAGGCUCAACUGGAUUUUGAUAUAAGGGCACACAAGAAUUGUCAUACAAGGAUUGUCUUUCAAAGGUUCUAGACGCUGAGUGAGGCAGCCGGCCGUGCUAGCUUGGUCUACGACUCUAUUUGUGGACGGGAUAGAAGAGCGGCAGGCCGAGCGAAAAAAGGUAGGAAUAGACUGUGCUAGGACUGAAAAGGAAAAACUUAAUGGGCUUUUGGCUCAAAACCAAGAAAAAAUUUUGAUUAACUUUUUCAUUAUAGUGUAUAGCAAUCAUAAUAUUUCAAGUUAUUGCUCAGUUUAUAAUAGGUGUUGUUUCACUAUGAAAAAUACAUUUACCCGUUGCAAUUUUUUUCAGAGCGUGUACAUUCCCGUGUUUGUCUGCUCCGGCUCCACCCGAACUCCGGCGCCCAAUCCGCCGGCCUCGACGCCGGUUCGAUACCCCCGAUGUUAUCCUGUGGGCGGAGGACCUAAUCCUAUCUAUCCUGUUCCCCAACACCCAUGGCAACUAGCCACCUCACCUCUCGCUCCCUCCUCGUCCAAGCCCAGUACCCCAUCUCACGGCUCCCAUCCAACCUCCGCCUCUCCCUCUCCCACCACAAGCAACCAGCCGCCGUCGCCAAGCGCCGCCGAGCCCCCGCCCCCUCCCACCCGGCCUUCUCUUCGGUCAUCCGCGGCCGUCCCAAGAAAGUCCCCAUCCCGGAAAACGGCGAGCCAGCCGCCGGUGUCCGCGUCACUGAACGUGGCCUGGCCUAUCAUCUUGACGGCGCGCCCUUCGAGUUCCAGUACAGUUACACAGAGACGCCGCGCGCGCGCCCCGUCGCGCUCCGCGAGGCCCCGUUCCUGCCGUUCGGGCCUGAGGUAACGCCGCGCCCAUGGACCGGGAGGAAGCCGCUCCCCAAGAGCCGCAAGGAACUGCCUGAGUUCGACUCCUUCAUGCUCCCGCCGCCGGGCAAGAAGGGGGUGAAGCCCGUGCAGUCGCCGGGGCCAUUCCUUGCCGGCACGGAGCCGAGGUACCAAGCGGCGUCCAGGGAGGAGGUCCUCGGGGAGCCUCUCACAAAGGAGGAGGUCGACGAGCUCGUCAAGGCGACCCUCAAGACCAAGCGGCAGCUUAAUAUCGGUGAGUUGCAUCUGAUGCAGCAUCACUCAAUUGUACACAUGGAACAUCAACUAAUUCGACAGAUAAAUGUCUGCAAGAUUUGUUUCCCCCUUGGGCUCUGGUACCCUGUUAUGUCUGUCUGUGUUCUUUUGUUUUCUUUCCUAUAAAAGACUCGUGCUCUAUGUGUUUUGGCUUUCUUUACAAAGCCAGAUCAAUAAUAAAUAUUGAGUAAAUUUCACAAAACUACAGGUAUUUUUGCACAAUUUAUCAGAAAACUACAGAUUUAAGAGCUUUCGCAAAACUACAGAUUUAGUAUGUCCGUUUAUUGUACAAUCUAUCACAAAACUACAGAUUUAAGAACUUGUUUCACAAAACUAUAGAUUUAGUGUAUUCGUUUAUCACAAAACUACAUAUUUAGUGUCUUCAUUUAUCACAAAACGAUAAAUCUAGUGUCUCCAUUAUCACAAAACUACAGGUUUUAACAAGGAAGGGGAUGGAGAAAGAAAAAUAAGUAUAUUUUGUUAUUAUACUCACCGAUCACCGUGACAUUUAUCUCUUGAGUUUAGUUCUUAUCAUGUAGCCGCUUUGUCAGCCCUUUCUUGUAUUCCUAGUCAGUCUCUCAUUGCCAACUUUUGCAGGUAGAGAUGGUCUAACACACAAUAUGUUGGAGAACAUUCAUUCGCAUUGGAAGAGGAAGAGAGUGUGCAAGAUAAAAUGCAAAGGUGUAUGCACGGUUGAUAUGGAUAAUGUCUGCCAGCAGCUAGAGGUCAAAUUUUGCUACUUACCUCAGAAUUCUUAAAAUGCAUACGGUGUACUACUCAGUUAAAUUGGUGACUGUUUUAUUUUUUUUUUCUUUAUGGACCAAUGUUCUAGUAACUCAUCUGAAACUAAUAGAAUUUAGAAGUUGUCUUAGCUCUGGUUAUUCAUUAGUGAACUCCUUUCUGCUUGAACUUCUGUUUUCCAUUUCCAUAUCUGGGAGCACCUUAUCUGUGACUCUUCCCUGAUUACUUCAUAUCAUACAUGAGCAGGAGAAAGUUGGAGGAAAAGUAAUUCAUCAUCAGGGUGGUGUGAUAUUUCUCUUUCGUGGUAGAAACUACAAUUACAGAACUCGCCCAAUCUAUCCACUUAUGCUUUGGAAACCUGCUGCACCAGUGUACCCCCGCUUGGUUAAAAAGAUCCCAGACGGCUUAACUCCAGAUGAGGCAGAAGAUAUGCGCAAGAGAGGACGUCAGUUACCACCAAUUUGCAAACUCGGUAAGUCUCUUUGUUUCCAUGUAGUUGACUCCUUUAACUGCCUUUCAAAUUGUGGAAUCUGCAAAUUUCAUAGUUAAAAGAAUGAAAAAUAUAUGCGCUAGUUGCCAAAGUUUAUUUUUGAAAAUAUUAGUGCCUUUGCAGCCAAGAGUAAUGUCCAAAAUAGGAAGUACCUGAGGGAGGUUGAUGUCGAACAUGAAACUACUACUUUUAUUUGUCAGAAACACUUGAAAUGUGGAAUUACAGUUGAACCAAUGCUGCUUCUUUUGCUGAGUGUGGUACAUAUUGUCUAUCCACAUUAGCCCAUCUUCUUGCAUAGCACUGUUCCAUGUUUGUGCAGUUUGUUGUCAUUGUUUACAUUCCAUUUUUUUUAAAAAUUUUUAAAGGAAAAAAUGGUGUUUAUCUUAACCUCGUGAAGCAAGUUCGAGAAGCAUUUGAAGCAUGUGAUCUUGUCCGGGUUGAUUGCUCAGGUCUUAAUAAAAGUGAUUGCAGAAAGAUAGGAGCUAAACUUAAGGUUUGGUAAAUGCUCAGAAUAUUAUAUCGUUAUGUUAUUUUGUUCAAAACAUGAUUAAUUCUACCUUUGCAGGAUCUAGUUCCCUGUACCUUACUGUCUUUUGAGUUUGAACAUAUACUGAUGUGGAGAGGAAAUGAUUGGAAAUCAUCCCUUCCUCCAUUAGAAGAAAAUGAUUUUAAAGUGGCGAGCGACCAAAUUUUGAAUAGCAAAGAAGCAGGUUCUGGAAGUGCUCUGACCCCAAUUGAGCUGGUCAACAAUGCCACGUCUCUCAAGAAAUGCAACUUGAUUGAAGGUGCAGAAAAAUUGGAAGAUUCCAUGAAGUCUAGUUUUGAAAAUGGUAUGAUUUUGGGUUCUGCAUGUGGAAACCCUGGAGUAUGCAACUCUGAAGGUAUAGAUGGAACUGAGUCCUCAGCUGAUGCUCCAAUUGAAUUUUCUCCUUCAAAUUCAGCAAGGGAUUUAGAUCCAUCUCAAACAUCAACAUUGUAUUGCCAAAGCUCCCUAUUGGACAAGAGUGAAAAUGGAGAGCUCAUUGAGAUGUACCCUGACAGAUGUGGAAACUCGGAACAAUCUCCAGAUGUACCAGAAGCUUUAACUUGUCUAAUGGGCAGCAGUGAUGAGAUUCAUGAAUUGGAAACUAUGAGGAGAAACUGCAAACAUUUAAACGGCAGCGAUGGUGUUAACAGUGAUUCCAUAGUCCCUUCCUACAUGGAAGGAAUUUUACUCCUUUUCAAACAAGCCAUUGACAGUGGCAUGGCACUCGUGCUGAAUGAAAAUGAGUUUGCUGAUGCCAAUUAUGUGUAUCAAAAGUCUGUUGCUUUUACAAAGACGGCUCCACGAUACCUGGUACUCCGGCAUACACCAAGGAAGUCCCAUGGUACCCAGAAGACUGAGCCAGCCAAGAAUGUAAGGAUAAAUAAGCAUCUUGAAGAACAUAAAGUAUCUGAUCAUGUCAAAAAGAAAGAAAUUGUCAUGGGAGGAUCAAGAAUGCAGAGAAAUGAUCACGCACGAGAAUUUCUAUCAGAUGUUGUUCCACAGGGUACCUUAAGAGUAGAUGAACUUGCUAAAUUACUGGCUUAAAGGUGAUCGGUCCUUUAUUAACCGAAGGUGUGUUGCGUUAUCAACCUUGAAUUAACGUGCAAAGUAUAUACAUGUACAUUGAUAUGGGACGUAUAAAACUUUUCGUCAAUUUGGUCAUGCUGUGUAACUGAUCACGCUUUCUGCAUUGAAAUGUUGGAAUGUAAUAAUAUGGAACGGCGAAGCAUUUUCAGACAAUGAGCUCUACCUAUAGUGUGAUCAUCUAGGUUGUGUCCGUUAGCUAUGGUUGGGAACCUUCCCACCUAGCACGCAAAACGGAUCAAUUCAUUAGUGCAUGAUUAAUCAAGUAUUUUAAAAUAUUUAAAAAAUGGAUUAAUGUAAAUUUUUAACCAACUUUUUUAUAGAAACUUUUUCUAAAAAACACACCAUUUAACAGUUUAGAUGUGCAUGUGAGGAAAAUGAGGACUUGAAGUUGGUAAAGUGUUCGAAAUAACCCUUUUCAAACCAUUGAUCCUAAGCAUAUGCCUGGAAGUUGAAGUAAGAUUUUAUAGAUGUAGCUUACUGUAAAAUCAAGAAGUUGAUUUAGAUUUUGUGAUGAAAAUAUUGGUUGUUUGCUGAUGAAAUUUUGGAGAUUUAUAGACGAUUGAUUUUGUGAAGUGAGAGUGUUCGGUUGACCCUGGCGAUCAGACCAGCCAAACCAAUGGUCUGACCGGUGGGAUCUUGACCGUUGUCGGUUUCAGGUUGUCUUAUUGGAUAUGGAUGUUUCCUUUAGGGAUUUGACUUUAAGAUGAUUUCUAUGCAUAUGGAUAUUGUUGUUAUACUAAUAUGAGUCAAGUUGGGACGAACUUGUGCUCGGAAUAUGGUUUCUUGGUUGUUUUACAUGUGCAGGUGUUGCUUGAGGCCUCGGGAGAGUAUUGCUGGUGAUAGAUUGGAGUUAACUUGGGAGAAGUUGAUGUCUAGGUAUCAACAGAUUAUAGGAUCAAGAUGUCGAUUAGAGGGGGGGUGGUGAAUAGACGAUUUAAAAAUGAAUGGCACCUAAUCAAAACUAACCUAAGUUGCUAGGCUUAGUGAGGGUUAAGUCUAAUUAAGCAACUAAGUUAUAUUUUACAAACCUAGGGUGAUAGUGGCUUAAGUAUAUCUCUAAGAAAGUAAAUCACACUCCUAAGUUAAGUUUAGCAAUCCUAGAGUGAUAUGAUCUCAAGUAUGUCUCUAGGAAUGUAAAUUGCACAACUGUAAAUGCGACAAAUAAAUGAGACAAGGAGACAAAAGAUUUUUUACCGAGGUUCGGAAAUUCGCCGAUUUCCUACUCCCUGUUGAGGCGAGCCCAACUCCACCGCUCAACUAGUAUUAGGUUUACUAACUUUUUGCAGAGAAUGAUUAUGAAGUAGAGGAGAAUCGACAUCAACUCGGACGAUAAAUCAAUCGGACGAUGUCGAGAACCAGACUUGUGUGUGAAUAGGCCAAGAACUCAGAAUUGACACGAUGAAUUAGGCCAAAAUUCACAAGUCUGCGGAGUGGAGCAAUAGAGGAGGCCACCAGCCGAAACUGGGCUGGAUUGGCUAGCCCCAGGUUCGGCCGAACCAAUCCUGGCACCGUUGGAUCCAGGUUUUGGCAUGGACGUCCAGGAUUGCAUCCCAAUGACGGUUGGAGGGCACUUCGGACAAUUCCCCUUCCACAACCGUCAUAACCACCUCUGUAUAAGGAGCUCACUCUCUUCACUUCAACACACACCUCAAGCAAUAGCUCUCUCAUUCCUCCCAAGUUUAGUUUAGUAGUAUCUAGCUGGUGUAAUAGAAAUAGAAUAUGAGUCAGGAGUCCGGAAGCCUUCAGAAGAGUUCGGGUAUGGCUCUAGCAGCUUUCCUUUCCUCUUUUGUAAGAUUUGUACUUUUAUUAGAAUACUCUUCUAUAUAUAUUUAUGGUAUUGAAAUACUUUCCGAGUAUAUGAGUAACUAUUAUACAUUAUGUUCUUGUUAUACUGAAUAUAAGGCUAACUUAUCUGGGAGAUGCUUUGGUGCGGGUAUAGUGUUUGCUUAUGCAAUUACUCUAUGUCAUGAUGAUGAUAUUAUAGUAGUAUCUAGUAGUUUAGACGUGGUGUCUAGAUUACGAGAUAUCAUUAUUUGGGGUUAUAUAUUGCGGAUGAGAGGUGGGCCACUGAUGGUGACAGCUCAGUACGGGUAUUCCUCUGCGCCUAUAUAUAAUCCUAAGUUAAUUUCCUGGGGAGGGUAUUCCUCCGUAUUUAACCCUGGUUGGAUGGUCAUGACAGGCUGCCGUAAGGAACUCGGCAGUCAAGCGUGGCUUCUCGAAGUACCAGGAGGGUAUCGGAUAGAGGGUAUUAGCUAGUAUAUCAGUUAACUAGAAUGUAUGUAUACUAUGUAUAUUAGAAGUAUAGGAAUAGAUUUCUUUUCUCUUUUUUUUUCCACCUAGCUUAGAUAAAUUAUUACCGAGGAUGAGUAGAAAUGCUUGUGUGUCACUCUACCCUUGGAUUAUCUUAACCCCUGCUUAGAAUAUGAUUAUCACAAGUAAUAUAUAAAUUAUUAGUUGAGUUCUCUCUACAUGAUCUUCCACGGGAUAAAAUAAAUACGAUACCCUUGAAAUACUCUCGGGUAAAAUGCUACAAUGGUAUAUCCGUGCGCUUGCGGAUGAACUCUGUAACCAUAAUAUACCAGGAGUGUUUCGGCGCCAUUGCUGGGAAUUAUAUUUCUAGUAAUGUCGUUAAGAAAUACCAACACCGGCCCACGGAGAGGAUUACCCAAGCCUCGAUCACUAGGGGUAGUUCUUCCUUCACUCCGAAGGUGGUGAACUCCAAACCACUCACAACCAGCGUCGGCCUUCCUCCGCAAUCUUCUCGGAGAGGUCACCGGGCAACUACUCCACAAGCCGUCUAAGAGGCGGCAACCUCCAUGAGUAACAAGCAAUGACGCGGCUCGGAGAUAGCUCUACAAUGGAAGCAAUGCACUUGACUCUUGGCUAGAACAACCUUCAACCACUACAACGGAUGAACACAAGCUCAAAUGAGUGUGGGAGAGGUGCAAGGGGUGUAUACAAUUGAAGUGGAUGCCAAGAGAGUCUCCUUGCUGCUGGUGGGGGAGUAUUUAUACUCCCACCCACCAAAACUAGCCGUUGGGGGGUGAAAUCCCCCAACUCUGUGUACUGCCAGUCUGACCGGAGUUGUGUGGCCGGUCAGACCGUGCUACUCUGCAACGGCUAGUUUUCUAGUUGUUGUAGGGCUGUCAUUGGGCCCCAUCGGCCUGGCCGGUCAGACCGCAGUUGGGUGGUAGACCGGCCUCGGCUCGGUCAGACCGCCCCUAGCUCGGUCUGACCGAAUGCGGCUCUGGCGGCUCUGGAUCGCCACCCCGAGAGCCACAGGGAGAGGUUCCCUAGGCCGGUCAGACCGGGGUUCACCCGCCGGUCAGACCGGCUGACCUACGCCGGUCAGACCGCCACUAGGUGGUCGGUCUGACCGGCCCUGGUCACACAGCAGGCACAACAGGAUAAUGAGAGCAAGCCAAAUCUAAAUGCAUAAUGACCUAAUGUGGAAAUUUAAAUCAUCUCUUUGCUAGGUCAUUACCCCUCUUAAUAGUACGGCAAAGCUAUAAAUAAACUAGCACAGUUUGAUUGCCCAAUACCUCGAUCAAUUUAGAAUUCAACUACUAGUUUACCGUCAUCUAUACUUUGCUUUGCGCCAUCAAUUUUUAGUCCAUCGAUAAUCAACCAUGCGCACACAUGAUGUGUACCUAACUCAAAACACAUAACUCGAUAGAACGGUUAGUCCACAAUUAGCGCUUGUCAUUAAUUACCAAAACUAACAACGGGGGCCUAGAUGCUUCAAUCUCCCCUUAUUUGGUAAUUGAUGACAAACACUUCAAACAUAUAUAAUCAAAUAUAAAGCACAUGGAUAUAUUUUUCAAUGUAUAGAAAAUACUCCCCCUAAACAUGUGCAUAUCAAUCUCAAAGAACAAAUUUGGAACAAAUGCACAUUUCAACAUAGUUCAACACAAAUACAACAUAUGAUGUGAACUUCACAUAUAGAUCAAUCAAUUGCAUAGGAUGGUCACAAAUAUAUCAAAAUCACAUCCACCAUCCAUCAUUGCACAAGUUCACAUCAAUAAACCAUCCAAAUCAUAAAAGUUCAUCCAUAGAUCAUCCAAGUCACAAAUUAUCCAAAGAGGGCUCACAAAUAAUAACCUAGGCUAUUACAUGACCACGGAGGGCCCAAAUCUCACAAGAGAGUUCAACAAACGAUAAAAACACACAAGAUAGAUAAUAUAGCCCAUUACAUAUAGAUAUAGCCCUCCCAACUUAGCCUAAUAGAUAUGAGGACUAACCUCACUACUUCUAGUCCCAACCCACCUAAGAUAGAUGAAUUUCUUCUCCCCCUUUGGCAUCAAGGACCAAAAAGCUUCAUUCUUGAGGAAUAGAGGGAGGAUGGGGUAUAGGAUAGUGAGACGAAGAGGAAGAAGGGUCACGGCAACGAGAAUACACAUAGGCAUGUGUGUUUUCCAUGGUAGUCAUACGCCGGUCCAAAGAAGUGACUUGAGAGGAUAUCCUGGCAACCUCAGAACGAAUGCCCCUCGCAUCCUCAUGCAUUGCCUCAGCCCUCAUGCUCGGUAGUUAGCCUUUGAAUGCUUUCACUUAAGCUAUUUAUAGCCCCAAGCACCGAGUUGAAAUAGUCCUGAGGAGGCAUGCCAAAGUAUGCAUAAGGAGGAGUGAAGUACUCAUUGAUACCUUGAGGAGGAGGAGGUGCUGAGCUUGAGAUUGCCCCAGGGUGGAAAGAAGGUUGCCUCAUCCUAGGAGUAUGGGGAGUGCCAAGCUGAAGACGAGGCUUAUAUUGCUUAUGCUUCUUUAGAUUGUUUCCAACACUCCCAAGCUGAGCUUGAAUCUACCUCAUAAUGUAGGGCGCAUGGUAAAUUCAUUGACUAAACGUGCCCUUGGAUAUUGCAAUCUCUUGCAUUAUGAGGUUCACCACAUCAAACUGACGACCCUGCAUGAUGGCAUCUAUCACAUGCCAAGCCACCCCCUUAAUAUCAUCAUUAUUCCCACAUCGAGGGAGAAUGGUGGCUCUCACAAUCCUGUUCACCACACUACGAAUAGUCAUCAACCCUGCAACUUUCCCAUGGGUGUGUCGCCUUCCAUCUUCAUAGAACUGUGAAAGAUAAUCAAUGGAGAGCGGGUUGUGAGUAUGCUCCUCAUGCAGAUCAUCACCAAAGUCAAAGCGGAUGUUGAGUAACCUCCGGAACUGCCUCCUAGAGAUAGAGUACUGGAGGGUGUGUGACAUCCACUUCAUCUCACUACAAUCACCGGCAACCCACGUUGUGGCAUAAAAUUGGCGGAUGAGCUCCUCAUCAUAGUCUUGUGCCAUAAUGACUAUGCAAUCUAUCCCCACAGCCCUGAAAAGGGCUUGCAAGCUUGUAAACUCUAGAGUCUCAUUUAUGUUCCGCCAUGAAAUCCACUUGUGCUUUGCAAAAGCCCUGCUCCUGUAGAGCUGCUCAUAAAUAGUCUUCUGGAAGGCCGUGUGAAAACGGGGAUCAGUGGUGUCUCUAGGCCUCUUGAACUGAUCAUGAUGCCUUAGGAUGGUGUACUGAGCGGAGUUCCUGAUGUUAACCACAAACUGAACAGAAGGAUCAAUUUCCAUCUCAUUUCCUUCUUCCUCAUCCUCCCCACUGCCACUGUCAUCACCAUCUCCACUUUCCUCUUCACCCUCUUCCCGUCCCUCAUUCACAUCUUGCUCUUCUUCCUCACUUGCUCAUAUUCCUCUCCGCUCGACUCCUCAUGCUCGCACUCGGGCUCUUGCACGGCCGCUUGAUGACCAUGGCGAGUGCGGGGAGGCAUUGCUGAAUCCAAAGAGCAAUAAAGGAAUAUGAGCAACAAAUUUAGAAAACACUCGGUUAGGCGGAAAGAAAUUUUGCACUGCCGGUCAGGGGCGGUCAGACCGGUGGCCAAUGGCCGGUCAGACCGCCCGUAGGGCUGACCAGACCGCCACUAACAAGUCCAAGCAAAAACUCUUUCACCACAACACAAAUGAUUCUAAAUAGGCUAGGAUAAUUUUGCACAGGGUAAGAUCGUGAAUCAACAAGGAUACGGUCUAUUUCAUCAAGAUUGGAACAAUGAGGGAAACUACCCUUAACCCUAUUUGAGAGUAAGCACAAAAGGGAGAGUGAUUUACCGGUUGAAAGGAGAUGGUUUGCACGAAGAACAACCCACUAAUUUGUGCAAAUCCAUAAGCACUUCUUCCUUCACCUAGAGUUCCAAUCCAUGGAUCAAAAACUCAAUAAAAAAACAAAAGAAUCCAUGGAAUAGAGAGCGGAAGAGCAGGAGAUUCACUUACGGUGUAACCGGAGUGAAAUCCACGGUCAAACCGAGGGGAUUUGGUGGAGGAGAGUGGCUAGGGUUUGAGAGAGGAGAGAGAGAUGAGUUUUUCGAGUUGGGGAUGAGUGGGGAAGAGAAGAGAAGGGGUAGGUGCAGGAUGGAGAAGAAGAAGAAGGGCAAAACUACCUGGGCCCACCUCAGCCGGUCAGACCGGCCCUAUGUGGUCGGUCAGACCGCCUCACCUGGUGUCACGUCUAGAAAUUUAGCCCAUAUUUCCAGACUAUUUUGUGUAUUAAAUCCCUGUCCAGGACCAGGACCAGCUAGGGUACACAAAACAAUAAAUUAAUAUACAGACCCAAAUGUAAAUAAAGCGUAAAAUACUUACAGAAGAGGCACUUAGUCCUCACACCGAAAGAGAACGACAGCAGCAGAAAAGGCGAUCCUAGCGGGGCUUCAGCUCCACUCCACAGGCAAAACUGAACUAGGGUUUGAGCCUUGGUCCUCUAACUUCAUCUUCAACUCAGAAGCACUACACUUCUGAAAAGGGGGAACAACAGCAAGACUGAGUACAACCACCGUACUCAGCAAGCCACACCAUUGAUGCAGACGUGCAAGGGGAUUCAAAAAUGGCUUGUGGCUAUUUGCAUAAAGGCAGUUGUAAAACAUUUUGUUGAGCAAAACAGUAAAACUGCUGAUUAAUUAAGGUAACAUUAAAUCUCUAUUGAUCAACACUACACCACGUUGAACAGGCCCAACCAACCCAUCUGAACUACAGUGCAUUGGGUCGAUUUAUUAAGUGUGAGACUAAUCACGGUGAAUCUGGUCGACCGCCCAUAACCGUGGGCACAGCUAUUCAAAUAGUUUUACUCUGAUCAGAGGUGUACAACUUUACCCACAAGACACAGCCCCACAACACGUUCCCGUGCGCCGACAUGCCACCAUGACAUACUGGAAAGAGGCCGUGAUAGGACCCUUCGCAUAACCCCCUCUAACCAAUCGCACCACACCUCAGGUUUCACCUCCACUCCUCGCAAGGCAUCGGGCAGUCCCCUCUCGUGCCUAGGUGAAUCCGGAAGCGACAAAGGCCGUUGCAGGGCCCAUCCCGCUCCAUCAUGCCCACCCUUGCCUGGAUACGUCGGCUAGAGGAAAGCUACACUACAAACCCAGCCGUUGCCCACGCUGGCUUGUGGUAAGUACGAUAAGUUCUUCCAGGGCAUCCCGCGAACCAGUCCUUAAUUGCCAUGGGUGUGACUAGCAAAACCAUGCACCCACAGCCCACCAUUCAGUCGCAUUUUAGUUGGAUAAUUACGACCAAUGAAACAUGGCCAGGUGUCUCGAGCACGCAGCUCGUUCUGAUGCUAAAAAGGUCUAAUACUUCAAUUAUCCCAUCAACUGAGCUAGUGGUAAUUAAGCAUGGCUAAGCAUAUAGUUCUAGCUGGGUCACAUAAGUAACAAGAGCUAGUCGAUUUAUCACCCAAGGUUGACAAAGGACAAAUAUCAAGUAAACAUGGCACAAGUGAGCAGAUAGGUAAACCCGAUUCCCAUGUAAUUGGCAAAACAUGCAUAUUUAUUUGCAAACAGUAAAACAUUUGUAAAGUAGGCUCAACAUGCUCAAGGGGAAUGUGUGACUUGUUUUGCUUCUUCACUUGGAUCUUCCGAACUCUUAUCCUUGCGAUCGCGAUCUUCCGAAACGGCAUAAUCUACGUGCUGGCAUGCAAAAUGAGGAAAAACUCUAAUAAAAACCAAGGAAACGGUACAUAAAGAGUAAACAAACAUGUGGAUCUCAGUUUUAGAUGAAUUUUGCAAGUUGAAUGGCCCAAUUUGGAGUUCGAAUGAAUUAUAUAUGAAUUUUAGAAGUUUUGAGCCAUUUAAAUGGAUUUCUAUAAUUAUUAUUGAUUUAUUACGCAAUUAAUGAUUAUUUUUCACAAGGAAAAGGGGGUUGCUGACGUCAGCAAGGGGUGAGGCGUGGACCGCGUCCACAAAGGGGUGGACCCACACGUCAGCGGCACAAGGGCGCCGGUCCACCGUGGACCGGGACCACCGAGGCGGUCCACCACCGGUCCACGGGAAUCGACGGCCCGGAUCGGCCCAAGCCGAUCGGGCGGCCACGGGCGGCGCAACAAGGACACAGGCACGGCAUGAAGCUGGCCCGGGCGAGCCAUGGCACGGCAGCGGCACGGCCACCGGCGGCAACAGCCGACGACGCCGAACAGUGGCGAGCGGCCGGAAGACGGCGGCGUUCACGGGCAGCGGCAAUGCAAACGGAAGGGAAGGGGAGCGGGAGGAGGGGCUCACCGAGCGUGUGGGCCGACGAGGCGGAGCCGGAGGUGGCCAGCGAUGGGAAGAGGCGACGGUGCUCCUCAAGGAGGCGAAGCGGACGGUGCUCCGGCGGCCUUCCGCGAGCGGGAACUGGCGGACAGUGGCCGGAAGAACCUGGAGAAGAAGACAGGGGAUUUAGGGAGCGAGGAGGAGGCACGACGCCGAGGGAAAUGGCGGCCGAAAGCGGCAAGGAUCAGCGAAGCUCACCUUGGACGGAGGAAAGCGGUCUCCCGUGAUGAUUCGUGAGGAGGGAGGGGUGGACGGGCAGUGCAUGGUGACUGCGGUGCCGGGGAAGGCAACGACGCAGCGCGAGGUGGUCGGGAACGGCGUCGAGAGGCGGCCGGAGGCGGCUGCUAUGGUGGCGGUUUGGGUGGUGUGGUAGAGUGACGGUUCUAGCGGCGGAAUGGAGGAGCGGAGGGGAUGCCGGGGUACGAGACGACGCAGUGAAGCCGUCGGUGGCGGUUGCACGGAGCGGUGUCGGCCUGCUGGAGGGCGUCGACGGGCGGCGGAGCUCGGGCCCGCGCUGCGGCGGUGUUUCGGAGGCGGAGAGGGUAAAAGGAGUAGGGGCCGGGGUGCGGCACGGCACGGCGAUGCCAAUGGUGGUGGCGGCACAGCGUGGCGGCGUGCGGCUAGAAGCAUGGCGGCGAGCGGCGGAGCUCGGGCUCGCGUGGGAAGUGCGGGAGAAGGCACGACGGGCUCGGGAAAGUUGGGGAAAUGAGCGAGGGGAGUGCGGGAAGGAGUUUUAUGGGUGCGGGACAGCGGGAGGGGGCCGGGGCGAUGCGGAUUCGGGGCAGCAACCACCGGCGGCGUGGGGUGGUGACGUGGGCACGUGGCGGGGCAAACCAGCGCAGUUUUCUUGGGGGAAAAUUGGGGAAAUGGUGGAGGAGGUGGGGGGGUGCAGUUCCACCACUUGGGCUUGAGCAGGAAGGGCUGGGUGGUGCGGAUUUUGCGACGGAGUAGGCAGCAAUGGCGGCCACGGGCGGUUACUGGCGAGGUGGCUGGAGGAACGGGGAGGAGCUGACAGGUGGGGCCUCGGGUCCACCUGUCGGCGAGGGAAGGAGAGAGGAGGCCGGGGGGCUUAUGUGGACUUAGGGAGAGAUGGGGAGCAAGCGGGCCGAGCGGCCCAAAGAGGAGAGGGGAGGGAGGCUGCCGGGCUGGAGGGCAAAGAAGGAGGGAGAGGGAUUGGGCCGAGGGCGGCCCAAAAGGAAGGAGAGGGAAUUUUCUUUUUUUUCUUUUUAUUUAAUUGUUUAAAUGAACUUUGUGACUUUAAAAUUAUUUCUUGAGCUCCGAAAAUUCGUGGAAAAAUCCGGAGAGUACUUUAGGGCACAGAGAAUAUUGCAAAAUAUUUCUGGCCAAUGAUUUUUAUGGGAAAAUUUUAAGUCUACCAUUAUUUCACUUGAUUAAAUUGCUUUAACUUUUAUUUAAUUUAUAGAAAAUGAUUUAUUAAUUGAUUUUUAAUCCCGAACGAAAUCGAGGUGUUACAAAUCUACCCCCCUUACAGGAAUCAAGUCCUAAGAUUCGGGUAUGGUUAGAAAGAAAGCUGGGUGUAGGCGGUCUGAUCGAUCUGGCCGAUCUGCACACUGCAUUGAUCCCUUUUGUUUUAAACUGACUGAUGGACUGACCAACCAGCAUAACUUAACUGAACUGACUGGCAUCGACCAUUCUAUUCUUUUGCUCAAAACAACCGAACUGACUGGGAUUCGACCCUGGAGUUCUAUUGCUUCGCAAAACUUAAUUGAUUAGCUCUACUCGAUCUGACCCUGACCUGAAUCACGAGGGCUCAUGGAACUUCCUGUCCCUGUACUGAACUGCUAGCAUUAUCACCUUUUGGUAACCUGAGAGCUCACCAAGCAGACUAGAAAUUGGCAGAUCUUUCAUGAAAUCUUGUAUGUGAGCCUGCAUGAAUGACAGAUUCUAACUUUACUUUGACCUGCUCCUGACUACCAGAACUAUUCUAAGAGGCUGCUUGACCGGUCUUUCGUCUGAACUGCAACUGUACCUGAUGUUACUUCUCUGAUGUGAAUUGUUGUCCUGGCCUCACGGGUGUAUCUUAGAAUUCAAUCGGAUGACUUGAGAUCGGCAUGACUCUAUUGACACCUUGUAGCUGGCUUCUUCGAGUACUACCUAAAUUGUUGUACUGGGUUGAAUCUUUAAGGGAAAUGGCGACGAGGUGAACCAAAAUUCAUCUCUGCGACCUACCCCCCUUACAGAGAGUAGUCAUACUUUCGGGUGACCGGGAAUAAUUGAACUAUUGUCCUUCAAGAACAAUCGACACUUCUCGGAUUUACGAAUGGCCCUGACAUUGAAAACAGAAAACUUCAUCGAUCAAUCAAAAUAAAGCAAUGACGAUGCACUUUCAUCCAGGUCAAGGCUUGGAACUUAACCCUCAGUUGCUGAUAGGAAAUUCCACAUAAAGAAAUUCUCAUUUAGCUCUUGAUCUUACUAACUCUUGACUACUUCCCAAUCAGUUCUACUGCUGGCAUAUUUAGCAUGCUUCUGGCCUGACUUCGGUGUCAUAUGCUUGAACAGAUUGCAUAGUCGACAUUCUUUGAAACACAUACUGACCACUUAACAGAUCAAACUCAAGAGUCCUUCUCAUGACAUAACAUCACACGUCGAUUAUUCUUUUGCUGACUCUUCCUGUAUUGAUGAACUGUAAACCCUGCAACUGCUUUCCCAAAAAUAUUGUAAUCUGCACGGCUGCCAGAAACUGACUUUGAUGCUGUCGAGAGUUUCUGUUCUUUGAUCAUAACAACUUCGCUUUCAUAUCUUCGGUAAAGCUGAUCUGUCGAAAAGAGGUUCUCUGCCACACACCCUGCUGACUACACAUUUCUGAACCUGAUUCUUGGAUAUUUCUUGCCCAUGUAUGGAACAAUUUCUGCCAACUUCCGAGAAACAUCAUGAGGAUUUCUAGAAUUCGUAGUGGUUCCUUCGAACAUAUGGAGAACCAUCCAUGAUUCAUAAUCGUACCACUAGGGUGUAAUUGUUGCUUACCAUUCUCUAACAGUUUCCAAGGGUAGAGAGUUCCCAAGAUUCCUUGUAUGAUGUUACUUCUGAAUUUUUUUUUCAUUACUCCCUACACUUGAAUACCCUUGAUACUACCUUUAGAGAGAUUUCAUAGUGUCGAGCGCUAUGGAUCCAACCAUUGUCACUUCCUUGGUUAAUCCUUUCUUUACUCGCUCGCAAACAGGUUUUGGAGCACAACAAAAGUGCGAUGAGUUAGAAGGGAAACUCUUGGUUUCUUGUAACUUGCAGAUACACAUGUUAACUUGCUUUUGCAUACUCAAAGGUGAAAAGAAGAGAAACGCUUGACUCCUACUCUAUUCAAUAUUCCCUUUUCAACUAUAUCACUGGAUUGGAACUUCUAUGCACAAGGAAGGUAUUUGAACACCAAAGGCCUGUGCACAAUUGUUGACUCUUGCUGACAGAACUGCUGAUCAGUAGCACAUUUACCCAUUGUGAUUCUGACAUGGUUGACUUGUCCUUUUGUUGGUUACUAGCUGAAGCUCCCACAAGAACAAAACUUUGACUGAUGACGUUCCUAAGACAAACAUCAAUCCUCUUGGUAGCUAAAAGGAACGAGACCUUCUCACUAUCGGUGCAACUCUUCUGUUAAUUUCUUGCGAGACCUCUGAAUUGGAGCAGUAUGAGAUGCAUGGCUGAUGUUGACAACCACAUUGAAGUCUGAUGCUUGAGACAUUGAUUGCAGUCGCUGCUGAAGAAUUGAGCCGUCUCUCCGUAGCUAAAGUAGAUCACUGAUUUCCUGGCUUCGUCUGCUCUGCUGGUGCUGAUUCUGUAAUCUUGAAGUGAUUGCUAGAGAAACAAUAGAGACCUUGUCAGUGCACUUAAUGACAAUUCAUCAUGAUGGAAACUUUACACCCAAGUGACGGUUGGUAGUACUUCUCUUUCUAGGGUCUUUGGACUGGAUCUGACCACUUCAUACAGGAACUGAUGUAACUUGAGGAGACAAAGGAGUUUUAACCAUGUUGCUGACUUGAUGAGACUGACGCUUUGGCGCUGAACAACCUUUUGAGAGAUGAUAGGUCUUCCAACAAUUGGAAACAAUGGUGGACUAUCUUUCUUGGUCUCGAGAGUAGACCAUUACUGAGGUGGUGUCCCGGCUCAAAACGAUUGAGACACUUCUCACUUGAUGGAUCUUUGAUGUGCACUCUUCCCGCUGUGCAUGCUCCCAACUGAAACCAGAGUAGAGAACUCAUAACCUUGGUGACAAUGUUAUUACUAUCACUGUGGGUUGCCACUGCAGAUGGAGCUAGGGGAAGAACGGAACUAUUGCUACUGCUGUUACUGAGUGCCAUAAGUUGACGAACAGGUUGCAAAGUUGUCUUUUGGUCUCUCAUUGCCUUAGCUAGUACCAAACUCAAUUGAUUAUCCUUGAGCACAUGGUGCAUUCCCUCACACAAGAAUCGUGCAUCCUUUCUCUGCCAAAGACUGGACUGCAGUGUACCAUAGUUUUUGUAAGCAAGCUAACCUGGACAUUUCUUCUCUCCUGGGCACAGUGCCCUAUUGUCGGUCGUUUUGACAAAUAAGUCCAAUGGGUGAUUGAACACUUUGUAAGAAACUGCCCUUGUACACCAUAACCACCGUGGGUAGCACUUGCUGCUUCAGGGAUCGAUGGUGGCUUAGCUGUGCUGGUUUCCUCAGGACACGACUGUACACCGGCAGGGGUUGUAGGUGCUUCCAUUGGACAACAAUGGCGUUGACUCUGACUCCGACUCCGGGCUUGCACCUGAGCUUGUAUCUAUUGUUGGGGACACUGUCGUUGCAUCUACUGCAUUGGACUCUGCGGUGGCUGCAUCAAUCUAUGACACAUUGUUGGUAAUUCUUACGGUCACAGAUAAAAUCCGCAAGCGCACGGAUAUACCGAUGUAGCACUUCGCCUACGGAGUAUUCCAAUGGUAUCGAAUCCAAGGAAACGUGUGUGAUCAGAUCUUCCUCCGGUUAAUCCAAGGACACCAAGCAAAUGAUAGGCCAGGAUAUACAGGAUUUUCUAGUGAGAAACAGUGUCUAGGGAAAGCUUAACUUUAAUCCUAAUGCAAUACUUCAGGCACUGGCAAUCCGCUGUUCCCAGAUGUCGCUCUACUAUGCACCCGGACAGGAAGGACUUAAGUGAUCUUGAGGGUUGUCACCACCUCUACACCUACCUCAAACAGAGUGUGGGAUACGCAGCCAUUACUAUAUUGAAUAUUAUAUUGAAUUCAGAGUAAUAAACAGAGGAGAAGAUUACCGACAACUCCGGAAUUCUUCCGACUUCUUCUACUCUACUCUCUUCCUAUUCUAGUAUACAAUAUAGUACAAUAGAGCCUCUUAUAAUUCAGCUCAAGCUUGGAAGUGUGUGUGUGUGAAGUGAGGGAGUGAUGUCCUUUUAUAGGGCAGUUAUGACGGUUGUGAGAAGGGGAAAUGUCCGAAUUGUCCCGCAACCAUUAUUGGGAGAGCAUCUGGAGCGUCCACGCCAAACCCUAGGAUCAACGGUGAUCGGGGCGGUUUGGCCGAACCUGGGCUGGGCCCUCCUAGCCUAGCCUUCGGUCGGUGGACUCCCUAGACUCUCCUCUGUCUAUUUCUCGGAGUUUUGGGUUGAUUUACUGAUGUUUUGAUGAAGUUCACAACCCUUCCUUGUAUGGAUACAUAAUUCUCACUUUAGUCUAGAUUUCCUCCCAACAUCAGGGUUUAUCAUCUGCAUACAAAUAUACACCAACACUUGUGGAAUAUGUGAGAUUAAGCACCUAUCACUAUGUUGGAUGUUUUAUUAUCUAAACUUUAUGCAGAUGGGAUUUUUAUAAAUUUUCGCAAACAAGCUCUUUUCCUCAUGUUGACUUCCUCUCUUGUCUCUCAAGGAUGUAUAUUUUCUUUUUGGAUCCUCAAUCAAGGCAAAGUGUGCCAAAAUCUACCCUAUUCUAAGGCUGAUAUGUGGAGCUUGGUAGGGAUAAAUUGUGACAUACUUGCAUCAUAUAUAUAUUGUAAAGCUAAAAAUACGGACUCAAGAAGAUCAUCAAUCAUACUUCUAGAUCAAGAGUCUUUAUUUGUGGUGAAAAAAAAAUGGAAAAGUAAAAUCUUUUGUGGAAUAAUGGAAAUGAUUCUCCCCUUUUUCCUAUACUUCCUCCUCCCUUUUGUUUUCUUGGCAUGAAUAUGGAAGGGGCAUGGCUAUAUUUUCUUUCCAACUUUGCUCAAUGAUUUGGGAGCAAGCAUUUAUUUUCUUCUUCUUUUUUUUAUUUUUUUUUCAUAGUCAUGCCUUUCCUCCCCUUUUUUUUCAUUUUUCUUUUUGCCGAGAACUUUUUUAGGAGAAGAAAGCAUAGUCUAAUGUAGAAGUUUAUUCGAAUGGAAUUUUUGUGGAAAACCAACUUCCAGUUUAGAAGCUUAGCUUAAUUAUAUAUGUGGAGAAAUGGAAAUGGAAAUGACCCCUUGAUCAUGGGAGUACGAAAGAUAUCUCACACGAGUCACCUAAAUUUAACAAAGCUCAAUAUAAUGUCAAGCAGUCAUAUGCAUGAUAAGGUUCAUCAAAGAUAUACUUGCAUAUGGCCUUGGUAGGUAUAAAAUGAAGUCAAUUAGGAGGAUUGUGCUUUUUAAAAUGAUUUUAUUUUGUGAAAAAUAAUUUCCCAAGAGUCAUAACAAGAGUUACAAGAGUUCCCUUCAUCUUGAAUCAUCUCGCAUAAAGCAAUUACUUAGAUGCAUAAGGUUCCCUAAACAUGGAUGGUUGUUCAUAAGCACAAGUUCGGCUGAGAAUAAUGAAUAUACAAGAUCAAUCACAUGAAGAAUUUCAUUAGUUGGAAAUUUUAUCUUUCGCUUAUGCUUGAACCAAUUGUUUUCUGAAUUUUCAGCUCAAAUACUAUACCAUGGUGGAGAUAUACAGAUAAAAGACGUGCUCUCCUGCUUACCUGUGAAAACUGGGAGGUAUUGGGGCCAACACUGGUUCGGCCGAACUACUCUGGUGCCCAAUACCUCUGCAAUUUUUUGCAGAGUUCAGUGCCUUCCAGGUGUUUAGACAUUCAGUAAUUUUCAGAUUAUGUGCACGUCAGAAGCUGUGAUAUCUCCCCCAUACUUAUUAAACAUGAAACAAAACAAAUUUUGACAAACAUUGGGGUUAACACCAAUGAGCUACAUUAUUCAUAGCAAGUGCUUAUAUGAUUGGAAAAACAAAAACCAAGCACCUACUACUAUUUUACUCAUGGGAAAGGAAGCAUCUAGUUAGCAUAAUACUUAUUUUCCUUUCCCAUUUCUACGAUUGCGCGCUUGAUUUUAGCGCACAAACCGUGACUAAGGGUGUCGAAAUUAUUUCUAAUUUCAGCAAGCUUUAUCCCUAGCUCCGCGUUGCGAUCCCUAAUCUCUAUGUUCUCUUUGUGGAUUUUCUUCACUUGUGCGCGAGCAUAUGGAUCGAGGGCUCCGGCGACUUCACCUCAUCUUCUUGAUAUUGGCCGGGAGCCCUCACAAUUGGAGGGGGCGUCAAGUGAUGCUUAACCUUCAUAGGUGGAGGUCUACGGGAUUCUGCUGCCCCCUCCUUCUCCUAUGUCGUUAAAGGCCGGAGUAAACCCUUGCCAUACCCACCGCCGGGAGUUCGCACUCCCUGAAUGCAGAAUCGCUCCUCCUUCGGAGUGGAUGGAGUAGCGGUGGGUGUGACAUACUUAUGGAACACCUCAUUCCCUGCCUUGGUGAACAGGGUGCCCACAUAGCGCUCGGCGGGAGGCGGCGCGGCCUUCCCGUCAUCUUGAAAAAGGCAACGUGCCUUUAAAAGACCGAGCUCUCCCGUUGUCGGCCGACGCGCAGGCGAAUCCCCCCGAAAUUUUGUCUUUGUGACAUGGCGAGGGGAGAGGGAUCUUGCUACUGAACGGGGAGCCGAACGGGGCUGAGAAGGGUUCGGCCGAACCAGGGAGCUCGCCGACGGGCUCCAGAAUCGCAGGGGAGCCCGACACUGUUGCGAGGGGCUGCGCCCACAGUGCAUUCACCCCUUCCAUGGUGUAUUGCUCUACAGGGAUCAAUUGAUUCGCCGGUGUCGGCUCUCCGUCAAGGUUGUGUGUGGAGUUGGAGGAAGAGCCAAUGAAUGGGAUCAAAGAUUUGCCAGCCAUUGGUGAAUUAGAGGUGAUGGAGAACGGAAUUGAGAUGAGAAGAAGAGGAGGUUUGCAAAAGUGGGAGAGAGGAAGAAGAACAGGGUUCUGGGUCUGAUACGACUGAUCUACCUCCGAAUGCGCAUCACAACAUACUAUAGACAAGCGGGGGAGACUGAGGUUCAAAAUUGGGGCUGAUCGGGCGCCUGUCACACCCUGAAAAUCGCUAAGUUAUAAAUCGUUGUGAAAAAAGGAAUUUUUAGAAAUUAUUUAAUAAUUAAAGUAAUUGUGUGAAUAAAAUCUAUGAAAUUUUUGAAAGUUAAAUUGAUAUAGAUAAAAUUUUAUUAAAUACUUUGUGUGCCCAAGUAUUUUCAGGAUUUUUCUUGGAUUUAUUUGAGCAUUGGAAGUAUUUUUAAUAAAUGAAAGAUCAUUUCAGUAAUUAUUUAAAUUAAAAAGUUGAUUAAAAUUUCUCUUCUGUCCACUCCUCUCCUGUCUCUCUUCCUUAGCCCGCAGCAGCCCACUCUUCCUUUUUGUCUUACUUAGAUAAAGUCCAUUUUGGGUCCCUCUUGCAAUCAGGCCUAGUAAAGAAAAGGAAGCCCGAAAAGAAGUCUAUUUGACAGAGCCAGUUCAUCCCGAUACCGCGCCAAUCUCCACCGAAUCCGUCGCAUCCCGUGCUCUGUUUCCAAAAUUGGUUGCAAAAACGGAUUCCCCUCGAUCUCCUCUACCUUGUCCCUAAGAAACCCCUUUGAAUACCGUUGUAUAUCGCGUGAAUUCGAUGCGGUUUUGAGCUCCGUUUUUCCGGCGAACCCUAACUAAUCCGUCGCCGAUUCUUCCCGUAACCGAGCCGAUCUCUCCCUCUUCCGGCUAUAAAUAGCAGUCCCAAGACCUCCUCUUCCGUUUGCUCCUUUUUCCCGAAUUUUUCCCUAACCCUAGAGCCGCCGCCACGCUCGGCUUUGCUCUCCUAUGCUGGCCGCCGCUCCAGCCACGUCGCGCCGCCUCCUCGGUCGACCCCGACCUGCGCCGUCGCCUCCCUUGGCUUCGCAAGGGUGAGAGCUACCUCGGCCACUGGUUGUUUUGCGCCAAAUCCCACCAGAAGGUUGCCGUCGCCGUGAACCAGUGGGUUAUUGCCGUGGUUUGGUCUCCAGCCGUGUCGUUCGUCGUCGUCCAUCGUCGCUUUCGGACGCCGUUGCUUCCACUGGAUUCGCAGCUGUGAGGAGAAGCCCGUCCACCCCUCCGUUGCCGCCGCUUGUCGCCGGAAAGCCGUCGCCAUCGUCAACCAAGGUCGCCGCCCUUUGGAGCUCAUCGCCGGCCAUCUCCCUCGCCGUCUGUCGUCGCGUAAGUGGUGGUAAGGGCCGUGCUUAGAAAUAUUAGCUCAUUAAUGGGAUAAAUUAUGCUUCACUAUUACUUAUGGUUCUAUUAAAUGGUAGCUCACGAUGGGCAAUCGUGUUAUGAUAAUUAAUUGAUAAUUAAAAUAUGAUUAAUGGUGGGUUGUGAGCACAUGGUUUUGAAGGUUGUGCUCAUAACAAUUAAGGACCGGUUCGCGAGCUACUGUUGUGAAACAUUAACCGUGCCAACCACAAGCCAGCGUGGGCAACGGCUUUACCUUUUGUAUAGUAUGGUUCAUUACGGGGUGCCAGACUGAGAAGUGGUGGAGAUAAGCCCACGGGGGUCGCUGGGGAGUCCAUGCCUCUGGUUUUUGAGGGGGUGACUACGAUCCAGGAAAGAUGCACUGCUUUGAGUUGAGCUAUGCGAGAGGUCUUGUCACAACUACACAAAUGGUGACAUGUUCAGCAUGGGCACAUGAUGAUAUGGUGACAUAUUGUGGAGUUGUGUCUUGUGGGUACAGUGGUACACCUCUGGCUUGAGUAAAACUAUUCGAAUAGCCGUGCCCGCGGUCAUGGGCGGGUCUAACAAUGUCUUUCGUGAUUAGUCUCAUACUUCUUACCAUAAUAAAUGAUGCUAUAACUGGUAAUAAUUUGAUUAGCUCCUGGUUUGGAAUGGUGCAUUCCUGGUUUGGAGAUAGAUCUUUACAGCCGGGUAUGGUUGUUCAGGUUGGUUGGGCCUGUGCAGCAUGGGUGUGCUGUUCAGUGUUGAUUAAUAUUGAUGAUUAAUUACUCUAUUCUUUUACAAUUCUUAAAUGUUUGCUAAAUGCUGCUUUUGCAAAUGAGCCAUAUAUUUUGCCAUUGUUUGGUAUCCUUGUGCACCUGCAUAUUUGCUGUGUGGCUUGUCGAGUAUUCCAUGUACUCACCUUGCAAUAAUCAAUCAAACCUCGGUUGAAGACAAGUUGCGAAGGAGAAGACGUUUGGCUUAUACCCUAGUUGAGCUGCCUGUGGGAGUAGAGUCGGAGCUUCGCUAGACCGUAAUUCCGCUGUUGUUUUCUCUUUUCUUUUGUAAGUAUGUAACGUUAUUAUUAUGAUGAAUCUGUAUAUUAAAUUAUCGGUUUGUGUACCUCGGCUGAUUCCUGGACGAGGAUUUCAUGCACAAAUUAGUUCAGAAAUUACUAGUGAAUUUAUGGGCGUGACAAGUUGGUAUCAGAGCCAUCUCGACUGUAGGAUAAGUCAAAUGGUCAAACUUUAAGGAGGAAUUUUCCGAAAACAUGAUUUGUGAAAAUUUUCCUUUCUUCCUUCUCCAGAAUUCUCUGUAAAUCAUUUUAUCAUCCUCUCCCCUCCCGCUUUCAACUUGAGUAGUUCUGAAACUAGUUGUUUAAACUUGAAGACAUCGAUGUGGUCUUCUUAUGGAGAUUGAGUCAAGUGGAUCGAGGAAAAUGAAGUUGAUGGUCAAUCUGAAGUGCCCAAAUGUCAAGAUGGGAUCGUGCAUUAGAACCUAAACCACCAAAGUGACUCUAAAGAAUAGUUAGUAGGGUAGAACGUUUGUUGCUUGCUUCUUUGUAGGUAUUGUUGCAUUUCCCAUCAUUGGUGUUGUUCAGCGAUGAGCAUGUAACGAUACUAGGUUGCUUGUUUAAUCAACUUAAACAAUAUAAUGGUCUACAUACACCAGAUUAGUAUUAACCUGGUUAAGGUCUGUCUUUAGUGUAACCCCUCUCUUUCUAUCUUCUCUAAUCUGCAACAAAUGGUGAACAUUCGCGCCAGUGGAAGUGGGAACAAUAACAAUGAAGGGAACCCAACUCUUACUCAAGUUCUUGCUCAACAGACUCAGUUAAUGAACAUGAUGAUGCAGCAGAUGCAUAACCAGCUCAACCAAGGGUACAACAAUGCUCCACUACCCCGGAGCAAGCUAGCUGAUUUCCUUCGUGUGAGGCCACCUACCUUUUCUAAGAAGCAGGUGAUUGGCUGCACACUAUUGAGAAGAAGUUGAAAUUGCUCCAGUGCACUGAUCAGGAGAAAGUUGUAUUCGCUUCACAUCAGUUGCAAGGAUCUGCUUCAGAAUGGUGGGAUCACUUUCGGAUGAACAGAGCGGAAGGACAACCAAUCACUUGGGAAGAGUUUACCGAAGGAUUCAAGAAGACACACAUACCUGCAGGAGUGGUUGCUUUGAAGAAGCAUGAGUUCAGGGCAUUGAAGCAAAAGGAUCGUACCGUGAUAGAGUAUCUUCAUGAGUUCAACCGUCUAGCACGUUAUGCUCUAGAAGAUGUGCGUACUGACGAGAAAAGGCAGGAGAUGUUCUUGGAAGGCCUGAAGGAUGAACUGUCAGUUACGUUGAUCUCUCAUGACUAUGCUGAUUUUCAGCAGCUAGUUGACAAAGCAAUUCGAUUGGAAGAUAAGAAGACUAGGAUGGACAACCGUAAGAGAAGAAUGACUGUUUUCCAGGAGGCACAGGGUAGUAGCCAGAGGCAGCGUAUCAAGCCACUCCAAGUUGGUGAAUCAGGUCUGACAUCUCAAGAACAAUCGCAACAGAUGAACAUCGGUGGUGAGAUCAAUUCAGAGACUAAUGCAAGCAAUGAAGUUAAUAUCGAGCAAGCUACUCAGUCGGAGCCAGUUCAGCAGGAUCAGUCUCAAGAAGGUAAUAGUAGUGCAAGGGAGCAGCGGGUAUGUUUUAAUUGUUAUGAGCCAGGUCACUUCGCAAGAAAGUGUCCGAAGCCAAAGCAUCAGUAGCCGCAAGGUCAAGUCAACAACAUUGUCGUCACAGGAGCCAAUGCAGUGCCAGUUGCGUCUUCAAGUGUUACAGUUCAGCCACCAGUCUCAAAUCAGCAGUAGUUUUCUUUAAAGCCUUAGAAUAAUUAUCGGAGUUAUGGAAUAGGAUAGACUGUAGUUUAGCCGUUCCGAAUCACGGGACGAGAUUCUUUGUAAGGGGGGUAGAUUUGUUACAGCCUAAAUUUCCAUUUCAGGAUUUAUAAAUUGUUAAUAGAAAUUAUAUUAAAUGUUCAUUAAUUUACAAGUGAAGUUAAAUGUGGGAAAUAAAAUUUCCUAAGUAUAAAGCAUGGCUGGAUUUAAUUUUUAUUAAAUUCUCUAUGAUUAAUUAUACUCUCUGGAAUUUUCUCGAAUUUUCCAGUGCUCAAUUCCUAAAUUCUAAUAAUACAAAAAAUAUUUCAGUAAUUCGUUAAUCAUUAAAUUAAUCAAUUAAUGAUCUAAUUAUAAUUAUGUUAAAUGAUUUUCUUGUUUAAAAAUCCUUAAAUUAUAAAUUGUUGUUUAAAAGGAAUUAUUAGAAAUGAUCUUAAAAGCCUAAAAGAGAAUUUCUAAUUUUAAUUCUCUAAAUAUCAAAAUAAAAGUGGGCUAGAUAAAAUUUUAUUAAAUACUUCUCUCAUUUCUAUAGUUCCUAGAUUUUUCUGGGAUUUAUUUGAGCAAAGGAAGUAUUUUUAAUAAACGGAAUAUCAUUUCAUGAAUAAUUUAAAUAGAAAAAGGUUUUAAAUCUCUCUAUUGGCUUUGGGCCGAAAGUCGGUCCAAGUCUCUCUCUCCCCGGCCUGCGUGUGCUCGGCCCAGCCGGCCAAGUCCGCCACGCCCUCCCUUCUCUCUCUCAGCCGCUGAUAGGUGGGGCCCACCUGUCAGUCGUCUUCAACCUCCGGCCGCUCCUAGCCGCGUUGCAAGCCGCCGCCUCCUUCCAAAAUCCGGCCGCCACCUUCCUUCCCCGGCCAAAUCAAUUGAGGGGAAAUAAUCUCCUCGAUCUCCUCUUCCUUUUCUCUUUUGGAAACUUCGGCUAAUUUCGUUUGGAAACCGACGGAUUUGAGCUCGAUUCGGAUCGAUUUUUCUUCCUCCAACCAUAGCUUUCCUUCUCGGCGCCGAUCGCCGUGGGCCUCCAUCGACACACCUAGACCCCUAUAGAAGGACCUCCGGGACCUCCUCUCUGCAUCACCAUCUCCACCUUCGACUGCCGCCUUCUCUAGCGUCGCCUCCGCGUGGUUCUUUGUAUCGCCGCCGCCGGCGGGUCUCCAGUCGGUCCCGCUGUCGCUUCGGUCAUCGCCGUCGGUCGCCGUCUCCUUCAUCAGCAUCGCGAUGUCGUCGCCGUCCUCGUCCCGUCCUCCGUUUCCGCCGCAGAUCAUCGGAGCGCCGCCGGCACCGUCGACUCGAAGCUCUCCACCAUCAUCGUCGAUCCAGCCACACCGCGCCGCCGUCUCAGCCGCCGCCUUCGGUCGCUGUCGCCACCGUCGAGAUCGCAAGGAGGAGCCGCACCUUGUCCACCCCUUCGUUGCCGCCGUUUCCCGCCGGAGCACUGCCGUCACCACUGACUCGAAGACCGCCGCCGUCUCAGCCGCCGCCUUUGUUUGCCGUCGCCCAAGUGCUCGGUGAGUUCACUGUGCCGAUCCCUACCUGUUGGUGCCCUCCGUUUGUGCUGACGAGCAUAGUGUGCCGAGCCGCUGUCGGCGAUGACAUCAUCGCUGAUGUCAGCGCUUUGUCAGCCGUAGACCCGUGGUAGACCGGAUCGAUCUCGGCCGUCCGAUUCGGUCAAGUUUAGGUCAAUUAGAUCUUGGCCGUUGGUUCCGUGGACCGCUUCUGUGAACCCGGUUUACCGUGGACCGUCCUUGAUGACGCAAUAAAUCUCUUUUCCUUUUCAAAAAUAAUUCUUUAUUGCGCCAUAAUUCAAUUAAAAUCCAUAUAAAUGCUUUAAUGCGGUUUAUUCUUUAGAAAUUCAUAACUAAUACAUUGUAACUCGGUUUAAUGCGGUUCAAGUUGCAAAAGUUGUAUAAAAUAAAGAUCUAUAUAUUAAAAUUAUCAAUAAAUUGUGUUAAAUUUAUUCAAUCCUUUUUAAAUAGGCUUUAAUUAUAUUUAAUCUUGUAAAAUUGGUAAUUAAUUCUUAUGAAGUCAGAAUGAGGCCGUUCAAGUCUCAUAAUUGAUCAAAAAUUUUGAUCUACAUGUUUGUUUACUUUAUAUGUAUUGUUUAUUUGGUUUUUAUUAGUCUUUUUUCUCGUUUUGCGUGUUAGCUUGUCGUUUCCGUCGUUUUGAAGGAUCGUGAGUGCGUCGGAAGUAUUCAAGAAGAUUAAUUGAAGACCCUUUAUUGCAAGGCAAGUCACACAGAUCCCAAACACAAUUCCUUUGAGCAUGUUGAUCCUAUAUUUAAAUUCUCUAUUUAUUUCAACUGUACAUUUAUUUUCGAAUGUCACCGGCUGGUGUGAAACUAUUCCUUUGUUAUGGCCACUUUGCAUUGAUUACUCUAUCCUUUGAUACCUUGGAUUACAAUUUGACUAGUUGUACUUAUAUAAUGGUUCAACUAGAUGUAUUAGAUGUAAUUGCUUAGCCAUGCUUAGAAACAUUAGCACACAAUUGGGAUAACUAAUGUUUCACUAUUACUUAAUGAUGGAUAUUUAAUUGUAUCUCACGAUGGUUAAUAGUGAUUGGUUAAUUAAUUAAUUUGCCAACUAAAACUUGAUAAUGGUGGGAUGUGAGCACAUGGUUUUGAUAGUAGUGCUCAUGACAAUUAAGGACCGGUUCACGAGUUUCGGUUGUAAAACAUUAGCCGUGCCAACCACAAGCCAGAAUGCGCAACGGUUGGACACUUUGUAUAGCAAGGCUCAUUGUGGUGUGCCAGACUGAGAAGUGGCGGAGAUAAGCCCACGGGUGUCGCUGGGGAGUCCAUGCCUCUGGUUUUUGAGGGGGUGACUACGAUCCUGGAAAGGUGCGCUGCUUUCAGUUGAGCUAUGCGAGGGGUCUUUUCACAACUACACAAAUGGUGACAUGUUCAGCAUGGGCACAUGAUGAUAUGGUGACAUAUUGUGGAGUUGUGUCCUGUGGGUACAGUGGUACACCUCUGGCCAGAGUAAAACUAUUCGAAUAGCCGUGCCCGCGGUCAUGGGCGGGUCUAAUAAUGUCUUUCGUGAUUAGUCUCAUACUUCUCACCAUAAUAAAUGAUGCUAUAACUGGUAAUAAUUUGAUUAGCUCCUGGUUUGGAAUGGUGCAUUCCUGGUUUGGAGAUAGAUCUGUACAGCCGGGUAUGGUUGUUCAGGUUGGUUGGGCCUGUGCAGCAUGGGUGUGCUGUUCAGUGUUGAUUAAUAUUGAUGAUUAAUUACUCUAUUGUUUUACAAUUCUUAAAUGUUUGCUAAAUGCUGCUUUUGCAAAUGAGCCAUAUAUUAUGCCAUUGUUUGGUAUCCUUGUACACUUGCAUAUUUGUUGUGCGGCUUGCGGAGUAUUCCAUGUACUCACCUUGCAAUAAUCAAUCAAACCUCGGUUGAAGACAAGUUGCGAAGGAGAAGACGUUUGGCUUAUACCCUAGUUGAGCUGCCUGUGGGAGUGGAGCCGGAGCUUCGCUAGACCGUAAUUCCGCUGUUGUUUUCUCUUUUCUUUUGUAAGUAUGUAACAUUAUUAUUAUGAUGAAUCUGUAUAUUAAAUUGUCAGUUUGUGUACCUCGGCUGAUUCCUGGACGAGGAUUUCAUGCACAAAUUAGUUCGGAAAUUACUAGUGAAUUUCUGGGCACGAAGAUUCUAUUGUCUACAACGAACAAGAUCGCAUAAGUUAAAAAUGCAUCGGCUUGUAGUUGAUAAAAUUAACAGAAGGUGAGAAUUUUACCAGUGGGACAUCGUCAGGGAAAAGGUUUGUCAAAUACAUGGACGGUGAUUGAUGGAACAGGUGUUUUUUCCAUUCUAUCCACCAUCGGUCAAAGGCCAUGCUCCUGAAUGUCCUUAGUUUGAUGUUGUCAAUAUUGCCAAGAGGUGGUCCUGGUAGAUUCAGCAGCCAAUCCAUCAUAUGGAAUGAUGAAAUCUCUCCUCUACUUUGAAUCCUGUCGGCAAAGAAUAGGCUAAUUGGCAGUUGACCCAUGCCGAAUUGCCUUGCAGCGCUUGUUGGAUGAUAGAAUUCGUAGGUCAUCUGGAUAUUCUUAUCUUGAUAGAUGCCAACAGGGAUGAUACAGGGGCUGAUAGCUGUUGAGAAUACUUCUCUGGAUUUAUCAUAUUUUUCAGAGUUGAUUUCAUCGAAUCGAAAAUCACAUGUUAGUUCAAAGCUAGCAGAUCCUUCAUAUGCAAACCAGAUCCUAUCAUUCUUGGGGAACCCAUCAUAGAAAUUGUUGAACCACUCCUUGAAAGGUUCGGUCGAUAGCUUGGACACGGCGCUAACCGAUGCUGCUUCUCCGAAGGACAUACAUCAUCAGCAUGUGGUGCUUGUUUCUCCAUCGUCCCUGACGAUCGGCUCAAAUCUUGGGAAUUCUACAUUGGCUAGUGCUGGCUGAUUGGCAACUUUUCUGGUAUGAAGAUUCAGCCAAAUUUGGAGUAACCACGAUGGACCCCCUGUGCCGAUUGUUUUUCCAGAGGCUAUCUUGUCAAUUGCAGUAUUGAGGGUCUGAUACAAGUAGCCCAGCAGAUACUUGCCAAGGGGAAAAUGCUUCUUUUCUACCAGAUUUUCAUCUACCCGUUACCAGUUUGCGGUCGGACCAUAGGUUGGACCACAGAAUAAGAACUUUUCCAGCCACAUCAUAAGAAAAGCUGUGUUCAUGGCAACCGGCCCAGUCACAUCACUCUUGGGGUAACCGGCCUAGUUCCCAUCUUCUUGGCAACAUAACCUGACCAACCACCUAUGCUUCUGGUUUUGAACUCAUGGGUAAGUUAGGUGUUCAGGCUGGACAAGUUAGCUGAUGAAGUGAUAUCUAGACCUAGACCAGUGAUCAUGAUGAUAUCUAAUAGUAUUGGGGUCAUCGGUCCUUGAGAGAAAAGGAACGUGUUCAUGGCUGUGGACCAAAAAUAGGUGGAUGCUAUCAUCAUGGGUUCAUUCCUUGCCAUACUUGCUGCAGUUAAGGCCAAAGCUUGCGAUAUGUCGAUUUCGUCCCAGUGGGCUAAUUUGCUAGCCAACAUCCUCUUGUACCAGGCAAGCCAGCUGACUUCGGUUGAUGGCCAGGAUUUGAAGGUGCCUUUCCAAGGGCUAAGAUCUGGAUUGGCAAAUCUAAAGGGGAUUCGGUUGGUUUCUCCAUUGAUGAACUCUAUGGGGUCUAAGUUGCCGAUUGGGCCAAGGAAAAACUGGAAUUCAUCGGCUACGCUAGGAAUUGCAACCUGGUGGGUGAGAUGCUACAGAGGAGGAAAAUCGAGGAUUGAGCGAAAGAAGAACCAAAUCUAUGAGGAAAAGAAGGGAUUUAGCUGAUGGGUACUUACUUCGACGUAUUCGGUGGCCGAUGAGCUCGGUGGACUAGCGAAGGUUGACAUUGUCGUUGGCAGAGAUUGGAAUCGUCGGAAUCGUCUGCGGAUCGCCAGAAAGCUUGAAGGGUGUCGCCGGAGAACUCAAAGGAGAAUAUUGGGGAAAGUUUUUGGCUAGAGCGGUUAAAACGGAAGUGACGCCGUGAAACGAGAAGAGCGGUGGUUACUAUUUAAAAGGGAGCGCUGUAACGGCCAAAACGGAAUCGGUUUUUGAAACCCUAGAUCGGCUCGGAAAAGAAAUUUGAGAAAAUCCGCCACAUUACAAAUAAUUACAAAUAUAGCGGACUUGGGGGGCAUGUGUUGACGACCAAAUUUGGUAAGAUAUGAACCAGGUUCGACAUUGGAAUCGAGGCGGAUUCGGUAAAGAGAUAGAUUCGAAGAACAGAGUAUGCAUCGGCUGCAAAGGCAUCGGCUGGAGUCUGCAUCGGCUAAGAUGGAUCGGACAGAGGACAUCCGAUACAGCUGAUAGAGGUGAUGUAGCCGAUUCUGAUGACGAUGGUUUCAAGGAUUUUUCUAGAAACGAUCAAAGUGCUUCACGAGGAUUGCCACGAUAGAGAUAAAGCUCUUGGAUAGGAAAUUGUAUCUAUUAAUUAGGAUAUUUCAUGUAAUUUCCUUAGAGAUAUGUUUGGGCAAAAGUCUGCCGCAAAGACUUAUGGUAUUUUAGAGUUUGUUAGAGAUAAGUGUCGUGUCCGGCAGGGACAUAUUUUGUAAUCUCGGGUAUAAAUAGAACCCGAACCCAUGUAAUCAAUUAUCAGACGAUCAAUACACUUUCGGUGCAUCGCCACCCUUUUUACUUUUGUUCUAUUUCGACGAGUUCUUACUUUCGGGUUGAGCUUCAUCGAUUCGAUCUUCAACUAGAGGUAAACUUGUCAUGACGGCUUGCGUUAUCAGGAUUAGUGCUUCCAUCUUUAUGACACUCUAAUCCUGUUCAUGUAAUUCAUCGAGUUAUCAUAAAUAUAAUCUUUGUGAGCGUGCGGGCCGACGAGGCGGAGCCGGAGGUGGCUGGCGAUGGGUAGAGGCGGCGGCGCUCCUCGAGGAGGCGAAGCGGAUGGCGCUCCGGCGGCCUUCCGCGAGCGGGAACUCGCGGACAGCGGCCGGAAGAACCUGGAGAAGAAGACAGGGAGUUUAGGGAGCAAAGAACAGGCACGGCGCCGAGGGAAAUGUUAGCCGGAAGCGGCAAGGAUCGGCGAAGCUCACCUUGGACGGAGGGAAGCGGUCUCUCACGAUGAUUCGCGAGGAGGGAGGGCUGGACGGGCUACGCACGAUGACUGCGGUGCCGAGGAAGGCGACGACACAGCGCGAGGUGGUCGGGAACGGCGUCGAGAGGCGACUAGAGGUGGCUGCUAUGGUGGCGGUUCGGGUGGUGUGGUGGAGUGACGGUUCCAGCGGCGGAAUGGAGGAGCGGAGGGGAUGCCGGGGUACGACAUGACACAGCGAAGCCGUCGGUGGCGGUUGCGCGGAGCGGUGGUGGCGGGAGCAACGGUGGCGACCGGCUAGAGGGCGUCGACGGGCGGCGGAGCUCGGGCGCGCGUUGCGGCAGUGUUUCGGAGGCGGAGACGGGAAAAGGAGUAGGGGCCAGGGUGUGGCAUGGCACGGCGAUGCAAAUGGUGGUGGCGGCGUGGCGCGACGGCGUCUGGAGCGGCAGUGGCGUGCGGCUGGAAGCACGGCGGCGAGCGGCGGAGCUCGGGCUCGCGCGGGGAGAGCGGGAGAAGGCCCGAUGGGCUCAGGAAAGUUGGGGAAACGAGCGAGGGGAGUGUGGGGAGGAGUUUUAUGGGCGCGGGAGGGCGACAGUGGGCUGGGGCGAUGCGGAUUCGGGGCGGCAACCACCGGCGGUGUGGGGUGGCGACGUGGGCGCGUGGCGGGGCAAACCGGUGCCGUUUUCUUGGUGGAAAAUUGGUGAAAUGGUGGAGGAGGUGGUGGGGGUGCAGUUCCACCACUUGGGCGUGAGCGGGAGGGGCGGGGUGGUGCGGAUUUUGCGACGGAGUGGGCGACAAUGGCGGCCACGGGCGGUUGCUGGCGAGGUGGCUGGAGGAAGGGGGAGGAGCUGACAGGCGGGGCCUCGGGUCCACCUGUAGGCGAGGGAAGGAGAGAGGAGGUCGGGGGGCUUAUGUGGACUUAGGGAGAGAGGGGGAGCGAGCGGGCCGAGCGGCCCAAAGAGGAGAGGGGUGGGAGGCGGCCGGGCUGGAGGGGAAAGAAGGAGGGAGAGGGAUUGGGCCGAGGGCGGCCCAAAAGGAUGGAGAGGGAAUUUUAUUUGUUUUUUCUUUUUAUGUAAUUGGUUAAAUGAACUUUGUGACUUUAAAAUCAUUUCAUGAGCUCUGAAAAUUCGCGGAAAAAUCCGGAGAGUACUUUAGGGCACAGAGAAUAUUGCAAAAUAUUUCCGGCCAAUGAUUUUUAAGGGAAAAUUUUAAUUCUCCCAUUAUUCCACUUCAUUAAAUUGCUUUAACUUUUAUUUAAUUUAUAGAAAAUGAUUUAUUAAUUGAUUUUUAAUCCCGAACGAAAAUCGGGGCGUUACACCUGGCCAUUCAGACCGGGAUCAGACCGCCAGGCCCGCUGCCGGCUGUGCACAGCCCUUGCACAAGCCGGCAACCCCCACACAAUAAAAUCCAACAAAAAAAAUUUUUUUGGAGCAAUUUUGAAAUGUAUGAGUUGAAAUAUUUCUUAUCAUCCAUAAUAAUUGAAAAUUAUGAAGACUUGCAACUAAACUCACUUAAGUGCUAGGAGGUGACCUAUUAUGGUCUAUAGGGUUUUUUUGGCUAAACUGAUUUUCAAAUAACUUUUAAAUGAUUUGGUUUUUGAAAUAGAUUUGAAUACCAAAAACAUUUGAAACCUUCUCCUCUACCAACUUUGUUUAACACUUUUCUCAAAUUCCUCCUCAAACUCAUUUUGAAGAUAAAUCCCAUUUUGGCCAAAAAUAAAAAUCUAGUUUCUUCAAAAGAGGACCAAAAGGGCAUUUUCAUUGAAACUUCAUUUUUCUUGCAAUGUGAGGCUUGGAAAACAUAUGGGGAACCUUUUGAAAUAUUUUUCAAGAGAUAGUUUUCAAAUUACUUUGAUUUUGCAAAAGUUUUGACUUAUGUUGACUUCUAGUUUAUUUGCUCACACACAAAGAGAGUUAGAGCACAUGUAAGAGUGCAAAACUCCCCCUUAAUGUGACAUGCUCCAUUUUCGCAAAUAAGAGCCAAAUGACAAUAAAUCCAAAGCAUAAGCACAAAUAAGAGCAAAUAGGCAAAAUGAACAAGAAGCAACCAUCGUGCACAAUCUCAAGCCACAUUAGAGAAAUCAAUCACAUUUAACUCAUUCCUCAAUUUGCAAAAGUGGGUUUCAUCAAGAGGCUUGGUAAAGAUGUCAGCUAGUUGAUCCUCGGUUCUUAUGUGGCUAAUGACUAUGUCACUCUUGGCAACAUGAUCUCUUAGGAAGUGAUGGCGAAUGUCAAUAUGCUUGGUUCUAGAAUAUUGGACCGGAUUGUUGGCUAUCUUUAUGGCACUAUCAUUGUCACAUAGGAGUGGGGUUUUGGUGAAGGAUAUACCAUAGUCCAACAAGGUUUGUUUCAUCCAAAGCAAUUGGGCACAACAACUACCCAUCGAAACAUAUUCCACAUCGGCAGUAGAGAGGGCUACGGAGUUUUGUUUCUUGGAUGACCAUGACACAAUGGAUCUACCAAGUAUUUGGCAACUACCGGAUGUGCUCUUUCUAUCCACUUUGCAACCGGCAUAAUCCGAAUCGGAAUAGCCAACUAGCUUAAACUUAGUACCUUUUUGCUACCACAAGCCAAUAGUUGAGGAAUGCUUUAAAUAUGUUAGAAUCCUUUUCAUGGCCACUAAGUGACACUCGUUAGGAGCGGCUUGAAACCGUGCACACAUGUAAACACUAAACAUGAUAUCCGGCCUAGAUGCGGUAAGGUAAAGCAAGCUACCAAUCAUAGAACGAUAAAGCUUUAAAUCUACCGGUUUACCCCCCUCCUCCUCAUCAAGGUCGAGAUGCCCGUUGGUUGCCAUAGGUGUCUUGAUGGGCUUCGCAUCCUCCAAGCCAAACCUCUUGAGUAGAUCCUUGAUGUACUUGGUUUGGCUCAUGAACGUCCCGUCCUUGAGUUGUUUGAUUUGAAGUUCAAGAAAGAAGCUCAACUCUCCAAUCAUGGACAUCUCAAAUUCCCUAGACAUCAUAUCACCAGACUCCUUGCAAAAUACCUCAUUAGUAGAACCGAAUAUGAUAUCAUCAACAUAAAUUUGGCAACCAAAGAAAUCAUCACCAAUGAUUUUUGUGAAAAGGGUGGUGUCAACUUUUCCAAUUUUGAAAUUCUUUGACAAAAGAAAAUCUCUCAAUCUUUCAUAACAAGCUCUAGGAGCUUGUUUUAAACCAUAAAGAGCUUUUGAGAUUUUAUAAACAUGGUUAGGAUUUUUAGGGUCUUCAAAACCGGGUGAUUGUUCAACAAAGACAAGUUCGGCAAUUUCACCAUUUAGAAAAGCACUUUUCACAUCUAUUUGAAAAAGUUUUAUAUCAAAAUAUGAUGCAAAUGCAAGAAGGAUACGAAUGGGUUCAAGUCUUGCCAUGGGGGCAAAAGUUUCACCGAAAUCCAAGCCUUCAACUUGUGUGAAGCCUGGCGCCACCAAUCUUGCCUUGUUUCUCACCACCAACCCGUUCUCUCUUGCUUGUUCCUAAAGACCCACUUUGUCCCUAUGACAUUGUGGUCUCUAGGUCUUUCAACCAAAGUCCAUACCUUGUUUCUUGCAAAGUUGUUGAGCUUUUCAUGCAUAGCAUUUACCCAAUCCGGAUCACCAAGAGCUUCAUCUACAUGUUUUGGCUUAAGACAAGAAACAAACAAGUAAUGUUCACAAAUCGAAGCGACACGAGAUCGAGUUUGGACACCCUUACUAAUGUCACCCAAAACCUCGUAAAUUGGGUGAUCCUUGGAAAGAGCGGUGUGUAUCCUUGUUAGCAUAGGUGGAUCUUGUGCCUUCUCCUCCUCCACUUCAACUUGAGCUUUUCUUGGCAUAGCGGAAGUAGAUAACUCAUCUUGAGUGGAGGUAGAUGGCUUGUUUUCCACUUCAAUAGGCUUGACAUCUCCAAUAGACAUGUUCUUCAUAGCUCUUAUCAAGCCUUCAUCACCUACAUCAUCCAAAUUCCCGUGCCCCUCUUAGGAGCCAAUAGUCUCAUCAAAUUGAACAUCGGCGGUUUCUUACACAAUAACUUUGUUCUUGUUGUAGACCAGGUAUGCCUUGCUAUUGGAGGCAUAUCCUAGAAGAAACCCUUUUCAUCACACCGACUUUCAAAUUUGGUUAGUCUAACACCCUUUCGGUGUGAUGAAAAGGGUUUGGCCCCUUGAUGCUGGUGGGGGAGUACUCCCACCCACCAAAACUAGCCGUUGGGGGCGAAAUCCCCCAACUCUAUGUACUGCCGGUCUGACCGGAUGUGUGUGGCCGGUCAGACCAUGCUACUCUACAACGGCUAGUUUUCUAGCCGUUGUAGGCUGUCAUUGGGCCCCAUCGGCUUGGCCGGACAGACUGGAGUUGGGUGGCCGGUCAGACUGGCCUCGGCUCGGUCAGACCGCCCCCAGCUCGGUCUGACUGAAUGCGGCUCUAGAUCGCCACGCCGAGAGCACCACAGGGAGAGGUCCCCUUGGCUGGUCUGACCGGCAUUCACCCGUCGGUCAAAUCGGCCGACCUACGCCGGUCAGACCACCACUAGGCGGCCGGUCAGACCGGCCUUGGUCACACAGCAAGCACAACAGGAAAAUGAGACAAAGCCAAAUCUAAAUGCAUAAUAAUCUAAUGUGGCAAUUUAAAUCAUCUCUUUGCUAGGUCAUUACCCCUCUUAAUAGUACAGUAAAGCUAUAAAUAAACUAGCACAAAUUGAUUGACCAACACCUCGAUCGAUUUAGAACUCAACUACUAGUUUACCGUCAUCUAUACUUUGCUUUGCGCCAUCAAUUUUUAGUCCAUCGAUAAUUAUCCAUGCGCACACAUGAUGUGAACCUAACUCAAAACACAUAACUCGAUAGAACGGUUAGUCCACAAUUAGCGCUUGUCAUUAAUUACCAAAACUAACAACGGGGGCCUAGAUGCUUCAAAGAUCAUGCACGAUACUAAAAGGCUAGAGAACAAUGGACGUGGUGAUAAAGAAUCUAUAUAGUAUACUGUUGGCGGAUGUUAAAUGCUGAUUCUAUACCGCCAACAUCUGCAUAAAGUUUAGAUAAUAAAACAUCCAACAUAGUGAUAGGUGCUUAAUCUCACAUAUUCCACAAGUGUUGGUGUGUACAGUUGUAUGCAGAAGAUAAACCCUGAAGUUGGGAGGCAAAUCAGACUAAAGUGAGGAAAAUUAUGUAUCCAUACAAGGAGGGGUUGUUAACUUCAUCCAAACAUCAGUAAAUCAACCCAAAAACUCCGAGAAAUGGAUAGAGGAAGGUCCAUGGAGUCCACCGACCGAAGGCUAGGCCAGGAGGGCCCAGCCCAGGUUCGGCCGAACCCCCUUGAUCCUGGGGUUUGGCGUGGACGCUCUAGAUGUUCUCUUGCAGUUAAGGGAGUUCUUUUGAUGUGAACUUUGUUUAGCAAGCAUGGUGGAAUAAACUCAUUCAUAGCACAACAAUAAUAAUAUCAUAAAGAAUAUCACAGAGUUCCACAAAUAGCACAUAAAUCAUGAUGCAAUCGACUGCAUAAGUACGCAGCCCAAAUAGAGUUCAUCCAAAAGCUACAUCGAGCUAAUCAUCAAACUACUCGUCAAUCUAGGUGGGGGGUGUGUCUCGCGCUAUCCAAAAACCAUAUGAAGCGAGAGCGAAGUCGCAGUAGACCUCCAUUCUAGUCGUCCAACCAUCCGCAGGAUCCUUGCGCGGGAAGAGGGUAUCGCAUGCUCAUGCAAAUCUGAGUCCCCACGGCUCAGAGGUGGUGGCCUCCGGAUCUGGCUUGGGCUUCUUGCCCGGGGUCGUGUACUCUUGCGGGCAGUGCUGAGGGUGCGAGGGCGUCCAACUCACAGUUGCGGGGCAGUUCGGACAUUUCCCCUUCUCACAACCGUCAUAACUGCCCUAUAAAAGGACCUCACUUCAUUCACUCUCACACACACUUCCAAGAUUGAGCUGAAUUAUAAGAGGCUCUAUUGUACUAUAUUGUAUACUAGAAUAGGAAGAGAGUAUAGUAGAAGAAGUCGGAAGAAUUCCGGAGUUAUCGGUAAUCUUCUCCUCUGUUUAUUACUCUGAAUUCAAUAUAAUAUUAUCUUGUGAGAAUUAUCUCUUGGUUAGUUCCUAAAUAGCAUACGGGAUUAUUGUUCACUAUAAUCAACUAAAAUAUAGUGAUUGCUUUGGUUAGUUAUAAACACUAAAGUAGAUUCUAACUGCUUAGACGUGGUGUUUAGGUAAUUAUUAUCCAGUAAUUGCUGCGUAUCCCACAGUACGUUUGAAGUAGGUGUAGAGGUGGUGACAGCCCUCGAGAUCACUUAAAUCCUCCCAAUCCGGGUACGUAGUAGAACGACAUCUGGGAACAGCGGGUUGCCAGUGCCUGAAAUAUUGUGUUAGGAUUAAAGUUAAGCUUUCCCUAGACACUGUUUCUCACUAGUAAAUCCUCUCUAUCUUGGCCUAUCAUUUGCUUGGUGUCCUUGGAUAAACCGGAGGAAGAUCUGACCACACACGUUCCCUAGGAUUCGAUACCCUUGGAAUACUUCGUAGGGGAAGUGCUACAUCGGUAUAUCCGUGCGCUUGUGGAUUUUAUCUGUAACCGUAUUAAAUACCAACAUAUACAAGAGGGAUUGUGUACGUAUGGAAAGAGGAGUCAAAUUUAGGAUCCGAAUUCGGGAAGAUUAAUAGAGAUAAGGAAAGGAAUAAGUUGGAUACUUGCAAGAGAGUGUUUCCUACAUGGUUAGGAGUUCUAAGUUGUGUUAGAUUCGUGGGCUUUGCACAGCCUACCUCAUGUAUAAAUAGAGGGGGAGGGUGUGGCCUCCUGGUAUCGGUUUUAGAGAGACUUGAGUUGAGAGAAAAGUUAGGGUUUCGAGUUUAGUUCGAGAUUUUGUGAGGGCUGCUGUUGAUGCACUUUGUAAAUACUAGUUGAUGCAACAAAGUUAAAAGUUUCAAUGUACAUCUUUGAGUUUAUUAUCUACCGGUGUUUUCUAGGUCCCGACGGUCUAGCUGCAGUGUGCGCGCGGUUUGACAGGUGGGAGUGUAGCAGUCUGACCGCAGGUGUUUGGGCGGUCUGACCGGCAAGGUUUCGGUGGUUUGACCGGCGGCAGGUGGGUGUUUUGACCGGUGGCGACGAGCUUCGUCAUCUACUCCAUUCGAGGUAAAUCUUUUAUUCCGCAAAAGAUUUUAGGUUUUUGGUUUAUCCUACCAUUCAACCCCCCCCCCCAAAUCUGGUAGGUUUUUUUUGGUCUUAUUCGAUCCUAAACUUACGAUGUACAAUUUUUUUAUUUAUUGGCUUAUUGCUUUCCUUCACGUAUACCUUUCACUGUCCAUUUGUUAUACUCCUUCAAUUAAAAAUAUAACAACAUAGCGCAUUAUAGGUCGUAUUAUUAAGAUAGGUCAUUCAAUACUAGAUUAUUAUAUUAUAUCAAACAAAUAACUAAAAAUUAAGGAGCAAUUGCAUUCUUAACCUUACUUUCAAUUGUAAUUACAAUUUUACUUUUUUUUAGGGUUCAUGAUUUUGCCUUUUUUUUCAAAUCGAGGCUACAAUUUGCCGAGAAAACGGACGUUAUGCCACUCCCUAAACUGGGUUCGGAUGAAAUGCUACUCAAUACAAUGCACCGGAUAAAAUGCCACUCAAUAUAUUGCCUACCGAAUGAAAUACCACUUUGGAGAUUUUUGUACCCAAAAUGUAACUGUGGAGAGAGAGAGAGAGAGGGAGGAGAGCAUCGGGAGAGCCGGUCGGGCGGCGGCGGAGGCGGCCGGCGGUGACGACGGGAGGAGGAGGACGGGGCAGUGACGACGGAGGGAGGAGGAUAGGCCUCGCCGGGCGGCGGAAGGCGGUGACGGGGGGGAAGGGAGGGAAGAUAGGGCGGCGGGCGAGUCGCAGUGAGGACGAUGGGGCGGAGGAAGGAGGAGGCGACGACGUGUGGAAGGAGGACGGGGCGGUGAGAACGCCUGGGUGCCACCGUCGCCGCUCGCUCGCUCGCUCCUCACCGCCCCGUCUGUCACGACCGGAAUUGACCCAACGGGCGUUCCUUACGUGCGUGUAUUAUUCCUUGUCCCAGGAGGCAAGGUACACCAAAAGUUGAUACAUUUCAGAGUUUAUCAAGCGGAAGCGUAAAUAGUUAAUUUAUUACAUGGGCGGCGAAGGCCCAGCACACACAAAGACAAACGAGAAACAGCGGAAGACUAGGGCGACGACCGCAGGCGCUUGACGGCAGGCACGAGCUAGACACCAAAGCCUUCAUCUUCCAGGGGCUCCUCUUCUGGGUUUGGGAAAAAUUGAGCAAGACUGAGUACAACCACCGUACUCAACAAGACACACCCACAAGUGCAGGAUAAAUGCAAGGGAGUACAAGGGGGUUGUAAUAUAAAGGGUUAGGUUUUGCAGUAAACAGCAUUAAAAGACACUUAGUUGCUCAAAGCUAUUUUGUAAACACGAUUCCAGAGCUAUACAAUAUUAUUAAUCAAGGCCGUGAACCCACACGAACCUGCCUUAACCCAAGGCCUACGAUGAUUCAGACCGAACUGGCAACCCGACCCUGGGUCCCAGCUCGUCCCAAGCCAACCCAGGCCAACCAUUCCACAUUUUAGUUGUUAAGCAGGUUUUAAGAAUUAAAACACUAACUUGGGUACAUUGCUCGGCUUGCCCAUAACCGAGGGCGCGGCUAUUCGAAUAGAUUAUACUCUGAUCAGAGGUGUACAUCUUUACCCACAAGACACAUCUUCCUCACGUGUAACCACGUGCCGCAUACCACCACGGUAUACGGACGGAAGACGUGACAUAGUUUCCAACCCAUCCUAGCCAUAGACAAGAGUACCGACCCAACCCCACCUACGGCCGGAACCCCCGGGACAGGUAGGCAGGACUGAGCCCCUAGCAGCAGGACACCGGCCCUGUGCCAUGACAUCUUGGCUACCAGGCCGUAGCUCGUGUAGCCUUCAUUUGUCCUAGAGAUGUCCAUCGACCCCCGACUUCGUCCAUCUCCAUCCGUGUACUUUUGUUUAUAACCAGACUGAGCCACAAACUAAACCUUACCCACUAGACAUGUGGAAGUACGGUAGCGCUUUGCAACAGAGGCCCGAAGACCGGUCCUUAUAUGGCCGAGGUGCUACUAUCAAAACCAUGCACCCCGAGCCCAGCCUAAAACCAUUUUGAGGGUUUUGAAUAGAGGGGGAGGUGUGAAUCCAAUUCCACAAUGAUCCAACAAUUCCAUAGUGUCCAGGUGAUGAGAAUAUUCCCAAAGUGUAGAGUUGUAAAACCACCUAAUGUUGCCUAAUUAACCAGCGAAGCAUCUACCUAAAUUCAUACUAGUGGUACCAUGAGUAGAGUGUCCACUAGUUGGGGUUUUGUUUAUUCUAGGGUGAACAAGGAAAUAAUAACAAUAACAAUAAUAAGGUCAUAACAAAGGUAAAUAGGCAUGGCUAGAUAAAACAGUGAUAACGCUGGAAUUUAAAUAAAGCGAUAAUGCAAUAAUUUAAAUCAAAAUAAUUUUAUAAACUGGGAUUCAAUAUGUUCAAGGAUGAUGUGACUUGCCUUGCUCGCUUUCCCAACCGUCGGCUUCAACUUCCACGAAGAGCGGAUCUUCCGAAGCUGCAGCGUCUACACGAUCAAUGGAAAAGAAAAGGCUUUUACUCUAAUAAACUCCAUAUAACAAGCAGGAACAAAGCACAAAAAUGGGUUCUUGACUUCUUAAGGAAAAAUUAGAGACUUGAACGGUCCAAUUCCGAGUUCAAACGGCCAAGUUAUGACCAUUUGAAGUUUAUAUGCUCUUUAAAUGAAUAUUUGCGAAUUUCUUCAUUUAAAUUUUAAUUUUAAAAGGGUUUAUUGCAUCAGCCGAGGGGAGGGGGCGAGCGGACCGGGUCCACGGGAGUGGGACCCACGCGGCAGCCUCACGAUCCACGGUGGACCGGGUGCACCCGGGCUCACACCGGCCGGCGCCGUGGGCCCCACGCGUCAGCCACACCCGAGGGCGCGAGCGGCUGACGGCCAGGCCCCACGCGGAAGCCGCUCGGUGCGCCCGAAGGCGGCCACGGCGGCGCGGCCGGCGGGAGGCGGCGCGCCCGCGCCCCUAUGGUCGCCGGCGGCGGCCAUAGGCACGGCGGAGCGGCGGCCGAGAGAAGGGAGGGAAAGGGGGAAAUGAGGCGGCGGUCCACGGCUCACCCUAGGUCGACGGCGACGACGAAAAGGCGGCCGGAGCGGAGGAAGGCGGCGGCGCGGUUCGGGUCGACGGGGACGGCGGCGCUCCGGCGGUCGACGAGCGAAACGGAGGGGUGGACGAGGUCGGCGAGGAUGCGGCGAAGCCGAAGGAGGCGGUGCCGAGGUGGGAGGUGGUCCGGGGCGACAACGACGGUGGACCGGAGCUCGGCGGCGACGGCGGAGAGAGAGAGCGACGGCGCGAGCUCGAUUCCGGCGAGGAGGAAGGGCGGCGAGAGGCGGAAACGGACGGAGGAGGUGCAGGGAGGGUUUAUAUAGGGUUGGAAGGGGGAGAGAGCGGCCGGCGGGGAAGGAAUAGGUGCGGGAGGUCCGGCCGCCAUCAAUGGCGCCGGCGAGAUUUGCGGGGGCAAAUCCGCCCGUUUGAAUGCGAGGGAGAGAGGGAAAAAUGGGGGGAAAGGGAGAGGGAAUCACGGGGAAUAAUUCCCCCCUAUUGAUUGCACGCGGGGAGGACGGGGACGGCGGGAUUCGCGGCGGCCGCGGCGCUAGGGCGCGGGCGAGGCGGCGGGAGGAAGGGGAUGAUGGGUGGGCCCCACCCGUCAGCGAGGGUGGCGGGCGGGCCCGCCCGUCAGCGGCGCGCGCGCGGGGAGAGGCCGGAUGGGCCGCGGGGAGAGGAGAGGGAGGGGGAAGGAGAUGGGCCGAGCCGGCCCAAGAGGGAGAGGGAGGAAAGGGGACUUUUUAGAGUUUUUCUUUUUAUAAAAUCAUUUUAACUUUGUUUAUUUCUUAAUAAUUAUUAUUUGUGUUCUGAAAAUUCCACUAAAAUUUAUUUACGCAUUUUAGGCUUUUAGGAAAUAUACAAAAAUCCUCCAAGCCUUAUUUGACUUUUAACUUUGCACAUUUUAAUUGUUGGAGGCUUUCACACGGAUUUUAAUUAUUCUAGGCAUAAUUUAGAGGAUGUAUUUUAGAGUCGUUUUGGGACGUGACAAACCUACCCCUCUUAAACGGAAUCUCGACCCCGAGAUUCGGAAGAACUGCCGAAGAGAUUGGGAUGGGCUGCCUUCAGCUCGUCUUCACGCUCCCAUGUAGCUUCUUCCUCGGCGUGGUUGCUCCAUUGGACCUUGCAAAAACGGAUUACCCAGUUCCUGGUCCUGCGCUCCAUGGUGUCCAGGAUUUUCACGGGCCUCUCCACGUAGGUCAAGUCUUCGCGAACUUCAAUUUGCUCUGAAUCGGCCUGCUCGGAUGGCACUCGAAGACAUUUCUUGAGUUGCGACACAUGGAACACAUCAUGCACGUUGCCCAAGGAGGCGGGCAGCUCCAACUGGUAAGCGACUUCCCCGCGUCGAGCAAUGAUACGGAAAGGACCCACAAACCGAGGUGCGAGCUUCCCUUUCGUCUGAAACAUGUGUACACCUCGCAAUGGCGUGACCCGAAGGUACACAAAAUCGUCCACUGCGAAUUCCAGGUUACGGCGUCGGUUAUCUGCAUAACUCUUCUGCCGGGACUGUGCCACCUUUAGAUUAUCCCGAAUGGUUCUGACUUUAGCUUCAGCCUCUCUCAGGAUAUCAGUCCCGAACACUUGGCUUUCCCCAACUUGGUCCCACAAUAGCGGUGUCCGGCAUUUGCGUCCAUACAACGCUUCAUAGGGUGCCAUUUAUAAGCUGGCUUGGUAGCUGUUAUUGUAGGAGAACUCGGCAUAGGGGAGACUCUUAUCCCAGGUCUUCCCGAAAUCUAGGACACAUGAGCGAAGCAUAUCUUCUAGGAUCUGAUUUAGACGCUCGGUCUGUCCAUCUGUCUGCGGGUGAUACGCGGUGCUGAAAUUUAAUCUGGUACCCAGCUCUUCUUGGAGCUUCUUCCAAAAGUGAGAGGUGAAUUGGCUUCCCCUAUCAGAUACAAUUUUCUUAGGAACGCCAUGGAGACUCACGAUUCUAGCGAAGUAGAGCUCGGCUAGUUUGUUCCCUCCAUAGGUGGUCUUCACAGGAAUAAACCGAGCUACCUUGGUUAGUCGGUCCACAACUACCCAUAUAGAAUCAUAUCCGCCUUGGGUUUUUGGAAGUCCGGUGAUGAAAUCCAUCCCAAUUUCAUCCCAUUUCCAUUCUGGUACUUGGAGAGGUUGGAGAAGUCCGGCCGGUCGUUGGUGCUCUGCCUUGACACGCUGGCACACAUCACAAAGGGCCACGAACUCUGCAAUUUCCCGCUUCAUACUAACCCACCAGUAUUUCCCUUUCAAGUCUAAGUACAUCUUCGUACUGCCAGGGUGAAUGGAAUAAGGACUUUCGUGAGCUUCCUGAAGUAUCAGCUGUUUAAGUUCCCUGUCGUCUGGAACGCAUAUCCGAUUUCCGUUCCAUAGGGUUCCGUGUUCAUCCUCUGUGAAACCAGCGGCUUUACCCUGUUUCAUAUUCUUGAGGAGUCCAUGCAUAUCCGGAUCAUUCUUCUGAGCCUCGCGGAUUUGAUCGAGCAAGGUGGGCUUGGCUUCCAGCGUAGCCAAGAAUCCACGACCAACUAUGCUUAGGUUCAAGGCUUCCAUCUGUUGAUUAAGUUCGGGUGGAAUGCCACGGACGUCAAGAGUGUUGCAAUGGCUUUUUCGACUUAGAGCGUCGGCGACCACGUUGGCCUUACCAGGAUGAUAGUGAAUUCCCACAUCAUAAUCCUUGAUGAGUUCUAACCAUCUCCUCUACCGAAGAUUCAGAUCCGACUGGGUGAAGAUGUAUUUCAAACUCUUAUGAUCAGUAUAUAUUUCACAGCGAUUCCCAAUGAGAUAGUGCCGCCAGAUUUUUAGAGCAUGAACUACCGCGGCUAACUCCAAAUCAUGGGUAGGGUAGUUGCCUUCAUGAGGCCGUAGCUGCCUUGAGGCAUAGGCCACCACAUGACCUUCCUGCAUGAGCACGCACCCCAAUCCUUGGCGCGAAGCGUCACAGUACACCAUGAAGUCCUUGCGAGUAUCCGGUCAGACUAAAACUGGCGAGGAAACCAACCUUUCCUUGAGAGUUUGGAAUGCCUUCUCGCAUUGCGGGCUCCACACAAAUUUCUCUUCUUUCUUCAACAACUGUGUCAUGGGUCGAGCGAUUUUGGAGAAGUUCUCGAUGAACCUCCGGUAGUAUCCUGCCAAACCCAAGAAGCUGCGAAUUUGAGUGACUGUCUUGGGUUGCUUCCAAUCAAUGACGGCGGUCACUGUUUCGGGGUCCACAGCGACUCCUUUAGCAGAUAUCACGUGCCCUAAGAAUUUGACUUCGGACAACCAAAACUCACACUUGCUAAGUUUGGCAUACAAUUGAUGUUCCCGCAACUUUCCCAACACCAGACGGAGAUGGUGCUGAUGGUCUUCCUCUGAUUGUGAGUACACCAGAAUGUCGUUAAUGAAAACCACAACAAACUUAUCCAGGUAUUCCAUGAACACUUUGUUCACUAAGUUCAUGAAGAAGGCAGGAGCAUUGGUUAAACCGAACGACAUCACCGUGAAUUCAUACAGUCCGUAUCGCGUGGUGAAUGCGGUCUUCGGGAUAUCUUCUUCACGAAUACGUAAUUGGUGAUAUCCGGAACGAAGAUCAAUCUUGGAGAAUACAGUGGCACCUUUAAGCUGAUCGAACAGAUCAUCGAUCCGGGGAAGAGGGUACUUGUUUUUGAUAGUAACUUCAUUGAGAGCUCUGUAGUCAACGCACAUCCUCUUUGUCUUGUCUUUCUUCUCCACAAAAAUCACAGGAGCACCCCAGGGGGAAGUACUCGGCCGUAUAUACCCCUUUUCUUUCAACUCUUCCAACUGUUUCUUGACUUCGGCCAGUUCAUUUGCUGCCAUACGGUAGGGUCGCUUGUACAGGGGAGUGGUUCCUGGAGCAAGAUCUAUCCGGAACUCAAUCUCUCGCUUCGGCAGCAUACCGGGUAGUUUUUCUGGAAACACGUCUCCGAACUCUCUGACGAUGGGGAUUUCUGACAGUCCUAUCUGAUGAAGUUCUGAACUACCGACAGAAGUUGGGGGUGCAAAGAAAACAACCGGUUGUUCCGGCCCUCGGUACAGAGUGACAGUGCGUCUUGCGCAAUCCACUACUCCUUGGAAUUGAGCCAACCAAUUCAUCCCAAGGAUCACAUCCAAGUUCUUGGUGUCUAGAAGAAUCAGAUCCGAGGGAAAAGGAAUUCCCUGGAUUUCUAUAGGAAUGGCAGGGCUAUAAUACUUUGCUGUCAUAACCCCUCCAGGGGUGGUGAUGAGCAGAGGGUUCCUAAGCCUUUCUAUCCCCAACCGAUUUCUCCCCACGAAUGGCACAGAUAUAAACGAGUGGGAAGCUCCAGAGUCGAACAAAAUGGUAGCAGGGAUGGAAUGAAUGAGGAACGUACCAACGAUGAUGUCUGGAGUUGUCAGCACGUCCUCGGCCGUCACGUGGUUCACACGUCCCCGAAUGACAUCCUUACCACCGUUGUUGGAGCGGGGAGGCGCUUGGCCUUGCUGGCGCCUCGGCUUUGGGCAUUUAUCCGCAAAGUGCCCAUGCUCGAAGCAGUUGAAGCACAGACGCUGCUGACCUUGAACGUCCCUGCGGCCUUGACCAGGCUGCACGGCUGGCGUAGGGGGACGGGGCGCACGAGUCCCUUGCUGACUCUGCUGUUGCUGCGGCUGUGGGAUGCGCACCACGAAUUGAGGUCGGGGCGCGGAGCGAGGUUGCUGCUGCUGUUGCUGCUGCGAGGAUGAUCCCCCUGGAUAGGGAUUGGUGUAGCGGACCCUUUGGUUAGCCCCCUGUUGAUUGCGGAAAUUCGCCAAGCGACGCUUGUGCGACUCCAGUUCCUUGUGCUUGGCUUCCAAGCGGAUGCUCUUGUCCACCAGACGUUGGAAAUCCGAGUAGUCCCCGGAGACCAGACGCACGGACAGCUCAGGAUCCAUUCCUGCCAAGAACUUCUCUUACUUCUCCUCAUCUUCACGAACAUCCUCCGGGGCGUACCAGGCCAGGUUGUUAAACUCAUGCAAAUACUCCAUCACGGAGCGGUUGCCUUGCUUCAACUCUCGGAAUUCCCUUUUCUUAAGGGCCAUGACUCCGGCGGGCACAUGGGUUCUCUGGAAAGCGGCGGUGAAGCGGGCCCAAGUAAUAGGUUGCCCCUCUAGCUGCGUAGCCUGGAAAUGGUUCCACCAUAGAGAUGCGGGCCCCUGCAGUUGGUGGGCGGCGAAGAUGACUUUCUCCUCAUCACUGCACUGCACGGUGUCUAACUUUUUCUCCACGGCAUGCAACCAAUCCAAUGCAUCCACGGGGUUAUUAGAGCUAGAGAAGGUAGGCGGACAGAUGCGGAGGAACUCGGCGAGUUUAGAGUGUUGUGGGGGUGGUGGUGGAGCAUUAUGUUGUGGCGGAUUUUGGAUGUGGUGGAGGAAAGCAGCCAUCAUGUUGGCCUACUGGGCGACGAUUUGGGUGAGGAUGGCGUUGGUGUCUGGUGGUGGUGGUGGAGGCGGAGAAGGAGGUGGAGGUGGGCUGACAUGGUUGUUGUGGUUGCUGCCUUCGGGGUGACUGCCUUCACCGGUAGCAGCACUUCUCCUGGUUGUCACCAUCUGAAAAUCCCACACAGAACCAGCAAACAGAGAGAGCUGACAAUUAAAACUAACCACCCACGACUACCAUAAUUCUUGAAUUUAUUACUGCUAUUAAAUUGGUUCAUUAAAGUUCAAGUUGCUUAAGCAAAUAAAAUAAAGACAGGCUCCGACACAGUUAUACCACACACCGGCAUAACCAUGCCCCAUACGACUCUAGCAGAAAAACAAAAAACGAGAAGAACACACGCGCAAGCCUACUAACUGCUCGUCUACUGCUGCGACGGGCCAGGGCGGAAGGUGAGCAACAGCGCAUCCUCCGUACUGCCAACGCCGGAGGCUCCAUCCUCCUGAGGAACCACGGGCGCGGGCUCGGCACGAGGGGUCUCGACGAAGCAGGUCCACGCCAGGGACUGACGAACAAGCUCGGGCCUGGAGGUACUCUUGCGGGCGGUGAUCUUCAGGCUGCGGCAGACGCGGCGACGCUUGGGGCGACAGACCUCUCCCUGGGCGAUCUUGAGCUGACGCAGCUGCGCCUCCACUGCGUCUAAGUCCUUCUUCAACUGCAGAUUCUCCUGACGCAGCUCCAGGAUCUUCAUGUUGUUCUUGACCAACCCGCGACGCACCAUCUGAUGGAAGUCGAUACGGGCCGCGUCGUAUGCCUCCACUGAUGCAGCAACGGGGGUUCCCGAUCUUUCGAUGAGAGGAGGAUAAACUUCGAUUUGGGGAAGGAUACGACGUUGGCGGUCCGACUACAACUACCACAGGGGUGCUACGCCUUAGCAACCGGUACACCGACUCCACGUUAUUGCUGUUCUUGCCGUGCCAAGAACAACCUUGAACCUGCAAGCAAUCGAAGAACAAGCAAGAACAAGUUGACAAGGAAACAGCUCACGGCACUUGUCAAAUGAUGAAACUUAAACAAACCAAAAUGGGGUUCUGAAUACAAGUAUCCGGGUGGUCUAGCCGACACACGCGAGUACAAGGAAGUAGCUGCAGCUAAACUUACAUCAAAAACAAAACCCAAAGUGCAAAAUGGUGGCUGCUAGGAGUUUAUAUAGGUGGAGGAAUGACCAGGAGAGGAGGUGGGAGCAAACCCUAGGUUUUGUGGACCCCUAAUGGGCUAUAAUGAUACAAGGCCCAAGCCCAAGUUUCUGAUGUAAAGAACUAUUUUCGUCAUUCUGAGCAGCCUGGGUCAAAGUUGAUGGUGAGGCCACACAUAGCUGACAGUAGACGACGAGAUCUUUCCAACAAGUACUCAUUUGCCCCGUUUGCCCUCCGGAGUGAAGAGCAUUGACUUCAUCAAAUCAGCGCUGCUAGUGUUGCUUGCGAUUUGGUUCCUCUCCCAUAUUCCUAACAACAAGUAGAUCACAACAACCAUUUAGUAGCACCCAAUUCUGAGAAGAACUUGUAUGAUUAGCUAGGAAUGACUUUACCUGAUAAUUAAGUUCACGAGCUCGAGCUCUAGUCAUUGGUCCUUGCUGUGUAAUAGGCGUGGUUGUAUCGUUGGAAGGGAUGUCCUCAUCAUCCACCAUGUGCGCCAGGUGCAUGAUGGUAGCGUCAUCCUCCGAGCUAGCAUCCCGGAAGGUGGCGUAGUCGCGGGCUCCUCCGCGACGAGGGUGGUAGCGGUAGGGCAAGUGCUGCAACUCGUCCGGGUAGCGCUGGUGAAGAGUGCCGAUGGCGAGGAGUGCGGCGUUCUGGCAAGCAGCGGAGAAGGAAUCUCCACCCGCGGUGACCGCCAACGAAGUCCUCUCGGGUGAGCCAGUGAGGAUCACUGCAGUAACCUCCCAAGCAGCGUGGGGCUCUGCAUCGUCACCCUCCUGCUCCGGGAGCUGCUUGCCCUGGUAGUCCACUCCAUGCGGAUACCCCAGAACAACGCACAUGCCCCGCAGUUCCAAAACGAAUCCAGUCAGGUCCAGACCACGACGGUUGAUGCUGCCGGCCAUCUACAAACAAAAACAAAAGAGAAAAGCAACAUUUUAAAGGUCAGAUUUUGACGGUAAAUGAAGCAGCAGGACAGAGAGAGACUAGAGGAUUUUCACAAAUAAGAAAGGAUUUUUAUUUUGAAAAUAUUGCUAAGGCUUGGGAUCUACGGCUCGUCCUAGGGUCAAGGGGGCUCUGAUACCAACUUGUCACGACCGGAAUUGACCCAACGGGCGUUCCUUACGUGCGUGUAUUAUUCCUUAUCCCAGGAGGCAAGGUACACCAAAAGUUGAUACAUUUCAGAGUUUAUCAAGCGGAAGCGUAAAUAGUUAAUUUAUUACAUGGGCGGCGAAGGCCCAGCACACACAAAGACAAACAAGAAACAGCGGAAGACUAGGGCGACGACCACAGGCGCUUGACGGCAGGCACGAGCUAGACACCAAAGCCUUCAUCUUCCAGGGGCUCCUCUUCUGGGUUUGGGAAAAAUUGAGCAAGACUGAGUACAACCACCGUACUCAACAAGACACACCCACAAGUGCAGGAUAAAUGCAAGGGAGUACAAGGGGGUUGUAAUAUAAAGGGUUAGGUUUUGCAGUAAACAGCAUUAAAAGACACUUAGUUGCUCAAAGCUAUUUUGUAAACACGAUUCCAGAGCUAUACAAUAUUAUUAAUCAAGGCCGUGAACCCACACGAACCUGCCUUAACCCAAGGCCUACGAUGAUUCAGACCGAACUGGCAACCCGACCCUGGGUCCCAGCUCGUCCCAAGCCAACCCAGGCCAACCAUUCCACAUUUUAGUUGUUAAGCAGGUUUUAAGAAUUAAAACACUAACUUGGGUACAUUGCUCGGCUUGCCCAUAACCGAGGGCGCGGCUAUUCGAAUAGAUUAUACUCUGAUCAGAGGUGUACAUCUUUACCCACAAGACACAUCUUCCUCACGUGUAACCACGUGCCGCAUACCACCACGGUAUACGGACGGAAGACGUGACAUAGUUUCCAACCCAUCCUAGCCAUAGACAAGAGUACCGACCCAACCCCACCUACGGCCGGAACCCCCGGGACAGGUAGGCAGGACUGAGCCCCUAGCAGCAGGACACCGGCCCUGUGCCAUGACAUCUUGGCUACCAGGCCGUAGCUCGUGUAGCCUUCAUUUGUCCUAGAGAUGUCCAUCGACCCCCGACUUCGUCCAUCUCCAUCCGUGUACUUUUGUUUAUAACCAGACUGAGCCACAAACUAAGCCUUACCCACUAGACAUGUGGAAGUACGGUAGCGCUUUGCAACAGAGGCCCGAAGACCGGUCCUUAUAUGGCCGAGGUGCUACUAUCAAAACCAUGCACCCCGAGCCCAGCCUAAAACCAUUUUGAGGGUUUUGAAUAGAGGGGGAGGUGUGAAUCCAAUUCCACAAUGAUCCAACAAUUCCAUAGUGUCCAGGUGAUGAGAAUAUUCCCAAAGUCUAGAGUUGUAAAACCACCUAAUGUUGCCUAAUUAACCAGCGAAGCAUCUACCUAAAUUCAUACUAGUGGUACCAUGAGUAGAGUGUCCACUAGUUGGGGUUUUGUUUAUUCUAGAGUGAACAAGGAAAUAAUAACAAUAACAAUAAUAAGGUCAUAACAAAGGUAAAUAGGCAUGUCUAGAUAAAACAGUGAUAACGCGGGAAUUUAAAUAAAGCGAUAAUGCAAUAAUUUAAAUCAAAAUAAUUUUAUAAACUGGGAUUCAAUAUGUUCAAGGAUGAUGUGACUUGCCUUGCUCGCUUUCCCAACCGUCGGCUUCAACUUCCACGAAGAGCGGAUCUUUCGAAGCUGCAGCGUCUACACGAUCAACAGAAAAGAAAAGGCUUUUAAUCUAAUAAACUCCAUAUAACAAGUAGGAACAAAGCACAAAAAUGGGUUCUUGACUUCUUAAGGAAAAAUUAGAGACUUGAACGGUCCAAUUCCGAGUUCAAAUGGCCAAGUUAUGACCAUUUGAAGUUUAUAUGCUCUUUAAAUGAAUAUUUGUGAAUUUCUUCAUUUAAAUUUUAAUUUUAAAAGGGUUUAUUGCGUCAGCCGAGGGGAGGGGGCACGCGGACCGGGUCCACGGGAGUGGGGCCCACGCGGCAGCCUCACGGUCCACGGUGGACCGGGUGCACCCGGGCUCACACCGGCCGGCGCCGUGGGCCCCACGCGUCAGCCGCACCCGAGGGCGCGAGCGGCUGACGGCCGGGCCCCACGCGGCAGCAGCUCGGUGCGCCCGAAGGCGGCCACGGCGGCACGGCCAGCGGGAGGCGGCGCGUCCGCGCCCCUAUGGUCGCCGGCGGCGGCCAUAGGCAUGGCGGAGCGGCGGCCGAGAGAAGGGAGGGAAAGGGGGAAAUGAGGCGGCGGUCCACGGCUCACCCUAGGUCGACGGCGACGACGAAAAGGCGGCCGGAGCGGAGGAAGGCGGCGGCGCGGUUCGGGUCGACGGGGACGGCGGCGCUCCGGCGGUCGACGAGCGAAACGGAGGGGUGGACGAGGUCGGCGAGGAUGCGGCGAAGCCGAAGGAGGCGGCGCCGAGGUGGGAGGUGGUCCGGGGCGACGACGACGGCGGACCGGAGCUCGGCGGCGACGGCGGAGAGAGAGAGCGACGGCGCGAGCUCGAUUCCGGCGAGGAGGAAGGGCGGCGAGAGGCGGAAACGGACGGAGGAGGUGCGGGGAGGGUUUAUAUAGGGUUGGAAGGGGGAGAGAGCGGCCGGUGGGGAAGGAAUAGGCGCGGGAGGUCCGGCCGCCAUCAAUGGCGCCGGCGAGAUUUGCGGGGGCAAAUCCGCCCGUUUGAAUGCGAGGAAGAGAGGGAAAAAUGGGGGGAAAGGGAGAGGGAAUCACGGGGAAUAAUUCCCCCUUAUUGAUUGCACGCGGGGAGGACGGGGACGGCGGGAUUCGCGGCGGCGGCGGUGCUAGGGCGCGGGCGAGGCGGCGGGAGCGGCGGGAGGAAGGGGAUGACGGGUGGGCCCACCCGUCAGCGAGGGUGGCGGGCGGGCCCGCCCGUCAGCGGCGCGCGCGCGGGGAGAGGCCGGAUGGGCCGUGGGGAGAGGAGAGGGAGGGGGAAGGAGAUGGGCCGAGCCGGCCCAAGAGGGAGAGGGAGGGAAAGGGGACUUUUUAGAGUUUUUCUUUUUAUAAAAUCAUUUUAACUUUGUUUAUUUCUUAAUAAUUAUUAUUUGUGUUCUGAAAAUUCCACUAAAAUUUAUUUACGCAUUUUAGGCUUUUAGGAAAUAUACAAAAAUCCUCCAAGCCUUAUUUGACUUUUAACUUUGCACAUUUUAAUUGUUGGAGGCUUUCACACGGAUUUUAAUUAUUCUAGGCAUAAUUUAGAGGAUGUAUUUUAGAGUCGUUUUGGGACGUGACACCGUCCUCCUCCUCCCGUCAACGGCACCGCGCUCCUUUCCCUAGUCGGCGCCCUCACCUGGUCGGCGGCGCGUCCUCCCCUCGUCGGCACUGUCCACCCCCCUUAAGAGGCGCCGUCCUCCACCCCUUCUCGCCGCCCACCUCCGCGCGCUCGUUGCCCGCCGGCCACGAGCACGGCCCCCAUCUGGCUCAGCCAUCCCCGGCGCUCCUCUCUCCCUUCCUCUCUCUCCACGAUUGCGGGUAUUUUGGUCUUAAAACUCCUCAAAGUGGCAAAGUAUACUGAUGAUAAUCUAUUUAGUGGCAUUUUAUCCUUUGUAUUCUAAUGGAUGGCAUUUUUGCACUCUUGUGGAGUGGCAUAUUGUCCGUUUUCUCCAAUUUGCCCCUGUUCUGUUAGAUCGGUUUGACGGUGUUAAUUCUGGGAUAAAAAGACAUAUAUACCCUUUGCAUAUUGUUGCAGUUUGUCUGUACUUCUGUAAAAAAAAAAGUCGUGCUUUUGCGAUGUGUACUCCUACUGUCCUACAUGCGGCGAUGGCUAGAAACGUAUCGAGCAUGUUUGAUGCUCCGUUGGUGUUGGUGCCCUGACACAAGCGAUCCUCCAAACAGAUCAAUUUAAUUCCCGGCUUUCAUGAACAAAAACGUUGCAUACAUCAGGAAGGGAAAAGGAACCGAGAACACAAGCAAAAAUUAUUCCCCAAAUCCAUGAAUCUAUCACAACCUAAAAAUGAAUUUUCCCAGCUGCUUGCAAAUUGAUUCGAUCAAUAGAACGAACUGUGAAAACCUACUGCUUUGCACGAUGUCAGGAUGUGGCGUGGCUGCAUCGCCAGCUUCAUGCGGAUGGUGGAUACAGCGAAGUGAAGCAACAGAUAAAGGCCGGGAAUCGGAGGGGAGCUUCCCGGCGCCGACGUUGGUGGACGACGCGGACUGCAGCGUGUCGAGGCCACUGGGAGUCAGCGCCGUCGCCGUGCUACACCUCCCCCUGCUACACGUUUGCCGUGCCGCGUCCCGUACGGCCGUACCUCACCUCUUCCAGCUGAAACUCAACCCUGCCGCCCCUCCACAUGCGCGCCUAGCCGUGGAGCUACGUCGACUCACCCCUCCCAUGGCUUACCGUGUCGCCUCCCUGAUCGCGCACCGCUUGCCUGAGCAGCAGUGCUGCCUCCGCCGUCUGCUCCUCCCUAGCCAGGGCGUUGGGUUUAAGGGGAUAAGGGAUUUUUGGUCGGGAGUAGAACGAUUAUUUUGCAUUUUGUAAAUCAUUUUUCUUUUCUUUCUACUUUUAAUUGAUUGAAUCGGAGCACACCUAACAGCCAUUCAAAAUAGGGGCAAAAUGCAGGUUCAGUCUAAAAAAGUAAGGGCACAAACCCUAAAAAUAAGAGGUAAAAUUAUAAUUGCAUAGCUAACAGAGAAAAUGUGAAAAUCGAACCAAUUGCAUUUUAGGAUCGAAUACCAUCCUCAAUCUAAUGGCAAAACCAAGAAGGUUAACCUAUGCUUGGAGCUCUAUUUGCGUUGCUUUGUUCAUGCUAUGCCAACUAAGUGGAAUUCAUGGUUGUAGCAUAAUUCUGAUUCAAUAUCUCAUAUCACUCAGUUUUGCUUAAGUCUCCUUUCGAAGAUCUUUAUGGGUAUCCAUCUAGUCAGGGUGUGUUUAAUUUCACGCCAAAAUUGAAAGUUUGACUAAAAUUGAAAGUUUGAAGAAAAAAGUUGAAAGUUUACGUGUGUAGAAAAGUUUUGAUGUGAUGGAAAAGUUAGAAGUUUGAAGAAAAAGUUGGAAACUAAACCAUGCCUCAGUUUGGAAUUGGAGAUGAUGCCUGCAGUGUUCCAAAUUUGGAUAACUGGCUAAAGGAAAGGAAACUGCUGACUCAAUUGCUCAAACAACACCUCAAUCGAGCAAAACAGUAGAUGAAAACUUAUGCCGGUAAGAAAAGAAGUUCAAGAGAAUUUGUUGUUGGGGACCUUAGUCUUUUGUUGCUAAGAGGGCAAAUCACAAGCUAUCAUUUCGUUAUUUUGGUCCUUUCCGGGUGAUUGCCAAGAUGGGUAAGGUAGCUUAUCGCUUACAUAUUCCUGAGGACAGCACCAUCCAUCCGGUUUUCCAUGUAUCCCAACUCAAGUCAACUACCGUUUGCUGGUGCUGAAUUUCGUUGUUACUACUGCUUAGCAUCACGCGUGGGGAGACGUGGGUAGAUGGAGAUCGGCGUCAGGAAGGGGAGCGUGCAAUCGCGAUCACCUUGGGAGGACUUGAAAGACCGAUUUCUGUUGUUAGUUUUACAAAGAACCCAUUUUUUUAAUUUUAGGAAGUCUAUUUUAGACGUUCUCUUGGAGAGAUACAUCUCAAAUUCUGUUUAGAAAACCAAAAAAAUAUUUUUACAUCUCAAAUUCUAUGUAGAAAACCAAAAACAAAAUUUUGGAAAUUGAUUUUUGGGUAUCACUUGGUGAUGCUCUAAGAGAGUCAUCGUGUCCAAUUUUACAGUUAAGGAUUACGAAUAAGAUCUAAUAUAUAUUUAAGAGUCAAAUUGGACCUUUUCCUUUGAAGAACCGUACUACUGCAGACCAUAGUUCGUUUAUUCAGGUACUACAUUUCGGAACUAGUAUAAAUAAAACCUGGCCUACUGCUGAUUACUGAUUUUUUAUAGUAUAUGUUCAAAACAGAAAUUGUUAUAGUUACUUCUUUUCUUUUUUAAAAAAAAAGCUGUGAUUCAUACAUGUUCUUCAAUACAUAUGUGGGUAAGGAUGGUUUGUCUAGAUUAAUAGUAAAAAAGAAAAGGCUGUCACAUUAGUUGUAAUGGAAUGCACUCAAAUCCAAUCCAGUGAGUUGCUGAUAUGCCUCAGAAUAGCAAGGCUCAUCAUUGGUUUGAUAACAUUUGCAUAGUCACACAAGCUGUACUACGAGAAUAUAGUCGUGUGUAUGCCAACCUGCGACAUUAUAGAAAAAGCCUGUCAACCUGUUUAGUCAGUAUCAGAAGAAAAAUUAACCCUACGGAAUAAAAUCUUUAAGCAUCCUCUCUGCUCAACAUUGAGCCUGAUAUCUGAACAUAUGACAUCUGAGUGUAGCCAUUGAAAACUGAGGCAUCCAAUCUCGCUAGACCAAUUCGUUGAAACAUGCCAAAACGACCAUCUUCGAUGAUAGGAUCAGAUGCACGGGCUGGGUCAUAUCUUGUUUGGUGGGUUAAGGAUGGACCAGCAACUGGAGGUAGCUCCCAAUACAAAUCCAACACGGAUUCAACAAGUCUGCUGUUCUGGAAAUGCUCUUUGUAUGAGAUGGCUUUGUUGCUAUGGUUGAAAUUGUCACGCAUAUAACCUCUAACUCCCCACCAUGCAUCAUCCUUUCCACAAAGCUCAUCUGUUUCCACAGCUUUCUCCCAAAAACUCUUUCGUCUCGACCUUAAUCUUGCUUCGUCACUAUCCCAAAAGCAGCUAUGUCCACCACCUGGGUAGAAAAAAUACAUGAAAAUUAGUUUUUCAGUGUGGAGGGCUGCCUUUUUCAGUUUUAUUGAGGAAUUUCAAAAAGGAAGAUUAUAAUCCAGCUGAAGAAUAUGGUGUUGCAAUGUAGUGUUAAUAGAGGAAAAUGGAACAAGAUAGCAUUAUAGGAAAAAUGAAGGAGACCCACUGAUUAGCAUAUCUUUAAAAAAAAACUGCAAUCUGGAAUAUCACCGACUAAACUUCUGGUAUACAUUGAUAUUAAAUGGGUUCAGAAAAUGAAACAUGAUGCCUGAUGAACAAAUUAAUGAAGUUGUGGUAAUCGGUAUCAUUACCAAGACAUCACAAGUUAAGAGCUUCAAGUUCCUCAUAUCAGUUUAUUGAAUUGUAGUCAUAAAUGUUUCUUUCCUAAAACCCAACAUAAGUAAACAAAUAUAUGUCAAGCUGCCAGCAGAUUAUAGUUGCAUACAAACAAUUAUAGGAUAUAUAACAUAUCAUUUCUAGUUGGUCUAGUAUGCUCCAUCGGAGUAAAAUAUUAAGCUGAGAAAAAACAUAAAUUUCGACAAUAAUUGUAUUUGGAAGAAAAUCUGCACAUGUUUGGACAUGUCGAGUUAAAAAAGAACAGAAAAGUUCUUAGUAACAUAUUGGAAACCUUGGUAGACAUAGUGUUUAGAUCAUGAUAAUAACAAAAAAUGUAAGGUUAUCUUAUAUCUUAGAAAUACAACAAAAAAAAGCACAAACAAAAACAUGAUAAUAACACCCAGAAUUCAUAAUCGCAUGAUUAGAAAGAAAUAAAAUAAUCUCAAUAUGCCCAAAAUUUACUUUUUAAGGAAGUCAGUACAAGAGAUUGCAGAAGAAAUAUAAAGAAAAUAAGGAGAACAUUGAAAAAGGAAAACUGUGUCACAUUAAGAACGUUAACCAUUCAAGAAUGUCUUAUGGUAACAGAAGACAUCACCUCAUAUUAUAAUGCCUUCUACUUCAGAAGAUAAACAAACCUAACUGCACUUAUACUAGGAAGACAAGCUAAUGGAACUACUCCAAAGUAAUGUGACACAGCUGGCUCAACAUCUAUAUGCAACAUCUGAUGUAUCUUGAUUAUUGAAAACUUAGAAUCCAAGGACAAGGUGACACACCUCUGAUGUGUUCCUGAUCGCAGAUCUGUCUUAAGGAGUAAUGAUCGCCUGUACCAGUGUCAUAAUUGUCCUCAAAUAUGAUAUGUCGGAAUCCAACUAUUGAAGCCUGUUUUAACCUACAUAAAACAAGACACAUCAAAAUAAAUUUAAGUUUCGAAAACUUAGAGAUAAGAGUGCACUAUUUAUUAGAGUGAAUGCUUAGCAUGUGUCAUGCUGACAGUUAAGAAUUUGAUCAUAAGAACAGUUCAAUACAAAAACACUACAAAUAUGGCAAUACCCAACAGAAAAUAGUUUGUCCACAGUUCAAGAGAAAGGUUGAACAAUGAUGAUCUACAGAAAGACUUUACCUCUUCAACUCACUUUGGUGAUCAUCAAAGAAAACAAGCACUCUGCUGAGAUCAGAAAUGCCAUGAUUCCUCAAUAGCUUCCCCCAAUCAACACUUCCGAAGUCAAUAAAAUCCUUCCCAGCAAGAUAAGUGCAGUUCCCAUCAACAUAUGCAGGCCCCUUCUUCAGAUAUUUCUCAGGGUGUCUGGGUGAGAGUGAUAUAAUCUUAGUAUUUGGCAUGGCCUGACGCAAAACCCAUGUAGAGUGCCCCUUGAAUGCACCACUCUCAAUCAUCAGAUCUGGCUUAAGCCAGCGAGCCACAAACCAAAGGCCAAAACUGUGGUCAAAGCCCAUUCCAUACAUGUUGUUCUUGAUAGGUCGUGUUUCAUAUAUUGGUACAAAUUCUUCCAGUCCACGAAGUAGAUCCUUUGAAGUCCACUCCACUAUCUUUCCAGUUUUUGAUCUGCCUUUAGUGAAGAAAAAGGACAAUGAUAUUCCAUACAGUCAAAAGUGAUAUUUCAAACAAAUUACCCCAGUAUAGAGGUUCUUGUGAAAUAAUAACAAAAUAUACCCCAAGAAAAACUCAGCACUACGUAGAGAAACAUAAUCAUGUCUACCAACAGCUACAAACAUAAAUAUAAGUACACUGGUGGCAACUAAGAUGGUCAAUUGUUACAGGACUUCAAGAAACAGAAUAAUAGAUUGCCACCGCAAUGUUCGCACUCCUAUCUAGCAGCAGUCAUUGUUCAAGAAACAGAAUAAUAGAUUGCCAUGGCCAUGUUCUCAUUCGUAUCUAGCAGCAGUGGAACAAUGACCGAGGAACAAAUCUGAACAAGUAUAAACCAACAGAGAUCAGUUAGGAGCAAAUAACUAUAAUAAAUUUGCACAUAUAAUGUGGUCAUCACUCAUCGAACAAGCUAUCAAGCUAUUCUGUCAAAUACAAUUCAAGAUUUCAGGUGAAUAUGCAUUGCGCUCACAUAAAGCUAGCCUACAACCUAUGGUGUUAGGUGUCUAAGACACUAACGAUGAGGAAUAUCUGCAUGAGCAGAAUCAUUUUCAAACAGGGAGGAGAUUAGUUGCGAAAGGGUGAUUACUUCGCAGAAAAGAACCGGAUGUCCGGAUCUAUCUCACAAGAAUCAACAGCGGCGUGAGGGCUUACACCAGGGUACCCCGAGGGCGCCGAAGUCGGAGGCCGCGGCCGCGUCCGGGAGAGCGAGAAAGCGCGCGUCGAGCCGCGGCGGCGGGCAGUCGGCGCGGGGGCGGGCGCGGCCGAUGAGGAAGGCGGUGGCGGCGACGGCGAGGAGGAGGAGGAAGGAGGCAGCGGCUCGGUGGGAAGAGUGGAGGCGGGCGUAGGCGGCGGCCACGAACGCGGGGUUCGCCUUUCGGAUCUUGGACUCGUCGUCGUCGUCGCCGACGGAGGUGGCGGAGGAUGCGCCAGCGUAGGGAGAGGAGGAGGAGGAGGCGCCGGCGGCGCGGGCUGAGAGACCGGUGUCGUGCAUGGAGGCGGGACGGGAGCAGAGAGAGAUCGGAGUAGUAGAAAGUGGCGGCGGUGGUAGACCGGUGGUAUUUGGAGAGAGAUCGAGGGACCGACCGUUCCACACGAAGGGAGGGGGUGGGGGGCGUGUUAGGGAAGAUGUCAACAUGGGGAGGAUCUUGCUUGCACGGGCCACGCAAAUGUUCCAGUAGCUUUUUUAACGCGUGAAUGAUAAACAUGAUCUCUACUAUUAUAGUAUUAUAAAAAUUGAAGAUGUUUUUGCCGAUAGUUUUGAUACGUCAUCCGUGUUUGAAUCGUUUUUUAAGUUCAUUCGUUUUUGAAAGUACAGAUCCGUUUUUGAGUCGGUUUUUAAUUUGGUUCGUUUUCAGAAAUACAGAAUGAGUCGUAUAAAAAGAAUUUUAUCUUAGCUAACUUGCAUGCUAACUUGAGAUGAUCGGAACCCUAAUUACAGCUCAUGAUUUUAUAAAAGGAAUAUUCAAGCGAAUUCCUACAGUAAAUUUCACCUUAGUUAACCCGCACAACAAUAAUCUUCACCCGUUGCAACGCAAGGGCAUUUUUCUAGUAAUAAGAAAAGGAGAAAAUCCAAAAAGAAAAAAACAAUGGACAAGCAUCCCAAUGUUAAAAAAACCAUUGAUGAACCCAACUUCCUAUAAAUGCUACUAUAUAAUCAUCUUAUUUCCAAAAUUUUAUCGUUGUUAUGUUUCCAUUAAUUAGUAGCCCUCCAUUAAGUACUAUCAAAAGACCAUUUUACCCUACGAAUUGUUAAAAGCUCAUUAAAUUUUUUCUUUUUUAGUCAACUUAUAAAUAAUAAUUUAGUAUAAAGAACAACCUACAAAUUAGUGUAAGCUUAUGGAAAGAGCAAAAAUUUUAAUUGCCUUUUAGCAAUUCCUAUGGGUAAAAUAAUUUUUUAUAGCACUUAACGGAGGGCUGCUAACGAAAAUCUAAAUGAAAUGGUGCGUUUGUAUGAUGACAUUUCUUGGAUUCGUAUGUUUAUCGAUGGUGUUUCAUGGAUUUCUCUAAGAAAAAACAUAGAGUAGGGAUAUGAUAAGAAUAAACAUGUAAAACAUUAGGAAGCCUAUAAAGGUUCGCACGCUGGGGCGUGCCACGUUGGAUUUUACUUUUGCAGAAAAGCCCUUCGGUUUGUGUGUAAUUCAAUCGAGUACCCAGUGAAAAGUUCCUCUGAGGUGUCAAUUCACGAAUAGGCCCUUACAUAAGUUAGAUAUUGCAUGCGAAGGAGAGAAAAUUCACGAAUUAGGACCGCGCUCUAAAACGUGGAAGCCGAGGGGGUUUCUAGCAAACGACGCCCUAACCCACCCACCAUAAUCCUAGCCGCCGCCGCCGCUCACACUCUCUCCUCCCUCUCGUCUUCUCCUCUCCCUCUCCAGCUCCCGCCGCCGCCGCCUCAUGCCGCCUCCGCCUCCCCCUCCCCCUCGUGCUAGAGGGAUGAAGAACGUGUUUUAUUAUCAAUUCUGACGAGUUAAAGUAAUUAUUUCCAUGCUUUUAACAUAUCAAUGCUCGUACUUAGUGUGAUGUGUGGUGCACUAAGGAUGUCAAUAAUCUAAGUUGGAAAUUUCAAACCAGUUGUUUUAUUUACCAAUAGGCCACACUUUACACACUACUUGCUCAUUGAGCAGUAGCUUAUAUGUUGGUAUGUUAGCUGAGGAUCUCAUCGUUAGGCUGGUAAAUAUAUUCUCUAGAUUUGCGUCGCUUGAAAUGUUUUUGUGGACAAAUGCUGGUAUUUUUCUUCUGUGCAAACCUUGGGGCCAAAACGUAUACUCCCUGGUUCUCAUUAUAUUUAUUGAUCCCUUUCCUUGCAUGUUUGCAAAAUUAGCGGUCUAUUACCUUCCGUGCUGCUGAAAUAAUGUUCUCAUGGUUUGUUAAAAAUGGUGAUAGUGAUAGGGACCAUGAUCGUGACAGGGAGCACCGUGAUAGAAGCAAAAGAAGAUAACACCGUGAUUAUGAAUAUUCUCUUGAUCAUGAUCUCCCCUUGGACCAAGAUUCUGAAAGGUAUUGCUUCUAAAUUUCUAACCUAAGCAAUUACUUGCAACUGCACAAAAUAUGGGUGUUUUUUUCCUUUAUUAAAUCUACUUAUUUGAUUGACUAAUGUUUUCCUGAUGCAUUUAUUUAUUUUUAUCAAUUAGUGAAUUUUCCCCUAUGCGUGGGAAUUCAUGGUGAUGCCUAAUAAUUAUGAAAAUUAGGUUGUAUCCUUUCUGAUAAUAAGAUUUAAAGUUAAUGAUAUGUUCGAUCUAUCUGCUGCAUACUACACUCUGUUGUGUUCCUCUCUUAUAUCGAGCAUCUUAUUAUUAGUUUUAGAACAUCUUAAUAUAACUGACAAUUAAUUGCUAUAGCAAUCAUGCUGACAAAAUCAGGUUAGUCCAUAAUUAUCUCUGAGAAUCUGAUUAAAGCUGCCAGAUGUUUAGCAUAUGAAGAAAUUCAAAUUCUAAUGUCCCUGGCAUUCAUUCUCUUUUGAUCUUUAUAUUGUUCAUUUUUUUACCUUCUGUUUUACAACUGGAUAGUGCAGUGGGUACUAUAUUGGCAUUGCUCUCGGUGUACUGGAGCAUUGCAACUAGCUGCUAAUUAUCUGAUUGACUCAUUAAUGUGUGCUCAAUUUUUCAGCCACUGUUUCUUAGUAGAAGAAUUGGAAUGUAUAUGUUUCUGAAAUGAACUCUCCCAAUUAACAAAUUUAGAGGUGCAUCCCCUUUUAAGUUGGUUCUUUUGUUUCCCUAUCUAUUAGGAGGGGGAGAAACCUGAAUUAAGAGAUGUUAGCGUGUAAUUUCCCCCUGAAACGUAUGUUAAUCUAAUUUUUGUCUAAAUUUACUAAAUGAAUUAAACGCCUGGCCUCCAUUACCUAUCACUUAUUUGGAAAAUUCUGCAGUACCCUAGAGUGAAAUGCAAGCAUUGUGUUCAUAUGGGGUUUGUUGGCAUAUUUCAACUAAAUCCAAUUUUUAAAUGCUACAGUGCUACAAGAGGCUAGAAAACAACAGUUGCGCUAUUGUUGGUGACUGACAUGAAUCCAUCGCCGCUCAAUUUUAACAAAGUUGCAAAGAAGUUUCUAAGACAAUAGGGGCUUUUUUUUGGCGCUGCAGGCUCUUGCAUCACCCAUUCAUCUGUCAUUACGGUUUUUGAUGCACACUGCCUAAUUAGUUGUUUUUAUUAUACUUGGAUUAUUUUUCUGACAGAACAAAUCACUUCAGUUCCCCUCCUGCCAAUGAGGAGUGUAUGCUUAUACAGUGAAAGUAUUAUGAGGUUUCAUCAAGGUAUUGUAAUUUGUAAAACCAAUACAAAUGCUAUGCUCAAUAAUUGUUUUGAAAUUGCAAUUUUUGAUGAAUCUUAUGCUCAAAAGAUGAUUAAAAUUAUCUCCAUAAUGCUCAAGAGAAUACAGAUGGUUGUUUUUGUACAGAACUUAGAUUUUAUUAUAAGCUGUUGUCUAUCGACAAUAUCCAUCAUUUUAUCAGUCUAUCGACAAUAGUAGGACGAGCUCUUCAGUCUAAAUAACAGUUAUAUGUUUGCUGAUGCGCCUCUUAUAACUUUUGCUGCCAUGACACUAGCCCCAUGUCUCUUGCUCUUGAUCUUCCUUUAUGAGUCACUCCAUCUAAUUUGUGUUUGCUUCCUGAUAUUUUUGUAGAUGCAACAACAUGAAGAUUGAAAAGGCUGCUGCCUGCAAGGUGUUUGAAAUCACUGCCUCUGGAAUUUAAAUGUGUGAAAGUGAUUGAAUAGUUCUGAAAAUUUAUCCUUGCUUUGCUAGAAGAUUGAAUGGGCGGCUAUUGGAGGAAGAAGAAGCAUGCUACAGGGGUAAUGACAAAGGUAGCAGGGUCCCUCUUUUGUGCUCAUGGCAUGUCAAUUUAUCCUUUCUGUUGAUUUCGUGUCUAGACCAGAAAUUUUUUAAUUCCUACUUGAAAUCAUGCUAAAAUGGUUUGGUAUCAUAUCCAAGACCAAGCUUAAAUCAUCUUGUAUAUGGUUUCAUCCUACAUUUGUUGCUAUGAAGAGUCAACACAAAUGUUGAUAUUUUCCAAAAAUCAACUGAAGCGUCGACUCUAAAAUCAAGUUCUAGAAAAGAGUAAGAAGGAUGUGCUCCGUCAAAUAAUAGAACUGUAAACUAUAGAAACUAGAAGUCUUAAGGACACUACACUAACCCUAAAGUCACUCGUCAUCAUAAGCAAAGUGCAAAUAUUGUCUGUCUGGAGUCUGGACUCAUCAUUUAGGUGCUCUUUGGCAGGGCAGCAGCUGUAUGUUUCAGCUUUUGAGUUGUCCUUAGAAUCCAUCUCAUUGAGUAAGCGCACUUCAAUUGAAAUCUAUAACUUUCUCGCAUUCUGGGAAGUUCAUUUUCUUAUUGCCUGCAAUUUUUGUAGCAACUACAGAUACAACCAUUGCUCACAUCAUGAAAGAACAAGAUGAUAUCAAGAUCAAAUCCUCCAAGUGCUGGAAUCAGAUUCGGCCACCUGCUACACUGCUGACUUCAAACGGCCGCCGAAUCUGCAUACGACCUCCGUUUUCGGCCCAUGAGUACUUGAUGGAAAGCCCUCGGAGUCCUCUUUCCAACGGAUCCAGCCUCAUCGCCAAACUUCGUCUGGGACCCCGGCCCAAGUGGGGCCCAUGUGGGGUGCGCCCCAACCAGGUGGAUCAUGACCCUAGGGUCCCUUUGGUCAUCCUCCCACCUCCUUAAAUAGCUAGCUACCCCUUCAGGGUUUCUCGGGUUUUGUUAGAUUAAAGUUUAGCCAUUACUACUUGCUUGCAGCACGCGUGUCGGCUAGACCGUCCGUCUGCUUGUUCUUCGGAACCCCAACUUAUCAUUUGUAUUAAAUUCCUAUUUGCAAUAUCAGAUUGUUUUUAUCUUGUUCUUGCUUGUUUCUUCGAUUUGCUUGCAGGAAUAGUGUUGAUUUGCACCGGCAAGAUCAACAACCCAUGGAGAGGUGUAUCGAUCGCUAAGGCGUAACACAACAACGUCUUAUACGUUUGUAGUCGGGUCGUCAACGUUUCUCCCAAAUCGUAGUUAUCUCAACUCACCUAAAGAUCGGGCCAAACAACAGCCUUGAGUGUCGAGUGGAACUCAGGGUCUUUCGGUGAGUUGAGAUAACUACGAUUUGGGAGAAACGUUGACGACCCGACUACAACCGUACAAGACGUUGUGUUGCGCCUUAGCGAUCGAUAAUGUAACACCCCAGGUAGCCACAUACCUAGAGUGCCACACCAAAAUACACUAAAAAAACCACCAACUCCCAAAAUUAUUAGAAAUUUCGGCAGAGUAACCUAAAAGUACGGACAUCCAUGACAGGCAGUUACAAGAUAACUCAAUAACGAUAUAAACCACACAAUCCAACCCAUCCUAUCUCCACAAAUUCCACGUGAAAAUAAGGACCAGAACUUUAAAUGACCUUCACAAGUUCUACGCAAAACUUAUGCUAAGUAGAAACAUAGUCUAAAAGUAAAUUUCAAUAGUGUGCAAUAAUAAUGUGUAGUUCAAGGGUGCUACUCCCGUCCCAUGCCAAUCAAUAUCAUUAGGUACCUAAAAACCAAAUUAAAUACAAGAGUGAGUAAAAAUACUCAGCAAGUACAAUAUUGAACUAGUAAAACAUACACAGGUUUAAUGCAAUAAGAAAACCAAUAUGAAAUAUUUGUCUUCCUUUAAUUUAAAAGGAAGGAGGCAAAAAGUAGUAGUUCCCUCCCGGGCAGGUGUGAAUAUCCUCUUAGCAUUACCGGUAAGCCGAGCAAGCGUGAUCAGCGCUUCUCAAGGAUCAUGAAUGAAGAUCCAAAUUGCACUCCCAUGACUACGCAUGGUACUUGAAUAAUGUAAACAAAAACUUCCAGAAUAAUGAAACAUGAAUAACGUCGUGAAUUUGAACAUGAAGUGAAAUAUGAAUACGUAACAUAAUACUAAAAUCACACAAUUGAUUAUAGGAAGGUUCGAAUAAUAAUUGGAUAAAUGAAACCAAAUAAAGUAACACAGUUUAUCUAUCACACAAGUCCAUCUUGUACUUGCCUUAACUCCUUCAAUAAUCCGACUCAACUCCUCCAACAUUGGAACCCUCCACACCUGUGGAGCAAAACUACGCAUAAACCACUAUAUCUAACUAAUAAUAGUUACAAGGAUAUUUACUAAAAUCGAAACCCAGUUCAUAUAAAUUAUUACCGAUUUGUAUUAAAUAGCCUAUAGCUGUUCCAUUACUGUUUUAUACGUAACGUACAAACCGUCUAAUGGAACCUAGCAAAUAAUAUAACUUCGGACAUCUAGACAAAAUUGUCUACCACUUUCAUGUUGAGUCCUGAUUUCCAGACCCGGUCAGCAGUACUGUUUUUGUUGUUUCUCCCAAACCGUUUAUCGGAAUUGAGUGAAACCAGCGGCGUUAGAAAGAUAUCGACGAUGACUACAAACUUUAUUUAUGACAACUAACCUGAAUCACGAUGGUUUAAUACCAGAUUUGAAAAUACUAUUGUUAGCCCAUAAUCAACAACUAAGAAAACACUGAACCGGCAAUUUAAUCGAUUCCCACGUGAAAAUUGUAUUUCUAUGGACUAAGAGGAGUUACACUUGCUGAGGAGAAAUCGAAUUUGAGAUCAAUUUGUGAAUACCCAGAAAAUCCCCAACUUUUGCCUCUCUUUCCUUUUUCCUUCUUUUCUCCUGCUUUCCCUGCUUCUUGAAACUCCUGCUCUCUGUUCGUUCCAGAAGCACAGCAACAGACCAGCAUCAGCAGCAGCAGCGAGGAACGUUAACAGAAACAGCCGUAACAUGGAUACAUAUCAGAUCGAUGGCAGCAGCAGCAGCAAGGAUUGGCGGCAACACUCACCAAGGAGUCGAGCAGGAGUGGCGCUGGACGGCGAUGGCUGAACCUGCGGCGACGGCGCAGCAGCCAUUGGGGUGAUGGCGACUAGGGUUUGUAGCGGCUGCAGGGUUAUCGAUCUCUUCCCCUUUUCUCUUUUUUUCUUUUUUUUUCAGUUGGUUAAAUAGAUAUCCUGAUGAAGAUCGAACGGCCCAAAUUAAUUUAAUCACCAGUACUUCAUUCGGACUCCGAUUAUUAUAAACUCAUAGUCUAUUUUGCACUACUCGGCGAGCUCUACGCAUCCAUGGUUCCUGAUCGCCUAUUCGAACAAUGGUUUAAAAAUUGAACGGCGUUUGUGCUAAUAUUCCCCGAAAUAUACUAUUUUGAAACUCGGGGCAUUACAUUCUUCCCCCCUUCAAUCGAAUUCGCCCUCGAAUUCGCCCAACCAAACUCUAGAACACGGGGUAUUACAUUCCUCCCUCCUUCAAUCGAAUUCGCCCUCGAAUUCGUCCAGUUAUUCCUCGAACAAGUAUGGAAAGGAACUCAUAGGUAGGACUUAUAUAACUCACCAGGCGUGAAUAACUCUGGCUACUUCUCCCGCAUCUAUGUCUCAAGUUCCCAUGUGGCUUCUCGUUCGGUCUUGUGCGUCCAAAGAACCUUGACAUAUUUGAUAGUUCUGUGCCUCAGCACCCUCUCAGAUUCCUCCAAUAUUCUUAGUGAACGGGACUCAAAUGUCAAAUCUUGGUCAAUGGUCACCGGCUCUACGGUAAUAUGAUGUUCAGGGUCUCUCAAAUAUUUUGUCAACAUGGAAAUAUGGAACACAUCAUGUACACCUUUCAUGGACUCUGGUAACUCGAGGCGAUACGCUAGGAUUCCAGCUAUUUCCACUAUCGAGAAUGGACCAAUAUACCUACGGCUGAGUUUGCCUUUCGUUCCAAAUCUCACAACACCUUUGGUAGGAGAUACCUUUAGAAGUACUUGGUCACCCACUUCAAACUCUAAUUCCCGUCUUCUGACAUCAGCGUAGCUCUUCUGCCUACUUUGAGCUACGAGCAUGUGUUUUCGUAUUUCUGCUAUCCGUUCUGUGGUUUGUUGAACCCAAUCGGGUUCUAAAACAGCUCUCUCCCCUAUGGAAUCCCAACACAAUGGGGAUCGACACUUUCUUCCAUAAAGUGUCUCAUAGAGUGCCAUUCGAAUGCUAGCAUGGUAAAUGUUGUUGUAAGCAAAUUCUACAAGCGGCAAAUGAUCCUCCCAACAUAUCCUCUAGAGUUUGAAUAGUCCACUCAGAUUGACCAUCAGUAUAAGGGUGAAAAACCGUACUGAAUUUCAAUUAUCAAAUGCCUCUUGCACAGAUUCCCAGAACUUAGAAGAAAAUUUAACAUCCCUAUCAGAAACAAUCGAGCGAGGCACACCAUGUAACCUCACUACCUCGCGUGUAUAGAUCGGUGCCAAGUCACUCGCAGAAUAAGUGGUGCGGAUAGGAAUGAAAUGUGCCACCUUACUCAGACGAUCUAUAACCACCCAGAUGGCGUCCUUUCCUUAUGAAGUUCGAGGUAGCCCAACCACGAAAUCCAUAGCAAUAUCAUCCCAAGGCCAUACAGGAACUUCCAAUGAUUGUAACUUUCCAGCAGGACUCUUAUGUUCAGCCUUUACUCGCUGACAUACCCCACAUGAUGGCACGUACUUUGCCACAUCCACUUUCAUCCUCUUCCACCAAUAGAUCUUCUUCAGAUCAUGAUACAUCUUGGUCUCGCCAGGACGCACAACAUAUGGUGUUCGGUGUGCUUAUUGCAAAAUCUCUUCCUUGACUUUAGCUUACUGUGGGACACAUAAAUGCCCAUGGAAUCGCUCAACUCUCGAGGACUCCAAAGUGAAAUCUCUAGUUUUUCCUUCCUUUACACGUUUCUUAACUUGUUGUAGCAACCGAUCGUGUUGUUGGGCAUCUAGCACUCGUUGUGGUAUGACAGACUCAAGAAUGACUCGUGACUCGGUACUCGCCACUCCGGCGUAGCAAUAGGAGAUACCCAUCCGUUCAAAAUCAAUUAUCAAACAAUUCACAGUUGGAGGAACGACCUUACGGCUUAGAGCAUCUGCAACCACAUUCGCCUUACCCGAUGUAUACGGAAUGUUGAGAUCAUAAUCUUUUAUUAACUCCAGCUACCUCCUCUGCUUUAAGUCGAAAUCCUUCUGAGUGAAAAUGUUUUGAAACUAUUAUGAUCAACAAAACUAUCACAAGACUCUCCGUAUAGGUAGUGCCUCCAAAUCUUAAGAGCAGAGACCACUGCUGCAAGCUCAAGAUCAUGAGUGGGGUAAUUCUGCUCAUGCUUCUGUAACUGCCUAGACGCAUAAGAUAUAACAUUGCCCUCUUGCAUAAGAACACAACCAAGGCCUACUCGUGAAGCAUCGGAAUAGACAGUGAAACGCUUACCAAGGUUGGGGCAAAGUAAGCACCGGAGCAGUUACCAGCCUCUACUUCAAUUGCUGGAAACUAUGCUCACAUUGGUCCGUCCAUUGAAACUUCACACAUCCUUAUGUGCGAGCAUCGUCAUUGGUUUAGCGAUAAUUGAGAAAUCCUUCACGAAGCGUCGUUAGUACCCUGCCAUACCCAAAAAGCUCCUCACAUCCUUAACAUUAGUCGGCCUUUCCUACCCGACAACACUUGAAACUUUGCUAGUAUCAACUGAGAUACCCUGCUGAUCGAUUACAUGCCCUAGGAAAGUCACUUCAGGAAGUCAAAAUUCACACUUCUUUAAUUUAGCAUAGAACUUGUUUUCCUGUAAACUCCCUAGCACCAUCCUCAAAUGACACUCAUGCUCCUCUACAUCUUUCGAGUAAAUCAGAAUAUCAUCAAUAAACACCACCACAAACUUAUCUAGAAAGCUAUGCAACAUGCUAUUCAUCGCCUCCAUAAAAUAGGCCAGAGCAUUGGUCACCCCAAAAGACAUAACUCUACACUCAUAAUGCCCAUACCUCGUGGAAAAUGCGGUCUUCUCAAUAUCCUCUUCUCGCACUCGAAUUUGGUUAUAACCAGAUUGCAAGUCAAUUUUAGAAAACACCUUUUACUCCCUUUAACUUAUCAAACAAAUCUUCAAUAUGAGGCAAUGGGUACUUGUUCUUGAUUGUCGCAGCAUUUAAGGCCCGAUUGUCCACACACAUACGACAACUCCCAUCCUUCUUCUCAGUAAAAAUAACAGGUGCACCCCAUGGCGACACACUCCGUCGGAUUAACUUCUUGGAUAAUAGAUCAUCUAACUGUUUUUUUUCAACUCUUCUUGGAAAGGACGAGCUAACCGGUACGGGGCUCUAGAGAUCGGUCGUGUACCAGGAACAAGAUCAAUACAGAACUCUACAUCACGCUCAGGUGGCAUCCCUGGAAAUUCUACGGGAAAAAUAUUGGGAUAAACUUCGUUCGGACUCCGAUUAUUAUAAACUCAUAGUCUAUUUUUCACUACUCAGCGAGUUCUACGCAUCCACGGUUCCUGAUCGCCUAUUCGAACAAUGGUUUAAAAAUUAAACUUUUGCACGUUUGUGCUAAUAUUCCCCGAAAUAUACUAUUUUGAAACUCGGGGCAUUACAGAUACACCUCUCAGAGGGUUGUUGAUCUUGCCGGUGCAGAUCAACCCUAUUCCUACAAGCAAAUCGAAGAAACAAGUAAGAACAAGAUAAAAGCAAUAUGAUAUUGCAAAUAGGAAUGAAUACACACGAUAAGUUGGGGUUUUGAAUACAAGCAGACGGACGGUCUAGCUGACACGCACGCUGUAAGGAAGUAGCAAUGGCUAAACUUUCAUCUAAACAAAACCCAAGAAACCCUGAAGGGUACCUAGCUAUUUAUAGGUGUGGGAAGAUGACCAACGGUGCCGUAGGGUCGUUCUCCACCAGGUUGGGGUGCACUCCACAUGGGCCCCACUUGGGCCGGGGUCCCAGACGAAGUUACAAGCCCAUAGGCCUAUUACAGGUGAUGCAACACCUUGUUUCUUCAAUUGCGGCUCACUAAGAUGGAAUUUCGCAAUGAGGUUGGAUCCGUUGUAAAGACAACUCCGAGAGCUUUCUAUCAAGUACUCGUGGACCCAAAACGGAGCUCGUAUGCAUAUUUGGCGGCCAUUUGAAGUCAGCAAUGUAGCAGGUGGCCGAAUCGAAUUCCAGCUUUUAGAGAACUUGAUCUUGAUGUCUUCUUGUAGAUCCAUGAUGUGAGCAAUGGUUGUAUCCAUAGUAGCCAUGGUCACAUUAUCCUCCCCUUCUUCAUGGAAAAACGUCCUCGGUUUUUCCAUGUGGUGCUCUUCACGUAGUCCAUUUAAAACAACCUGUUUCUUCCAAUCAAAACAAGGCAAACUCGAGAUAAUUUGGUUAGCAUUAACAUUCCUCUCUAGCUUGUAUGUUUUAUCCACAUGUACAAGAGGUUUCUAAAUCCGAACAUAUGUAAACUCUAUGCACCAAAUAUAUUCCAACAUCAUUAUAUUCACCAAAGAUAUGAAAAAUAGCAUUAGUUGGACAUGGCAAAUUAGAUUUAGCAAAUAAUUUCUCCUUCAAAUUUUCAAGCUCACAAAAAUCAUCAAACCGAACAUACCCAAAGUAUUUAAAGAAGAUAGCAAUUCACAUUCCUCUAUUUCAUUAGCAAUGUGAACAACAUGCUUAAAAUCAACACACAAAGAAACAAUAGAAAUAGCAUCUUCUUUCACCAGUUGUGGCAUGGAUAUAAGUGAAGCAUUAUCACACAACUCUUCUUUAUCACAAGGAACAGCAAGUAAAUCAACUUGUGAUAAAGGCAUCUCAGCAAUUGGUUCCACUAAUGGUUGCUCUUCUCUAGUAUGAAAAGUGGACAUGUUCAAUUAAUUAACGGCACAGUCACCUUGAUUAAUUGCAGCACCAUUAAGUUUACCUUUUAUGCCACUUCAGAUAAUGUAGGUGCAUCAGUCUUCUCUUCUGUCUUCGUGAGCGAUGGAGAUGGCAUCUCGAUCAUAUUGCUCUUCUCCUCAUGGUGAAUGUUCUGAGCUCCCUGCAAAAUGUCAGUAAUAGGAGGCACAAGCAUAGCUUGUUUCUCCCUUGGGUUCUUUAAAAUAUUGCUCUCAACACUGCAAGCAAGCAUGAACAAGUGGCCUAUAUGAUUAUAUGUCACAUUAAUAAGCCUAGCUUGAAUAUCGGAAUUAAGCCCUCUAAAAAAUCUAGUCAUUGUGUUCUCAUUGCUUUCUUUUAAACCACUAAAAGUGAUACAAAUUUUAAAGUUAUGAAAGUACUCCUGCACGGUUUUGUCACCUUGUUUUAGAUGUGACCAUGGCAACUACAGAUAAAACCAUUGCUCACAUCAUGGAAGAACAAGAUGAUAUCAAGAUCAAGUCCUCCAAGUGCUGGAAUCAGAUUCGGCCAACUGCUACGCUGCUGACUUCAAACAGCCGCCGAAUCUUCAUACGACCUCCGUUUUCAGCCCAUGAGUACUUAAUGGAAAGCACUCGGAGUCCUCUUUCCAUUGGAUUCGGCCUCAUCACCAAAUUCCAUCCAAGUCAUCCACAAAUGAAGAAACAAGGUGCUGCGUCACCUGUCAUGGGCCUAUGGGCUUGUAACUUUGUUUGGGACCCCGGCCCAAGUGGGGCCCAUGUGGGGUGCGCCCCAACCAGGUGGAGGACGACCUAGGGUCCUCCCACCUCCUUAAAUAGUUAGGUACCCCUUCAGGGUUUCUCGGGUUUUGUUAGAUUAAAGUUUAGCCAUUGCUACUUGCUUGCAGCGCGUGUAUCGGCUAGACUGUCCGUCUGCUUGUUCUUCGGAACCCCAACUUAUCUUGUGUAUUCAUUCUUAUUUGCAAUAUCAGAUUGCUUUUAUCUUGUUCUUGCAUGUUCUUCGAUUUGCUUGCAGGAAUAUGGUUGAUUUGCACCGGCAAGAUUAACAACCCACAGAGAGGUGUAUCGAUCGCUAGGGCGCAACACAAUAACGUCAUGUACGGUUGUAGUCGGGUCGUCAAUGUUUCUCCCAAAUCGUAGUUGUCUCAACUCACUGAAAGAUCGGGCCAAACAACAACCUUGAGUGUCGAGUGGAACUCAGGGUUCAUCAGGUGGUAUCAGAGCUUUCGUUGCUCGGUGAGUUUUUAUCUAGCUAUAACCUGAAAAUUUUCCUACAAAAAAAAUUGCAUCCUGUACCUAGCCAUCUUUGUGCCAUUGUAUUGUUCUUUUCAGUUUUUGCGUUGUUGAAUUUUGUGUUGCAUCGUCACGUCGUGUUGCUGGUCUUAGCGUCUAGUUCGUUUAGAGUUUCGAAUUCUAGUCACGUUUUGUACCACUGUCGUCGCAGCCGCUGUGUCUUGGUUGUCAUCGGGACCUACGAAAUUGGAAUCGUCUUUCCGCCAGAGUUCCAUAUUUGUAGUUUUCAGAAGUUUCUGUCGGUUAGUUUUGAAGUUGCGUCUAGGGUAUGCUGUUUAGACGGGCUUGUGUUUGUGCCGUGGUUAUGUUUUGCCGUGAGGAAGAAAAAAUGGGAAAGGAAUAUAGCAUAUCUGUUUGGAUUCGGUUCGGUGGAAGGAAAGGAAAAUAAUAAUACAUUGGAUCGGCAAAUCAGUUUCUGAUUUAUCUCAUUCAUUUAAUCUGGCCGGCCGAUCCAUCCACCCACUGUACCCGCACCUCCCCACCAUCUACAGUUGUUUCCCCCAAUACCGUGAGUAGCUCAACACCAUGGUGAAAAUUUUUCAAGUGUCGGAUUGGAAAUCCGUUUGAAACAACGGAACCUAUGAGGGACGAGAGCAUUCCAUUUUUGUAUAGUUCUAAUUUUGGGAUUGAACUUUUACACUUGAGUCCCUGUAAUUUUUAGAUUCGCAUUUGAGUCCCUGUAAUCUUGCAUUGAGGUCCUUGAGUUUGUUUUUUUAAAAAAAAUAAAAAAAAGGCAGAAAGGUGCAUAAAAAAAGCAAAGAAAAGCAGCACCAAAAAAGAAAAGAAAAGAAAAAGAAAAGAAAGAAAAAAAAGAAAGAAGAAAGAAAGAAAAGAGAAAAUAUUGUUAUCUUUGAGCUGAACUUCAUAUAUCAGAGUGUGCUUGAGUUGUUUCUAGUGCUAUCCUGUGGUAUCGUUUGUGUUUAGGCUCGCGUCUCUAGUACGUUCUAGCCUAGGACCAGCACGGUACUUGACUUUGAACGAUUAUUCAACUUUGCAUUCUCUGAUUUGAGCAUUUGCUAUUCCUUUGCUACAUAUUUAAGCCUACCCAGAGCUCCACAGAUUUGAUUACAGCCGUACAACAAGUGUUUGCCAAGGCAUUCAUACAUCCAAACUUCGUUGUGGUGCUUGGUUGAGUCGGUGUACAUCACCAUUCCGCUUGCUUUGGUAAGAACUUGUAAGAGCUUGGUUAAAAGCUUGAGUGUGUGUGAUAUUUGAGCUACCACUACCUAGUAGUUGAUAGGAACGUGCAUAUUCUUGUGUGUGUUUCUUGUUUGCUACUAACCAUGGCAGGAUUGCGCAAGGGAAUACGAGAACAUCAACUUCUACACCUUCGAUGAGAUAUGACGACUUCUCCACGUGAUGCAUAUGAGGUACAUGACUAUAAUUUUGCACAAGUUGCAUCAAAGUUACCAUUCUAUGAUGGGAAGUAUGAUUUUGUUGCAUAUAUUGAUUAGGAGCUAGCAGUAGACAAUGAAUUUGAUAUAUAUGAUUUUUCUGAUGCUCAAAUGAUUAAGGCUGCUAGUAAUAAGUUUACCUCUUCUGCAUUAUUUUGGUGGAGUUAUGUUUGUAACAAACCUGAAACUUUGGAUGAAUUCAAAACCAUAAUGAGAAAAUGCUUUGUGAGUUCUUAUUACAAAUGUACUCUUCGGGAGAAAUUAGAACAUCUGAAAUAAGGCGAUAGAACUGUUAAGGACUACAUUCAUGAAUUUAAGGUCUGUAUCAUCUACAGUGAUCUCAAAGAGUGCAAUGAAAAUACAAUGCGUAGAUUUUUCAAUGGGCUUAAUUCUAAAAUUCAGGUUUUGUUUGAUAAUGUGACAUAUAAUCAUAUUGGGCACCUAUUCAUGCUUGCUCGUAGCAUUGAGAGUUAGAUCAUAUCAAAUGCGAGGAAGCAUGAACAAUGUGAUUUAUCUCCCAUUUCUGAAUCUCCUAUAUCCUUAUGCAAUGAUGAUGUGCAAACAUUGGAGGAGCAAUCUUUUGUCUCUCCUGUUACUAACGUUUUGCAGGGAGUUCAGAACAUUCAACAAAAGGAGGAGAAUGGUGUACUUGAUAAGAAAGAGGAUGAAGCACCUGCGGUUUCGGAAGAAAGUUUGCAAGGUAAAUUAAAUUGUGCUGAGAUAAAUGAAUGUGAGUAUUCUCAAGCUGAGCUACACGUGUCCACUUUUCAUGCUAUAGUAGAGCAACCAUUGGUGGAACCAAUUGUUGAGAUGCCUUUGUCACAAGUUGAUUUACUUGUUGUUCCUUGUGAUAAAGAAGAGUUGUGUGAUAAUGCUUCACUUAUAUCCAUGCCACAACUAGUGAAUGAACAUGCUAUUUCUAGUGUUUCUUUGUGUGCUGAUUUUAAGCAUGUUGUUCACAUUGCAAAUGAAGUAGAGGAACAUGAAUUUCUAUCUUAUUUAAAUACUUUGGGCUAUGUUUGGUUUGAUGAUUUUUGUGAGCUCGAAAAUUUGAAGGAGAAAUUAUUUGCUAAAUUUGAUUUGCCAUGUCCAACUAAUGCUAUUUCUCAUAUCUUUGGCGAAUAUAAUGAUAGAGGAAUAUAUUUGGUGCAUAGAGUUUACAUAUGUUCGGAUUUAGAACCUUCUGUACAUGUGGAUAAAACAUGCAAGCUAGAGAGAAAUGUUAUUGCUAACAAAAUUAUCUCGAGUUUGUCUUGUUUUGAUUGGAAGAAACAGGUUGUUUUAAAUAGACUACGCGAGGAGCACCAUAUGGAAAAACCGAUGACGAUUUUCCAUGAAGAAGGGGAGGAUGAUGUGACCAUGGCUACUACAGAUACAACCAUUGCUCACAUCAUGAAAGAACAAGAUGAUAUCAAAGAUCAAGUCCUCCAAGUGCUGGAAUCAGAUUCGGCUUACAUGUGUGUGAACCCUCGUCCAGGAAUCAGCCGAGGCACACAAUAAAAAAUUGAUAAUAGAGUACAAUUAUUACUCUAAUUAAUAAGCGAAUAAAAUGUCAUUACAGAGGUAGAUAGUUACUCUCAAUCAAUAAAGAUAUAAGCAGCGGAAAAAAAAUAAGAUAAACGGCGCAGACGACUCCACUCCACAGGCAGCUUGACCAGGGCUACACCUAAUCCUCCACACCAUCAGCAUCACUGUAGAACUCCUCCUCUGAUGAAUGAUUGCAAGGUGAGUAUAUGACAUACUCAGGAAGCCACGCAGCAAAUAUGCAAGUGCACAGGAUAACAAAGGAUGGCAUAGUAGGGUUUCAUUUGAAUAAACAACAUUUAAUGAACAUUUCAGAAUUUAAUAAAACAGUUAAGUAAUAAUUAAACAAUAUUAAUCCAACGCUAUACAACAUACCCUGUUGCAUAGGCCCAACCAUUCUGAACAACCAUCCCGGCUGCACAGUUCUAUCUCCAAACCAGGAAUAUGCCAUUCCAAACCAGGGUUGUUUGGGAUCUAUGUGACUUGCCUUGCUGGCCUUGGAACUCUUCAAAUUCUUCUCCUGCGAAAACGGACUCUCCGGAAACGUCGGAAUCUAAACAGAAAGGAGCAAAACACCAAAAAAGCACAUAAACAAGCAUGAACAGUACAUGUGGAUAUUUUUAACAUGUAGAUCUCAAUUUUAGAAAAAUUUAGAAACUUGAACCAACUAAAUCCGAGCUAAGAUGAAUUAGUUAUGAAUUUUUAAAGAUUAAAUCGGAUUAAAACACUUAUAUGAGUAUUAAUUGAAUUAUGAUGCAAUAAUGAAUUAUUUUUGAAAAGGAAAAGGGAAUUAUUGCGUCAGCGGCUAGGGUUCACGGUGAACCGGGUGCACGGCGGCGGCUCACGAAAACGAACGGCCGAGAUCUUUCCAUCCAAAACGAACGGCCGAGAUCGACCGGUCCACAGCCGGACCACGGAAGACGACGACGAUGACGUCAGCGGUGACGUCACCACCGGCGGCGGCUCGGGCGCGCGUCACACCCUAAAAAUCCUAAAUAUAUAAAUUGUUGUUUAAUUGGAAUUAUUAGAAUUUAUUUUAAAAGCCUAGAAGAGAAGAUCUAAUUUGUAAUUAAUAAAUCCCAAUAUAAAAUGGGGCCAGAUAAAAUUUCAUUAAAUACUUUGCUUAACUCUAUAAUUCUUAGAUUUUUCUGGGAUUUAUUUGAGGUAAGGAAGUAUUUUUAAUAAAUGGAAUUGCAUUUAAUGAAUAAUUUAAAUUGGAAAAGGUUUUAAAAGUUCUCUUUUGGCUUUGGGCCGAAAGUCGGCCCAAAACCCUCUCUCUCUCCUCCUCGGCCCAGUCCGCCCGCAGCCGCCCGCGCGCGCGUCCGCCCGCUGACAGGUGGGGCCCACCUGUCAGUCUUCGUCUUCCUCGCGCCGCUGCCGCCGCCCGAGCCCUAGCGCCGCGCCGCCGUCGUCUCCUUCCAAAUCUAGCCGCCCCUUUUCGUUUCCGGUGAAAUUAAUAGAGGGGAAAUGAUCCCCGGGAUCACCUCUAUCUUUUCUCUUAUGGAAUCGUCAACUAAUUUCGUUUGGAAAUCCGUGGAUUCAAGUUCGAUUCGGAUCGAUCUCUCUCCUCCGAACCCUAGACUUUCCUUCGCCGUCGCCGGUCGCCGUGGGCCUUCGCCGCCGCCUUCCAACCCCUAUAUAAGGACCCCCAAGCCCGCUGCUACCCGUCGCCACCCUUGCCUUCGUCUCUCGUCGUCCGUAGCGCCCUAGCCCCGUGAGACCUCGCGCCGCCGUCGUCGCCGCCGCUCCAGCCGUGCGCCGCUGUCGCUCGGGGAGGUCGCCAUCAUGGUCGCCGUCGCGUCGCCGUCCUCGUCCGCCACUCCGCCGUCGCUGUCGACCGCCGGAACACCGCCGUCGUCGUCAAGCCGAAGGUCGCCGCCGCUUCUUCCUCGACGCCGUCGCCGUCCGUUGAUCUUCCGCCGUUGUUUUGGUCACCGGUGAGUUCGCCGCGUCGCCCUCUACGUGUUCGUUCCCUCCGUUCGCGCUGUCGUGCCGUCGUUCACCGGCGGGCAUGCGCGCCCGAGCCGCCGCCGAUAGUGACGUCGUCGCUGACGUCAUCGUCGUCGUCCAUCAGUGAGCCGCGGUGGAUCCGAUCGAUCUUGGCCGUCCGUUUUGGAUAGGAUCGAUCUCGGCCGUUCGUUUCCGUGAGCUGUCGCCGUGCACCCGGUCCACCGCGAACUCUAGCCGCUGAUGGAAUAAUUCCCUUUUCCUUUUCAAAAAUAAUUCAUUAUUGCGUCAUAAUUCAAUUAAAACCCAUAUAAAUGAUUUAAUCUGAUUUAAUCUUUGAAAAUUCAUAAGUAAUUCAUCUUAGCUCGGAUUUAGUUGGUUCAAGUCUCUAAAUUUUUCUAAAAUUGAGAUCUACAUGUUAAAAAUAUCCACAUGUAUUGUUCAUGCUUGUUUGUGUGCUGUUUUGGUGAUUUUGCUCAUUUCUAUUUAGAUUCCGACGUUUCCGGAGAGUCCGUUUUUGCAGGAGAAGAAUUUGAAGAGUUCCAAGGCCAGCAAGGCAAGUCACAUAGAUCCCAAACAACCCUUUGAGCAUGUUGAUCCCGUUUAAAGCUCUUGUUUCUAUUCAACUAUUGCAUUUAUUUUCGAAUGUCAUUGGGUGGAAUUAACCUAUUGUUUGUUAUAGCCCUUUUGUUCUUGAUUACUUUAUUCCUUGAUACCUUGGGUUAUUAUAACUUGACUAGUUGGGCUAUAUAUAUUGGUUCAGCUAAAUAUUAGAUAUGAUUGCUUAGCCAUGCUUAGAAACAUUAGCACACUAUUGGGAUAACUUAUGACUCACUAUUAUUUAAUUAUGGCUUAAUGAUAGUUCACGAUGGUCAAUCGUGAUUGGUUAAUUAAUUACUUGCCAACUAAAACUUGAUAAUGGUGGGUUGUGAGCACAUGGUUCUGAUGGUCGUGCUCAUGACAAUUAAGGACCGGUUCACGAGUUUCGGUUGUGAAACAUUAACCGUGCCAACCACAAGCCAGCGUGGGCAACGGCUUUACCUUUUGUAUAGCAUGGUUCAUUGCGGAGCACCAGACUAAGAAGUGGCGGAGAUAAGCCCACGAGGGUCGCUGGGGAGUCCAUGCCUUGUUUAUAAGGGGGUGAUUAUGAUCCAGGAACGGUGCGCGGUGGUGGAUUGUGUUGUGCGAGGGGUACUGUCACAGCUCCUUUCCGAAGUACCGUGGUGGUAUUGAGGCACAUGGUGACAUGUUGUGGGGCUGUGUCUUGUGGGUACAGUGGUACACCUCUGGCCAGAGUAAAACUAUUCGAAUAGCCGUGCCCGCGGUUAUGGGCGGGUCUAACAAUGUCUUUCGUGAUUAGUCUCACACUUCUCAUCAUAAUAAAAGAUGCUAUAACUGGUAAUAAUUUGAUUAGCUCCUGGUUUGGAAUGGCAUAUUCCUGGUUUGGAGAUAGAACUAUGCAGCCGGGAUGGUUGUUCAGAAUGGUUGGGCCUAUGCAACAGGGUAUGUUAUAUAGCGUUGGAUUAAUAUUGUUUAAUUAUUACUUAACUGUUUUAUUAAUUCUGAAAUGUUCAUUAAAUGCUGUUUAUGCAAAUGAAACCCUACUAUGCCAUCCUUUGUUAUCCUGUGCACUUGCAUAUUUGCUGCGUGGCUUCCUGAGUAUGUCAUAUACUCACCUUGCAAUCAUUCAUCAGAGGAGGAGUUCUACAGUGAUGCUGAUGGUGUGGAGGAUUAGGUGUAGCCCUGGUCAAGCUGCCUGUGGAGUGGAGUCGUCUGCGCCGUUUAUCUUAUUUUUUUUCCGCUGCUUAGAUCUUUAUUGAUUGAGAGGAACUAUUUACCUCUGUAAUGACAUUUUAUUCGCUUAUUAAUUAGAGUAAUAAUUGUACUCUAUUAUCAAUUUGUUAUUGUGUGCCUCGGCUGAUUCCUGGACGAGGGUUCACACACAUGUAAGCGUUUGGAAUUUUGGAUAGAAAUUCCGGGCGUGACAGCGCGCAAACUCGCUGGCGAACGACGGCGCGACGACGCGAACGGAGGACACCAACACGUAGAGGGCGACGCGGCGAACUCACCGGUGACCAAAACAACGGCGGAAGAUCAACGAACGGCGAUGGCGUCGAGGAAGAAACGGCGGCAACCUUCGGCUUGACGACGACGGCGGUGCUCUGGCGAUCUACGGCGACGGCGGAGGGGUGGACGAGAUCGGCGACGGCUUGGUGACCACGACGGCGACCUCCCCGAGCAGCGACGACGACUGGACCGACGGCGGCGCACGGCUGGAGGUGCGGCGGCGACGGCGGCGCUAGGCUACACGAUGCUAGGGCUCUACCGGCGACGAGAGGCGAAGGCGAGGGUGGCGGUGGGUAGCGGCGGGCUUGGGGGUCCUUUUAUAGGAGCAAGGAGGCGGCGGCGAAGGCCCACGGCGACCGGCGACACGAAGGAAAGUCUAGGGUUCGGAGGAGAGAGAUCGAUCCGACUCGAACUCGAAUCCACGGAUUUCCAAACGAUUUUAGCCGACGAUUCCAAAAGAGAAAAGGUAGAGGAGAUCCCGAAGAUCAUUUCCCCUCUAUUGAUUUCACCGGAGAAGGAAAGGCGCGAGCGAAUUUGGAAGGAGACGGUGGCGCGGCUCGGCUAGGGUUCGGGCGGCGGCAGCGGCGCGAGGAAGACGAAGACUGACAGGUGGGCCCCACCUGUCAGCGGGCGGACGCGCGCGCGGGCGGCUGCUGCCGGACUGGGCCGACUGGGCCGAGAGAGAGAGAGAGAGGGUUUUGGGCCAACUUUCGGCCCAAAGCCAAAAGAAGACUUUUAAAAACCUUUUUCAAUUUAAAUUAUUCAUGAAAUACAAUCCCAUUUAUUAAAAAUACUUCCUUAGCUCAAAUAAAUCCCAGAAAAAUCUAGGAAUUAUAGAAUUAAGCAAAGUAUUUAAUGAAAUUUUAUCUGGCCCCAUUUUAUAUUGGAAUUUAUUAAUUAAAAUUAGAUCUUCUCUUCUAGGCUUUUUAAAAUAAAUUCUAAUAAUUCCAAUUAAACAACAAUUUAUAUAUUUAGGAUUUUUAGGGUGUGACAAACCUACCCCCCUUAAACAGAAUCUCGUCCUCGAGAUUCGGAAGAACUGGUGAAUAGAUGCGGAUGAGCUGACUUUAAUUCAUCUUCUCGUUCCCAAGUUGAUUCUUCUUCCGAGUGAUUACUCCACUGAACUUUACAAAAACGGAUAACUCGAUUCCUGGUUCUUCUCUCAUCGGUUUCCAAGAUACGGAUUGGUUUCUCAACAUAUGUCAGAUCCUCUUGGAUUUCUAUCUGUUCAAGACUAGCUUCCUCAGUGGGUACCCUUAAACACAUUUUCAACUGUGACACAUGGAACACAUCAUGGACUCCUGCCAAAGAUUGAGGUAACUCCAACUGAUAAGCGACCUCUCCUCUUCUACUGACAAUCUUGUAAGGUCCCACAAAACGCGGUCCCAAUUUUCCUUUAGUGUGGAAGCGAUGAACUCCUCGAAGAGGCGUGACACGAAGGUACACAUAAUCUCCUUCUUCAAAACUCAAAUCUCUACGACGAUUGUCGGCAUAACUCUUAUGACGAGACUGGGCCACACGCAAUCUUUCUUGAAUGAUUUUCACCUUUUCUUCUGCUUCCCUCAGGAUAUCCGUCCCAAAAACCUGACGUUCCCCCAUUUGAUCCCACAAAAGCGGAGUGCGGCACUUCCGACCAUACAGUGCUUCGUAAGGAGCCAUAUGAAGACUAGCUUGAUAACUGUUGUUGUAUGAGAAUUCCGCAUAAGGUAGAUUCUUAUCCCAACUUCCACCAAAGUCUAAAGCACAAGCUCUCAACAUGUCUUCCAAAAUCUGAUUUACCCUUUCGGUUUGUCCAUCUGUCUGCGGAUGAUAAGCAGUACUAAAGUUCAGCUUAGAACCCAUCUCUUCCUGAAGCUUCUUCCAAAACUUUGAAGUAAACUGACUACCUCGAUCAGACACUAUUUUCUUAGGGACGCCAUGCAAACACACAAUCAUUGCCAUAUACAAUUCCGCCAACCGACUUCCAGAAUAUGUUGUCUUUACUGGGAUGAAAUGAGCCACUUUGGUAAGUCUGUCGACUAUCACCCAAAUAGAGUCAUGGCCUGAUAACGUUCUGGGUAGGCCAGUGAUGAAAUCCAUGUCGAUCUCCUCCCACUUCCAUUCAGGAAUCUUCAAAGGCUGCAGCAAACCUGCGGGUUUCUGAUGUUCUGCCUUGACUCGCUGACAAACAUCACAUACUGCUACGUAUUCUGCGAUUUCACGCUUCAUACUUGCCCACCAAAAUUUUUCCUUGAGAUCCUGGUACAUCUUGGUACUACCAGGGUGAAUGGAGUAUAAAGUAUCAUGAGCUUCUUUCAGAAUUGUAUUUUUUAAAUCUUUGUUGUCUGGGACGCAGAUUCUCUCACCCAACCAUACAGUUCCUUGCUCAUCUUCCAAGAAACCGAUAGCUUUUCCUCUUCUCAUAUUCUUCUUGAUUUCUUAAAUAUCAGGAUCAUUAAUUUGGGCAUCUCUAACUUGAUCAAUUAGAGUGGGCUUUGCUUCUAAGGCUGCAACGAAACCUCUACUGACAAUUCCCAAAUUUAAUCUUUCAAAUUCCUUACAUAACUCCAAUGGCAACUGUCGUCCUUCCGUAGCAUUGCAAUAGCCUUUCCUGCUAAGAGCAUCUGCUACAACAUUAGCCUUUCCCGGGUGAUAAUGAAUUCCCAUGUCAUAAUCCUUAAUUAAUUCCAACCAUCUCCGUUGUCUCAUGUUUAGAUCUGGCUGAGUAAAGAUGUACUUUAAACUCUUGUGAUCGGUGUACACCUCUGUACGAGUACCGAAAAGAUAAUGACGCCAAAUCUUCAACGCAUGAACCACUGCAGCUAACUCAAGAUCAUGAGUAGGGUAGUUCUUCUCAUGCGGGCGUAACUGACGAGAUGCAUAGGCAACCACCUUCCCAUCUUGCAUCAGAACACAGCCUAACCCAAGCUUGGAUGCAUCACAAUACACUUGAAAACCCUUCUUUGGGUCAGGCAAAAUUAAAAUAGGAGCUGAUAUUAAGCGAUUCUUCAACUCUUGAAAACUCUGCUCACAUUCUUCUGACCACUUGUACUUUACAUCCUUUUAACGUAAUCGUGUCAUGGGCUUAGCAAUCUUGGAAAAAUUCUCUAUAAACCUCCGAUAAUAUCCUGCGAGGCCUAGGAAACUACAAAUCUCUGAAACUGUCUUUGGUUGUUUCCAGUUGGUUACGGAUUCCACAUUACUAGGAUCAACGGCAACUCCUCCAGCUGAGAUGACGUGACCAAGGAACUUCACUUCAGACAUCCAAAAUUCACACUUGCUAAACUUGGCAUACAAUUGAUGCUCUCGUAGCUUCUCCAAUGCAAGGCGAAGGUGUUCUUCAUGCUCUUCUUUGGUUCGGGAGUAGAUAAGAAUGUCAUCAAUAAAGACUACCACGAACUUGUCUAGGUAUUCCAUAAACACCUUAUUCAUCAAGUUCAUGAAGAAAGCGGGGCAUUGGUAAGUCCGAAAAGACAUAACAGUACAUUCAAACAACCCAUACCUAGUGGUGAAAGCCGUCUUAGGUAUGUCUUCCUCUUUAAUCCUCAACUGGUGAUACCCUGAUUGAAGAUCGAUCUUGGAGAAAACAGUGGCACCUUUAAGCUGAUCAAACAAAUCAUCAAUUCUGGGUAGCGGGUACUUAUUCUUGAUAGUCACAUCAUUUAGUGCACGAUAGUCCACACACAUCCUCUGGGUAUGAUCUUUCUUUUCCACAAAAAUAACUGGAGCUCUCCAUGGAGAUGAACUCGGUCUGAUGUAUCCUUUCUGAAGCAAAUCAUCUACUUGCCUCUUGACUUCUGCUAAUUCAUUGGCUGCCAUUCUAUAAGGUCUCUUAUGGAUCGGAGUUGUUCCUGGUACCAAAUCUAUUCUGAACUCUAUGUCCCUUUUAGGCGGCAUACCAGGUAAAUCAUCCGGGAACACAUUGGGAUACUCCCGGACUAUAGGAAUCUCUUCCAAAGUCAUUUGGUUCAGACUUGACCUUAAAGACUCAGAAGACAAUGCAUGAACAGUUACAACUCGACCAUCAUUGCUGGUGAGAGUUACUUUUCUGUUGGCACAGUCUAUCUUUAUACCUGGCUAACCAGUCCAUCCCUAGGAUGACAUCAAGGUCUUUGGAUUCUAACAGGAUAAGAUUGGCUAGAAAUGGUACUUCUUGAAUUUCUAUUCUGACAGAGGGGCUACGUUGCAAAGAGAGUGCUUGAUUACUUGGGGUACUAACCAUCAAAGGACGUCUAAGAUCUUCUACUUCCAUCCCAUGAUUUCCCGCAAAACUCAUAGAUAAAAAUGAAUGUGUAGCACCAGAAUCGAAAAGCACUGUUGCAGGAACUGAGUUAACAAGGAACGUACCCAAAAUCACAUCUGGAGCACCUUGAGCUUCUGCAGCAGUAACAUGAUUGACACGAGCCUUUGAUGCUGAUGCGGUAGAGUUGCUCUGGGCAGGGACAACCUUCACGCGUCGGGGCUUCGGACACUUGUCAGCGUAAUAUCCUGGGUCUCCACAGUUGAAGCACGCCCUGGGCUUGCUGCCUUGCUCCCUCUUGGCAGGCUGUUGCUGUGUUGGAGCUGCAACAGGGCGUGGAGCUUGAUUGCGGAUGUUGUUGCCAGCAUUGUUGUUGAAGAACUGACGCUGCGGACGAACAACAGACGAAGAACCUCCCUGUGGCAUGGACUGGGGUCCUAAAGUAAGACGCGGCCUUUGACUAUUCCCCUGUUGUGCCUUGAAGUGAGCAAUCCGGCGUUUCUUCUGCUCCAUGCGGUUGUACUUGUCCUCCUGGCGAAUAGCCUUAUCCACUAACUUCUGGAAAUCAUGAUAAUCCCCAGUCAUGAGUGGGUAAGAAAGCUCAUCAUUAAGUCCUUCCAAGAACCUCUCCUGGCGCUCUUCAUCAGUGCGCACAUCUUCUGGAGCAUAACGAGCCAGACGGUUGAACUCGUGCAGAUACUCGGUGACCGUGCGAGAUCCUUGGGUGAGCGACCUGAAUUCCUUCUUCUUGAGAGACACCACUCCCGAUGGUAUAUGCGUCUUCCGGAAAGCAGCGGUGAAUUCAAGCCAAGUGAUAGGUUCAGCAGUAGUCCUGUUAAGGCGGAAGUGAUCCCACCACUCAGAGGCAGGGCCAUGCAGCUGGUGUGAUGCAAAUGAGACCUUCUCCUGAUCAGUGCACUGAAGCAAAUCCAACUUCUUCUCUAUGGCAUGCAGCCAAUCGCCAGCUUCAACAGGAUUAGUGGUGCUAGAGAAAGUGGGCGGCCUCACACGAAGAAAUUCUGCUAACUUGUUCUGGGGAGGUGCAUGGUUAUUUCCCUGGUUCUGCUGGUUCUGGAGUUGCUGCAUCAUCAUGUUCAUAAGCUGUGCCUGUUGAGCCAGGACUUGGGCAAGUGUGGGAUUCUCUCCAUUGUUGUUGUUGUUAUUGUUGAUGUUGGGGCCAUUCCCGUUGCUGCGAGUGAGCACCAUCUGGCAUGGGCAGGAUCACAAGAAGAGAAACCGUGGAAAACUACUUAGGACAGAGAAUUAACUUUUCUACUAACUUAACUUUUAUUGAUCUUAACUGAGUUUCAUUAUUACAGAACUGAAGACUCUCACACCACUAAACUCACCAACUACCUAACACUCGAAAGCAAACAAACGCAUGCACUUACAUCCCACCACUGAUGUAAACCACAUGCAGGACCCACACACACAACCAAACUUAAAACAAGCAAACGAACACAACGAUCUAGGACAACGGCUUGACAAGGCACUCUAGGUCUUCCGGGCAUCGGAGUUGAUUGAAGGCUCGUUCGGCUCGUCUCAAUCAUCUUGAGUAGCUCCCCACUCGACCUUUGAAUGGGUGCGCUUCGAUUCUUCUCCUUCAUCAUCACUUACAUUGACGACCGGAGGAUCCGCUAGGGCUGGGGUAACUUCUUUCUCCACCACACGGACCUUUGGUGCCAAUUGGUAGCGAGGGACGAAUAGAGCUCUCUUCGUUGCGGUAAGACGAAUCCUGGCCUUCUGCGGUGGUGCUUCUCCCAUCAACGCGGCUAGUUCCUUCUCCAAACGAUCCACCUUGUCCUCUAACCUGCAAAUCUUACCACGAUUCCGAUCGUCACGAUCUUGAGCUGCUAGCACAACCUCCGCGCGGGUUUCAUCCAUAGCCCACAGCAUCUCAACCAAAUGCCUUAUGGUAGCAUCAUUCUCAAUCCCCUCAGUCUCAAGAUAGCUGCCACGGUCACUUCCCUGGGGUUGGCGAGGAUGGUAGCGAUACUCAGUGUCGGCCAACUAAUCACUGUAGCGAUCGCGGAGCUCUCCUAUGGCGAUCCUUGCCACCUCCUGACAUGCAUGGAUGUAGUUUCCUCCUCCAGCUUCGAACAUCACUGAUGGGAUAUCUUCUCUAUUACUGUUCAAGGUGACUUUGACUCGGCACUUCUCUUCUUGACGAUCAUGAGGAAUCUGGGCAUACAAAGGGGCAGUCCCAAAUCCUAUGGCAAAGGACAUCGUGCGCAACUCCUAGACAAAUCCCUCAACACCAUACAAGUACUCAGGCUUGUAGCGCGGCAUCUAAAGACAAGUGAAAGGAGGAAGUUAAGACAUUUAUCCAAUUAAUAGCACAAGUUUUUGGAUUAAUUUGAAUAAAGUUAGAAAAUCAAAGUAAAAGGUAAGUAAAUAAAGUAAACCAAGCUUGCAAGAUACGUUGAAACAGUUGGAAACAAGAUCACAAAUUUUGCACUUUUGAACAACAGGUUCCAAAAGAAAUAAAAGAAAGUUAUAAAAUCAACAUGCGAAAUUUAUUUUAUUGCAGCAAAAUAAAACAAUGUUAUAAACAUUUGCUAGUAAAUGAGCCAUUAGUACAGUAAUAGAUGUAUAGUACUAACAACACUGGAAUAAAUUUUGAAUGAGAACCACUAAAAGAGAUUAUGAAGUGCAUGUGCCAUUAGUUUGGUUUAAUUAAAAGAGAAAGGGAGGAGAACAGUUCUACUUUUUCAAUAUUUUUAGAGGGCUUCUAUGGGUGACCAUUUGGCAUAACCUAGGGUCAAGGAGGCUCUGAUACCAACUUGUCACGCCCGGAAUUUCUAUCCAAAAUUCCAAACGCUUACAUGUGUGUGAACCCUCGUCCAGAAAUCAGCCGAGGCACACAAUAACAAAUUGAUAAUAGAGUAUAAUUAUUACUCUAAUUAAUAAGCGAAUAAAAUGUCAUUACAGAGGUAGAUAGUUCCUCUCAAUCAAUAAAGAUCUAAGCAGCGGAAAAAAAAGAUAAACGGCGCAGACGACUCCACUCCACAGGCAGCUUGACCAGGGCUACACCUAAUCCUCCACACCAUCAGCAUCACUGUAGAACUCCUCCUCUGAUGAAUGAUUGCAAGGUGAGUAUAUGAGAUACUCAGCAAGCCACGCAGCAAAUAUGCAAGUGCACAGGAUAACAAAGGAUGGCAUAGUAGGGUUUCAUUUGCAUAAACAGCAUUUAAUGAACAUUUCAGAAUUUAAUAAAAUAGUUAAGUAAUAAUUAAACAAUAUUAAUCCAACGCUAUACAACAUACCUUGUUGCAUAGGCCCAACCAUUCUGAACAACCAUCCCGGCUGCACAGUUCUAUCUCCAAACCAGGAAUAUGCCAUUCCAAACCAGGAGCUAAUCAAAUUAUUACCAGUUAUAGCAUCUUUUAUUAUGAUGAGAAGUGUGAGACUAAUCACGAAAGACAUUGUUAGACCCGCCCAUAACCGCGGGCACGGCUAUUCGAAUAGUUUUACUCUGGCCAGAGGUGUACCACUGUACCCACAAGACACAGCCCCACAACAUGUCACCAUGUGCCUUCAUACCACCACGGUACCUCGGAAAGGAGCUGUGACAGUACCCCUUGCACAACACAAUCCACCACAGCGCACCUUUCCUGGAUCAUAAUCACCCCCUUAUAAACAAGGCAUGGACUCCCCAGCGACCCCCGUGGGCUUAUCUUCGCCACUUCUCAGUCUGGUGCUCCGCAAUGAACCAUGCUAUACAAAAGGUAAAGCCGUUGCCCACGCUGGCUUGUGGUUGGCACGGUUAAUGUUUCACAACCGAAACUCGUGAACCGGUCCUUAAUUGUUAUGAGCACGACUCCCAAAACCAUGUGCUCACAACCCACCAUUAUCAAGUUUUAGUUGGCAAGUAAUUAAUUCACCAAUCACGAUUGACCAUCGUGAGCUAUCAUUAAGCCAUCAUUAAGUAAUAGUGAAUCAUAAGUAAUCCCAAUAGUGUGCUAAUGUUUCUAAGCAUGGCUAAGCAAUCAUAUCUAAUAUCUUGCUGAACCAAUAUAUAAAGCCCAACUAGCCAAGUUAUAAUAACCCAAGGUAUCUGUGUGACUUGCCUUGCUAGCCUUGGAACUCUUCAAAUUCUUCUCCUGCGAAAACGGACUCUCCGGAAACGUCGGAAUCUAAACAGAAAGGAGCAAAACACCAAAACAGCACAUAAACAAGCAUGAACAGUACAUGUGGAUAUUUUUAACAUGUAGAUCUCAAUUUUAGAAAUAUUUAGAGACUUGAACCAACUAAAUCCAAGCUAAGAUGAAUUAGUUAUGAAUUUUUAAAGAUUAAAUCGGAUUAAAACACUUAUAUGGGUAUUAAUUGAAUUAUGACGCAAUAAUGAAUUAUUUUUGAAAAGGAAAAGGGAAUUAUUGCAUCAGCGGCUAGGGUUCGCGGUGAACCGGGUGCACGGCGGCGGCUGACGAAAACGAACAGCCGAGAUCUUUCCAUCCAAAACGAACGGCCGAGAUCGACCGAUCCACAGCCGGACCACGGAAGACGACGACGAUGACGUCACCACCGGCGGUGGCUCGGGCGCGCAAACUCGCCAGCGAACGACGGCGCGACGACGCGAACGGAGGACACCAACACGUAGAGGGCGAUGCGGCGAACUCACCGGUGACCAAAACAACGGCGGAAGAUCAACGGACGGCGACGGCGUCGAGGAAGAAACGGCGGCAACCUUCGGCUUGACGACGACGGCGGUGCUCCGGCGACCUACGGCGAUGGCGGAGGGGUGGACGAGAUCGGCGACGGCUUGGUGACCACGACGGCGACCUCCCCGAGCAACGACGACGACCGGACCGACGGCGGCGCACGGCUGAAGCUGCGGCGGCGACGGCGGCGCUAGGCUACACUAUGCUAGGGCUCUACCGGCGACGAGAGGCGAAGGCGAGGGUGGCGGCGGGUAGCGGCAGGCUUGGGGGUCCUUUUAUAGGAGCAAGGAGGCGGCGGCGAAGGCCCACGGCGACCGGCGACACGAAGGAAAGUCUAGGGUUCGGAGGAGAGAGAUCGAUCUGACUCGAACUCGAAUCCACGGAUUUCCAAACGAUUUUAGCCGACGAUUCCAAAAGAGAAAUGGUAGAGGAGAUCCCGAAGAUCAUUUCCCCUCUAUUGAUUUCACCGGAGAAGGAAAGGCGCGAGCGAAUUUGGAAGGAGACGGCGGCGCGGCUCGGCUAGGGUUCGGGCGGCGGCAGCGACGCGAGGAAGACGAAGACUGACAGGUGGGCCCCACCUGUCAGCGGGCGGACGCGCGCGCGAGCGGCUGCUGCCGAACUAGGCCGACUGGGCCGAGAGAGAGAGAGAGAGGGUUUUGGGCCGACUUUCGGCCCAAAGCCACAAGAAGACUUUUAAAAUCCUUUUUCAAUUUAAAUUAUUCAUGAAAUGCAAUCCCAUUUAUUAAAAAUACUUCCUUAGCUCGAAUAAAUCCCAAAAAAAUCUAGGAAUUAUAGAAUUAAGCAAAGUAUUUAAUGAAAUUUUAUCUGGCCCCAUUUUAUAUUGGAAUUUAUUAAUUAAAAUUAGAUCUUCUCUUCUAGGCUUUUUAAAAUAAAUUCUAAUAAUUCCAAUUAAACAACAAUUUAUAUAUUUAGGAUUUUUAGGGUGUGACAGCCACCUGCUACAUUGCUGACUUCAAACGGCCGCCAAAUCUGCAUACGACCUCCGUUUUUGGCCCAUGAGUAUUUGAUGGAAACCUCUCGGAGUCCUCUUUCCAUCGGAUUUGGCCUCACCACCAAAUUCCAUCCAAGUCAUCCGCAGAUGAAAAAACAAGGUACUACGUCACCUGUCAUGGGCCUAUGGGCUUGUAACUUUGUUUGGAACCCCGGCCCAAGUGGGGCCCAUGUGGGGUGCGCCCCAACCAGGUGGAGGACGACCUAGGGUCCUCCCACCUCCUUAAAUAGUUAGGUACCCCUUGAGGGUUUCUCGGGUUUUGUUAGAUUAAAGUUUAGCCUUUGUUACUUGCUUGCAGCGCGCGUGUCGGCUAGACCAUCCGUCUGCUUGUUCUUCGGAACCCCAACUUAUCUUGUGUAUUCAUUCCUAUUUGCAAUAUCAGAUUGCUUUUAUCUUGUUCUUGCUUGUUUCUUUGAUUUGCUUGCAGGAAUAGGGUUGAUUUGCACCGGCGAGAUCAACAACCCAUGGAGAGGUGUAUCGAUCGCUAAGGCGCAACACAACAACGUCUUGUACGGUUGUAGUCGGGUCGUCAACGUUUCUCCCAAAUCAUAGUUAUCUCAACUCACCGAAAGAUCGGGCCAAACAACAGUCUUGAGUGUCGAGUGGAACUCAGGGUUCAUCAGAUGACCUGAUAUGCUAUUUGGUGCCUUUUAAGAACAAGUGCAGCUUCUUCUCUAGGAAGAAGAAUGAUGAGUAUGUGCCACAGUGCCAGUUAAUUUACUUCCAAUCAUCCUUUUUUUUAAAAAAAAAAUAAACGUGGCAUAAUCAUUAGUGCUAAGGCACGCUUUAUGUUGGCUGACAAGCUUACAACUAUAUGAUAUCUAUGUGCAAAUGUGUGAUAUGUAAAUCGACUUAUAAAAGCCGACAGAAAUUGAUAAGAUUGCCCUGCAGCCACUGUUACCAUGCGGAUUGCAUAACUCGCUGGCUUAAGAUCAACAAGGUAAAUUAUACUUCUUUAUAUUUGAUGUUGUACCUCCAAAAUGCAAAAGAAGUUUCUGUAUUCUGUGUAUAGAUACUAAAUGCAUAUAUGCGAACAAGAGUACCUGUAACGUCUGAAUAUUACUCAAGAAAUUCGAUACAUAGAAUGUGAUACAUUGUCUGAACUUUGUCUGACGGGCUGAAUGUUGAUUGCUUUGUAUACAAACUUGUCUUGUCUGGUAUAGGAAGAUUAUCCUUCUGGAUCUGAUUUUAUGUUUCUUUUCUUUCAGGCAUGCCCAGUCUGCAAUGAGGAGGUAUUUGGGUGAAUCACAAAUCCAAAAAUUCUAAAUAGGCCUAACAUGUCCAUCGAAUGGAAUAUCGGAGUAUUUUUCUCAUGAAUUUCAUAAGGUAUGUUGUAUCCCUCUUUGGUUCAAAUUCAUUCAAUAUUAUAUUUCAGUGAGUAGUGACGAAGUAACAAUGAAACAAAGUUCUAAGAACUUAGGAAUCUGUUUGUGCCAAGAAAACUUUUUAGCCUUGUAGCCAAAUUAUUUUGUGAUGCACACAUAAUUGCCUACAUUUUCUCUUAAAUGCCACUUUUCAUGAAUAAGGACAUGAUUUUAAAGGUAGAUUACUCUGUUGGUUGUACAAUUUAUUCUAUUAAUUGCUAAAAGAAAAAAAAGACUAUGCUGCUAUAUUUCCCUUGAAAAUAUUGUUGUAGUGGGAUUCUCCUACACUUCUAAGCAUACAUCAUGAAAAGAGAGAUAGUGCCAAGUGAGCAAUGAGUUCUUUUUAGGAGAAAUUAGCAAGUUAAUCUGUUCUCUAACUUUACAAUGCAAUAAUGCAGAUGGCAGAUGUUGAACUCUUUAUGUUAUAUUUCAGGUAGAGAAGAAAAAUGUUGUCCUGAAAUUAGAAAGCGAUAGAUUGAUUAUGUUUGACCAUUCUACUCAUUUAGCCAAGCUUCUAUUACCUUUUGUUACAGCUGUCGAAAGGGGCUUGCUUAAGAAGCAAUAUUAACCAUGAUGGCAUUUGCAAUAGAGAGAAAUUUGGAAUUCACACUUUCAGAGCAAAAAUUAUUCUCCUGUGACCUCUCACCUAUCACAAGAACCCCAACCACUGGAUGAAGCGGGCAUAGUACAUGUAUAUGCAAUAGUAGCACCCAUUAAGAAUAGGUAUGUUCCAGUGUCUCUCGUGUUGCUUUAUUGUGUCGUUAACUCCAUCUUGGUAAAUGAUAAUCUCUGCUACUGUUGAUGUUUUGCACUAAAAUUUUCUCUUUCAUGUCAAUUUCCAUUACAGUAAUACUCAUUGUCAUCUAGACACACCAAUUGAUAGAUAUCUAGGAUGGGGAUUAAAUAGGCCUAACAAAAAAAUACAGCUUGACAUUUACCACUCAAAAUUUACUCCAAACCAAAUAAUAUAGAACAACAGUGUGCAUGAAGUACUACAUUGCAUCAUGUAAAUGACAAACCAGCAAAUGAAAUGUUUAUCAUAAUGUUGGUGAGUAGAAAUGUGUCAUGGUACUUGCAUUGUUGACCAAAAUGUGUAGUUGAUAUGUGCCUGCAUCAUACAGAUAAUAAUAUGACCUCUGAAACAGAAGGAUAGAACCCUCUUGCACAUAGGAAUUGUUAUAUCAAGAUGGACCCUUUUUUGGCGGGGAAAGAUGGACCUUAUUAACUGAUAUGAGUAAAGUAAGCUACUGAAACACAUGAAUAUAGCAAAAUCACAACUCCAACAAUCUAAAACCGAUUUGGACUGGAAAGAAAGAAUGAAAUAACGGUACAAAAUUCAAUUUCCACGAGAAAGAGAAUAUGAAACAUUAAUUUAUUUACAUGAUCAAGCUGAGGCAGGGCUAUCUCUAUUCUCUAUGAUCAGUCGCCCACCACUGUUGUUAUUGGCAAUAAACAGAAAUAUGUGGUUGUGCACAACUCACAGUGCUGCCCUCUCCCUGAUGAAGCUACAAACCAUUAAUUUCCCAUAAAAUGCAUAUACUACACAUGCCUUCGUUGAAAAUGUACAUAACAUUCAUAGAAAAUAAGACAACAUAAAUAACACCAGGCCAAAAAGAUACAAUUAGCAAACUAAAUUCGUGUUCACUUUUAUAGUUACUUGUUUUAUUGUAUAGCUACAUAAAGAAUAAAUCAAUUAUUUACAAAUUGCAACUUGUAUGAGCGAACCACUUAUGCAUGUUAACAGAAUUGCAUGUAUAAAGUAUUAAAAACUGCCUGAUAAAAUGAGAAUUAGUGAAUAAUUAAUUUGCCCUCGUAAGAACCACUUAUGCAUAUAGCAAACCAUAUUCAAUUAUCUCAGGGUCAAAAACACAUUUUCUGAAUGCUUUUAAUUUUUGUUCAGUGUACUAUGAGCUGAGUAAUGUAGUAGUAGUUUAGGUUUUAAGAUUGUUGCAUUUCUCAAGGAUCAAUUGGAUUUGCUUGAUUGGAUUCCCGUAAGUACAAUUGAUCAGACUAGAUAUGCAAAAUUGAUAAGAGGGAAAUUCAUCUAAACCUUUUGUAAACCUUUUGGCGUGGGAACUGGGAACUAACUUAUUCUUUUAGGUAGAUACUGCUUUUUUAGCCAGGAUUCAAAUCUGGCUAAGAAACAUGGUUGGUGAUAGGUUACAAACAUGUUGUGUCAGAGGCAUGUUGUGCGUGUUAUGUUAAUCAGUACUAGCUUCUUACAUGCAUUUCAGUGUUCAGUUGAGUGUUUAGUUGCAGAGAACACUCUAUUUGGUUCAAAUUAAAUAGAAUGUUACAGUGUCUGUCCAGUAGUAAAAAUACAUUCCUGUUUUUUCAAGGAGAAAGUAAAAGAACUUUUAAUCAUGCUCAGAGACCGAGGGAUAGUCAUGCACAAAAAUUAGUUUUAGUUAGAACUAUGUGAUUCCAGACUUACCAUAUUCAUGCAUGACUUUUAAGAGAUUGUAGCUGUUUGCAUAAGAUAUUUGUGAUGCUUCUGGAUGAAUUUCAUAAUUGCUCCUUAUAUGAAAACAAUGAUUUACAACCAGUGGAGCAAACUACUCAGGAGAAACUAACUAGCUAGGGGAUGAAAACAAUGAUUUACAACCAGUGGAGCAAACUACUCAAGAGAAACUAACUAGGGGAUGUCCUUCGCAGGUUAUUCAAAAAGCUAUCUGUGGAAAUUGUACUAAUAUUUUGCUGACCAUAGGGGAUAUUCUUCGCAAGCUAUUCAAGAAGCUAUCUGUGGAAAAUAUACUAAUAUUUUGCUGACAAGUAGCCAUUUUACUUAGUGUUUGGUCAGAGAUACUAGCUAUCCCAGCCCACAUCCCUAAAGGACAUCACUACAAAGUAUAAAUUUGUUGGAAACUUGGAAAUGGUAGGUUCAUAACCAACAGCAUUCUGCUUGUAGGUUUAGCGUCAGUACUUGGGAUUUUGCAUUUAUAUGCUUUUCCUCAAUAGGUUUAGCAUAAUUUAGUGAUCCUUCUUGUGUACCUCACCUUUUAUAUUAGAUGAAAUGCACAUAUUUUUUAUUAGUGUCUAUCAUUCAACCGUGUAAACAACAGAUAAUAAAAAUUAUGUACAGGCGGCGCGCCAUUGGCGCGCCCCAGCAUCUAGUAAGAUUAAAAGAUGGAGGAAUUUUUUUGAAGUUGUCGUUUGUGUAAGCUAAUGGAUAAAGGGAGGAAUAUGGAUUAGACUUUUGUAGGAUUAGACUUUGUUGACUUAGGCUUGGAAUGACCAAUGGGUACAAGAAGGCCCCAAAGCUUGCGCUCCAAUUUGUGCCUUUCAGUGCUUCUCAAAGAUCAAGAUCUAAGCGCUGAAAAUGCCAUCAUCAGCCCAUCACAUUUAUCUCUCAACAGUUUGUGAACGCAGCUCAGCAUGUUUACAGUUCAAUUUGACGGUGUGUUACGGUUUGACAUUUUAGUAGGUUUUCAACUUUGGACUCUGCCUAAGUAUUGCGUGCCAAAAGCUCUGCUGUGGAAAUAGAUUGCAGUAGAGGCUUAAUCUAUGUGAUGGUGAUGCAUGGGCCAAAAUAUCAUAUUGCGAGAGAGGCAAUCCAUUUUGUCACAAGAGUCUCUCUCAAAAGGUCCAGGUUGUCCACAAGAUUACAUUUGACAUGAAUUUAUAUCAGCGAUAAAUUUUAGUGGAGAAGAAAUGCAGAGCAUGUAUGAAGCCUACAUUCUGCCGAUCGAAUUCUAUAACAGGAGAAUUUAUUACUAAAUAACAACCUUAUUUAGAUAGAUACUUCAACAGAUUUAUUGAAGAGGAGGCCAAGUCUUGGAUCGAUGGUCCAAUAUAUUCGUUGACAGUCAGCUUAGAUGCCACUCCCAAGUAGAGCCAUCAGGAAACUCUUGUAGUCACCAGAUGUAUCGUUGCCGAUGGCUUUCUCCAGGGCAACCGAGGCCCUCUUCUGGAACGCGUCCUUGAUGCCCUUGAGGUCCUUCUCCGCGUGCAGCACGAUCACACGGGUCAGGCUGUCCUCGUUAGUCCCUGACUUGUGCAUCGCGUUCCUUAGCACCUGCAUGCAUGCGUACAUACGUGCACAAUUUGCAGACGCGAAAUUCAGUUCAGCUUCAGUUUAUCUAUCUCGAUGCUUCGCUACUACUCCAGCUAGCUAGCUCAUCCUCACCUUCACGAAGUACUUGUUCGCAUCAGAGAUGCACCUUAACGCGGUUCGCAGCGCGUGCGAGUAGCCUGUUGGAUCAGCUCCAUGCUGCAGUGCCUGGUGAUCAAAACGCGGAGCAUGCAGCUGCGUUAACCAUCAGGCAUAUUAUAUAUUUGGACAGAGGAAGCUCAAGUAAACCUUGGUGAUACUAGUGCCGCGCUCAUCUCUGAACCAGCUGAAUGUGGCGUUGAGCUGCGCUCUGCUUCUUGUACCGACUAUCCGAAUGAGUUCGCCGUGAUCUGUGUCACCAUUCGUUACAGUCUCAUGGAGAAUCUUUGCCUCCGAUUUAGCCAAUGCAUCGUUCACCUCGUCCCCGUCGUACCUGUAGGUGCUCACUAGAGCAAGCAGAAGCUGAAGCAGACGAGGAUACGUAGUAGAUUAAUUAGCUCGAAGCAACAGGGACGAUGAAACACAUAACAGAGAUAUUCUGUACUAGCGAGAGUACGCACACUGCGAAGAUUUCCAGUGGCGCGAGCGGCCACGUCUUCUUCUAGGGAGCACUUGUAGAGGACAUGGUAGGUUCGUUUUACCGCUAGAAGCUCCGAGGACGAGUUCGUGCACGCGAUCUCAACGAUGACAGCGUAGUCCUCGUGGAUGCAUUUCGUCGCGGUGUUCACCAUCACGGCCUGCCUCUCAACAGGGUCAAGUACCCAGUGGUACAUCGCUCUCUGCAGUUAAAUAUAGUUAGAAGGGGGAAAGAAGAAUCACAUACUUAACUAGCUUUGGUUUAACUAAUUUGAGUUCUUGUGGUGUGUUUAUGAAGAUUUGCAGCACUCUUACCUCCAAAUCACCAGAAAGUUCAGACUGAAGACGCUGGAUGAGGUUUUCGUUGUAGUUCUCUUCAUAGGUCAGUCUGAUCUGCUUCCUCUGAGUUGCGUCCCGGUGAGCUAAUACGCCUAUUACUGCCUGCUCAUCAGUGCCCCAGCCUGCACCAUAAAAAUAGUUCACUGGAUCAACAAAGUUUUUCCGAUGGAACAAUGCAAAGAGAAAACAGUGCUAGUGUUGAAUAACUUUUCGUUUCUGGAAGGCUGGAACUAAUAACUUGUUCAGUCUUUACAAUCGAGACAAAAAGGGCAUUUAAUUUUUUGCCAUUUUUAAGAUGUGGCAGUUAAGAAUUUAUCACUCGUUGUCUAUAACAUAUGGGUUCUCGUGUAUCUACGACAUGUGGGCACAAUUUGAAGACCCUUUUAUAUGCAAAUAAUGAACUUUUGUCACCAAAUAUUUGAACCUAGUUUUCCAGUAAAUUUCAGUCACAUUUGUACCCGUUUGAUUUUAUAACCUAUGGUGGUAGAUAAUCCAUGUUUUCUGCACAAACUUAUUGAGCAAUUUGAACGGGUUUGGGCUUCUGUUUGUUACCCCCCGAUUUGUGGACUUCUGCGCUAGCUAUGUCGGCCUUAUUUUGUAGCUUUCUGGUAUGGUCUUCCAUCUUAAUAAGUGGGCUUCAUUCGACUUAAGAAAUUUUACGUGUUUUUGGAAGGAAUACCAAGCCUGAACAAAACAAAAUAAGUACCUUCACGAAAACACACUAGGCCAUACACAUGAGGAAAACCAGGUGAUUUCUGUGCUUUGUUGUGGAAAUCGCUAAGUACUAUUUUCGUUUUAAGUUAGACGUUUUGACUUUGGUCAAAGUCAAACUGUUUCAAGUUUGACUAAAUUUAUAAAUAAAUAUAGUAAUAUUUAUAUUACUAAACUAGUUUCAUCAAAUCAAUAAUUGAAUACAUUUUCAUAAAAAAAUUGUCUUGGGUUGAAAAUGUUACUAUUUUUUUCUAAAAACUUGGUGAAACCUAAAGCAGUUUGACUUCAAAAUGUUUUAUAACCUGAAAUGGAGGGAGUAAAUUUUAAUAUAUUUUUUAGAUAAUCGAGUUAGGAGUAAAAAAAAAUGAUACCCACACUUUAAUGUGAAACAUUUUUUUAUUUAUUUUUAAAUAUAUUACAAAAAGAUAGAUCUAUGGAAAUAUUAUGGGUGAUGUCAUGAUGAUUGGAUAUGCUUGCAUGUUAAUUUAUAUAAUUAAAUAUAUUGUAGAUGAUAUUGCAUGCAUACAUGAGAUUAAAUAUAUAAUUAUAGCUAGUGGGUGAUAAUGUGGCAUGGUUUUAUGUUAAGCUUUAGACUUAGCGGGUUGUAAAUUUAUAGAAAUUAUAGAUGAACAAACAAUUACAAAAGAGUAUUACAACUAACAGGGUACAAUAGUUGGUACAAAGAAAUAUGAUAAAUAUUAUUUAAAAAUUUUCUAUACCAUAGAGUAAAAAGUUGCAGUAUGUAUAAUUUACACCGCAAAAUAUAACAAACGUAUAAGCAAUUUGAAUUGAUUAUAUUUCUAUUAAGAGCGUGAUCCAUGUAUUAAAAGAAAACGGCUAUAAUUCAUUUAUCCGGACACAAAAAUCCUUUUGCCUUUGUUAAUUUCCUCAGUAUAAUUGUAACGGGUGAAGAUAUGAACAGCAUUGUACCACUGAUGUAAAUCUGCAAUAUUUAGCUUCUCUAGCAUGUUUGGUUUGUUCGAAAGUCUACAAAUGAAAAAUUUUUGCAAAAAAAAAAAGGUAGCGAAGAAAUUUCAAUUGUAACUGAUGAUAAAUAUCAUGUGCGAUUUGUGAGAUAGAAAAAAUUAGCAUGUUCUAUACUUAAUAGAUGAGAAUACAGGCAGGAUAAAAGAAAUUUGAUUAAGAUUUAACAUCGCAUUGAUUGGGAUGUGAUUACAUGCAAAACUUUAGCUAUAUUCACGAUAAAAAUGAACAAACAACUGAAAAAACAGAACAACUAACAAAGUAAUGGUAGAAACAUUAAGACAACGAAAUAUUACUAAAAAGUUAAAAAAAAUUCAACUGUAUGAUAUACACUGAAAAAAGAAAACAUAAUCUGCGGGAUUAUAUUUUUUUUCACAUUAUAAUAUAUAUAAAUAUAUAAAACCACCCUUUUAACUAUGAUUUUCCUUGAUAAUUACAUUGGUUUAUUUUAAAACUAGGGGAUUGUCCCCGCAGUUUUGCACGGAGCUUGAUAUUUCAUGUAUAGAGUUAGAUUAAUAUGCAACUGAAAUUUUAUCUCUAUAGUUAUCAUAAUGUAAGUAUAUUUGGAUUUUAUAUACAUAUCUUAACUUCUAUUUCAAUAGAUAUAAUUGUAUUUUGUAUACAACUAUAUCAACCAAUCUGUACCGUUGAGAAUUUCUAGAUUGUAGAGCGAACGUGGUGCAUGCUUUUAAGGUUGUCUUUAAUACUACCUAUGUUUUUUAAUAUAUGAUGUCGUUGACUUUUUAAUCAAUGUUUGACCAUUCGUUUUAUUCAAAUUUUUGUGCAAAUAUUAAAAAAAUUUAAAUCAUCCUUAAAAAGCAUUUGAUCAUAAAUCAAGUCAUAAUAAAAUAAAUAAUAUAUGUAUAUAUAUAUUUAAUAAGACGAAUAGUCAAAUGUAUCUCAAAAGGUCAACAGCGUCAUACAUUAAACAACAUGGAGGAUAGAUAGAUUUUAUAAACAUAUGGGAUGUAACAGAUCAAAAUAACAACUGCGGCCGUAUGAAAAAAGAAGAAAAUAAAAAGGAAGAACAUUGUAUCCAAAAGGGCACACUUUGGACCCAACCGCUGUUGCUGUGUUUCCUCGAUUAGCCGGCUUCUAGUUCCUCAAUGUGCACAUCUAGUCCGUGUAAAUGCACUAGUCAGACCACUAUCUAUCAUCUUCUUCCUCCAGCCGAUAGAUCUACCACAACUAGCGGUGCAAACACAAUGGUGUGUUGUGCAGGAACAUGACCUCGGAUUUCUCUAAAGAGACAAAACACAUGCAAAAAAUAUAAUCUAGAUCUACGGAUUUGGGGGUGAAAUUUUUUUUAACGCACAAAUGAAUUGCACGUUAAUAUAUUAGUUGUUUGGGGGGGUGUUGAAAAAUGAGCACCUAAAAUUGCAACAAAAACUAAAUAUCGUCAAAAGGGCCAAGGGCCCCUGGUGAACAACGGGAAGACGUCGUUGGCGAGUCGCGAGCCCAUCUGCAGGAGGAUUAAUGGAGAAACUUGAGAGAUCCAUCGUAGAAAACUACAAAUCGAGCUCCUGGUAUGGAGCCUCUCUUUUCUUCUCGAAAUCAUCCACAUAGGAGUUAGGCGUUAUUCGAUACAGUGAACAACAGUAGCACAGAAACCCACGAAAGAAACUCUAACCAAAUGCAUUACCAUAUUUGACUUAAAAUUUGACUUAAAAUUUGCUACAUUUUAGAUGACUGAAAUCUAGCAAAUACCUUGAACCUAAUGCAUUACCAUAUAGCUAUAAACUAGCUAGAACAACGAGAGAUGGAAUACUACAGAUUAUAACCUUGGAAAGCCUUCAGGAGUGCAUCAGCAUCUUCAGCAGGAGAAGGGGUAACUGGAGGAACUACUAUCGUUGCCAUCACUCACCUUAUUCUUUCUCCAGGUAUAUAUUAUUUGGUUUCGUCGAGCUUUAUGUGGUAUUUAUAGAUUUGUCGUGGCAACGCCUUAUUCAACCACAUGGAAUUUAAUGAGAAUAAGAACCUCCCAUAAAACCUAAUGGCAAUUUAACGUUACUGUACGAACUAUAUAUUUUGCCUGGUUUAACCAUGCAAGUAACGGAAGUUACACUACAGCAUUGUCUUCACUGUUCCCAGAUAGUACAGGUCUUGUUGUGUAGAUAUUAUGGUCUGGCCAGCCGGUACAACACUGAACAAAUUAAGGCAAUUAACACGAAUAAGUAUCAACGAUUUUGCUUUAGAUGUGUGGACACAUGCAUUUCUCUAGAUAUCUUAGUCAAAUUCGCAAUGUUUUUUCCCCACAAAAAAAAAACAACCGCAAGUGUUAUAUAUAAGCUUUUGAGAGAUUUGUACGAUAUAUAGGCCAACUGGAUUUAGCGUUCGGACCCCAUUCAAUUUAUGUAGGCCUGGAUUAAUUAUAGGACAAUUUUGCUAUAUAUUUGUCGAUAAAUUUUCUUCCAAAAAUUUGACGGAUGUAAUUACACUACAAUCGUAGUGUAAUGACACUGCAACUUGUAUGCAAUUACACUGUAACUAUAAUAUAACUUGUAUGUAACUUUCAAAAAUCUCUCCGUAACUUGUUAUUUGGGUAAAAUGAAGGUUGUGGGAACAAAUUCUUUCACAUAUGUGUGUGUUAUGAUUUGUUUUCUUCCUCACCAAAACAAAUCUUGUAAUAGAUCUAACGAUUCAAAAUUACAUAAAACUUACAUAUAAGUUACGCUGUAGUUACAUAGAAGUUACAGUGUAAUUAUAUAUGAGUUACAAUGUAAUUACACUACGAUUGUAUUAUAAUUACAUCUGUCAAAUUUUUAGAAGAAAAUUUGUCGACAAAUAUAUAGGUGGUCCGCUGAAGCUAGUAGUUUGUUGACGCACGGGCCUGUAUAUGCAAAUGGGGUACAUAAAUUGCAUUGUUGGCCUGCUGCCAAUAUGGUUUCAAAUGACACUAGUUAGUUGCCUAUAUAUGCGUUGUAAUGAGAAAAAAAUUAUACACUCUUGUUGCAACAUUAUUUUAGCACACACAAUACUUAUGUCCCAUCUUAAUGGUUUUCACAUGUUAGUAACAUAAACGGCAAAAAAAUUAAUAAAAAUGAAAUAGAACAAUACAUCAUUAUUUCGGGUUAUCAAGUUCGCUUCAUCUCUAAGAGAAAAAGGAAACAGCUUCCACUUUAGAGUUUCAUGUGUCAUGACGAUGGAUAGGCAUGAACACACUAGCUCAAAGUCCCGAAGAUGGAAGUAUAUGUUUUCACCAAUACUCCUGGAGAAGAUUUGCUCUCGAAUCAAGGCAAUAAAGCUAGGACCAAUUUUGUAACCAUCCGAAAGGAUUGGUUUUGAAGAACAUGAUGGCUCACAAAGAUCAACCCGAGGAGCAGAAAGGAAUAAAAGAAGAAGGAAUAAAAAUAAAGAUACGAGGAUGACCUAGACUCGGAUAAAUUAGCAACCGUUCCCCGGCAACGGCGCCAGAAAUGUUUAUUGGUAUUUCUUAUGACCACAGAUAAAUCCACAAGCGCACGGAAUACCGCUGUAGCAUUUCACCUUCGGGUAACCCCAAAAGGGUAUUGAGCUCAGGGAACGUGUGUAAUCUAUCUAAGGCUAAGAUUAUCCAAGGACAACAACUAAUGGUAGGCUAGCUAGGCUAGACAGGACUUUCUAUGUGUUUUAAUUAUCUAAGCUAAGUGAAGGUAAUUUUCUGCUGGUCUACUAGCGUGGUUCCGGCUAUAGCUCUAUGAUGUACCCGAACGUGGAGGAUUACUAGGAUGAGAUUCAGAGCUGUCACCACCUGCCGUCUACCUCUGACAAAUCUGUAGGAUACAGAACAAACAAAAGGUAAUCUCUAACCUAGACACCACGCCUAAGUUAUUAAUUAUUACUCUAAUACUUGCGCAGGAACUUCCUUCUUUAUCAAGAGUCCUAGUACUAGAGCACUUAGUAUGAAUACUAAACAAUGAACCCGCAAAGAUGGAAACCUAUCUCACUUAGACUAAGUAAUUAAAUAGCACAAGAAAGGAUCUCGAAUACUUAAUUUAUAGAAGAAAUUUCUCCGAACCUUGAGCAGAGCAUACCGAUAGCUCCGAUACUCCUCCAGAAUUCCUCCUAGAAAGCUACACUCAUCAAGGCAGAAGUCAGAGAGAGCGCCAAACUUUUGGGCACUCCUCUAGAGCUUCUCCUCACUCUCUACCUAUUUCUAAUGUACAAAAGAUACAAUAGAGCCUCUUGUAAUUCAGCUCAAAGUUGUGUGUUGGUGAAGUGAGAUGAGCUCCUCCUUUUAUAGCCUCCAUAUGAUGGUUACAGCUAUGUGAAAUGUCCAAUUUGCCCUCCAACCAUCAUUGUGAAGUCAUCAGGAACGUACACGUGGAAGGCAAGGAUGAGGGGCGCCUAUGGUGGUUCGACCGAACCCUGGGCCCCACCUCCUAGCCUCUCCUUUGGCAGGGACACUGACUGGUUGGCCCUGAUGGCGGUUAUGACAGUUAUGACCCAUUCCGUGGCAGUAUCACCUGACUUGUGGGCCCUCCAAUCCGUGUACUUGCGUCUGAUUGGCCGGAGGUGUGUUUCCUUGUAUGCCGGGUGUGUUUUCUCCUUAAAAUACUUGCAUACACAUAUUUCACCAACACUAGUGGAAUUGAUUAGUAAUAAUCCCUACCACUAAGUUGGAUACCACAUUUUAUUUCAUUGUAUGCAAGUAUUGACGGUCAGAUAUUAUGAUUUAAGGACCGUCAACAGUAACCUCAUUCCUUCGUUCCAACAAAAUCUAAAGAACUCACAACUCCAAUGAGGAUCAAACUUAUCACCUUGACAAUAUUCUUCAUCCUGAUCACCUUGAUAAUAUCUAUCAUCUCGGUGAUGUCUAAAAUUCUGAAAUUCCUCUGAACUUGUUUGUCAUGUCUCUUCUGGUACUUGUUAAUCAAUCUAAUGCUAUCAAUCAUGGCAUACACCAUAUUUACAGGAAAAAGGAUGUCCAUCAAUCUUCAUCGACCUUUUUCCAUCAUCAAACUUGAUUCUUCCUUGUUCGAUGGCGGAUUGGAUUUGCUGCCUGAACACCUUGCACCCAUUAGUAUGAUGAGAUCCUGUAUUGUGCCACUUGCAAAACUUCCUCUUCUUCAGCUCUUCAGCCGAUGGUAGAACAUGACCUACUAGCAACUGGAUUUGCUUUUCUUGCAACAGUAAAUCAAAGAUUUUGUUGGCUUUAUUGAUAUCAAAGUCAUAUUCCUCUUCCUUGUUUAUAUACUUAACCCAUUGACACAUAGUUGUCUUCUUGAUCAUGGACCACUCUGCCAAACUGAUCUCUAGGUCUUCCUAGUUGUCUUCUUGAUCUUGGACCACUUAGCCAAACUGAUCUCUAGGUCUCCUCCUCAGAAUCAUAAACAUAUCUAUAGACGUAGUUAACCUUCUUGACCUUCUUGGCCUCCUGAAAACGUUGCUCAUGAGCCGAUACCUUCUGAGCCAGAUGUGCUAAGCUCUCAAAGUCUUGUGAUGAAAAUUUCUCUCUUAUCGACCCAAUCAAUCACUGGAAAGCCAAAUCGACUAGCUGUGAAUCGGUGUUGACGGUCGUUAUCGAUCAGUUGCGACCGUCAAUAUAACCAAAAUUUAGGAGAACUAGUGAUGCUUGCAAUGCAUAUAUCUGUUAAAAUAAUAAUAUUCCACUAGUAUUAGGUACAGUAACCUUUUGCAGAGAAUGACAAUAAAGUGGAGGAGAAUCGACAUCAACUCAGACGAUAAACCAAUCGGACAGUGUCGAGAACCAGACUUAUGUAUGAAUGGGCCAAGAACUCAGAAAUAACACAACACAUUGGGCCAAAAUUCACAAGUCUACGAAGGAGGACUACGAAGGAGGCCGCUAGCCAAAGAUGGGCUGGGUUGAGCCAACCCAUGGUUCGGGGGGUUCGGCUGAACCUCCCGUGGCGCCGAUGGAUGCAAGGUUUGGAUGGACGGCUGGGAUUGAUCCCCAAUGACGGUAGGAGGGUAUUACCGACCAUUCCAACCGUCGCAACCGUCAUUACCUACCUAUAAAAGGAGCUCCUCUUCUCACUUCACUCACACACCUCAAGCAAUAGCUCUCCCAUUUCUCUCAAUUUUAGUUUAGUAGUAUCUAGCUGGUGGAAUAGGAAUAGAGUAGAAAUCAGGAGUCCGGAAGUCUUCGGAAGAGUUCGGGUAUGGCUCUAGCAGCUUUCCUUUCUUCUUUUGUAAGCUUUGUACUUUUAUUAAAAUAAUCUUCUAUAUACAUUUACAAUAUUGAAAUACUUUCCGAGAAUAUUAGUACCUACUUUACACUAUGUUCAUGUUAUACUGAAUAUACGGCUAGCUUAUCUGGGAGAUGCUUUGGUGCGGGUAUAAUGUUUGCUUAUGCAAUUACUCUAUGUCAUGACGAUGAUAUUAGAGUAGUAUCUGGUAGUUUAGACGUGGUGUCUAGAUUACGGGAUAUCAUUAUUUGGGGUUAUAUAUUGCGGAUGAGAGGUGGCCGCUUAUGGUGAUAGCUCAGUACGGGUAUUCCUCCGCGCCGGUAUAUAAUCCUAAGUUAAUUUCCUGGGGAGGGUAUUCCUCCGUAUUUAGCCCCGGUUGUAUAGUCAUGACGGGCUGUCGUAAGAAACUCAGCAGUCAGGGGUGGUUACUCGAAGUAACAGGAGCGCAUCGGAAAGAGGGUAUUAGCUAGUAUAUCAGUUAACAAGAAUGUAUGUGUACUAUGUAUAUUAGAAGUAUAGGAAUAGAUUAUCUGUCUCUUUUCUAUCCACUUAGCUUAGAUGAUUUAUCAUGAGAAUGAGUAGUUCAUGCUUGUGUGUCACUCUACGCUUUGAUUAUCUUAACCCCUGUUUAGAAUACGAUUAUCACAAGUAAUAUAUAAAUUAUUAGUCAAGCUCUCUCUACAUGAUCUUCCCACGGGAUAAAAUAAAUACGAUACCCUUAGAAUACUCUCGGGUGAAAUGCUAUAAUGGUAUAUCCAUGCGCUUGCGGAUGAACUCUGUAACCAUAAUAUACCAGAAGUAUUUCUGCGCCAUUGCUGGGAAUUAUAUUUUUAGUAAUGUCGUUAAGAAAUACCAACAAGCAUUUCUGGCACCGUUGCCGGGGAAGAUUCAUAAUAGAGAUAACUUGAACUAAUACUUUUUAUUUACCUCUGUAUAAUCAUUUUCCUUUGCAAGCUAACCUUGGUUGUUUUCACUAUUUGUUGUGGAAACAGGGUAGUGAAUGACUGGUUUCAACCUGUCGGAAAACUUUAAAGAAAAUCCAGAAGCUUUCUUCCGGAGUGUCAGGCCGCGAGUCGUUGCUCCGAAGAAAAGUUUACCGAUAGAAAAACUAGCAAUACCAGUGCCCCCGACCUUCAAGACUAUGGCUAGCAGAACUCUUCGUGAGUUCGCUGCUCCCUCUGCUGACAAUGUGGCCACUAGGCUGCAGGUCAACAUAGGAGACGUGGAUUUCGACUUGAAGUCCAGCCUUAUUACGAUGGCACAGGGUAGCCCGUUCUGUGGAAAGCCUAAUGAGGAUGCCUAUGCACAUCUGCAAUAGUUCCUGGAGAUCUGUAGCACGUACACCAUCAAGGGCGUCAAUCUCGAUGCCGUCAGGCUGAGACUGUUCCUGUUCUCCCUCCUCGGGAGAGCGAAGCAGUGGUUCUACACCAACCGUGUUGCUGUCAACACCUGGGACAAAUGCUCUACGGCAUUCCUCUCAAAAUUCUUCCCGAUGGGCAAAAUCAAUGCCCUGCGUGGACGAAUUUCAAGUUUCCAGCAAACAAGGGACGAGUCCAUUCCUGAAGCAUGGGAACGACUGCAAGAGUAUGGUUGGAAAGUAUAAAGUUCUCUGCUCCUGUUGAGUGCACUUCUCUGAUUACUCGGAUAGCAAAAGGGCUAGGGGUCAUUAGCGACCAAAUUGCUUUUAUCUCAGCCGCUCGUCCGCGUAUUGAUAAAGCUUAUCUAGUGCAAGGGCAUAUUCUGAAACGUGGAGUAGAUGGAUCUUUGGUAUACUUUUUCCCCGGUUGUACAAAUGGAAUCCCGUUGCCAAAUGCGGGGUAUCAUUUGUACAACUGCCAUGAACUAACCAUUCCCGUGCAGACCAUAGAGGAAUCUCGUGCAGGUGGAACAUACAGAGAGACGCGCAACAUGACAAGGAAUGAACGAGAAAGUUCAUCAUCCUCGACACCCGUGCAGAUGUAUGAGGCAGGAUGGGCACCAACUGGGGAUGCACCCGGUUGGACCCAAGCUCCACGCCAUAGCAUCGGAGUCUCAACUUGGGCAAGCGCCAGUGAGGAUCGGUGGCAUGCGCCUCAUGACAUCCAAUGGGGGGACAAUUAACCUCCCAGGUCAAGUGGUGUGCCUCCAUCUCCAAGUGAAUGGCGCUCGAGUUCUUCCCGUUGGGACUUGAGUGAAAUCAUUAGGAGAAUGGACACCCUUGAUAUACAGAUAGGGGAAAUCCAGUACAACCUCACGGAACACGUAGCUCAAACACAAGAAUGGCAACAAUCUGCUGAUGCUCAAUUCGCCAACAUCAACGACAUGAUGCAGCAAUAGCACGAUAACCUUCAGGUGUACUUUCGUUUUCAGGGGUUCAAUCCUUAUCAAGGACGCUGAGCGAAAGCCAAGCUUGGGGGGGGGGAGACAUCGCUCCCCCCCCACUGAGGUAACUUGUAUCACAUUGCAUAUUUCUCUUAUCAAAUUACAUAUUUGCUUUCCAAUUGCAUCUUAUAAAAAUAAAAACAACAUAAAAAUGUGCAAAAUAGAAAAUACCAAAAAGAUAGGAUAGGUUUGAGUCAUGCUAGGUAAGACAAGCUAGUUCUCCUUGUUGAAAUGAUGAAUAGUUGCUCUGUUUUAUAUCUCUGAUAUAUGGGUUCUUGGUAAGUGCUCUCUCAAAGGUUAAAUAUAAGUAGCCAACAAUUAUCUGGGAACCUGAGGUAAAUGAGCUGCACUUGCUGAUCUGAGUCUAAGUUGUUGCGAGAUAUGAGAUAGUAAAUACGAGUUACUAUGAUCCUGAUACUAGUUUGACUUGAAUUCCGGAUAUUUUGUUUUUAAAAAUGAUAAAUUUGAGAGUUCCUCAUUUGAUAUAAAUUCCUACCAGAGCCAAAAAUAUGCCAUCAUGAUUAAACCAUAUACAUUUUGGUUGCUUGCCAUUCCAUUGAACAUUGUCAAACUCUUGUGACUUGUAUAGAUACUUCUCAUGCUCUAUGAUCAAGAUCAUACACCCACAUAUAUGAACAUGCUAAACUAAUACACUAGGAGCUAAGCAAUAUUCCAUUCCAUUUCCAUAUUACCACCAAAAUAAAUUCUCCAUGCUUUCAUAUGCUUUUUUCUCCUAAAGAGAAAAGUCCUUUUGAAAAAAAAGAGGAGGGAAAGGCAUGGUUAUGAAAAAAAAAAUUCAUGCUCCAUCAAGCUUGAUGUAACACCCCAGCCCGUUUGAAGCCUAGUAGUGUGUGUUUGGCCCAUGUGGUGUUUGGCCCAUGUGGCCCAGAAGUGGAUGUGUAGUGGUGGUUUAUUACCACCUUGGAAGUUUAGGUGGGUGAGGUCCUGCUUAUAAGCCUUGGUGCUCCAACCAUGGUAUCCCUGGGUUAACUCUUUUACACGAAGCGAGGACGAAUGUGUAAGUGGGAUACCAUGCGAACGUGGGUCCGCUCAACGUGUAGAGCAGACUAAUGCGGAUUUUGGAGGCAGGGUGUUACAGUUGGUAUUAGAGCGUAAACCUCCGCUGUAUGAUGCAUGUGCUUUGGGCCAUGGUCUGCACCGGAGGGGGUUCUGGGCCUCUGCCAUGUAAACGGUGUGCUGCCGGGGCGUUAGCCCUUAAGCGGGGGUGAAUGUAACACCCCAGCCCGUUUGAAGCCUAGUAGUGUGUGUUUGGCCCAUGUGGUGUUUGGCCCAUGUGGCCUAGAAGUGAAUGUGUAGUGGUGGUUUAGUACCACCUUGGAAGUUUAGGUGGGUGAGGGCCGGCUUAUAAGCCUUGGUGCUCCAACCAUGGUAUCCCCAGGUUAACCCUUUUACACGAAGCGAGGACGAAAGUGUAAGUGGGAUACCAUGCGAACGUGGGUCCGCUCAACAUGUAGAGUGGACUAAUGCGUAUUUUGGAGGCAGGGUGUUACACUUGAGCAUGAUGUUGAAAAGAAAAAUGUAGCCAUGCCCUCUCCUAAGCAAUAAAAGAAGGAUUUUUGGGAGAAGAAAGUAAGCACAAAGGAGAAGUGUUUUCUUUAUUUUUCUUCAUGUACCAUUUCCACCAUACACCACACACACAUUUUGCACGAUCUUGAUCUUGAGUAUGUUUAGUCAUCUGCUUUAGUCUAAAUUUUUGACUUAGUAAUAAAUGUGAAUGCAAGUAUGCCAUGUUUGAUCCCUACCGAGCUCCACAUAUCAAACUCUAGAGUAGGAAUCAUAAAGGCAACAUUUGGUGAGGAAUUCAUAUUGAUACACUUAGAGAGAUUGAGUGAAUCAAUUGAAGAACUUGGUUUUCUUUUUCAAAAUCAUUUGAAAACUUCCGAAAGAAGAGUUGAAUAAAGAUUGGGUGAUUGGUACUCUAAAUUGCUGUUCUUUCUUUUAACCGCCCAAGGCAAGGAGAAGCAGUGUCUCGUGGGAAUCAGGGGUAAGGGUAACCACCGUGCCAAAGAUUAUUUAAUCUCAGAGAGAGUACAUAUACCUUACACCUGUAUGUUUGAGAUAUGCAGCAUAGUAGCAACUCCUGAUCAACAACCAAGUCUUUGUUUACUUUCGUCCUUCACUCGGGACGAGCAAAGGUUAAGCUUGGGGGGUGUUGACGGUCGUUAUCGAUCAGUUGCGACCGUCAAUAUUACCAAAAUAGAGGAGAACUAGUGAUGCUUGCAAUGCAUAUAUUGUUAAAAUAAUAAUAUUCCACUAGUAUUAGGUACACUAACCUUUUGUAGAGAAUGACAAUAAAGUGGAGGAGAAUCGACAUCAACUCAGACGAUAAAUCAAUCGGACGGUGUCAAGAACCAGACUUAUGUAUGAAUGGGUCAAGAACUUAGAAAUAACACAACAUAUUGGGCCAAAAUUCACAAGUCUACGAAGGAGGACAACAAAGGAGGCCGCCAGUCGAAGAUGGGCUGGGUUGAGCCAACCCAUGUCUCGGGGGGUUUGGCUGAACCUCCCGUGGCGCCGAUGGAUGCAGGGUUUGGAUGGAUGGCUGGGAUUGAUCCCCAAUGACGGGUGGAUGGUAUUACCGACCAUUCCAACCGUCGCAACCAUCAUUACCUACCUAUAAAAGGAGCUCCUCUUCUCACUUCACUCACACACCUCAAACAAUAGCUCUCUCAUUUCUCUCAAGUUUAGUUUAGUAGUAUCUAGCUGGUGGAAUAGGAAGAUAGUAGAAAUCAGGAGUCCGGAAGUCUUCGGAAGAGUUCGGGUAUGGCUCUAGCAGCUUUCCUUUCUUCUUUUGUAAGCUUUGUACUUUUAUUAGAAUACUCUUCUAUAUACAUUUACGGUAUUGAAAUACUUUCCGAGAAUACGAGUACCUACUUUACACUAUGUUCAUGUUAUACUGAAUAUACGGCUAGCUUAUCUGGGAGAUGCUUUGGUGCGGGUAUAAUGUUUGCUUAUGCAAUUACUCUAUGUCAUGACGAUGAUAGUACGUUUUGUACCACAGUUGUCGCUGCCACCGUGUCUCUGUUGUUGUCAGGACCUACAAAAACGGAAUCGGCUCGCUGCCACGGUUCUAUUUUUGUAGUUUUCAGAAGUUUCUGUCGGUUAGUUUUGGAGUUCUUGAGUUGCAUCUGGAGUUUGCCGAUCCUUGUGUGUGUUUGUUUUGGCCGUGCCUGUGUCGUGCACGAGAGGAGGAAGGUGAAUUACCAUAUCUGAUUUUGGAAGUAGUCAAGUUUGUUUUGGAAAGAUAUAGUAGAUUGGAUUGGUUAAAAAUCAGUUUCCUUUUUAUCCCAUACACCAAAUUCGGCUGCCAUCCACUCCACCUCCUGGCCGAGUCCCACUCGCCCCUUUGGCCGAGUCCGACUCCCUCCCUCUCUUCCACGGUUCCGAGUUGUGUCAAACACCUUGGCGAAUUUUUGUUUGGUGUCGGUUUCGAGAUCUGUUUGGAAAAACGGAACCGGCAUAAAUUCAGCAUUCCAUUUUUUUUUUGUAUAAUUUUAAUUUUGGGUUUAGACUUUUACAUUUGAGUCCCUGUAAAUUUUAUAUUUAUGUUUGAGUCCCUGUAAUCUUACAUUAAGGUACUUGAGUCAGUUUUUGUUAAAAAAAAUCAAGAAAAAAGUGAGAAAAAAAAAGGCAGAAAGGUGAAAAAAAAAAGAAAACAAAAAGCCGCACCAAAAAAAAACAGAAAAGAAAAGGAAAGGAAAAAAAAGAAAAGAAGAAAGAAGAAAGAAAGAAAAGAGAAAAUACUGUUAUGUUUGAGCUGAACUUUAUAUAUCAGAGUUGUGCAUGAGUUGUUCCUAGUGCUAUCUUGUGGUAUCGUUUGUGUCUAGGCUCGCGUCUCUAGUACGUUCUAGCCUAGGACCAGCACGGUACUUGACUUUGAACAAUUAUUCAACUUUGCAUUAUCUGAUUUGAGCAUUUGCUAUUCCUUUGCUACAUAUUUAAGCCUACCCAGUGCUCCACAUAUUUGAUUACAGCCGUACCACAAGUGUUUGCCAAGGCAUCGAUACAUCCAACCUUCAUUGGGGUGCUUGGUUGAGUCGGUGUAUGUCACCAUUCCACUUGCAUUGGUAAGAUCUUGUAAGAGCUUGGUUAAAAGCUUGAGUGUGUGCGAUUUUUGAGCUGCCACUACCUAGUAGUUAAUAGGAACGCGCAUAUUUUUGUGUAUGUUUCUUGUUUUCUACUAACAAUGGCAGGGAUACGCAAGAUAAUUGGGGAUAGCUGUGCUCAACAUCGACAUCUUCGUCGAGACAUGAGGAGGGAUCAACAUGACCAUUAUGAGGUAAGUGAUGAUGUUCUAGGUAAGAUCAAAUCUGCACUGCCUUAUUUCGAGAGAAACUAUGAUCCUCGUGCUUACAUUAAUUGGGAGCUAGCGGUUGAUAGUGAAUUUCAAAAGCAUGUCUUGUUGGAGAAACAAAAGGUUAUGUGUGCCUCUAGUGUUUUAAUUAAACAUGCUUCUAAUGAUUGGAAACAUCUUUGUAGGCAUAACAAAAUACCACAAUCUUGGAAAGACCUGAAACGAUAUUCAGAGAUGUUUAUGUUCCCAUGUAUUAUGCUGACAUUUUGUUCAACAAACUGCAAUGUUUAAAACAAGAUACCAGAACUGUUACUUCAUACUAUCAUGAUAUGCAAGCUUGUUUAUUACGUUGUGGUUUAGAUGAAUGCGAAGAAGCUAAAGAAUUAAGGUUUUUAUGUGGGCUUAACAAAGAAAUUCAGGACAUGCUUGAUUGUCAAAGAUAUACAUCUCUUUCUCAUUUGUUACAACUUGCUUGCAAUGCUGAAAGUAAAAUAGAGGAGAGAGACAUGAAAGAGCCGCCAAUCCCAUUGUUCACACUCAAAGUCGAGGCACCUCCAUCAUCUGAAGAGGACAUCAAAGGUAAAGUAAAUGGUAAUAAAAUUAAUCAUGGUGAGUGCAUUGUUAACGAAGUAAAUUUGUCCACUUUUCAUACUAAAGUAGAGCAACCGUUAGUGGAAUCAAAUGCUGGAAUUCCUUUGUCACAAGUUGAUUUACUCGCCGUUCCUUGUGAUAAAGAAGAGUUGUGUGAUAAUGCUUCACUUAUAUUCAUGCCACAACUAGUGAAUGAACAUGCUAUUUCUAGUGUUUGUUUGUGUGUUGAUAUUAAGCAUGCUGUUCACAUUGCUAAUGAAGUUGAGGAACGUAAAUUGCUAUCUUCUUUAAAUACUUUGGCUAUGUUCAGUUUGAUGAUUUUUGUGAGCUCGAUAAUUUGAAGGAGAAAUUAUUUGCUAAGUCUGAUUUUCCAUGUCCAACUACUGCUAUUUUUCAUAUCUUUGGCAAAUAUAAUGAUAGAGGAAUAUAUUUGGUGCAUAGAGUUUUCAUUUGUUUAGAUUUAGAGAAACAUGUUAUUGCCAAUCACACUACUUCGAGUUUCUCUAGUUUUGAUUGGAUGAAACAGGUUAUUUUGAAUGGACUAUGUGAAGAACACCAUAUGGAAAAACCGAGGACGGUUUUCUGUGAAGAAGGGGACGAUGAUGUGACCAUGGCUACUACGGAUACAUCCGUUGCUCACAUCAUGGAUGAACAACAAGAUAUCAAGUUCGAGUCCUCCAAGUGCCGGAAUCCGAUUCGGCCACCUGCUACACUGCUGACUUCAAACGGCCGCCGAAUCUGCAUACGACCUCCGUUUUGGACCGUGAGUACUUGAUGGAAAGCUCUCGGAGCCCUCUUUCCAACGGAUCCAGCCUCAUCUCCGAAUUCCAUCUCGUGUGUCCGGACUCACACGCACAAGGCAUUGCGUCACCUAUAAUGGGCCUAUGGGCUUGUAACUUUAUUUGGGAUCCCGGCUCAGGUGGGGCCCAUGUGGGGUGCGCCCCAGCUAGGUGAAGCACGACCCUAGGCACCCCUAGGUCGUCCUCCCACCCCUAUUUAUAUAGCUAGGUACCCCUUUAGGGUUUCUUGGGUUUUGUUAGAUUAAAGUUUAGCCAUUGCUACUUGUUUGCAGCGCGCGUGUCGGCUAGACCGUCCGUCUGCUUGUUCUUCGGAACCCCAACUUAUCAUUUGUAUUAAAUUCCUAUUUGCAAUAUCAGAUUGCUUUUAUCUUGUUCUUGCUUGUUUCUUCGAUUUGCUUGCAGGAAUAGGGUUGAUCUGCACCGGCAAGAUCAACAACCCACGGAGAGGUGUAUCGAUCGCUAAGGCGCAACACAACGUCUCGUACGGUUGUAGUCGGAUCGUCAACGUUUCUCCCAAAUCGUAGUUAUCACAACUCACCGAAAGAUCGGGCCAACAACAGCCCUUAGGGUUCAUAAUAUUGGCACAAGAGGGUGCGAUGUUUUUGACCGGAAUCAAAAAGUUCAAAAAGCGCCAAAACAUGAUUUCUGGACAAAUUGGAGUAUAUUGGGUGCGUUCAUAGCAAAAACUCACUUCGUGAUUCGCGCAGCAAACUUUUGUCAAUUAAUGCCAAUAUUGGCACACGAGGGUGCGAUGUUUUUGACCGGAAUCAAAAAGUUCAAAAAAGGCCAAAACAUGAUUUUUGAACAUAUUGGAGUGUAUUGGGUGCGUACGUGGCAAAAAUUCACUUCGUGAUUCACGCGGCAAACUUUUGCCAAUUAAUGCCAAUAUUGGCACACGAGGGUGCGAUGUUUUUGACCGUCAAAAAGUUCAAAAAAUGCCAAAACAUGAUUUUUGGACAUAUUCGAGUGUAUUGGGUGCGUACGUGGCAAAAACUCACUACGUGAUUCGCGCGGCAAACUUUUGUCAAUUAAUGCCAACAUUGGCACACGAGGGUGCGAUGUUUUUGACCGGAAUCAAAAAGUUCGAAAAAGGCCAAAACAUAAUUUCUGGACAUAUUGGAGUAUAUUGGGUGCGUUAAUAGCAAAAACUCACUUCGUGAUUGGCGCGGCAAACUUUUGUCAAUUAAUGCCAAUAUUGGCACACGAGGGUGCGAUGUUUUUGACCGGAACCAAAAAGUUCAAAAAACGCCAAAACAUGAUUUUUGGACAUAUUGGAGUGUAUUGGGUGCGUUCGUAGCAAAAACUCGCUUCGUGAUUCGCGCGGCGAAGUUUUGUCAAUUAAUGCCAAUAUUGGCACACGAAGGAGCGUUGUUUUUGACCGGAAUCAAAAAGUUCAAAAAACGCCAAAACAUGAUUUUUGGACAUAUUGGAGUGUAUUGGGUGCGUUCGUGGCAAAAACUCACUUCGUGAUUCACACAGUGAACUUUUGUAAAUUAAUGCCAAUAUUGGCACACGAGGGUACGAUGUUUUUGACCGGAAUCAAAAAGUUCAAAAAACGCCAAAACAUGAUUUUUGGACAUAUUGGAGUGUAUUGGGUGCGUACGUGGCAAAAACUCACUUCGUGAUUUGCGCGGCGAACUUUUGAAAAGUUCAAAAAAUGCCAAAACAUGAUUUUUGGACAUAUUGGAGUAUGUUGCGUGCGUUCGUGGCAAAAACUCAAUUCGUAAUUCGCGCGGCGAACUUUUGUCAAUUAAUGGCAACAAUGGCACACGAGGGUGCGGUGUUUUUUGACCGGAAUAAAAAAGCUCAAAAAAUGCCAAAACAUGAUUUUUGGACAUAUUGGAGUGUAUUGGGUGCGUUCGUGGCAAAAACUCACAUCGUGAUUCACACGGCGAACUUUUGUCAAUUAAUGCCAAUGUUGGCACGCGAGGGUGUGAUGUUUUUGACCGGAAUCAAAAAGUUCAAAAAACGCCAAAACAUGAUUUUUGGACAUAUUGGAGUGUAUUGGGUGCGUUCGUGGCAAAAACUCACAUCGUGAUUCACACGGCGAACUUUUGUCAAUUAAUGCCAAUGUUGGCACGCGAGGGUGUGAUGUUUUUGACCGGAAUCAAAAAGUUCAAAAAACGCCAAAACAUGAUUUCUGGACAUAUUGGAGUAUUUUGGGUGCGUUCAUAGCGAAAACUCACAUCGUGAUUCGCGCGGCGAACUUUUGUCAAUUAAUGCCAAUGUUGGCACGCGAGGGUGUGAUGUUUUUGACCGGAAUCAAAAAGUUCAAAAAACGCCAAAACAUGAUUUUUGGAUAUAUUGGAGUGUAUUUGGUGCGUUCGUGGCAAAAAUCACUUCGUGAUUCGAGUGAUGAAAUUUUGUCAAUUAAUGCCAAUAUUGGCAUAUAUUGGCACAUGUGGGUGCUAUGUUUUUCACCGGAAUGAAGAAGUUCUAAAAGCAUCAAAACAUGAUUUUUGGACAUAUUUGACUGUGUUCGUUCGUGGCGAACUUUUGUCAAUUAAUGCCAAUAUUGGCACACGAGGGUGCGUUGUUUUUGACUGGAAUCAAAAAGUUCAAAAAACGCCAAAACAUGAUUUUUGGAUAUAUUGGAGUAUAUUGGGUACGUACGUGGCAAAAACUCACUAUGUGAUUCGCGCGGUAAACUUUUGUCAAUUAAUGCCAAUAUUGGCACACGAGGGUGCGAUGUUUUUCACCGCAAUCAAAAAGUUCAAAAAACGCCAAAACAUGAUUUUUGGCUAUGUUCGAGUGUACUGGGUGCGUUCGUGGCAAAAACUUACUGCGUGAUUCGCGCGGCAAACUUUUGUCAACUAAUGCCAAUAUUGGCAUAUUUUGGCCGAAACGGGUGCAAUGUUUUUGACCGGAAUGAAAAAGUUCAAAAAGCGCCAAAACAUGACUUUUGGAUAUAUUGGAGUGUAUUGGGUGCGUUCAUAGCAAAAACUCACUUCGUGAUUCGCGCGGCGAAGUUUUGUCAAUUAAUGCCAAUAUUGGCACACGAAGAAGCGUUGUUUUUUACCGGAAUCAAAAAGUUCAAAAAAUGCCAAAACAUGAUUUUUGGCUAUAUUGCAGUGUAUUGGGUGAUUUCGUGGUAAAAACUCACUUCGUGAUUCGCGCGGUGAACUUUUGUCAAUUAAUGAAAAUAUUAGCACACGAAGGAGCGUUGUUUUCGACAGGAAUCAAAAAGUUCAAAAAACGCCAAAACUUGAUUUUUGGACAUAUUGGAGUGUAUUGGGUGCGUUCGUGACAAAAACUCACAUCGUGAUUCGCGCGGCGAACUUUUGUCAAUUAAUGCCAAUGUUGGCACACGAGGGUGCGAUGUUUUUGACCGGAAUGAAAAUGUUCAAAAAGCACAAAAACAAGAUUUUUGGACAUAUUGGAGUGUAAUGGGUCCGUUCGUGCCAAAAACUCACUUCUUGAUUCGCGCCGCGAACUUUUGUCAAUUAAUGGCAACAUUGGCACACGAGGGUGCGAUGUUUUUGACCGGAACUAGAAAGUUCAAAAAACGCCAAAACAUGAUUUUUGGACAUAUUGGAGUGUAUUGGGUGCGUUCGUGGCAAAAAUUCACUUCGUGAUUCACACGGUGAACUUUUCUCAAUAAAUGCGAAUAUUGGCACACGAGGGUGCGAUGUUUUUGACCGGAAUCAAAAAGGUCAAAAAACGCCAAAACAUGAUUUUUGGACAUAUUGGAGUUAUUGGGUGCGUUCGUGGCAAAAACUCACUUCGUGAUUCGCACGGCGAACUUUUUUCAAUUAAUGCGAAUAUUGGCACACGAGGGUGCGAUGUUUUUGACCGGAAUCAAAAAGCUCAAAAAAUGCCAAAACAUGAUUUUUGGACAUAUUGGAGUAUGUUGCGUGCGUUCGUGGCAAAAACUCACUUCGUGAUUCGCGCGGCGAACUUUUGUCAAUUAAUUGCAACAUUGGCACACGAGGGUGCGAUGUUUUUUGAUAGGAAUGAAAAAGUUCAAAAAGCACCAAAACAAGAUUUUUGGACAUAUUGGAGCGUAAAAGGUCCGUUCGUGGCAAAAACUCACUUCGUGAUUCGCGCGGUGAACUUUUGUCAAUUAAUGCAAAUAUUGGCACACGAAGGAGCGUUGUUUUUGACCGGAAUCAAAAAGUUCAAAAAACACCAAAACACGAUUUUUGGACAUAUUGUAUUGUGUUGGGUGCGUUCGUGGCAAAAACUCACUUCGUGAUUCGCACGGUGAACUUUUCUCAAUUAAUGCGAAUAUUGGCACACGAGGGAGCGGUGCUUUUGACCGGAAUCAAAAAGUUCAAAAUAUGCCAAAACAUGAUUUUUGGACAUAUUAGAGUAUGUUGAGCGCGUUCGUGGCAAAAACUCACUUAUUGAUUCGCGCGGCGCGCGAACUUUUGUCAAUUAAUUGCAACAUUGGCACACGAGGGUGCGAUGUUUUUUGACCGGAAUGAAAAAGUUCAAAAAACACUAAAACAUGAUUUUUGGACAUAUUGGAGUGUAUUGGGUGCAUUCAUGGCAAAAACUCACUUCGUCAUUCGCGCGGCGAACUUUUGUCAAUUAAUGGCAACAUUGGCACACGAGGGUGCGAUGUUUUUUGACCAGAAUCAAAAAGUUCAAAAAGCGCCAAAACAUGAUUUUUGGACAUAUUGGAGUGUAUUGGGAGCGUUCUUGGCAAAAAGUCAAAUCAUGAUUCGCGCGGCGAACUUUUGUCAAUUAAUGCCAAUGUUGGCACACGAGGGUGCGAUGUUUUUGACCGGAAUCAAAAAGUUCAAAAAACGGCAAAACAAAAUUUUUAGACAUAUUAAAGUGUGGUGCGUGCGUUCGUGGCCAAAACUCACUUCAUGAUUCGCGCGGUGAAGUUUUGUCUAUUAAUGGAAACAUUGGCACACAAGGGGGCGAUGUUUUUGACCGGAAUCGAAAAGUUCAAAACGCGCCAAAACAUGAUUUUUGGACAUAUUGGAGUGUAUUGGGAGCGUUCUUGGCAAAAAUUCACUUCGUAAUUCGCGCGGCGAACUUUUGUCAAUUAAUGCCAAUGUUGGCACACGAGGGUGCGAUGUUUUUGACCGGAAUGAAAAUGUUCAAAAAGCAGCAAAACAAGAUUUUUUGAUAGAUUGGAGUGUAAAGGGUCCGUUCGUGCCAAAAACUCACUUCUUAAUUCGCGCGGCGAACUUUUGUCAAUUAAUGGCAACAUUGGCACACGAGGGUGCGAUGUUUUUGACCGGAAUUAGAAAGUUCAAAGAAAGCCAAAACAUGAUUUUUGGACAUAUUGGAGUGUAUUGGGUGCGUUCGUGGCAAAAACUCACUUCGUGAUUCGCACGGUGAACUUUUCUCAAUAAAUGCGAAUAUUGGCACACGAGGGUGCGAUGUUUUUGACCGGAAUCAAAAAGUUCAAAAAACGCCAAAACAUGAUUUUUGGACAUAUUGGAGUUAUUGGGUGCGUUCGUGGCAAAAACUCACUUCGUGAUUCGCACGGCGAACUUUUUUCAAUUAAUGCGAAUAUUGGCACACGAGGGUGCGAUGGUUUUGACCGGAAUCAAAAAGCUCAAAAAAUGCCAAAACAUGAUUUUUGGACAUAUUGGAGUAUGUUGCGUGCGUUCGUGGCAAAAGCUCACUUCGUGAUUCGCGCGGCGAACUUUUGUGAAUUCAUGGCAACAUUGGCACAUGAGGGUGCGAUGUUUUUGACCGGAAUCAGAAAGUUCAAAAAACGCCAAAACAUGAUUUUUGGACAUAUUGGAGUGUAUUGGGUGCGUACGUGGCAAAAACUCACUUCGUGAUUCGCACGGUGAACUUUUCUCAAGUAAUGUGAAUAUUGGCACACGAGGGUGCGAUGUUUUUGACUGGAAUCAAAAAGUUCAAAAAAUGCCAAAACAUGAUUUUUGGACGUAUUGGAGUGUAUUGGGUGCGUUCGUGGCAAAAACUCACUUCGUGAUUUGCGCGGCGAUCUUUUGAAAAGUUCAAAAAGCACCAAAACAUGAUUUUUGGACAUAUUCGAGUGUAUUGGGUGCAUUCAUAGCAAAAAUUAAAUUCGGGAUUCGCGCGGCGAACUUUUGUCAAUUAAUGCCAAUGUUGCCACACGAGGGUGUGAUGUUUUUGACAGGAAUGAAAAAGUUCAAAAAGCACCAAAACAAGAUUUUUGGACAUAUUGGAGUGUAAAAGGUCCGUUCGUGGCAAAAACUCACUUCGUGAUUCGCGCGGUGAACUUUUGUCAAUUAAUGCAAAUAUUGGCACACGAAGGAGCGUUGUUUUUGACCGGAAUCAAAAAGUUCAAAAAACAACAAAACACGAUUUUUGGACAUAUUGUAGUGUGUUGGGUGCGUUCGUGGCAAAAACUCACUUCGUGAUUCGCACGGUGAACUUUUCUCAAUUAAUGCGAAUAUUGGCACACGAGGGUGCGGUGCUUUUGACCGGAAUCAAAAAGUUCAAAAUAUGCCAAAACAUGAUUUUUGGACAUAUUAGAGUAUGUUGCGUGCGUUCGUGGCAAAAACUCCGUGAUUCGCGCGGCGAACUUUUGUCAAUUAAUGGCAACAUUGCCACACGAGGGUGCGAUGUUUUUGACCGGAAUCAAAAAGCACAAAAAACGCCAAAACAUGAUUUUUGGACAUAUUGGAGUGUAUUGCGUGCGUUCAUGGCAAAAACUCAAUUCGUGAUUUGCGCGGCGAACUUUUUUCAAUUAAUGCUAAUAUUGGCAUAUUUUGGCCCAAACGGGUACUAUGUUUUUGACUGGAAUGAAAAAGUUCAAAAAGCAGCAAAACAAGAUUUUUGGACAUAUUGGAGUGUAAAAGGUCCGUUCGUGGCAAAAACUCACUUCUUGAUUCGCGCGGCGAACUUUUGUCAAUUAAUGCCAAUGUUGGCAUACGAGGGUGCGAUGUUUUUGACCGGAAUCAAAAAGUUCAAAAAACGCCAAAACAAAAUUUUCGGACAUAUUGAAGUGUGGUGCGUGCGUUCGUGGCAAAAACUCACUUCGUGAUUCCCGCGGUGAACUUUUGUCUAUUUAUGGAAACAUUGGCACACAAGGGGGCGAUGUUUUUGCCCGGAAUCAAAAAGUUCAAAAAGCGCCAAAACAUGAUUUUUGAACAUAUUGGAGUGUAUUGGGAGAGUUCUUGGCAAAAAUUCACUUCGUAAUUCGCGCGGCGAACUUUUGUCAAUUAAUGCCAAUGUUGGCACACGAGGGUGCGAUGUUUUUGACCGGAAUCAAAACGUUCAAAAAAUGCCAAAACAUGAUUUUUGUACAUAUUGGAGUAUGUUGCGUGCGUUCGUGGCAAAAACUCACUUCGUGAUUCGCGCGGCGAACUUUUGUGAAUUAAUGGCAACAUUGGCACACGAGGGUGCGAUGUUUUUGACCGGAAUCAGAAAGUUCAAAAAACGCCAAAACAUGAUUUUUGGACAUAUUGGAGUGUAUUGGGUGCGUACGUGGCAAAAACUCACUAUGUGAUUCGCGCGGUAAACUUUUGUCAAUUAAUGCCAAUAUUGGCACACAAGGGUGCGAUGUUUUUGACCGGAAUCAAAAAGUUCAAAAAAUGCCAAAACAUGAUUUUUGGACAUAUUGGAGUGUAUUGGGUGCGUUCGUGGCAAAAACUCAGUUCGUGAUUCGCGCGGCGAACUUUUGUCAAUUAAUGGCAACAUUGGCACACGAGGGUGCGAUGUUUUUUGACCGGAAUGAAAAAGUUCAAAAAACACUAAAACAUGAUUUUUGGACAUAUUGGAGUGUAUUGGGUGCAUUCUUGGCAAAAACUCACUUCGUCAUUCGCGCGGCGAACUUUUUUCAAUUAAUGCCAAUGUUGGCACACGAGGGUGCGAUGUUUUUGACCGGUAUCAAAACGUUCAAAAAAAGCCAAAACAAAGUUUUUGGACAUAUUGAAGUGUGUUGCGUGCGUUCGUGGCAAAAACUCACUUCGUGAUUUGCGCGGCUAUCUUUUGAAAAGUUCAAAAAGCGCCAAAACAUGAUUUUUGGACAUAUUGGAGUGUAUUGGGAGCGUUCUUGGUAAAAAUUCACUUCGUGAUUCGCGCGGCGAACUUUUGUCAAUUAAUGCCAAUGUUGGCACACGAGGGUGCGAUGUUUUUGACCGGAAUGAAAAAGUUUAAAAAAAGCACCAAAACAAGAUUUUUGGAAAUAUUGGAGUGUAAUGGGUCCGUUCGUGGCAAAAACUCACUUCUUGAUUCGCGCGGCGAACUUUUGUCAAUUAAUGGCAACAUUGGCUCACGAGGGUGUGAUGUUUUUGACCGGAAUCAAAAAGUUCAAAAAACGCCUAUACAUGAUUUUUGGACAUAUUGUAGUUAUUAGGUGCGUUCGUGGCAAAAACUCACUUCGUGAUUCGCACGGUAAACUUUUGUCAAUUAAUGCCAAUGUUGGCACACGAGAGUGCGAUGUUUUUGACCGGUAUCAAAACGUUCAAAAAAAGCCAAAACAAAGUUUUUGGACAUAUUGAAGUAUGUUGCGUGCGUUCGUGGCAAAAACUCACUUCGUGAUUUGCGCGGCGAACUUUUGAAAAGUUCAAAAAAUGCCAAAACAUGAUUUUUGGACAUAUUGGAGUAUGUUGCGUGCGUUCGUGGCAAAAACUCAAUUCGUAAUUCGCGCGGCGAACUUUUGUCAAUUAAUGGCAACAAUGGCACACGAGGGUGCGAUGUUUUUUGACCGGAAUAAAAAAGCUCAAAAAACGCCAAAACAUGAUUUUUGGACAUAUUGGAGUGUAUUGGGUGCAUUCUUGGCAAAAACUCACUUCGUCAUUCGCGCGGCGAACUUUUUUCAAUUAAUGCCAAUGUUGGCACACGAGGGUGCGAUGUUUUUGACCGGUAUCAAAACGUUCAAAAAAAGCCAAAACAAAGUUUUUGGACAUAUUGAAGUGUGUUGCGUGCGUUCGUGGCAAAAACUCACUUCGUGAUUUGCGCGGCUAUCUUUUGAAAAGUUCAAAAAGCGCCAAAACAUGAUUUUUGGACAUAUUGGAGUGUAUUGGGAGCGUUCUUGGCAAAAAUUCACUUCGUGAUUCGCGCGGCGAACUUUUGUCAAUUAAUGCCAAUGUUGGCACACGAGGGUGCGAUGUUUUUGACCGGAAUGAAAAAGUUCAAAAAGCACCAAAACAAGAUUUUUGGAAAUAUUGGAGUGUAAUGGGUCCGUUCGUGGCAAAAACUCACUUCUUGAUUCGCGCGGUGAACUUUUGUCAAUUAAUGGCAACAUUGGCUCACGAGGGUGUGAUGUUUUUGACCGGAAUCAAAAAGUUCAAAAAACGCCUAUACAUGAUUUUUGGACAUAUUGUAGUUAUUGGGUGCGUUCGUGGCAAAAACUCGCUUCGUGAUUCGCACGGCAAACUUUUGUCAAUUAAUGCCAAUGUUGGCACACGAGAGUGCGAUGUUUUUGACCGGUAUCAAAACGUUCAAAAAAAGCCAAAACAAAGUUUUUGGACAUAUUGAAGUAUGUUGCGUGCGUUCGUGGCAAAAACUCACUUCGUGAUUUGCGCGGCGAACUUUUGAAAAGUUCAAAAAAUGCCAAAACAUGAUUUUUGGACAUAUUGGAGUAUGUUGCGUGCGUUCGUGGCAAAAACUCAAUUCGUAAUUCGCGCGGCGAACUUUUGUCAAUUAAUGGCAACAAUGGCACACGAGGGUGCGAUGUUUUUUGACCGGAAUAAAAAAGCUCAAAAAACGCCAAAACAUGAUUUUUGGACAUAUUGGAGUGUAUUGCGUGCGUACGUGGAAAAAACUCACUUCGUGAUUCGCACGGUGAACUUUUCUCAAUUAAUGUGAAUAUUGGCACACGAGGGUGCGAUGUUUUUGACCGGAAUCAAAAAGUUUAAAAAAUGCCAAAACAUGAUUUUUGGACAUGUUGGAGUUAUUGGGUGCGUUCGUGGCAAAAACUCACUUCGUGAUUCGCGCGGCGAACUUUCGUCAAUUAAUGCCAAUGUUGGCACACGAGGGUGCGAUGUUUUUGACCGGAAUCGAAACGUUCAAAAAACGCCAAAACAAAAUUUUUGGAUAUAUUGAAGUGUGUUGCGUGCGUUCGUGGCAAAAACUCACUUCGUGAUUCGCGCGGCGAACUUUUGUGAAUUAAUGGAAACAUUGGCACACAAGGGUGCGAUGUUUUUGACCGGAAUGAAAAAGUUCAAAAAACGCCAAAACAUGAUAUUUGGACAUAUUGGAGUGUAAAAGGUCCGUUCGUGGCAAAAACUCAUUUCUUGAUUUGCCCGGCGAACUUUUGUCAAUUAAUGCCAAUGUUGGCAUACGAGGGUGCGAUGUUUUUGACCGGAAUGAAAAAGUUCAAAAAGCACGAAAACAAGAUUUUUGGACAUAUUGGAGUGUAAUGGGUGCGGUCGUGGCAAAAACUCACUUCGUGAUUCGCGCUGUGAACAUUUGUCAAUUAAUGCCAAUGUUGGCACACGAGGGUGCGAUGUUUUUGACCGGUAUCAAAACGUUCAAAAAAAGCCAAAACAAAGUUUUUGUUCAUAUUGAAGUGUGUUGCGUGCGUUCGUGGCAAAAACUCACUUCGUGAUUCGCGCGGCGAACUUUUGAAAAGCUCAAAAAACGCCAAAACAUGAUUUUUGGACAUAUUGGAGUGUAUUGGGUGCGUUCAUGGCAAAAACUCACUUCGUGAUUCGCGCGGCGAACUUUUGUCAAUUAAUGCCAAUGUUGGCACACGAGGGUGCGAUGUUUUUGACUGGUAUCAAAACGUUCAAAAAAAGCCAAAACAAAGUUUUUGUUCAUAUUGAAGUGUGUUGCGUGCGUUCGUGGUAAAAACUCAAUUCGUGAUUCGCGCGGCGAACUUUUGAAAAGUUCAAAAAGCGCCAAAACAUGAUUUGUGGACAUAUUGCAGUGUAUUGGGUGCGUUCAUAGCAAAAAUUCACUCCGUGAUUCGCGCGGCGAACUUUUGUCAAUUAAUGCCAAUGUUGGCACACGAGGGUGCGAUGUUUUUGACCGGAAUCAAAAAGUUCAAAAAACGCCAAAACAAAAUUUUUGGACAUAUUGAAGUGUGUUGCGUGCGUUCGUGGCAAAAACCGACUUUAUGAUUCGCGCGGCGAACUUUUGUCAAUUAAUGGAAAAAUUGGCACACAAGGGUGCGAUGUUUUUGACCGGAAUCAAAAAGUUCAAAAAACGCCAAAACAUGAUUUUUGGACGUAUUGGAGUGUAUUGGGUGCGUUCGUGGCAAAAACUCACUUCGUGAUUUGCGCGGCGAACUUUUGAAAAGUUCAAAAAGUGCCAAAACAUGAUUUUUGGACAUAUUGGAGUGUAUUGGGUGCGUUGAUAGCAAAAAUUCACUUCGUGAUUCGCGCGGCGAACGUUUAUCAAUUAAUGCCAAUGUUGGCACACGAGGGUGCGAUGUUUUUGAAAGGAAUCAAAAAGUUCAAAAAACGCCAAAACAAGAUUUUUGGAUAUAUUGGAGUGUGUUGCGUGCGUUCGUGGCAAAAACUCACUUCGUUAUUUGCGCGGCGAACUUUUGUCAAUUAUUGUUCAGGACUAGACUGAGCACCGAGUUAAGCCUUACCCAUUAGACAUGUGGUUAGUACGGUAGUGCUUUGCAACAGAGGCCCGAGCUUAAUCCUUAUAUUGGCCGGGGUGCUACUUCCCAUAACUGGCAUGCAUACAAUACCCCACCAGAAAACAUGUUUUAGGGGUUUUGAAAGAGGAAGAGAGGGGUAUGUCCAAUUCCACCAUAAGCCAACCAUUUCAUAGUAUCCAAGUGAUUUGAGAAUUCCCAAAGUCUAAAGUUAUAAAACCACCUAAUGUUGCCUAAUUAAUCAGCGAAGCAUCUACCUAAAUUCAUACUAGUGGAACCAUGAAUAGAGUACCCACUUGUUGGGGUUUUGUUUUCCUAGGGUGAACAAGGUGAUAAUAAACAAUAGCAAUAAUAAUAAGGUCAUAACAAAGGAUUAAUAGGAAGUGCUAAAUAAAACAGUGAUAACGCAGGAAUUUAAAUAAAGCGGUAAUGCAAUAAUUUAAAUCAAAAUAAUUUUAUAAACUGGGAUUCAAUAUGCUCAAGGGUGAUGCGACUUGCCUUGCUCAGAGAGAACGGCCUUCCGAACCUUCGGCGACGACCGCGAACCACGCUUCGAGAACCUUCGGAACGACAGAAGCUACGCGAAGCACACAAGCAAAGCUACAAGCCUAUAAAUAAGCAAUAACAAUACUUAAAAAGAAAGCACACGGUUCUUUAUGUUAUAACAAACAUUAGGAGACUUGAACGGGUUGAUUCGGGGUUCGUAUGACCAAGAUAUGAUCAUCCGAAGUUUAAUGCUGUUACAUGGAGAUUUGCGGAUUAUUAUAAUUAGGUUUUGCAACUAUAAAACAUGUGUAAGCGCUAGCCUAGAAAAGACAGGAAGGCUGCGCCGUUUACAUGCGGACCCCACAUGUCAACCUAAAGGACCGCGGUAGACCGAGUACACAGAGACGGUCCACGGGUCGACGGAAGCGGACCCCGUGUGUCAACCGAGGCGAGUGGCCGACAAACGGACUCCACUAGACACCACGCGGGCUGCACACGUGGAAACCACGCGGCUACCAAGCGGGCACACUAACACGGUCACCACACGCACAAGCGAACGACUACUGACACCAGUACACAGGUACCGGGGUCGACAACCGCACAACGGGCACGGGCGACACCGAAAGGACGAGGACGGGGGCAGCGAGAGGACGGAUCCUUACCACCACACGACGAGGCGUGGGAACGACAACGGCAAACGGGUGCAGCGGAGACGGCUCGGGGACGACGGAGACGAACGGCGAGGGAACGACUUCGGCGACGAUCCUUGGACGAAGGCGAGACGCGGCCGGCGCAACGCUUGACGACGCGGAGCUGAGGACGAAGACGACGACGGGGCUGCCGCAGCUCACUUGACGGAACGCGGACGACGAACGAACGCGGCUUGACGGAGGGACGGACGCCACGACGACCGGGAACGACGAGAGGACGACGACGACGACGACCGGGGCCGGCGAUGAGGCGACGAGGCAGCCGGCAGCAGCUGCACGGAGGCGAGGACGGCGCGGAACACGCCGCUGCGAAUCCGACGACGGAGGCGGCACCGCGAGAUGAUGAGCCGGCGAGGAGGAACGGCCGACCGGAGGAGGGGAUGGCGACGUCGGACGGAGACGACGACGACGAACACCGACGGGGUUCGGGUGGAGGGGAGGCGAGGCCGAGGGCGACCUUGCCGCUGCGAUGCCGGAGGCGGUGGUGGCGCGGCCGACGGCGCAUGGGUGGAGGAAGGGCCGACCGGGGAAAUUUCGGCGAAACCGGGGAGUGGCCGAGGUUGAUGGCGAUGUCACCGUGCCGAGGGAGGGGGCAGCAGCGUCGGCCAACGCUUUAGGCACGGUGAACGGCCGACUGGAGGCGGUGCAGUGGUGGCGAUGCCACUGGACACCGGUGGGAACACGCCUCCGGUGGUCUCCGCGCGAAACGGAGGCGACGCCGGUGGAGAGAGGACACCUGCGAGGCCGAGGAAGGUGGUGGCGACGUCAGCCACCGCACGGGCGAGGCGGCACAGGCGGCUGGAGGGUGGCCGGCGCCGAGGAAAGAGAAGGAGGAGGUGGGGAGAGGUGGUGCAGCCACGGAGAAUCUCGGGAAGGGGCUAAAACGAGAGAACGCACGGAGGGGGUUCCAUUUUAUAGGGGAGGAGAGGGAGCUGGCCACGGGAGAGGCGGGGACCGGCGGCGGAAUAGGCGCCCGGCGGCCAUGGAAGGUGGCCGGGGUUGGCGCGGGCGUUCCCGACGAUUGGGGGCACGAAUCAAGGGGGAAAUUAGGGGGAAUUGAAGAGGAAGGAAUGGGAAUUAAUUCCCCCUAAUCAAUUUUGGAAUUCCCGGUUUGAAUGGCGUGGAUUUUGGGGAGGAACGAACUAGGGUUGCACGGGAGAGAGAGGAGGCCGUCCGGGAGGAGGAAGAUGACCGGCGCGUGGGCCCCACGCGGGCGCAUGCGGCGCGCAUGUGGCGCGCGUCAGGGGGGCGCCUCGGGAGGCUGGGGCGGCUGGGUGGGGCGGCUUGGGCCGGGACGCGGCCUAGGCGGGAGGGGAGGAAAAGGGACCUAGGCCGAGGGGGAAGGGGAGGCCCAAGAGAAGGAGGGAGAGAAGGAGAGGGAGAGAAAGAGAGGGAGGAAGAGAGGACUUUGGCUGCGGGCCGAGAGAGAGAGAGAGAGAGGACUUUGGGCCAGACUUGGCCCAAAUGAGGAAGGAGGAUUAUUUUUAGGUUUUUCUUUUUAAUAAACUUUGAUAAUUGUUUUUGUUGCUUAAUAAAUAUUUCCGGUGCUCUGAAAAUUCAAGUAAAAUUUGAGGGCUCAUUUUAGACCAAGGAGAAUUUAACAAAAAUUCUCCGGGCCACAUUCGAAUUUUUCUUGUACGUAUUUUAGUGUUAACCAAUUUCUUUUCGAAUUUUAAUUAAUUCUAUUAUUCCAUUUAGAGAAUGAAUUUUAUUUCGGGAUGAAUUUAUCAGGACGUGACAAUCAGCCAGUCGUCCAUCCCAUGAUGAGGACAAGCGGCCACAUACUCCUGCAGUCGUUCUAAUGCUUCGGGAAUAGACUCGUCCCUUGUCUGCUGGAAAUUGGAAAUCCUUCCACGAAGGGCAUUGGUUUUACCCAUCGGGAAGAAUUUCGAGAGGAAUCCCGGUGAGCAUUUGUCCCAGGUGUUAACAGCAGCACGGUUGGCAUAAAACCACUGCUUCGCUCUCCCGAGAAGGGAGAACGGAAACAGCCGCAGCCUGAUGGCGUCGGGACUGACGCCCUUGAUGGUGUACGUGCUACAGAUCUCCAGGAACUGUUGCAGAUGAGCAUUGGCAUCCACAUUAGGCUUGCCACAGAACGGGCUAGCCUGCGCCAUUGUGAUAAGGCUGGACUUCAAGUCGAAAUCCAUGUCUCCUAUGUUGAUUUGCGGCCCAAUGGCCACAUUGUCAGUAGAGGGAGCAGCGAACUCGCGAAGAGUCUUGCUGGCCAUAGUAUUGAAGAUCGGUGGCGCUGGUAUGGCUGGUUUCUCUGUUGGUAGAGUUUUCUGCGGAGCAACGGCUCGCGGUCUGACGCCCCGGAAGAAAGCUUCUGGAUAUUCUUUGAAGUUUUCCGGCAGGUUGAAACCAGUCAUGCACUACCCUGUUUUCACAACAAAAAGUGAAAACAACCAAGGUUAGCCUGCAAAGGAAAUGAUUAUACAGAGGUAAAUAUAAAGUAUUAGUUCAAGCAAUCUCUAUUAUGAAUCUUCCCCGGCAACGGUGCCAAAAAUGCUUGCUGGUAUUUCUUAACGACAUUACUAGAAAUAUAAUUCCCAGCAAUGGCGCAGAAAUACUUCUGGUAUAUUAUGGUUACAGAGAUCAUCCGCAAGCGCACAGAUAUACCAUUGUAGCAUUUCACCCGAGAGUAUUCUAAGGGUAUCGUAUUUAUUUUAUCCCGUGGGAAGAUCAUGUAGAGAUAGAUUGACUAAUAAUUUAUAUAUUACUUAUGAUAAUCAUAUUCUAAGCAGGGGUUAAGAUAAUCCAAGGGUAGAGUGACACACAAGCAUUACUACUCAUUCUCAUAAUAUAUUAUCUGAGCUAAGUGGAAAGAAAAGAGAAAGAAAAUAUAUUCCUAUACUUCUAAUAUACAUAGUAUACAUACAUUCUAGUUAACUGAUAUACUAGCUAAUACCCUCUAUCCGAUGCCCUCCUAGUAUUUCGAGAAGCCACCCCUGACUGCCGAGUUCCUUACGAUAGUCUGUCAUGACCAUACAACCGGGGCUAAAUACGGAGGAAUACCCUCCCCAGGAAAUUAACUUAGGAUUAUAUACCGGUGCGGAGGAAUACCCGUACUGAGCUGUCACCAUCAGCGGCCCACCUCUCAUCCGCAACAUAUAACCCCAAAUAAUGAUAUCCCGUAAUCUAGACACUACGUCUAAACUACCAGAUAUUACUCUAAUAUCAUCGUCAUGACAUAGAGUAAUUGCAUAAGCAAACAUUAUACCCGCACCAAAGCAUCUCCUAGAUAUGCUAGCCGUAUAUUCAGUAUAACAUGAACAUAAUGUAAAAUAGGUACUCACAUACUCGGAAAGUAUUUCAAUACCAUAAAUGUAUUUAGAAGAGUAUGCUAAUAAAAGUACAAAAUUUACAAAAGAAGAAAGGAAAGCUGCUAGAGCCAUACCCGAACUCUUCCGAAGGCUUCCGGACUCCUGAUUCCUACUCUAUUUCUAUUCCACCAGCUAGAUACUACUAAACUAAACUGGAGAGAAAUGAGAGAGCAAUUGCUUGAGGUGUGUGAGUGAAGUGAGAAGAGAAGCUCUUUUUAUAGGUAGGUAAUGACGGUUGGGACGAUUGGAAUGGUCGGUAAUACCCUCCAACCGCCAUUGGGGAUCAAUCCCAGCUGUCCGUCCAAACCCUGCAUCCAUCGGCGCCACGGGUGGUUCGGCUGAACCCUAUGGUUCGGCCGAACCAUGGGCUGGCCCAACCCAGCCCAUCUUCGGCUGGCGGCCUCCUUUGUUGUCCUUCUUCGUAGACUUGUGAAUUUUGGCCCAAUGUGUCGUGUUAUUUCUGAGUUCUUGGCCCAUUCAUACAUAAGUCUAGUUCUCGACACCAUCCGAUUGAUUUAUCGUCGGAGUUGAUGUUGAUUCUCCUCCACUUUAUUGUCAUUCUCUGCAAAAGAUUAGUAUACCUAAUACUAGUGGAAUAUUAUUAUUCUAAUAGAUAUAUGUAUUGCAAGCAUCACUAGUUCUCCUCUAUCUUGUUGGGUCUUCUGUUUCUUCUCCUAUUUGAGUUGGAGCCCCUUCCUCUCUCCUUUCUCCUUCCCAAGAGAUUAUUGAACCUUCUAGCAAGAAGAGCAAUCUCUUCCUCCAAGUCCUCAUUGACUUCAUUCACUUUGCCCUUGCCCUUAUCUUCAACUUCGGCUUGGAAGGUGAGGCUUCCUCCAUCUCCUUCUUCUUCAACUUGUACAUGUCAUUGGUGUUGAUUUUCCCCAAGAGGCUUGCGGGUGUCAUCCUUGACAUGUCGGAGUUGAUGAGCAUGGUGACAAGGGUCUCAUACUUCUCCGGUAGAGCCCUAAGCAUCUUUUGGGCAACCUCAAGAUCGGUGUAGUGUCACGCCCGGAAUUUCUAUCCAAAAUUCCAAACGCUUACAUGUGUGUGAACCCUCGUCCAGGAAUCAGCCGAGGCACACAAUAACAUAUUGAUAAUAGAGUACAAUUAUUACUCUAAUUAAUAAGCGAAUAAAAUGUCAUUACAGAGGUAGAUAGUUCCUCUCAAUCAAUAAAGAUCUAAGCAGCGGAAAAAUAAGAAACAGCGCAGGCGACUCCUCUCCACAGGCAGCUUGACCAGGGCUACGCCUAAUCAUCCACACCAUCAGCAUCACUGUAGAACUCCUCCUCUGAUGAAUGAUUGCAAGGUGAGUAUAUGACAUACUCAGCAAGCCACGCAGCAAAUAUGCAAGUGCACAGGAUAACAAAGGAUGGCAUAGUAGGGUUUCAUUUGCUUAAACAACAUUUAUUAAACAUUUCAGAAUUUAAUAAAGCAGUUAAGUAAUAAUUAAACAAUAUUAAUCCAACGCUAUACAACAUACCCUGUUGCAUAGGCCCAACCAUUCUGAACAACCAUCCCGGCUGCACAGUUCUAUCUCCAAACCAGGAAUGUACCAUUCCAAACCAGGAGCUAAUCAAAUUAUUACCAGUUAUAGCAUCUUUUUUUAUGAUGGGAAAUGUGAAACUAAUCACGAAAGACAUUGUUAGACCCGCCCAUAACCGCGGGCACGGCUAUUCGAAUAGUUUUACUCUGGCCAGAGAUGUACCACUGUACCCAUAAGACACAGCCCCACGACAUGUCACCAUGCGCCUCAAUACCACCACGGUACCUCAGAAAGGAGCUGUGAUAGUACCCCUCACACAACACAAUCCACCACAGCGCACCGUUCCUGGAUCAUAAUCACCCCCUUAUAAACAAGGCAUGGACUCCCCAGCGACCCCCGUGAGCUUAUCUCCGCCACUUCUCAGUCUGGUGCCCCGCAAUGAACCAUGCUAUACAAAAGGUAAAGCCGUUGCCCACGCUGGCUUGUGGUUGGCACGGUUAAUGUUUCACAACCGAAAUUCGUGAACCGGUCCUUAAUUGUCAUGAGCACGACCAUCAAAACCAUGUGCUCACAACCCACCAUUAGCAAGUUUUAGUUGGCAAUUUAAUUAAUUAACCAAUCACGAUUGACCAUCGUGAGCUAUCAUCAAGCCAUCAUUAAAUAAUAGUGAAUUAUAAGUUAUCCCAAUAGUGUGCUCAUGUUUCUAAGCAUGGCUAAGCAAUCGUAUCUAAUAUCUAGCUGAACCAAUAUAUAAAGCCCAACUAGUCAAGUUAUAAUAACCCAAGGUAUCAAGGAAUAAAAUAAUCAAGAACAAAAGGGCUAUAACAAACCAUAGGUUAAUUCCACCCAAUGACAUUCGAAAAUAAAUGCAAUAGUUGAAUAAAAAUGAUAGCUUUAAACGGGAUCAACAUGCUCAAAGGGUUGUUUGGGAUCUGUGUGACUUGCCUUGCUGGCCUUGGAACUCUUCAAAUUCUUCUCCUGCGAAAAUGAACUCUCCGGAAACGUCGGAAUCUAAACAGAAAAGAGCAAAAACACCAAAACAGCACAUAAACAAGCAUGAAUAGUAAUGUGGAUAUUUUUAACAUGUAGAUCUCAAUUUUAGAAAAAUUUAGAGACUUGAACCAACUAAAUCCGAGCUAAGAUGAAUUAGUUAUGAAUUUUUAAAGAUUAAAUCGGAUUAAAACACUUAUAUGGGUUUUAAUUGAAUUAUGACGCAAUAAUGAAUUAUUUUUGAAAAGGAAAAGGGAAUUAUUGCGUCAGCGACUAGGGUUUGCGGUGGACCGGGUGCACGGCGACGGUUCACGGGAACGGACGGCCGAGAUCGAUCCUAACCACAACGGACGGCUAAGAUCUAACGGUCUACGACUGGUCUACGACGGAUGGCAACGAUGACGUCGGCGAUGACGUCAUCACCGGCGGCGGCUCGGGCGCGCAAGCUCGCCGGCGAACGACGGCGCGAUGGCACGAACGGAGGGCACCAGCGCAUAGAGAGCGACGCGGCGAACUCACCGGUGACCAAAACGGCGGCGGAAGAUCAACGGAAGGCGACGGCGUCGAGGAAGAAGCGGCGGCGACCUUCGGCUUGACGACGACGGCGGUGCUCUGGCGGUCUACAGCAACGAUGGAGGGGCGGACGAGGACGGCGACGCGACGGCGACCACGACGGCGGCCUUCCCGAGCGACAGCGACGACUGGAGCGACGGCGACGCACGGCUGGAGCGGUGGCGACGACGGCGGCGUGAGGUCUCACGGGGCUAGGGCGCUACGGACGACGAGAGACGAAGGCAGGGGUGGCGACGGGUAGCGGCGGGCUUGGGGGUCCUUUUAUAGGGGUUGGAAGGUGGCGGCAAAGGCCCACGGCGACCGGCGACGAGAAGGAAAGAUUAGGGUUCGGAGGAGAGAGAUCGAUCCGAAUCGAACUCGAAUCCACGAAUUUCCAAACGAAAUUAGCCGACGAUUCCAUAAGAGAAAAGAUAGAGGGGAUCCCAGGGAUCAUGUCCCCUCUAUUAAUUUCACCAGAAACGGAAAGGGGCGGCUGGAUUUGGAAGGAGACGGCGGCGCAGCUCGGCUAGGGUUCGGGCGGCGGCCGGCCGGAGGUAGACGACAGGCCUGACAGGUGGGCCCCACCUGUUAGCGGCAGCGAGCGCGCGCGCGGGCGGCUCGGCUUGACUUGGGCCGACUUGGGCCAAGGAGGAGAGAGAGAGGGUUUUGGUCCGACUUUCGGCCCAAAGCCAAAAGAGACUUUUAAAACCUUUUCCAAUUUAAAUAAUUCAUGAAAUGCAAUUCCAUUUAUUAAAAAUACCUCCUUGGCUCAAAUAAAUCCCAGAAAACUCUAGGAACUAUAGAAUCAAGCAAAGUAUUUAAUGAAAUUUUAUCUGGCCCCAUUUUAUAUUGGGAUUUAUUAUUUAAAAUUAGAUCUUCUUUUCAAGGCUUUUAAAAUUAUUUCUAAUAAUUCCAAUUAAACAACAAUUUAUAUAUUAACGAUUUUUAGGGUGUGACAUGUAGUUUGCCCCAAGCCCCUUGAGAUCAUUCACAAUGACAUUGAGCCUCCCAUACAUGUCAUUCACACUCUUAUGAGGCAACAUGGGGAAUGUCUCAUAUUGGAUCUUGAGGAAAUGAAGCUUGGCAUCCUUGUACUCGCUUGUGACCUCAUGGAUCUCCGCCAACUUGUUCCAAAUCUCAUAUGCGGUUCUCAAGGUUGCUCACUCUAUCGAACUCCUUUUGGCUCAAAGAGUUGAACAAAGCAUUCAUGGCUUGGGCAUUGAGUUGGAGGUUGCGGUGAUCAAUCUCAGUCAAGGGCGUGCCGGUGAUAGCAAAGCCUACAUCCACAAUACUUCAAAUAUGGAAGCUCAUAGCUUUGAGGUGAGUAGACAUUUUAAUUUUCCAAGUGGAGUAGUUUGUGCCAUUGAACAUGGGAGCCUUCCCUACAUGGUUCACCUCGUUCGACAUCUUCUCUCUAGGCGGUAAAACCCAAUCAAGAGAGACCAAGCUCUGAUACCACUUGUAGGAUCGAGAUGUCGACUAGAGGGGGUUGAAUAGGCGAUUUAAAACUAAAUGACACAUAAUCAAAACUAACCUAAGUUGCUAGGCUUGGUGAGGGUCAACUCUAACUAAGCAACUAGGUUAUGUUUUGCAAACCUAGGGUGAUAGUGGCUCAAUUAUAUCUCUAGGAAAGUAAAUCACACUCCUAUGUCAAUGUUUAGCAAUCCUAGGGUGAUAUGAUCUCAAGUUUGUCUCUAGAAAUGUAAAUUGCACAAAUGUAAAUGCGACAAUCAAAUGAGACAAGGAGACAAGAGAUUUUUCACCGAGGUUCAGAAACUCGUCGGUUUCCUACUCCCCGUUGAGGCGAGCCCAACUCCACCGCUCAACCACGAAGCCACCGCACGCCCCCUUCGUCAAGGGGUGGGCAAGGCGGGAGCCGGCCCACGGAGAGGACUACCCAAGCCUCGAUCACUAAGGUAGUUCUUCCUUCACUCCGAAGGUGGUGAACUCCAAACCACUCAUAAACCGGCGCCGGGCCUCCUCCACAAUCUUCUCGGAGAGGUCACCGGGCAACUCCUCCACAAGCCGUCUAGGAGGCGGCAACCUCCAAGAGUAACAAGCAAUGACCCGGCGUGGAGAUGAUCAAUCAAGUGCCAUACUAGCUCUACAAAUGGAAGCAAUGCACUUGACUCUUGGCUAAUUAACCCUCUAACACACUAGAUGGAUGAACACAAAGCUCAAGUGGGUGUGAGAGAGGUGCAAGGGGUGUAUGCAAUUGAAUUGGGUGCCAAGAGAGUCCCCUUGCUGCUUGAGGGGGAGUAUUUAUACUCCCACCAACCAAAACUAGCCGUUGGGGGUGAAAUCCCCCAACUUUGUGCUCUGCCGGUCUAACCGGAGGUAUGUGGCUGGUCAGACCGUGCUACUCUGCGACGGCUAGAAAACUAGCCAUUGUAGUGCUGUUAGAGGGCCCCAUCGGCCUGGCCGGUCAGACUGGCGUUGAGCAGGCGGUCAGACCGGCCUCGGCUCGGUCAGACCGCCAUCGACUCGGUCUGACCGAAUAAGGCUCCGUCGGCUCUGUAUCGGCCACCCCGAGUAGCACCAUCCCGACCUCCAGCGGGCCGGUCUGACCGGGCAUGUGCCGCCGGUCAGACCGUCCUUAUGGGCCGAUCAGACCACCGUUGUGAGGCCGGUCAGACUGGCCAGGGCACACCGGUCAGACCGCCACUAUGUGGCCGGUUUGACCGCCCCUGGUCAGGCCGAGCUCAGUGAAAGCAAAGGUGAGUAUUUGUGUGUGUGAUGAAAAUGUGAGCACAAGUGAAAAUGCAAUGACCUAAUGUGGCAAUUUAAUCAUCUCUUUGCUAGGUCAUUACCCCUCUUAAUAGUACAGCGAAACUAGAAAAUAAACUAGCAAAUUUGAUCGCCCUACACCUCGAUCAAUUCUAAAUUAAAGCACUAGUUUUACCGUCUUCUUUCUCUUUCCUUUGCGCCGUCAAUUUUAAUCGAUCGAUAGUCAUCCAUGCGCACACAUGACGUGGACCUAACUUAAAAUAUCAUCUCAAUAGCAAUGGUUAGUCCACAAUUAGCGCUUGUCAUUAAUUACCAAAAUUAACAACGUGGGCCUAGAUGCUUCACACGAGUACUUGAUGUAAAGCUCUCAGAAUCCUCUUUCCAUCGGAUCAACCUCAUUGUCAAAUUCCAUCUGAGUCAUCGGCAAUUGCAGAAACAAGGGGCUGCAUUGUCUGUAAUGGGCCUAUGGACCUGUAACUUCGUCUGGGACCUCGGCCCAAGUGGGGCCCAAGGGGGGGCUGCGCCCCAAACAGAGGGAGGACGCCCUUCUGACCUCCUCCAUCCCUUAAAUAGCUAGUAACCCCUUCAGGGUUAGUUGGGUUUUGUUUAGAUGAAAGUUUAGCCAUUGCUACUUCCUUGCAGCGCGCGUGUCGGCUAGACCGUCCGUCUGCUUGUAUUCGAAACCCCGAAACCCCAACUUAUCAUUUGUAUUCAAUUCCUCUUGGCAAUAUCAGAUUGCUUUUAUCUUGUUCUUGCUUGUUUCUUCGAUUUGCUUGCAGGAAUAGGGUUGAUCUGCACUGGCAAGAUCAACAACCCACGGAGAGGUGUAUCGAUCGCUAAGGCGCAACGCAACAUCUUUUACGGUUGUAGUCAGAUCGUCAACGUUUCUCCCAAAUCGUAGUUAUCUGAACUCACCGAAAGAUCGGGCCAAACUGUAGCCUUGAGUGCUAAGAGGACCUCAGGGUUCAUCUCAUCAGGUGGUAUCAGAGCUUUCUUGCUCGUUGAGUUUUUUUUAUCUAUCCAUAACCGAAAGCUCGUUGAGUUUUUUUUAUCUAUCCAUAACCAGAAAAUAGCCAGACAAAAAAAAAAUUGUGUCAUUUACCUAGCCAUAUUGUGCCAUUGCACUGUUCUUUUCAGUUUUUGCUUUGUUGAAUUUUGUGUUGCAUCGUCAUGUCAUGUUGCUGGUCUUAGCGUCUAGUUCGUUUAAAGUUUCGAGUUCUGGUCACGUUUUGUACCACAGUCGUCGCCCCCCUCCCCCCUUGUCGGAAUCAGUUCGCUGCCACGGUUCUAUUUUUGUAGUUUUUAGAAGUUUUUGUCGGUUAGUUUUGGAGUCGCAUCAAGGUUUUGCUCGAGUUUGUGGUUUGUAUGUGAAGCGAGUUGAUUCGGCCGCGCUUGUGACCUGAGCGAGAGGACGAAUCAGUUUUUGGAAGUAUGCGUUUGAUUGGGAAAGAAAUAGUAGGUUGGUUCGGCUAAAAAUAAGUUUCCCAUUUUUCCCCAACAAAUCCGGCCGCAUCCUUCCUUUCCUCACCCACCACCACCGCGGGUCCGCAACCAGGCCGAGUCCGAGUAUCUCCUCUCUGGGUUCAUCUAUACCGUGAUCUCCCAUACAACUUGGUAAAAUUUUUUUUGGAGUAUCAGAUUAGAAUUCUGUUUGCAAAAACGGAACCUAUGGGACGAGAGCAUUCUAUUUUUGUGUAUUUUUAAUUUUGGGUUUGCACUUUUACAUUUAAGUCCCUGUAAUUUUUAUAUUUACAUUUGAGUCCCUGUAAUCUUGCAUCCGGGUCCUUGAGUUGGUUUUUGAAAAAAAAUAAAAAAGGGAAAAAAAGGCAGAAAGGUGAAAAAAAAGAAAAAAAAAGGCGCAACAAAAAAAAAGAAAAGAAAACGAAAGGAAAAAAAGAGAGAGGAAGGAAGAAGAAAAAAAAGGAAAAAAAGAGCUCUUAUCUUUGAUUUUGUUCUCUUAUAUCAAAGUGAUGCUUGAGUAGUUCUCAAAAAAAAAGUGAUGCUUGAGCUUAUUCUAGUGUUAUCUUGUGGUAUUGUUUGUUUCUAGGCUCGCGUCUCUAGUUCGUUCUAGCCUAGGACCAGCACGAUACUUGACUUUGAACGAUUAUUCAACUUUGCAUUCUCUGAUUUAACCAUUUGCCAUACUUGCUACAUAUUUAAGCCUACCCAGAGCUCCACAGAUUUGACUGCAGCUAUACAGAUUGUGAACAUGUGUGCCAAAGUGUCGAUACAUCCAACUCCAUCGAGUGUUUGGUUGAGUCGGUGUGGACACCAUAUUCUAGUUUGCAUUGGUAAGAACUUGUAAGAGCUCGAUAAAAAGCUUGAGUGUGUGUGAUUUGUGAGCUUCCACUACCUAGUAGUUGAUAGGAACGUAUAUAUUCUUGUAUAUGUUUCUUGUUUGCUACUAACUAUGGCAGGGUUACACAAAGAGUUUGGAGCUGUUCGUGCUCAAUGUGGACAUUUUCACCUUCGACAACACAUGGCAAGUGACCAACAUGACGCAAAUAAGGUACAUGAUCAUAAUCUUGCAAGAGUAGAGUCUGUUUUUGCCAUCUUUUGAUGGAAAGUAUGAUUCUGCUGCAUACGUUAAUUGGGAGCUAGCAGUAGAAAAACAAUUUGAUGAGUAUGAUUUUUCUAAUGCUCAAAUGAUUAAGGCUGCUAGUAAUAAGUGUACCGGUUCUGCAUCUUUUUGAUGGCAUACUGUGGGAAAUAAGCUUGAAACUUGGGAUGAAUGCAAAAUACUAUUGAGAAAAAGAUUUGUGUUUUCAUACUAUAGACGUGCUCUCCUUGAGAAAUUUCAACAUCUAAAACAAGGUGACAAAACUGUUAGGGAGUACUUUCAUGAUUUUAAAAUUUGAUGGGCAUGUUAAUGUGACAUAUAAUCAUAUAGGCCAAUUGUUCAUGCUUGCUUGCAAUGUUGAGCGCAAAAUUUUGGAGAACCCAACAGAGCAACAAGCUAUGCUUGUGCCUCCUAUCACUGAUGUUUUGCAGGAAGUUCAGAACAGUCCCCAAAAUGAGAAGAACGAUAUGUUUGAGAUGUCACUUCCAUCACUCGCGAAUGAGGAGAAGGCUGAUGCACCUACAUUAUCUAAAGAGGGGAUAAAAGGUAAAUUAAAUGGUGCAGAAAUUACUCAAGGUGAGUAUGUUUCUGAUGAAUUACACUUUUCCACUUUCCAUGCUAACCUAGAGCAAACUUUAGUGGAACCUACUUCUGAAUUGCCUUUGUCACAAGUUGAUUUACAUUAUGUUCCUUGUGAUAAAGAAGAGUUGUGCGAUAGCACUUCACUUAUAUCCAUUCCACAACUAGUGAAUGAACAUGCUACUUUUAAUCUUGAUUCUCCAUGUACUGAAUUUAAGCAUGUUAUUCACACGUCCAGUGAGAAUGAUGAACUUCAAUUGCAAUCUUCUUUAAAUACAUUGGGCUAUAUUCUGUUUGAUGAUUCUUGUGAGCUCAAUUGUUUGAAGGACAAAAUAUUUGCUCAUUCUGAUUUGCCAUGUCCUCGUAAUGUUAUUUUUCACAUCUUUGGCAAAUAUAGUGAUAGAGAAAUUUAUUUGGUGCACAAAGUUUACAUUUGUUCAGAUAUGCAACCCUCUGUUGUUGUGCCAAGAAAAUGCAAACUGGAGAGUAGUGUUAGGACCACUAAUGUUACUUCAAGUUUGUUUUGCUUUUGUCCAAAGACGCAGGUUGGUUCUGAAGAAGGGGAGCGACGAGAUCGCUCAAUGUUGCUGCCAUAUACAGUAAAGAAUGCGCCAUAUGAAGCGUUGCGUGAGGAUAUGCUAUGUGAAUUACCCAUGUUAAAACCGAGGACAUUUUCCCGUGAAGAAGGGGAGGAUGAUGUGACCAUGCCUACGACGGAUACAACCAUUGAUCAUGUCAUAUACCCAUAGGUGGUAUCGUUUCAUAACAAGUGUCAAUUUAAUCUAAUCAAGAAUAUGACACUGCCUCAUAAUGUAUGUGUUUAUAUGUUCAGGACCAAUUCACUUAUUUUGGCCUGCAUAUGGAAGAUAAACACGAUGGCCAUGGUGCAUGCAGAGAUGGAGAUGAAGUCCGCCGCGUUCUGGAAUCCAAUUCGGCCACCUGAGAUAGUGCUGAAUUCAAACAGUUGCUAAAUCUCCAUAUGGCCUCCGUUUUGGGCCCACGAUUACUUGAUGGAAAGCUCUCGGAAUCCUCUUUCCAACGGAUCCAAUCUCAUUGUUAAAUUCCAUCUGAGUCAUCGGCAAUUGAAGAAAUAAGGGGCAGCAUUGUCUGUAAUGGGCCUAUGGGCCUGUGACCCCGGCCCAAGUGGGGCCCAAGGGGGGCUGCGCCCCAAACAAAGGGAGAACGCCCUUCUGACCUCCUCCAUCCCUUAAAUAGCUAGUAACCCCUUCAGAGUUAGUUGGGUUUUGUUUAGAUGAAAGUUUAGCCAUUGCUACUUCCUUGAAGCGCACGUGUCGGCUAGACCGUCCGUCUGCUUGUAUUCGAAACCCCGAAACCCCAACUUAUCAUUUAUAUUCAAUUCCUAUUUGCAAUAUUAGAUUGCUUUUAUCUUGUUCUUGCUUGUUUCUUCGAUUUGCUUGCAGGAAUAGGGUUGAUCUGCACCGGCAAGAUCAACAACCCACGAAGAGGUGUAUCGAUCGCUAAGGCGCAACGCAACGUCUUGUACGGUUGUAGUCGGAUCAUCAACGUUUCUCCCAAAUCGUAGUUAUCUGAACUCACCGAAAGAUCGGGCCAAACUGUAGCCUUGAGUGCCGAGAGGACCUCAGGGUUCAUCUCAUCACUUUCGAUGUUAAACUUGUAGACGAGAUCUAAUCUUGUUUCCUUGUAUCUUCAUUUAUUUUAGAUCUUCUUGACGACACGCUGGUGCAGAGGGUCAAGGAGGUCUUGAUCAGUGGCACCUCUUCGGCUGAAGAGCCGCCAGCCCCGCUCUGCGAUAAGUCGGCAGCCGAGAAAGCUGCUGCCAUUAAUGUAAGCGAGAACCGGGACGCCGCGUAUCUUUAUUCUUUUAAAGGGCCAAAGUGACUUCAACUCUUGCAGGUCUUGCCAUUGACGGAUGUCAUCGGUCCCCUUGUUGACCACUAGGCCUCCGCCUCGCUAAAGGGCAAGGUCGCUGAUGAGGUCGCCAAGAUCUCAUCCGCUCAUGCCAUCGCAGGGGGCAGCGGGACCAAGCGGAAGCCGUGGGCGAGAUCGAGCGCUCCCGCCGGUUCUCGGCAGAAGUCUGCCGGCUCCGAGGUAAAGCGCACCGUCCUCGCUCUUUGACUCCUUUUCAAAGAUACCGGAAUGGGGUCAUGAUUUGCUAUCUUACGCGGGAUACAGGUAGUCUGGCUCCUCCUCCAAAGAGGAGGACGUUGAAGCUGCCUGCCAGCAGGUAAGUGAAAUUCUUAACCGAUUUCGUUGUCGUAUGUUUGAUCUUCGCUGAUGAUGUCUGUUGACCUUGGUAGGAGAGUGUCUGUUGACCAUGCAGUUUACUCCAUGGCAGCUGAUAUCAACAAGCCUGUGGAUCCUAGUUUUCGAAGAGUGCAUAACCGUGUUGCGCAAGAUGAAAAUUUCUUGCCUUUUGCUGGGGAUGCAGGAGCUGCAGACGGGACCCACAUCCCAGUUCAUGUUGCAGUUGAAGAAGCUAAUUUGCACCGCAAUCGUCACCAUAUCACAUCAAGGAAUGUAUUAGUUGUAAUUGGAUGGGACGAUCGUGUUAUAUUUGCAGAUGCCGGAUGGCUUGGAGCUGUGCACGACCAGCGGGUGCUCACAGAAGCUAUCCGGAACUAUCCCCAUAGUUUUCCAAGGCUGCCAUGGGGUAAGUACCAAUGUUGACGGUUUUUUUAAUCCAGUUAGUACACAACACCAUCAUAUUACUCCCUCAUGCAAUUUUCAUCUGAAAUUUCUCAUGUUCACUGUCUAGGUAAAUAUCUACUAGUGGAUUCUGGGUACGCUUGCCAGUGCGGUUUCUUGCCACCGUACCCGCAUGUACGCUACCAUUUGAAUGAAUUUGCUGGUCAAUCGCAAGGGAGGGAAGAAACAUUCAACUAUAUGCACUCCUCCCUGCGUACUUCAGUUGAGAGAGCUUUUGGAGUUAUGAAGAGUCAGUGUAGGAUUCUUAGGGAGAUACCUCUUUUCCCUAGGCCACACCCAAACGAAGAUCAUACACUGCGUUUUUGCUCUCCACAACUUCAGGCUCGACAGUGCAGACCCCCAUUUCAUGACACAGAACCGGUUGUACAACAGGUACCCGCCCAUCCCACAGGCACCACUGCUGCGCAAUUGGUAUGACGCACGGAAUAGUGCCGCGGGGAUGAGAGCUGUUCGUGACGUGAUUGAAAGUUUACAACAAUUAGUCCUGCAUCACUUUCUAUCCUUAAUAAAUUUGUAUUCCUUGCUCAUGUCUUUCUCAAGUUAGCCUAUUUUAUGUGUGUUCUCGGUACGAGAAACAACUGUCCUGUUGUUCUACUCGAAUUUGUAUAACGCUAUUAUAUUGCUAUCUAUGUGAACUUUGGUAUUGUUAAUCACGCAUUUCACAUUCAUUAGAAUUUUAUCGAGCAAUUAAUUGUGUACAUUAAUCUACAACUAAUCAUCCUGCUGAUCACAUUACUUCUUUUUUUGUGCGCCUAUCACUGUCGGCUCCAUGCGCGCAGGCCUAUCUGAGCAAGGAGGAAAAGCCCCACCCUCUCCCAAGUCAAGCCGACACCAACAGCAGCGGCUGCAGCGCCUUUAGUGCUGCCUGCUACUGACAGCCCUGCCCGUCCCGUCACGUCGCUUGCAUCACUGCUCCGUCGGCAAUCUCAAGGAGCUACUCCAACCGGCAUCAAACUCCAUCCAGCCUUGCUACCUACUAUUCAGCCACCCACCAUAUUUACUACUAACAGCCUACAGUACUGAUUACACUCAGAUUUAAUUCGAUACUACAAUAAACACAGACGAGCGCACCCUAAGUACAGUGGUGAGUUUCUAUAUCCAAUAUUUAAUCGUUCGUCUUAUUUGAAAAAUCUAUAAAAAAAUUUUAAAAAAUAAAUCACACAAAGAAUAACAAUAAAAAUACUAAUAAUCAUAAAAAUUUUCUAAUAAUACAGAUGGUCAAUCGUUGGAUACAAAACCCACAACUAGACUUGUACUUUACUAAUGGUUAUUGAUAAGUUUUUUUUAACCAGUAGACAAACAUGAUUGAAUACCUAAACGACUUGCGGUGAUAUGGAGUCGCUAAUAUGACCAAAGCUUAGUGAUCUCUGGUCCUACGUUUUGCCCGUGGCGGCCCGCCCAACAAGCCAUGAAAAGCGACCCCCACGAGUCGACGCGGCCCAGCCCGCUAAGCCCCGCCCGUUAACCCGCUAAGUCCCGCAGUAGCCAAUCAACGAGCGGCAUUUGAUCGAGCCAUCUCCGCCACUACCCGAGAUGCGCCCCCUCCACACGUGGCCCUCCCGCACCUCAACCCCGACCGCCCGCCCAAUCAUCUUGCACCACGCGUCCGCCCCUCCCUGGACUCCUCUCGGUGGGUGGGAAGGGAGAGGAGAGAGGGAGAGGGGGGAGAGGGAAGCGCAGACGACGACAACACAGGUCGCGAGUGGAGGAGGAGGAGAAGCGAGCAAGCGCAACGCGAUUCUCCGCCGCGUCACCGAAUUGGAGGAUUUUCUGCCCUUCCCUUUUGCCGUGGCUGGAGAUGCAACCGUCGGGACCCGGGGGGCAGCGCGUAUCGGGCUCUCGUUCGGGUGCGGCGCCAGCGGCGGCCGCCACCUGAGGAGGAUGUUCGAGUGGAACGACGACCAGCAGCAGGUGCGCCGCAGAGGAAAUCCGUCCUUCCCUUUGCUUUUCUUAGCUGUAGUUUCGUGCCGCGGAUGCUGUGGCGGCUGGAUCUGCUUUGCUGUGCGAGCACGUGUACCGCGCGAAGCUAGUUUAUAUGUGGUGGUCUGGUAAGGGGAUAUUGCUUUUCCGCCUUCUCAUUUCUAGGGGAUUUUAGUGCUCGAAGAAGCAGCUGAUGAUUGUGAGCGAGCGAGCGAGGAUGAUAGGAUUAUUUCCAAGGAGGCUCACCUAGCAGAGAGAGUCUUGUGGGCAUUUAGAUGCUACCGCGUGCGGUUGGGUUGUGCUAGGUCUCAUAAGGUAAGGUUACACUAAAUUGGAAGUUAUGUAACUUGUAGAAUUGUCUAUUGCGUCGACGGGUGGUGGAUGUCCCAAUAAUCUUUUGCGACUCCACGGGAGUGCUGCCAAUCUGACUUCUAUCGUUAGUCUUCUCUACAUAGCAGUAUUGUGAACCAAGGUUAUAUAUUUUUGAAUUCACGUGACGGCUGCUGGACGCUGAUAACUUCAAGUUACAGUGUUUCUGUUGUGAAUUAUUAGAAGUAGGAUCAUACUCUGAUACUUAUGUCAUUUGGUGUAUUAAAGUUCUCUUAUAGUAGGUCACUCUUUGGGUAAUGUAAAAUGGAUUGGAUUGAUUAUGAAAAAUGGUCUUCUUUUUAUCAAAAAUUCAUGAUUCAGACAGCAGGCCUACCCAUAUGAAUUAAAACGUUGUGGCUUAAUAGUUUCGGUUUAGUGACCUAAAUUGUAUAAUCUCAUAUCACUCUCGAUUAUGAAUAGAGAACCAUGAUAGGAAUCUUGCACUCUAAUUUUACACAUUAUUUAUUCUACUAUACAAUUGAAUUUAUAUUGUAGGGUAUAUUCAUGUGUGUUCUCCUUUAGGACCUCAUCUUUUCGCUUAUGCUUAUGCUUAUCAGCUAAAAUUUGAAUUUUCAACCUUAAAUUUGGAGCUGAUUUUGAGGUUUUUUCAUCAAAAUUUAUUUUUCAGCCUUUUCUUUUAGAUCGCUAAGAACACGUAUAUAACAGUUUUAUUCACAAAUUACUUUUCAUUUGCAAAUACGCCGUUUCACUUAUUCGCGCGUUUCGCUUAUUCCGCGAAUAAGCGAAACGAUGGCUCCGUAAAUUGUUUCAAAAUAAUUUGACAAUGAGACUCUGCUUAAAUUUCCUCAGAGUAUUUUCAGAUUAUCGUUUGAAUUGCAGGUGGGAGAUGCAAUAUGGGCUGAGUUCAAUGAGAAUGAAGACCAUAUUGUGCCUUACCCUAAGGAUACAGAGGAUAGUGCAUUAGUAAGUGUUGGAGACCAGAAGAAGAAUGAUGAAGAAACUGAUAAUAUUCCUGGCCUUACUGAACGAAGUUCAAGUGGUCAAACUGAGUUUCCAGUUUUGGAAAAGCAGCCUGCCUCUCAGGCUAGUGAACAUUAUUCAGCUACACAACUUGACGUUGAAUCCUGGCCUGACUUGCCUUCUUUGAAUGCCACACUUGAUAGAAACUACAGCGAUGAUAAUAUAGCAUCUACAUAUUUGGAUUUCAGUUCUGCACCUAGUUUAGAGAAGGUCACAGGAAACACAACAGGUUUGUUUCAUCCUAUUACUGCUGCGUGUGGAUUUUAUUCCUGCUUCAUUUUCAUAACAGCUAAUCUAUAAGCAUGUUGAUGCAUGGAAAAAAGGAUACCAUUUAUGUAAAAGAAGAGGUGACAUAAUUUGUGAGCAAAUUAUAUAGCUUUUGUUAACCCAUGUACAGUGCAGCUGGAUGGUGAAACUGAAGUGUUUGGUAAUGAUCAUGAAGAAAAGAGUAACAGCUUCCUUGAUUGUGACUGGGGUAAUAUCGGAGAUUUUGAUGAUUUUGACCGCUUAUUUAGGUAAUAUCAGACACUGGAAGAGGUUUUCCCUGAAAUCUUAUGAAUUAAUAAAAUCAUCACAUGUUACAAUUGAAUAAACUCAUCACAUGAUGUUAUUGUCUACAGCAAUGGUGACUCCAUAUUUGGUAAUGAGAUGGUUGCUGAUGGCAGUAAUUUUCUCUCAGCAUCUUCAGAUCUGGUGGAUACUACUGUACAAUCAAUCCCCUUUCCAGUAUGUCGAUACAUUAAUAAUCUUCCACUGUGAAUUUUCAUCUCUUUCCAUAAUUUUGAACUAUUUUUUAUCUAUACUAUUUACUUGAUGGUUCCACAGCAUAUACCACUGAAUAAACAACUAUCUUCUGAUCAUGGAUCUUCGCUUCUGAUUAAUGAAACAUCUGGUGGAACUACCGAACAAGAAAGCAAGGUAAAUGUCUAAAUGCAUGCAUUUAUGUGUCAUAAUUAGCAGUUACUUCUUGGCUACUCCUGUUAUUCAUUUUUGGCAGGUAGUAGACGCUAAUGCUAAAUCUGGAGAGCAAGCUGAGCAUAAAAAUCAUCUGAAUAAUGAAUAUUCUGGAAAACCAAAUCAGUUUCCAAAGGAGGUAGUCAGCCAUGUGAUGCAUCCUAUCAACUUUUAUGAAUGAAAUCCAUCUCCCACAUUUUGUUAUAGUGAUACACUAAAAUAUGUCCUGAGGUUGUUUUCAUUGUUCUGAUCCCUCAUAUAAGAGUGUUUACAUUUAGGGUAAUAAGUUUGAAGGACAGCUGUUCAUUUCGAAUUAGUUUUUUGUUUUACCGAAUUCUUCAUUAGCAUGUAUUUUAAAUCCAGGAAGCCAUCUAAACUGAUUUAAUUAUAAAUCAAAGUCCUUUCUGACAGUUUCAGCUAUAACUUUGUGAUGUCUUUUAAGGUUCCAGUAAAUUAAGCACUGUGAGGCAUCAUAAUGACCAACAUACAUUCAUUAUAUGAUACUCUUGUGAUUUAUGAUACUCCUUUUUUUUUGUUUCUAUUGGAGGUUGUCAUGUUUAUCUACCUUUUUCAUUAUAAAUGUCAAUUUUUCAAAUUAAGAUUUGAGAUGCAGUUGAAUAUUGAUUAGUUUAUCUGACUUGUAGGGAACAAGUUUGCUCUCUUCCUAACUAAAUGUAAAUAUGUUUCUGAACACAAAUAUGCUUCUCCAUGUAGGGAGAUGUGCAGAAGAAGUCAGUGAGGUCACGGAGAAGAACAGAAGAAAGAGGCAAAAGUAAAAUGUCCAAUAGUACAAGUGGCUUCUCCCAGAACCAAGGACAGCAUCGACCAGCCAGUUCGCAUUCAUUGGCCAAAGCCCCUGCGCAACCCCUUCAGACUCCUCAAUACUUGCUAUUACAUGAUAACAAGAACAUGGGACAACUUCAGCAGGCUAAUCAGUUUAUUUUCCCUGACUAUGGAUAUCCUUCAUAUCAAUUUCCUGGCAUUCCUCUGAUGUCAAAUGUUCAGGCUGAAAGCCAUCAAACAAAGCCAGCUACUACAAAUUACCGAACUUCAAUAGAUUCCCCAAAACAGUCAAGUUCCGCAGAAAAGUCACAAGAUAUACCAUCAAGACCAUUGAUGAUGACACCCCAAGAAAAGAUUGAAAAGCUUAGGCGUCGACAGCAAAUGCAAGCACUGAUAGCUAUUCAGCAGCAGCAGCAGCAGUUUGGUCAAGAUGGUUCUGGCAGCGAUACCAUGGUACCUCAAGCGUACUCACCAAAGAGCAAAAAUCCAGAUUCCUUAGGGAGUUCUGUUGUCAUAGAUGAUAAUGCAAAUAAAGUUUUCUCACUAGAGCUGAUUCCAACUGGCCAUGAAGAGAUUCAGAAGAGUUCUGGGAUUCCUGAUGACCCCUUUAUAGAAGAAAAAAUAUAUUAUCAGCUUCAAGAUGCUCUUGCGAAGGUAGCUUAUUUAGUAUUUCUUCAGAUUUUUACAUUGAUUUUUUUAUGCCAUGUAAGACCAUAUCUGUUGCAGGGCUUAUUUCAAGAUAAAUUAAUUGACCAUAUUUUCUUCUUUACACAGUUGGAUACCAGAACUCGGCGUUGUAUUCGAGACAGUUUACUCCGUUUGGCCCAUAGUGUCUCAGAGAGACAAAUUACUAGUGACAGAAGUAGUGCUAACAAGAGUAAUAAAGAUGAUGAUGAAGUUUCAGAAGACACAUCUAAAAGAAGGUAUGCUUUGCUUCAUGCCAUAAUGGUUCCAUUAAGUAUUACCAUCCUCGCAUUUGGACACUGCUAGUAGUAAUGCGUUGCUUUACUGUACAUAAUGCAAUAUUGCAAUACUCCCUCCAUUAAAAGUCUAAGCAUAUUUCUUUUUUCACCAAAACCAAGAAGAAUAUAACUCAUCCCCCAUGUAACAAAAUCAAGGAACUAUAUGCAUGCAUGCAACCAAUGAGUAUUAAGAUGGUUUCUUGGGCUCUGAUCAACAAUUUAAUUUAGCACAUUGAAACUGCAAAUAUGAUCAUCUCAUUUGGUAAAACCAAAAAAAAAAUAUGCUUAAGACUUUUGGAUGGAGGGAGUAUAUAAGUAAUAUUGCUAUUUUAGAUCAAGAUACUCCUAAGUUGAACGAUUGUACAUUUAGGAAUAAAAUUAUGUUCCAGUCAUCAACAGUACAUCGGGCACAACAGGGGAUAAUGAUCUGAAUGGCAUCAUGUUUGUGUACUUCUAUCUAAUUAAACUAGGAUAACAGUUCUAAUAUUGUGAAUUGUCCUAUCAUAUCAUAUUUACCCAAUGAUAUUUGAAAUUGAAUAGGAUAAAAUAUUGAAAUUAAGUAAUCAAAAGUUUCAACAUCUUUGUUUUGUUGGGGUUUCUCAUUUCUUUUAAGAUUUUAUUUGUUAGUUCAUCCUUAGUAAAAGGAUACUAUGGAUCCAAUGCUAGUUUUUUUGUUGUACUGGUUGGAGGGAACAGCUGAAGGUUCCCCUGACAUUUUGGUUGUAGCUGGAAUGUGCAGCCUUGUACGAAAAGAUUCUGAAAAUCUCUCCAAAAAAAUAAACACAACCCUAGCCAAGAAGCUCUGAAAUUCCUUCAUCAUCCAGCAAGUAGUUGAAGAUCUGCAAUUUCUACCUCGUACCAAUUCAUCUUAUUUAUACCAUCUUUUUGCUGCUUGCAAGUAGCUAGCUGCCGUUGCGUAUAUAUGAGUACAAUAGGUAUAUUUUUUUUCAGUGACAAAUUCUUGAUUGAUACAAUCCCAGAUCUCCAGCAAGUGAAGCAGAAACAAACACAAAUCCAAUCGACCGCAUUGUGGCACAUUUACUGUUUCAUAAGCCUUGUUCAAAGGUUUCAACACCUGCAAAAGAAGAGAUCAAAUCCUCAACUCCAUUGCCAACUGAACCUGGUGUGUGUGUGUUUAUAAUAUAUUUGUUGGUUAACUAGUCUGAAUAUGCCAUCGUUAGGUAUGUAUACACAAUGAACUAACAUGAUGCUUGGGAUUUACAACACUGUGCAGAUUCGAAGAUUCCUACAGACGCACCUGGGGGACCAUCAGAAAAUCACCAGAAUGGGCAAGAAAUGACACUGCAGCCUUCACUGUAAUGUAAGAUGUAUUAAUGGAAGAUUUUGCUCAAAGACCAGUGAGAUCAUAAUUCUUUGUGUAUCUGAUGGCCCAAUUUCUCUGCGAAUGGCUGGUGUUUCUCCUUAGAGUAUGUGGCAGGGGACCAAUGAAUUGCUCAACAUCAACAUGGUUAGCUGCCUCUAAAGAUGGCCAUUGCCAGUCCGCUGAUCACCUCCACUGUCAGAGAUCAUUACGUGAUGUAUCCUGCUGUAUCAGUUUCACCAUCCUAGUGCCUUGUGUCAUAUCCCAAAAAAAAAAAAAAAAACAACACUGUACAGUUUAGACUGGAUUCAUGCCGAGGUGACACUUUGGGUGUGUAUGUUAGAGUUCACUGAAAGAGAGCGAACAUUUGGCUCUAGAAAUACUUUUGUCGUUGGAAAUUCCUCGAUCUUAUUCCCCAGAAAAUGUCCUGUUCCACUCCAUAACAUUCAUGUGCUAUGUGUUGGUCGCUAAGCUCGAAAGAACUUUGUCAUUCUAACGGAACUAUUUGAUGACACAUCUUUUGCAUGUGUCGGCGCUAACGACUUGGCAUUCAUAGGUGGGGUAUUUUUCGAAUUGGCAUUGCUAAAAUUGUGUCGCCAUUUUUUUCAACCGGUUGCAGUCGAUUUUUGCUCGGUCCAAUUAUCUCCAAGAUGUGGGGCUAGUAUUUGCUUUCACUCGAAGAUUAAACUAUAUUUUCUGCUGUUCUGUUUUGUUUCUAGCGUACAUGCUGAUAUUAUUAACGGAUAAAUUACUCGUACUAAUCACAUCGUACUUACUUCCUCUGUCUCAAAAUAUAAUAACUUUUAGCACUUAAAAUUUGUCUCGAAAUAUAACAAUUUCUCCAUCAACAUUCUCUUCCCAACCAAUCAGAACCCUCCACCAUUCACUUUUCCCACCUACCUCCACUAUUCAUCCAAUCACAAUCCUCUACCACUCACUUCUACUACCUACUUUCUUAAUAACCGUGUCCAACCAUAAAACUUAUUAUAUUCUGGGAUGGAGGGAGUAUAUUAUAAUUACAUACUAAUUACAUAUGUAAUUUUAAACUUACAUAUCUAAUUUUGGAACUUAUAUAUGUAAUUUUGAGACUUACAUUGUAAAUACACUAAAAUUACAUAUGUAAUUUAGAAAUUUACAAUAUACUCCCUCUAUCCACAAAAGUUACACAUAUUACUUUUGAUACCAAGACCAAGGAGAAAUUAAAUCAUCUUGGAUGUUACAAAAUUAAGGAGUGAAUGCAAGCAUACAACCAAUGAAUAUUUAGAUGACUCCUUGAGUUCGAAUAAAACAUUUAAUUUAUCUCUUCAUUUAAGUCUUGAAUGCAUAAAGAAUUAAAGAUUAUAAAUAGGAACAACUUAUUUGGAAAAACUCAAAUGUGAAAUAGGUGUAACUUUUGUAGAUGGAGGGAGUAUAUGAAUGCCGACUAUUUUUUAGUAAAAAAUAUAGCACCAUAUGGAAACAAAACAGGACAGCAAAAAAUAUGGGACUAUCUACAUAUCUGUUGAUAGAAAAUUCCACCUCCUAUCUUUCAAAUUUUGGACUAUUAGAUAUGCUUUAAGAUUCGAGCAGACCCUUUAACCCUAACUCCUCUUCUCCUCCCUAUCCAGAUCACGCCGCCACCACUCCUCUCGUCCCUCGCAUGAACUCCCGCUGCCACCGCCCCUCUGCGCCGCUGUCCAGCUGGCAGCCACCGCCCCUCUGCGCCGCCGCCCGCCUUGCCGGCUGGACAGAGGGCGUCAACGGCGCCGGCGAGGCCCCCCCCCGACCAGCCUCCUCCCCCUCCCCCCCUCCUUCCUCCUUGAGCAGUCGGCGGCGAGAUGCCCCCUCCACCAACGCCGGCCCACCGCCGUCCUCCAGCCUGCCGCCUCCUACGGCCAUCCCUCUAAAGCCGGCAAACUCCCCCCUCUUCCCCCUCCCCCUCCCCCCCUCUUCCCACCCCCACCCCACCCCGGGACCCUAAUUCGUUGGCCCUCUACUGGAGUUCGGGUUCGCUGGUGCCGGAGAAGAAGAGGUGGUCGCCGGAGUUGGUGAAGAAGAACAUGAAUUGUGAAGCACAUCCAGUGAUCCAAAAUUUACAAGAUUUGUGGUUAGAUUUUCUGUCGACAUAGCUUUAGCAAUUCCGAAUAUAUAUAUAUAUAUAUAUAUAUAUAUAUAUAUAUAUAUAUAUAUAUAUAGCUCCUCCCUUUAUUUGAAAAAGCACACAUCCUUCCUUAUAUGCAAUUUUGCAAAUUACCGAACGUGUAAUUUGUGAAGACAUCUACUACACAAAAACCUUUGUACCUGCGUUUGUUUUUGCUCCUGUUACCAAUUUAUGAGUAUGUACAUUAACAGCUGUAGUCCAUUAACAAGUGUCACUCAUCCCAUCAAACUGGUGGCAUGUAAAGCAACUAUCUCCCUGAAUUUCUCUAUACAGUAUUUGAAUUAACCAUGUAUAUGUGUCAAAAAGAGAAAGAAUUAAUCAAAAGAACUCGGUAGGAGACCAUGCUACUCCUACUCCUACCAUGGUUUCCGCUGUUCCGUCUCAGUACUGUCCGCGUUGUGGCGCCUCCUCAGCUCCGCCCAGUGGUCGUACGCGUCGCGCAGCCGGCGACGGAACCGUACCAUGUCCAGCCGCACGUUCUGGCCAUCGAGGUAAACCUUCUUGGUGACCUGCCACCCCUUGGCGUUCACGGUGUCCGGGUCGGUGAGCACCGCGUCAUCCUUGGCGUACUGCCGGUACAGCGAGCUCUCCGCCGGCUUGAUCUUGUACGGCAUGUACCGCAGCCCGAGCCGCCGCGCCGGCUCGCCGUAGUAUGUCUCGGCGGCCCAGUCGGUGCCGAGCGGAACGACCUGGAUGAAGACGGAGCCCGGCCGCAUGAAGAGGAAGUGCGUCAUGGCCGCGCCGUGCACGCCCACCAUGACGUCCGAUGCGUUCAGAGCACGGUACAUCUUGGCGAGCUCCGUAUCCUGACGAGGCUGGAGCACGGCGACGCGGAACCCGGCGCCAGCAGCUGCACGCACCAGCUCGGCCUCGUUCUCGAUCGCGCGCGACCCGUUCCGUGACACGAUCACCAGUCGUGGCUUGUCGUCCUUGAGCGCGCUCUUCUUCCUGAUGCUGCCUUGGGUCGGCGUCCCCAAGGCCACCGCCGCGGCCUUCUCCUCCUCCUCGAUGAUCAUCUGUAUGCGGCCGCGGUAUGCGUCGUCGAGCAUCCGACGGAAGUCCUGGAUGGUACGGUUGCCCGGCAUUCGUGCGGCGUCGAUGGCGAGCUCGUCGUGGAUGCGCAGCCCAACGACGGCCUCCGGGAAGCAGUGGGUGCGGCGGUCGUUGGUGAAGUCGAUAGGCGCGUAAUCGGAGAGCUGCUCGACGAUGUGGCCGUACUUGGUCAUCCACCAGUCGUGGUACUCGAGCAUGACGAACACCACCUUCUUGUUGUACUGGCGCGCGGUGAUGUAGAGCGGGAUUAUGCCGUCAUUGAACUCGUGGUACACAUUGCCGGUGUACCCGCCGGUGGAGAACACGACGGCUGGGACGUCGUGCCGGACGUCGCAGCUAGCCGGCGCCGCACCCCCCUCGGGCACGGCACGGAGCCGGAGCUCGUCGAUGGUGCUCAUGAUGCUGGACUCCCACUUCCGGGUGUAAGGGCGGAUGCGCUCGUCCCGGCCAGCGGCGGCGGUGGAAUUGUCCGGCGGCGGCACGAGCAAGAAGAGAGAAUUGGAAGCGGCCUCCGUCCGGACGUCCCCGCGCAUGAUGCACACGUCCGUACGCAUGGCGGUGCGGUCGCAGCAGAUGGUGCCGUUGGACACGGCCGCGCACGGCGGCGGCGGCGGCGUCUCGUCGUCCAGGCGCGUCCUCCCCAUCUGCAGCAGGUCGUCGACCGCGGCUGAGAAAGGGCUCCCUGGCAGCAGCAGCAGCAGGCAGGAGACAAGCGCGAACCCCGCGAGCAUCCGCAGCAGCGCGUCGUGGCCGUGCUUCCGGUGGUGGCACGCGUAGUCCACGAGCCGGCGCCGGAGCUCCUUCAUCUUGCCGGCUCCUUCCUCGGCCACCAGCUGCUGCCCCUCCUCUGCCGUCGCAUCCCCUUUCCUCUGCUGCUGGUGCAGCAGGAGGGUGGCCCUAUGGUGUUGCACCAUGUCACCCAAAUCAAUCCCACCUCCGACCACAAGUCCAGGAGAGAACAAGAAAGAAACAGAGCAAGACGAACAAGAGGAGAAGAUGAGGUAAAAAGAGCUUUUCGCUCCGAGUUGCCGUGCAAAGAGGCUAGUACCACUCGGUGGCGUGAUGGUGUGUCUCGUAGAGUCUAAAUGUGGGUGGGGGGAAGGCGUGAGGAAGGAAUUGGCAUUCCCCCGCUAAUAAAAACCGCGUUUCGGUCAGGGUGGCUAUAGCUUGCGGGGGAAGGGAAAUUGGCUGCGCCGCUGACCACUGGAGAUGGACUGGCACUGGAACGCAGCGGCGUGUGGUGGGUGGUGGCACCGAACGAACCUGCCUGCCUGCGUGCGUCGCGUCGCGUGGGUUGGGACGUUGGGUUGGCGGCUGCAGCUUGCUGCUGCCGUUGGUUGGAAGCAUCCCACGGGAUGGAAACGUUUGCGCGUGCUUUCCAAUCGUUUUUUUGUGGGCAGCAUGGGAAUGCGUGCGUGCGAGUAUUAGGCCCUGUUUAGAUGAGACUAAAACUUUUAAGUCCCUAUCACAUCGGAUGUUUGAAAAUUAAUUAUAAAUAUUAAACGUAGACUAUUAAUAAAACCCAUCCAUAAUCUUGGACUAAUUUGCAAGACGAAUCUAAUGAGCCUAAUUAAUCCAUGAUUAGCCUAUGUGAUGCUACAGUAAACAUUCUCUAAUUAUAGAUUAAUUAGGCUUAAAAAAUUUGUCUCGUGAAUUAGCUUUUAUUUAUGUAAUUAGUUUUGUAAGUAGUCUAUAUUUAAUACUCUAAAUUAGUGUCUAAAGACAGGGACUAAAGUUAAGUCCCUGGAUGUAAACACCACCUUAGCUGUCUACAGUCCAUGUUGCACUGUAGCUGUUUUGUGCGUCUGGGACUGUAUCACGCAUUGACGCUACUUCUUGCCCCAUUGGUUUUCCACGCGUAUAUUUUUCAAACUGCUAAAUGACGUGAUUUAUAUAAAAAAAUUUUAUAUGAAAGUUAUCUUUAAAAAAAUCAUAUUAAUCUAUUUUUUUAAAAAAAUAGUUAAAACUUAAUUAAUUAUGCAAUAAAAUGAACUUCGUUUUGCGUGCCUGGUAGGAGGGGUUCCCAACCCCCUCCUCCGAAUACUACAUGUGGUUCCAUUUAGGGGUGAGGUGAUGGAGCAAGGGAACGAUUUUUUUUGCUUUUUGAGAACAGAAGGGAACGAAUUGGAGAUGAUAUUACUACUGCUAUAGUACUUCCCUUUUCUUUCUUUUUUUCUUUUCGAGAAACCAGUUUCCUUUCUUUUCUGCCAGGGAAGUUCGGUUCGGUUAUUGCUUCCCAGUCCUGCCGCUGAACUUUCGAAAUAGAAAAGGGGGCCAUUUCUAUUCCUACGUGUGAGUAAAACAAAACAACGAUAAAAAAAUACUAUGAGCUAAAUAAGAACAGGAGACUAUUGCCUUUUAUUUUUAUAUACUUGCUGCGCAUCAAUCUGACCAUUACUUGGUUUCUGGAAUACAGCAAAGAUUUUUCUUUUGAAAGAAUAUACUAGUAGCAAAGAUGACGAAAUGUCCUAGGAUGGACUAAACCAUAUCUUCUUUGACACGGAAGCUCUUUUUCCGUAUACUCCUAUUUUAUUAGACUGUAUUUAGAUUAAGGGGUGUAAAGUUCUGGCGUGUCACAUCGGAUAUACGGACACACAUUUAAAGUAUUAAAUGUAGACUAAUAACAAAACAAAUUAUAGAAUUCACCUGCAAGCUGUGAGACGAAUUUAUUAAGCCUAAUUAAUCCGUCAUUAGUAAAUAUUUACUGUAGCACCACAUUGUCAGAUCAUUGAGCAAUUAGGCUUAAAAGAUUCGUCUCGUAAUUUACACGCAAUCUAUAUAAUUAGUUAUUUUUUUUAUAUUUAAUACUCUAUGUAUGUGUCUAAAUAUUUGAUGUGACAGGGUAAAAAAAUUUACCAGGAUCUAAACAGGGCCUUAUCCGUGCUAAAAGUUUUUCUUAUUUUUUUUAAGAAAGGUCAUAAGACCCAUAAGACCCAGCUUCUAUUGAAAGCCAAUCCGUGCUAAAAGUUGGAGAAAAUUUUGAUUCAGACUUCAAAUGUGGGGAACAGUGGGGGCACCCUGAAUUGAAUAGUGUUUUUCUUUUUGGCCCUUAGGUAAACAGUGCAUUUGGGAGUAUAUGUGAGCAAUGCAAUUACUGGGUUUCCAGCCAGCUAACCACUAUUAGGCUGUGGUCGGGACUCCCCAGUACGCAAAACGAAACAGUGUUUAGCACGUGAUUAAUUAAGUUUUAGCUUUUUUUAAAAAAAAUGGAUCAAUAUAUUUUUAAGCAACUUUCGUAUAUAAACUUUUUACAAAAAAUACACCGUUUAGCAGUUUGAAAAGCGUGCGCGCGGAAAACGAGGAGAAAGGGUUGGGAACAUGGACAAACGAGUUGUCGCUCUACUACAUACCCGGAUAGGGAGGACUUAAGUGAUCUUGAGGGCUGUCACCACCUCUACACCUACAUCAAACGUUGCCGAUUACCAAAUUUCACUGUUAACAAACGUACAGUGGGAUACGCAGCAAUUACUGGAUAACAAUUACCUAAACACCACGUCUAAGCAAUUAAUAUCUACUUUAGUGUUUAUAACUCACCAAAGCAAUCACUAUAUUUUAGUUGAUUAUAGUGAACAAUAAUCCUAUAUGCUAUUUAGGAACUAACCAAGAGAUAAUUCUCACAAGAUAAAUCUAAAUUACUCACGAAGAAUAUUAUAUUGAAUUCAGAGAAAUAAACAGAAUAAAAGAAAUAGAAGAAGAUUACCGACAACUCCGGAAUUCUUACGACUUCUUCUACUCUACUCUCUUCCUAUUCUAGUAUACAAUAUAGUACAAUAGAGCCUCUUACAAUUCAGCUCAAGCUUGGAAGUGUGUGUGUGAAGUGAAGAAGUGAGGUCUAUUUAUAGGGCAGUUAUGACGGUUGUGAGAAGGAGAAAUAUCCGAACUGCCCCGCAACCGUCAUUAGGAUCAACGGUGAUCAGGGGGGUUGGGUUCGGCCGAACCUGGGCUGGGCCCUCUCGGGCUGGCCUUCGGCCUGUGGACUCCCUGGUCUCUCCUUUGUCUGUUUCUUGGAAUUUUGGGCUGAGUCUUUGGUAUUUUGAUGAAGUUCACAACCCAUCCUUGUAUGGAUACUUGUUUCUCCUCACUUUAGUCUGAUUUUCCUCCCAACUUCAGGGUUUAUCACCUGCAUACAAAUAUACACCAACACUUGUGGAAUAUGUGAGAUUAAGCACCUAUCACUAUGUUGGAUGUUUUAUUAUUUGAACUUUAUGCAGAUGUUAGCGGUAUAGAAUCAGCAUUUAACAGCCGCCAACAAAACCCCCCACACUUAGCCCUUUGCUUGUCCAUGAGUAAAGGCUAGUGUAGAAUGAAUUUCUUCAAGAUAUGAAUCAAGCAUACAAAUCAUUCACAACCAUACCUAUUCCUGUGAACUUUAUCAGUGGCUAUCUUACCAUCUUGAGUAAUUGAUAGAUGGAACGAUCUCGAUUCCAGUUCUUCUUGCUUCUUCUGUCAGACUCAUGGGAUUUUUUAAUGAAUUUUCGCAAACCAGCUCCUUUCCUCAUGUUGACUUUCUCUCUUAUCUCUCAAGGAUGUAUAUUUUCUUUUUGGAUCCUCACCAAGGCAAAGUGUGCUAGAAUUUACCCCUAUUCUAAGGCUGAUAUGUGGAGCUUGGUUGGGAAAAAUUGUGACAUACCUACAUCAUAUAUAUUGCAAAGCCAAAAAUACGGACUCAAGAAGAUCAUCAGCCAUACUCCUAGAUCAAGGGUCUUUAAUUGUGGUAGAAAAUGGAAAAGUAAAAUAUUUUGUGGAAUGAUGGAAUAAAGAAAUGAUUCUCCCUUUUUCCUAUACUUUCUCCUCCUUUUUGUUUUCUUGGCAUAAAUAUGGAAGAGGCAUGGCUAUAUAUAUAUAUAUAUAUAUAUAUAUAUAUAUAUAUAUAUAUAUAUAUACUCAUCAUGGCUAUAUAUAUACUCAUCAUGCUCAAUGUUUUGAGAGCAAGUUUUAUUCCCUUUUCUCUUUUUUUUUUCAUAGCCAUGCCUUUCCCUCCUUUUCUCAUUUUCUUUUUGCCAAGGAUUUUUUUCUAGGAGAAGAAAGCAUAGUCUAAAGUACGAGUUUAUUUGAAUGGAAUUUUUGUGGGAAGCCAACUUCCAGUGUAGAAGCUUAGCUUUAUCAUGUAUGUGGAAAUGAAAGUGGAAUUGACCCCUUGAUCGUGAGAGUAUGAAAGAUAUCUAACACGAGUCACAUCAAUUUGACAAAGCUCAAUAUAAUGCCAAGCAGUCAUAUGCAUAAUAAGGUUUAUCAAAGAUACUCUUGCAUAUGGCCUUGGUAGGUAUAACAUGAAGUCAAUUGGAGGAUUGAGCUUUUUUUAAACAUGUUAUUUUGAAAACAAAUUCCCAAGAGUCAUAACAAGAGUUGCAAGAAUUCCUUUCAUCUUUAAUCAUCUCACAUAUAGCAAUCACUUGGAUGUAUAAGGUUCCCUAAACAUGGAGGGUUGUUCACAAGCACAAAUUCAGCUGAGAAUAAUGAAUAUACAAGAUCAAUCAUAUGAAAAUUUUCAUUAAUUGGAAAUUUUAUCUUUUACUUAUGCUUGGACCAAUUGUUUUUUGAAUUUCCAGCUCUAGUACUAUACCAUGGUGGAGAUAUACAGAUAAUAGACGUGCUCACCAGCUUACCUAUGAAAGUUGAGAGGGAUUGAGGCCAGCUUUGGUUCGGUCGAACCUGGUGGUUCGGCCGAACCACUCUGGUGCUCAAUCCCUCUGCAGUUUUCUGCAGAGUUGAGUGCUUCCAGGUGUUCAGAGAUUCAGCAAUUUUUCAGAGUAUAUGCACGUCAGAAGCUAGAAUAUCUCCCCCACACUUAUUCAAAACCUGAACUUUAUUAAACAUAAAACAAAAAACAACUUUGGCAACCAUUGGGGUUAACACCAAUGAGCCACAUUAUUCAUAGUAAGUGCUUUACAUGAUUGGAAAAAUAAAAACCAAGCACCUACUACCAUUUUAUUUAUGGGAAAGGAGACAUCUAAUUAGCAUAAUAUUUAUUUUCCUUCCCCAUCUCUAUGAAUGCACGCUUGAUUUUAGCGCACAAACCACAGCUAAGGGUAUCAACAUUAUUUCUAAUUUCAGCGAGUUCAACCCCUAGCUCCGCGUUGCGAUCCCUAAGCUCUAUAUUCUCCUUGCGGAGUUUCUUUACUUGAGCGGCGAGCUUUUGGACUGAGGGCUCCGGUGACUUUACUUCAUCCUCUUGGAAUUGGCUGGGAGUCCUCACGAUUGGAGGGGGCGUCAAGUGACGCUUCACCUUCAUAGGUGGAGGGCUACGGGAUUCCGCUGCCCCCUCCUUCUCCGAUGCCAUCAAAGGCCGGAGUAAACCUUUGCCAUACCCACCGCUGGUAGUUCGCACUCCCAUGAUGCCGAAUCGCUCCUCCUUUGGAGUGGAUGGAGUAGCGGUGGGUGUGGUGUACUUGUGGAGCACCUCAUCCCCUGCCUUGGUGAAUAGGGUGCCCACAUAUCGCUCGGCGGGAGGCGGAGCGGCCUUCAAAAGACCGAGCUCUCCCGGUGUCGGCUGUCGCGCAGGCGAAUCCCCCCGGAUUUUGGUCUUGAUGACAUGACGAGGGGAGAGGGAUCGCGCUGCCGAAUGGGGCCGAGGAGGGUUCGGCCGAACUAGGGAGCUCGCCGGCGGGCUCCAAAUUUGCAGGGAGCCCGGCACUGUUGCGAGAGGCUGUGUCCACAGUGCGUUUACCCCUUCCAUCAUAUAGUGUUCCACCGGGAUCAAUUGAUUCGCCGGUGUUGGCUCUCCAUUGAGAUUGUAGGUAGAAUUGGAGGAGGAGCCAAUGUAUGGGAUCAAGGACUUGCCAGCCAUAGGUGAGUUGUGGGUGGAGAAUCAAGGAAUUGAAUUGGGAUGAAGAAAGAGUUUGCACAAGUGGAGGAGAGGAGGAAGAACAAGUGCUCUAAGCUUUGAUUCGAUCGAUCUACCUCCGAAAGCGCAUCACAAUGGACUACAAACGAGUGGGGGAGACUGAUAUACAAAAUUGGAGCUGAUUGGGUGCUGCCCUGUUUCGGCCAAACCCUGGUGGGUCCAACUGGCCGCCAAAUUUUCCCUAGGCCCCCUAAAUCCUAAGCUAAGCACAAAAAUGACAACUUUAUAGAGUUUUAAGCAUGCAUUAGAUGAAAUCAUCAUGGUUCAUAAUCGAUUAAUUCAAUAACAUCCACUUCUUCAUCUAAAGUUUCAUUCGGCUCGAGGAAAAUCUUUAAGCGUUGACCGUUUACCUUGCAUAUAUUACCUGAAUCGUCGCGGAGUGUGAUUCAGGUAAUAUAUUCAAGGUAUCAUGCCAGCGCUCCGUUCUUUCUUUGUAUAUCUUCGCAUUGUAGUAAGCCUUCCCUCUUCAUUCUUCAAGUUCAGCAAUUUGCAUUUUUCUCCAUUCUCCUGCUCCUUCAAAGUCCAUGUUCCAGUUCCUGAUGGCCCAAUAUGCCCUGUGCUCGAGUUCUACAGGGAGUCGACAUGACUUCCCAUAGACUAUCUGAUAGGGGGACAUUCCAAUGGGUGGCUUGUAUGCUGUCCGGUAUGCCCACAGUACGUCUAGCAAUCUAUCUUUCCAUCAUGUUCCCAUUUUGUUGACCGUCUUCUAUAGAAUAUUCUUGAUCUAUUUGUUUGAUGUUUCUGCUUGACCGCUGGUCUGUGGAUGGUAAGGAGUGGCCACAUUGUGUUUGGCUCCCUUCUCUCGUAGGAGAUUUCGGAAGGUUUUGUCAAUGAAGUGAGAACCUCCGUCACUUAUGACCAUCCUAGGGGUUCCAAAUCUUGGGAAGAUGAUUUCUAUGAACAUCUUCUUGGCAUGCUUCGCAUCCACGGCGCUGCACGACAUAGCCUCAACCCACUUGGAGACAUAGUCGACUGCCACCAGAAUGUACUCGCAGUUGCGAGACUUAGGGAAAGGUCCCAUAAAGUCUAUACCCGAAACAUCGAAUAUCUCGACUUGCAAAUUGUAUGUGAGAGGCAUUGCACUACGAGCAGUGAUUCCUCCUUGCCUCUGGCAACUUGCGAAUCUUCUGACAAAUUCUUUUGAGUCUUCGUACAUUGUUGGCCAGAAGAAGCCACUUUGCCAAAUCUUGGCCUAGGUGCGGAAUGGACCAUAAUGGCCACCAUAGGGUGAGGCAUGGCAUCGCUCUAUGAUCUUAAGUCCUUCAUCAAUCGGCACACAUCUUCGUACAAGCCAUCGGAGCAGACCCGAUAUAAGUAUGGGUCAUCCCAUAUAUGACGGCGACUUUCAUAUUUCAGCUUCCGUUGAUUUCCCCUGGUGGUAUGUACUUGAAUACCAUGUAGUUCACUAUGUUGGCAUACCAUGGGUUGGAGUCGCGAACCGUCAUCAGCAUGUCAUCUCUCAAGAAGUCAUUUAUCGGCUGUUCCUACGUGUCAGUGAUUUGUAGCCAAGACAAAUGAUCUGCUACAGAAUUUUCUACUCCCUUUUUAUGCUUGAUUUCUAAGUCAAAUUCUUGGCGCAGCAAAAUCCAUCUUAAGAUACGUGGUUUAGUGAGUUGGUACUUCAAAACAGCAUGAUCAGUAAAGACUACUCCCUCCGUCCCAAAAUAAGUGCAGUUUUAGCACUGUUCAUGUUCAACGUUUGACCGUUCAUCUUAUUUGAAAAAAGAUUAUGAUUAGUAUUUUUAUUGUUAUUAGAUGAUAAAACAUGAAUAGUACUUUAUCUGUGACAAAUUUUUUAAAUAUUUUUCAUAAAUUUUUCAAAUAAGACGGAUGGUCAAAGCGCUAAACACGGAUAUCUAUGGCUGCACUUAUUUUGGGACGGAGGUAGUAUCACCUUAGCUCCCACCAAAUAAGAUCUAAACUUAUCGAAAGCAAAAACAACCGCGAGCAGCUCUUUUUCAAUGGUUGCAUAAUUCAACUGAGCUCCGGUUAGAGUUUUGCUAGCAUAGCAGAUUGCAUUAUGCUUUUUAUCCUUGGUUUGGCCCAAGACCGCACCAACGGCGAAAUCGCUUGCAUCACACAUGAUCUCGAAGGGCAUAGUCCAAUUAGGAGGUUGAAUGAUUGGAGCAGAGACGGGUGCCUUUUUGAGGAUUUCAAAAGAUUUCAGGCACGCGUCAUCGAACUCAAAGGGCGCAUCCUUGGCUAGCAGAUUGGUCAGAGGUCGGGCGAUUGUAGAAAAGUCCUUGAUGAACCUUCUAUAAAAGCCGGCGUAUCCCAAGAAGCUGCGGAUCCCUUUCAUGUCCACAGGAGGAGGAAGCUGAUCGAUAACAUCGAUUUUAGCAUGAUCAACUCACGUUCGGACACUCGAUGGCCAAGAACUAUCCCUUCACGGACCAUGAAAUGACACUUUUCCCAAUUAAGUACCAGGUCAUUCUCUUGGCAUCGUUGUAAGACUUUGUCUAAAUUCUACAGACAAUGACCAAAGGUCUUUCCACAGACAGAGAAGUCAUCCAUGAAGACUUCCAUAAUGUCCUCGAUCAUGUCUGAGAAAAUAGACAUCAUACACCUUUGGAAAGAUGCAGGAGCGUUGCAUAGUCCGAAGGACAUCCUACGGUAUGCAUCGGUGCCGUAUGGACAUGUGAACGUAGUCUUACUCUGGUCCUCCGGAUGGAUAAGAAUUUGAUGAUAACCGGAAUACUCGUCAAGGAAAUAGAAAAAUGAAUGAUUUGCCAACCGUUCCAACAUUUCAUCAAUGAAGGGUAGCGGGAAAUGAUCCAUUUUCGUAGCCUUGUUAAGCUUCCUGUAGUCAAUGCACAUCCUCCAUUCGGUUACGGUUCAUUGCGGGAUAAGUUCAUUCUGAGCAUUUACAACGACCAUCAUUCCUCCCUUCUUUGGCAUAACCUGGACUGGGCUAACCCACUCACUGUAUGGUACGAGAUAAAUAAUCCCGGCAUGCAGGAGUUUCAAGACCUCUUUUUUACAACUUCUCGCAUCGCAUUAUUGAGCUGUCGUUGAGGUUCCCUUGAAGGAGUACUCUCGGGGUCAAUAGGGAUACGAUGGGUGCAAAGUACAGGAUUAAUCCCCCUUAGAUCUUGAAGCGAAUAGCCAAGAACAGAACAAUGAUUUUCCAACACGGUGAGAAGACGUUGAGUCUCAUCUUCAGAGAGCUUGUCACUGAUUAUGACAGGAGCUUCUCUAUCAUUGUGUAGGAAAGCAUAGUGUUGGCGGUAUGUCAUGAGACCCUCCAACCAGACCUGCCGAAACCAAGUAACCAGCAAGACUUCAAGCCCAAGGCGGCAAGCUCAUUGGGGCGAAGCCCACAUGGCGAAGACUAUGGAGCAAAGACGGCGAAGGGCAAAGAAUCGCGUUGGUAUCCCGUAAGUCAGAAGGCAUCUCGGGCGAAGACCAGGUGGCGAAGGGUGCAUGCCGAAGGGUAACUUCGCCACGACUGUAGGAUCAAGGAGGUCGACUAGAGGGGGGUGAAUAGGCGGUUUUAAAACUUAAUGACACUUAAACAAAACUAACCUAAGUUGCUAGGCAAGGUGAGAUGCAAGGUUAACUAAGCAACUAAGUUAAGUUUUGCAAACCUAAGUGAUAUGGGCUCAAAUAUGUCUCUAUGAAUGUAAAUUGCACAAAUGUAAAUGCAACAAAUAAAUGAGACAAGAGAUAAGGAAUUUUUCACCGAGGUUUGGAAACUCGCCGGUUUCCUAAUCCCCAUUGAGGCGAGCCCAACUCCACCGCUCAACCACGAAGCCACCGCACACCCCCUUCGUCAAGGGGUGGGCAAUGUGGGAGCCGGCCCACGGAGAGGACUACCCAAGCCUCGAUCACUAGGGUAGUUCUUCCUUCACUCCGAAGGUGGUGAACUCCAAACCACUCACAACCGGCACCGGGCCUCCUCCACAAUCUCCUCGGAGAGGUCACCGGGCAACACCUCCACAACACCUCACUAGAUAAACUAAGUGCACAAGGGUGUGAGAGCUCUUGCAAGGGUUCAAGAUAAUACAAUGGUGUGCCAAAACCUUGCCCUUGCUGCUGGGGAGUGGGUAUAUAUACCCCUAACCACCAAAACUAGCCGUUGAAACUGAAAUCCCCAACUCUGUGCUCUGCCUGUCAGACCGCCGUUGUGAGACCGGUCAGACCAGACUACUUUGUAAUGGCUAGAAAACUAGCCGUUACAGGGCAAUCAUUUAGCCCACUCAACCUGGCUGGUCUGACCGUAGUGUAGUGGCCGGUCAGACCGUCCACGGCUCGGUCAGACCGCCGUUGGCUCGGUCUGACCGGUUGCAGCUCUGUAUCGCCACCAAAAACCAGACCUGUGCAACAGACCAGUGGGGCCGGUCAGACCGGCCUUACAACACCUGUCAGACCGGCCUAAGGCCCACGGUCAGACCGCAGGUCACUUUUCAGCUCAACUGACCGUUAGUAAAACGACGAUAUCUCUUGACUCGGGUCUCGGAAUUUGGCGUUCUUGGACUUUAUGGAAAGCUUAUUCAAAGGGAUAUCCAACCCAUGAACAAUCCAUCCAAGAAACACAACUUUUCUCAGGGAGAAAGGGCUCACACUCCAAAGGAUACUCCACCGAACAUAACCACAUGAGGCUACCCAAACCUAUAGGAUUUGCCCACAUCUCUCUUUGUUUAGGACUUGAGAAAACUCACCACACUUGGCUAGACAAGCCCACCAAAUACACCUACAUGCAUAUGAACUAAUAUGGCACAAGAUCAUCCACAAGCUCGCUUCAUAUACCCCUCUUGAUAGUACGGCGCCUAUCUAGCAAAUCCGGUCUACACCAAACACCAAGACCGGGAAAAGACUAAGAAAACAUUCUUAGCUACAUUAUACAUUUGCCUUGCGCCAUCCAUCUUGGGGUCAAGCUUCAGUCGAGAUCAACACUUGUGACCAUUUGAUUCAACCAUCCAUUUGAUUCAACCAUGUUUAUACCAAGGUAUUUACCAUCAUUUGUCAAGACUUUCUUCUCAUCACAAGCUUGAUUUCAUUCUUGCCAACAUGGCGAUGUCCUUGGCUUGGUGACCAUUAACCCAUGGUGUCAUCCAUUAGCCUCAUCAUAGUGGGAUCUAUUCCUUUUCACAUCUCAAAGGAGAACAUUAGUCUCAACAAAUCGGUUGUCAUCCUUCACUUGAUGACCAACCGGUUGCAUAUGAAAGAUAUGGAUAUGUUUGUUGAGUAUUCAUUUACACCACAAGUGUCAUAUACUCGUAUGCAAGCUCAAGUGCAAAGAUCCAAUAUGAAUAAUAGGUGAAUAACAUGGAUCUAGAACAUGCACAAUAAAUGUAUAGGAUUUGCUCCCCCUGAACAUAUGCAUACAAAUAAAUUUACAAGAGAGGCGAGUGUAUGCAUAAGUAAUAAAUAACCAAUGAGGUUUAUCCUAUACACAUAGAGAAGGCAUGUAGCAAUGAUAAAGAUAAACAAAAAUACAUACCUACAUGAUCUCCAUGUUCUCAAUGUAAAGGAGACUAAAUAAGAUAAGGCUCAAGAAAACAUUAGUCUCACACUUAUAUAACAAUGACAUGGAAAUCAUAUAUAUGAACGUAUCAAGAUGAAAGAGAUAAGAGGUGGUACAUAUCGCUUUAAUCUCCAUGCAUUUCAUCCUUGUCAUGAUUAAGGUCGAUCACCAAAGAAUACAUAUCUACCAUAUCUCAUUAUUGAGAAUUAACCUAGUUGACAACUUAUGUAAAAGAGAGGUUAAUCCCAUAAACAUCGGUUUAUCAUCUAUCAGCAAAGCAACAAUUACACAAAUUGUUUAAUCCAAGAUCUUUCAAUCUUUUCUCUCUUUUGUGAUAGAUAAUAACCCGAUAUAACAAUAUAGAAAGGUGAGAUGAAAGAUAAUUUCAAACCAAGGUAGAGAUUUUAUAAUAAACAAAAUAUAGAAUAAGCUCCCCCUCAAGAUGUGCAUACAUAUGGAUAUGAAGGAACGCAUAUGCACAUAAUCAAUAAAGAUCAAUGAGGAAGCUCACACUAUAUUUUGGAUCUAUAAGAGAGACCAAGUUAGAAUAUGUGAAGUUUAAUACAUACCUCUCAUCAUUUUUACUUUCAUAUCCAAAUGAGACUAGUCAAAGAAAGGCUCAUAAAAACGUUAGUCUCAUAUAGUUAGAUUUGUCAUUAAUCACCAAAACCAAAUUAAGGCACUUGAACUUACAACGACAAGUCGAGCUUCGGGGAGGCCCAAGGGGCCAUCCCGGUCGCUCUAAGCCCAUUGGCCAUUGGGCCAGCGUUCGCCAAUCGGCCCAGUGGAGGCCCAUGUAUCUCAAUUACGCUGUGUACCCAUGUAAAUGUCCCUUUCAUGAGGGCAACCAUAUAAAUUCCCCUGUAAAACCUAAACCCUAAUAGGGGGACCUGUAAUAGAACUAUAAAUAGACCCCUAGGGGCAUGUAAUGGGGGAUCCCAAGAAAAAAUCUCGAAUAUACACACUCAUCGUUCCCAACAACUGUUGAGUAACCACAUCCUUCGACGUACGCAGUUGUCGCUUCGACAACAGCUGGCGCCAACUGUGGGGACCUCUGAGCGAAACCACUGAGAGCGAAUGCCACUGAAGAAGGUCGCAAAGGAAAAGGUUGCAAGACGAAAGGAGAGUGAAGCAGGAGUGGAGAUGGCAGCCGAAGAGGAAGCAGAGCCUUCGGCGCUCGACGCCGAAGAUGGUGUGGCACCAUCGACUUCGGCCCCUGCGCCGCAACAACCACCUUUGGCUCCUGCCACUUCGGUGGGGCAGGCGCUAAACACAGUUGAUGCGGCGAAGGCAGCUGCGGCAGCAAGGGCGCUCCAGACCAGGGCGGAGACCCUUUCAACAUGUCAACUGGUGGCCCCCCAGGCUGCUUCGCCGCAGCAGGCUACAUCUUCGACCGCGCUCACCGCCAUACAAGUCAACUCCAACCUCGAAGCGCAAGCUAAAGCCGACAUGGGGGCCAUGCGUCAAAACAUGGCGCGACUCCAGGACAUGCUUCGUCAGAUGCAAGAGCAGCAGCAGGCAUACGAAGCGGCCCGGCAAGCCAAGGUUGCCUCGGCCCCCAUUCUCCAGUAUUCGACAGGCUACAUCCCAACCCAGGCCUACCCACAGGCACCGAUUCAAGCCCUUCCGUCACAAGUCAUGCAAGCACCAGCGAACUUCGCCGGGCAGCCUUCGGCCGCAACAGUACAUCCAACCCCUCAUGUACAGCUACAAGUUCGACCGGUCGCUACCCAAGUACGCCCCCCGUGGCCUGGUCAGAUGUCGCAAGCAAUGGCGGAGGGGGCUUCGGCCUUGCAGGCGCAGCUCCAAGCUUUUCUUCAGCAGCUCAAACCAACCCCACAACACUUCAGAAGCAACCCCUUCGGCCCAAUCGGAGGGGAACACAAGUCAAGGUGCAUCCAGUUGGCUACCGUCGAACCUGCCUGGUCUAGGGGUUUCGCCAUGGAGUCAAGGAUUGCCGUUCGACUUCAGCAACGCCACUCAAGCACCAACCAUCCGACCGCAUGCACCGACACUAGGCUUCGGAACAAACCAGGUCGCCAUGGCAUGGACCCAGCCUUCGUUCGGCCCAUCCAUGGCGGCACACCAAGCGUCGCCGUUCGGAGCCAGGCAGCCGAACACUAUGGCCCAACCGCACGCGCAAGCCAUGACUUCACCCUUCGCCAUGCCAUAUCCAAAUAGGCCUUCGCAGCAAGGUGCCGUGAGCAAGGCGGGGAGCGAAAAAGGGCCGCCGCUGAGUGGGGGAAUCAAGAUUCGCCUAAUCCCACCCAGUUCAAGUUCCCACCCGUUCCGCGAUACUCGGGCGAAACAGACCCAAAAAAGUUCCUGUCCAUAUACAAGUCCGCGAUCGAAGCCGCUCAUGGCGACAAAAAUACCAAGGCAAAGGUAAUCUAUCUCGCUCUAGAUGGCAUCGCCCGUUCUUGGUACUUCAAUUUACCAGCUAAUAACAUUUACUCAUGGGAGCAAUUGCGCGAUGUUUUUGUCCUUAAUUUUCGAGGCACCUAUGAGGAGCCGAAGACGCAGCAACAUCUACUCGGCAUUCGCCAGAGGCCGGGGGAGUCGAUAAGGGAGUACAUGCGUCGCUUCUCGCAAGCCCGAUGCCAAGUUCAGGACAUAACCGAGGCGUCUGUCAUCAACGCCGCUUUGGCUGGGCUGCUCGAGGUCGAACUCACAAGGAAAAUCGCCAACAAGGAGCCGCAGACACUCGAGCACCUGCUUCGCAUCAUCGAUGGAUACGCAAGGGGCGAAGAGGAUUCCAAGCGACGGCAAGCAAUCCAAGCCGAGUACAAUAUGGCCUCUGUUGCCGCUGCUCAAGCCCAAGUACAAGCACAGGUCGCCGAACCGGCUUCUCUCGCCAUUCGCCAGCCUCAGCCGGUGAACCAAGGACAACCACCAAGGCCAGGUCAAGCUCCCAUGACUUGGAGGAAAUUCAAAACCGACCGUGCAGGCAAGGCCGUGAUGGCUGUCGAAGAAGUUCAAGCCCUCCGCAAGGAGUUCGACGCUCAACAAUUAGCAGCCAUCAACAGCCCGUUCACAAGAAGGUCAGAAAAGACCUUUACUGCGCCUUUCACGGACGCUCUUCGCACACCACUGAGCAAUGCCGAAACAUUCGUGUAACGGACUCAAAUUUUCGGGGAAAAUUUUUUGCGAAAUAUUUUAGUUGCACUCUUCUCGAUUCUUCUGUUGAAGUGAUCUUACCCUCUGUUAAUUUCUUUUAACUUGGAUUUAAAACUUUAUUUGCAAAGUUAAUCGCUCUCUUUUAAAUUUUACAAAACCUCUCUAUUUAUUUUCUUUAAUCUCUGACUUUGGCUCUACAUUAUAUUUCCUUUGAUCUCCAACCUCCGCAAAUACCAAUUCUUAUUUUCCCCAGAACCAAUACCUUCCCUUUGGAUCUCCACCUAAAUAUCCCCAUAGUCCAUAACAUAUCCUUUUCAAUCCCUCUUUGAGUCAACAUACCUAUCCUUUAGAGUUUAUCAAUCUACCACCAAUUCUGUUCCUAUAAAAAUCCCCAUCCACAUAUAUUUCCGAAUCCAGUUCUAUACUCCCACAAAUAUUUCCCCUUUGAAAUCUCGUUUAUCUAAAUUACCCAUUUUCUCUUUGUUGGAACUUAUUUUUGGAUCAAACCCCUACCUAGACCUAUCUCCAAAAAUCUUUACUUCCUCUCCAACCAAAAUAUUCUACCAUCCAUUCUGGGAUCAAGUUCCUGUUUUGAUCGAGCCACCAGUUUGAUUCCCAUGGCUUGAUCGCAUCCUUGGCACAAGAAUAAUAUUAUUACAAAUAAUUGAGUGAUUGCUCUUGUGCUAAGAAGCUUAUUUUCAACCCCUUCCAUACAAAAUCCAACUUCCGUUAGCCACAAAUAUUUCACCGAGAAUCCAUAUCACAUAUCUUGGAGGCUAAAAUCCUAGUUAUUUACCUCCAUCUAUUUUUGCCACCAUCCCAAAUUUAUCCAAAGUUAGAAAUUAAAUUAUUGCCUUUCCUUCCCAUUUGAUUAUUUUUGUGACAAGUUUUAUUUUUGGUUCUUAUUGAAUUUUAUAAAAUUGGAGUAUCUUUAUUUUUACCCUUUUCAAAUUUAUAUCUCAAAAUAAAUAUCUUUGAUUUUAUUCUAAAAAUAUUUCAAACCCCUUUUGUUUUAAAAACCUUAUAUUUAAAUUAUUUUUAUAAAGUUCAAAGGACCCUCAAACAUUUCUCCUUUAGAUGUUAUCUCCAAUAAAAUCUAUUUAAAAUUAUCCCUUCAAAUUUUUCUUUAGGUUUCAUUUCCUAGAAAUCCUAUUUCUUUUCCAAACUUCAAAAAGUCCACUAACAUCUUCUUUUAGCUCCAUUAUUUAGAAAUCCUAUUUGAAUUCCUUGUCCGAGUUCAAAAAGUCCACAAAUACACAUCUCUUGUUGUCAUCUCCUUUGAAAUUCUAUUCAAAAUCCUCCAUACAAAAUUUCCUAAAGACUCCUAUUCAUUUUGGGCGAAAAAUCCUUCAUUUGGCCCAUUCCUUCUUUCCUUCCUCCUCCCCUUCGGGCUGCCGGCCCCGCUGAGCCGAGCCGGCCCAAAUCGGCCCAUGGCCGAAGCCGCCUCCUCCUCCUGUGGGCGCGCGUGGCGCACGCGCACGCCGCCGCCACCGUUGCCGUGGCUUUGCGCCGCCAUCGCCCACAGCUUUGCUCCGCCGCCGUCGUCUUGUCGUCGACGCGAAGGAACGGCCGCUCGACGUCAGCUAAACUCGAUCCCGUCGACGUCAGCAACAGGGACGAACCGCCAUCGUCGGCCAAUCAAAGAACAGAGCCGGCGCUGUCGUUCUUUUCUUCACACUGCCGUCGCCGUGUUCCCCUUGUUCUCCUCCUCUCCGAACCGACAUUCGCGGCCUAUAAAUGAAGGAUGAGGUCGCUCCUUUCCCCUCUACACCAGCCGAGCUCUUCGAGCUCUCUCUCUCUUUCUCAGUUUCUCUCUCCAUCCAUGUCCGGCCGUCACCGCCUCCGGCCGAUCUCCUCCUCUAUAGCUCCCCUUCUAGUUUCUUUGCACCACUAGCUUCGCCUCACUCCGGUGAUUCCAUUUUUUCACUUUCCCCUCCCCUUCUACCCCAAACAAGCCAUCACCAAAACUCUCUCUCUCUUGCCAGUUCACACUAUUAUACUCGCCGUUCCGGCCAUCCUCCUCUCUGUCUCUUCCUUCCUGCACCCUCCCUAGGUGCGCCGCAUCCGGGAACACCAUCUCCCGCCGACUUAUCCACCUCCCAGCCACCGGAGCACCGCCGCCUUGCUCGCCCUCUCCUCUCUCUUCUCUCGGCUCCCACCGAGACAGAGGAAGAAGACGACGAGAAGAAGAGGAGGCAAAAAGAGACAGUGUCAAGUGGGCCCCACUUUCUACACAGUAAUCCUUUCCUUUUUAUUCGAUUUAUUUCAAUCUCAAUUUUCUAGACACCCAUAUCUCUCUAACCAUUGAUCCAUUUCCAAAAAUUCUUUGACCUAAAUUCAUCUAAUUUCAAACCCUCUCUUUUGAUACCAAAUUUUCUAUUUUUAAAAUUUUAUUUAAAUGCCUUUUCCUUAAUUAUUUAUUUACUUUCUAAUUUUAAACUAUUUUAAUUAAACUUUAAAAAAUAUUUUUAUUCAAAUAACUUUACAUCCCUUUAAUUUUAAAUUUCUUGUUAAAUUAUAUUAUCCUUUAAUUUCUUUAAAUGCCCUUUUCUUUAUUUUAAAAUACCAUUUUAAAUUUUAUUUCUUUAAUCCCUUUUAAAACUCCUUUUUGAAUUCAAAUUUCUUUGAUAGUUCUUUUUAUUUUUAAAACUAUCCCUUAACCACCAAAAAGCCGCCGUGGAAACUUUACGCCUUCUAUGGAGACAUUCGCGUAGUCUUAAACCCCGACGUCAAACCGAAGAUCGUAAAACCCGACAUAACCUAAUCCUAAGGUCGAAGUGUCGCUUUUCGCAUCCCACGCCUCAACGCGUAUAGUGGUCGGAGCCUCACUGCUCCCUCAACCUUCACAGCAAGCUGCACACUAGCUUUUGGCUCUGCUGUCACUCACGACCGUAGAGUAACACUAUUCCGUAAACCUACACCAACCUCUCAACUCCUUGGUCGUUGUGCUGCUUAAUUGUAGCAUCGACUAGACGAGCCGAUAUUUAGCCGUUAUGCUGCCCAUCCUUAGCAUCGGCUAACCAAUCCAAAUAUCUAGUCGUUGUGCUACUUUACUCUAGCAUCGACUAGAAACCAAAUCCACCAAAUAAACCCCACCUAUCCAAAAUUAUCCUUUCUUCGAUUUUAUUCAAUUUCCAACCUAUAGAAACCAUCACCUCUCUUUUAUUUUAUGUUUAAAUCAAAAUUUAUUUUGAACCAUUCAUUUCUCCUCUCGUCUUGCUCAAAUUUUAUUUGUUCCUUGGUUCUACCGUUUUUUAGUAGCAAUUUGCUUAUAGGCUUUAUUAUCUAUCUUUUCAUAUCCGUAAGUUAGUCCAUACAACAAGUUCGACUAUCGAAUCCAAGGAGCUGACGUGGACCGAGAUGGCUACGCUGAAGCCACGGGAAAUCUUAAGGCGCAAGGCAAGACAUAACUAAAAUUUUGUUCAUAUAGAAACUUUGAUAUAAUCUUCAUAUUUAAAUUUGAUGCAUGAUAUUUACUAUUUUAACAUCUCACAGGUAGAUGUUAUACUUCAGAAUAACAUUGUGGUAAUUGUUAAUGCUUUCUAGCAUUGUUACAUGAGGUUAUUGAAAGAUGCAUUGGAUAUCAUUUUAAGUGGUUUAUUAUUCAAAUAUCUUUACAAACUUAGGAAUCUAGUUAAAAUGGGCAUUUUUUAAAUGUGAUUACGAAUAUUGAUAAAUGAUGAAGAUGGUGUGGGGAGUUUGGAAAGUUUUGGGUGGUUUAACCGGAUUAUAUAUAAUUACCCCCUUAUACCAUGGAAAUGACAUAGUUGCGUCCAUCCACACGUUCAAGUAAUUGGACUUAGCCUAGUACAUUGUCCCAAUAUAUGAAAGACUGUUGGUUGGCUCACUAGGAGCAGGAUUGGGGUGAACACAUGCGUAAGGAGGUGGAACUCGUGAAAGCAGCGACCAUGUAGCCUUGCUUAGGCCCAGCAAGUGCCCGACUGCUAGGAUGGAUCAAUAUCCCACUCGUGCAGUUGUUAACGACCAAAUUUGGUAAUAUCAGCAUCGGAAGUGAAGAUGAGAUCGAAGUGGAAUCAGAGAUAAGGAUUUCUGUGGGAACAGAGUAAGAAUCGGCUGGAGUCCGGAUCGGCUACGACCAGAAUCGGCUAAAUCCGAAUCAGACUAGGUUAGAUGAUACAGCCGAUUCCGAUAAUACAACUUGGUGUACAACAUCGGGUUGAGUUGAUAUGCUUCAAGAUGAUUGCCGCACGUGGAUAGAGUCCUGAGAGGGCAAUUGUAUCCAUUAAUUAGGAUGUUUUAUGUAAUUUCCUUAGAGAUAUGUUUAGGGCAAAAGUCUGUCGCAAAGACUUAUGGUAUUUUAGAGUUUGUUAGGGAUAAUAGUCGUGUCCGGUAUGGACAUAUCUUGUAACUCUCGGGUAUAAAUAGACCCCGGGUCCUAUGUAAUUUUUAACACACACACAC
Molecule: long non-coding RNA, 199430 nt
Filed under: Oryza sativa (Asian cultivated rice)
Lineage: Eukaryota; Viridiplantae; Streptophyta; Magnoliopsida; Poales; Poaceae
Description: long non-coding RNA (OSAT_LNC000568)
Rfam family: MIR812 microRNA precursor family (bases 188088-188297)
Source: RNAcentral